RNAcentral lists this long non-coding RNA (187109 nucleotides) under Cucumis sativus (cucumber). Its description in RNAcentral is "long non-coding RNA (CSAT_LNC001875)". Lineage: Eukaryota; Viridiplantae; Streptophyta; Magnoliopsida; Cucurbitales; Cucurbitaceae. The record is from RNAcentral.
UUUUUUUUUUUUUUUUGUGCCAACUUGAAGACAUGAUGCCAUGAAUGAAAAGAAGAAAAAUGGAAGACAAAAGAAAAACACGCGAACGUGGAUGAGUGCAAACCAAAGAGCAACAAGAGAUGGAUUAGAUAAUGUCGUUAAAGGGACGAUUAUAUACUUAGUGCCAGAUCUGGGCAGCUUACAGUGGACAAAGAAGCCCACGGUGAGAGCGAAUCUGAACGUAUAUCUGGGUUUGCUUCGCGAAUCUACCGGUUGCAAACACAUAGACACAAACACACAUGAGACUUGACGCAAAUGAACGUACAUGUUGCAACGAAGCUUGGUAGAGACAAUUAAUGUAAAACCUUAAACUCUACUCUAAGGACCCUUAAGACUUACAAGGACUUGAUAAAAUAAAGAAAAGUUGGGUUAAUAGGAAAAUGAAAUAAAAUUUCUUGGAAAGAUGGGUUAAAGAAUAAGUGAUAAAGUUGGUAUGUUAUUGAAAGUUUAAAUAGGAAAUCAAGUUCAAAAUAGCUAAGUGUGAGUUAGGCGUGGAAGGAAGGCUAGGCGGCUAAUUGAGUCAAGAAAAACCUAUAAGGAAAACAUUGAGCAAGCUAAGGGUGCUUGUGUGUGUAGGUCGAGAGGUUAGAUGUACCAAAAGAACCUCUAAGAGUUCAUUUAGGUGGCCAAAGUAGGUUUGAGAAUCUCUAAUGAACUAGGUGAGAUGCGCAAGUUGGGCGGUCAUAUGGUAAGUGAAAACCUCUAGAGACUUGUUGGGUACCAAGCUUAAAGAAGAAGUUGGUGAAAUAACCUCUAACGGAAUUGCAUUGGGCAACCAUUGUGUUUGGCAAGGAGACAUGACAUUUCUAGGUGAGAUGAUGGUGCUAGGCGUGAUGGCUUGUAGGCAGGGUGUGCAAGGAUGAGCCUUGUGGCCAUGGUUGUGAGGUUAGCAUGUGAGCAAAGUGAAGAGUUGAGCAUGGAACUAAGGCUUGGGCGAUAUGAUAAAGGUUAUAAGUCUCAAGGCAAGUUGGUGAGGUGGUUUCCAGGUGCCCACAACAUGCAACAUGCAUUUUUGUAGCAAGCAGGUGGUGGCAUGAUGUGAGAUCAAGUUGGCAUGCAAGGUUCUCUAUAAAAGAAUGACUUCAGACAAUGAGUUGGAGCAAUUCACUCGUGCGUUUUGCCUUAAACUACUUGUAAAAACUUUCUUUAUGAGUUUAUUUUAUUAAGGAGGGUUGUUGCACGAAAAGAAGGCAAGAAGACAUAGGUUUAAGUUAAAUAAAAAGGAAAAGAUCAUUUCCAAAGAAAUUUUGAGCAGAGUUAAGCAAGUUAAGACAAUUCUAACAAGUUUUGCAGAAGUAGCUUUUUCAUUUUGAGGUCUAGAUUAAAAGUUAUAAGCAUUGCAAGUUGAUUGAUGAUUAUAGAAAUUUACAAUUUCUGGGUAAGCCUAAGGUGGCCAAGAAACACAGCGUGAAAAGGCUUGACAUGCAUGUGCAAAUCGGGUAAAGAGGUUAUUUGCGUGUUUUGGGGCACACGACACGACCGAGGCAUAGCCGAGCGACAAAGAUGCGCUCAGACCAUGCACAUGGCCAUGCAUGCAAAGCAAAAUGAUGCAUAAAGAUGAGCACGCACACGUGAAGGGAGAGCUGUGCAAUGCCAUGCCAUCAGGCACGCACGACAUAUGUGCAUGCGUGCAUGCUGUUUGCGCUCAUGUUGUGUGGCCAACAAUGCCCUAACAUGGUUAUUGGGUUGUUUUGCUAUUUUUUCAAUUUUGAUCAAAUGUUGGGUAUUUUUCAUGGUCAAGGAAUUAAUUAAUGCUGAUUUAUGGACUUUUCGGGUCAAGGAAGGUUUGAAGAAAAUUCUAGGCCAAUGGUUGAACCAAGUAUUGUGAGUGACAAAAUAGAUUUCUAAAUUGGUUCCUAAGCAUGUUUUAUAAACUGUUGUUUGGAAUAUGUUUUAAUUUGCAAAGUAUAUUUGAGCUUACUAAUUUUUAUUGAAAGUUAUAAAGCGUGAUUGUUUCAUUAUUUGCAAGUGAAACACAUAAUUGAGCAAAGCCUAGAUUUAAGCUGUUUUACCGAAAUCUAUGUUAUGUUCAAAAGUAUGCUUAUGACCAUCUGAAAGAAAAAGUAUGUUUUAAGCCAAGAUUUUAAGCAUGUUUUUAAUGAUCCUAGGCUCGUAUGUUCUAAGAGUACUAUAUGUGGUCCUAUGUGCACAUUUGGUGUGAAGGCCGACGAGCCUAUGGUCUACAAUCCAUCAAGGAAGUUAUACUUUGUUAUACCUACGAGGAGAAUGGUAUAGUGGUAUUGGUAUCCAAUGUCCAUCUUCAGAUGAUGAUGUGUUCUGCUGCCUAGUACGUCUUUUAUUGAUGGGAUUAUUUGACACCCAACCGUCUUAUGACGAUAAGGUGUUAGUACUGCCUAGGUUAUGGAUUCAUGAUUCCAGAAAGGUUUAUGAAAUGUCAUCAAAUGUUUAAUGUUUACAAGUAUCGUGUUUAUAAAAUGAUUUCUUACUGCUUGAAUGUUUUUUUAUGCCAAGGUUUAUGGUAAUUUGUUUAUGACAAACAUAUUUUAUAAAAUCGUCACUCACUAAGUGUUUUGACUUAACCUUUCAAAUUUUUUCUCGCUUUUCAUGUACAGAUUGUGCAUUCUUGAGUGUUGAGCUUACUACUAUCAGGCCAAUUAGUUUAUUUUGUUGUUAAGGAAUAGUGAGAGUUAAUUAAGUUGACUUCGUAAACAAGUUUAGGAUAGACAUGUUUGUAAUUUUAGGAUAAAGUCUCAUUGAUAUGUCUGUGUAAAUAAAAAUCAUGUUUAAGCUUCCGUUGAGUUAUCAUGUUUAAGUUUUCGCUGUUAUAUCAUAGAAAUUACAAUUAAUGGUCUAAGUUAUUAGUAUAAGCAUCAAUUGUCGUAUGAUUGCUAGUCGAGUAAGGCAAGUUAGUCGGUUGGUAAAUGUUUGUCAAGUUGUGGCAACGGUUGCCAACCCUCGAACCUUCUUUUGGGAGCUUGGUGACAAUUCAGUUAAGGAGCUCCGAGAGGGAGUGUGACAGUUAGGUUGUGAUGGGUUCGAUCGAUGGUCAAUCUAUUCGUACAUCAAUGCAUAAAUCAAUGCACGAAUCUGAUUUGGGCAAAAAAACUAUGCAUAUUUGGUUAUUUGGUUUGUCUCUAUCGACAACAGAGAUCAGAGGAGACAAUCUAAAAUGUCUUUUAUUUGUGUGAUUGAAUAAGACAAACCUUAUAAACUUUGCUGAUGCCAUGAUAAUUUUAUAUAAUACAUUGAACAAAUCUAAUGUGUACAAAGUAACCUAUUAAAUUAGUGAAUAAGCAGAGACUAAAAUACUAACGAAGGAAACAUACAAAUAUAGUAAAUAUUAAAUAAGAAUAAAAAUCUCCUUUUAAGGCUUAUAUGAUGUUCCAUGAUUAGCCAAUCUAAAACAACAGAAGUUCCAUAAAGGGCUCUCUUUUUCAACUCUUUUAUUGCUUAAAUUUUUAUAAAACUCGUAACAUGUAAGUAGUACUAUACAUUGAUAUCUGAAUGGACUGAAAAUGCAAAAAUCAUAGUAAACUGAACGUGAAUGUUUUAUGGACAAAAGUUAUGAUAUAUACCAUGCAUGUUGUUCAAAUGUGCUCACAGGUACUCAGAAUGUUGAAACUGAAAUAGCUCGAGCCGUACUAAUAGCUUCGCAAUGGUUGAUUUCAAACUCGAAUCGCCUUUUUGGGAUAAAUCAACAAGUAUUGACCAAGCAGUUUCUCCAUAUUUGACUCUGUGCUCCUCAAUUCUGAAUAUUCUCUCCAAUAUCCACAAUGCUUUUUGUUGAGCAUCAAUGUGGCCUGAACCUAAAACUUUUAAGAUUGCUUCAACUCCAGACAUCUUAACUACGUAGUUGCUUCCAUUGUCACAAAUUUCAUCUUCCAAAAGCGUGGUAAGGGCGCUAAGAACAGCUUCAUCUACUUCGCUUUCUUUUCCUUCCAAAAUUUCGAUCAUAGGACGGAUUGCAUCAGCCUUCACCAAACAAAAUGUUCUUUUUGUCAAGCAUUGCCUUCCAUGAACUUCACAAAUUGAAUCUUUUGAAGGAGGCACACAUAACCACCUUGAUGUCCGGGACUUGCUAAGAGAGAGCGAGUUCUGUGACAAUUGAGCUAGUGAAAUUGCUGCUUUGCUCUGAGCAACGGGCGACUCGCUUGACAGCAACUUCACUAGUAAAGGAAUCACCCCUUGUUCUACUGAAUGAAGUUGUAGUUUCCUAUCGAAUGGAUUUGUAAACCGUACCAAUAAACCUGCUACACUUUCAGAUGAUAAAGAUGCAAAAAUAUCUGAAUUAGCCGAGCUGGAAUUCAUAAUCGAAAUCAAGAUGGGCACGAGAUUUGCUUUUCUCAGCAAAUCAGUAAUUUUCUUUUGAGUUACAGGAACAUUGCUCAGUAUACCAACUGCAAAGACCCUUUCAGAUUUACAAUCAGUAGAGGAAAUUAUAUUCAGAAUUAGACUGAUGUGGCUCUCUUCUAGCUCUUCUGGUGCGUCUUUCGAUAAAGUGUAAAGCAAUUUCAAGGCCCCACUCUUGACCUUAGUAUUAUCUUCCAUCAAAAACGGAAAGAGAAGCUGGAUUGCACCACUCUCCACCAUCUUUUUUCGAACUUCAAGCGCACUGGGAUUAGCAGCAAUGUUAUUGAGUGCUUGCAAGAGGUGAUUCUGAAUUAUAGGACUUGAUAAAUUCAGAAGUGAGAGCAUUUGGAGAGCCACAUCGUAGUUCGUCAGGAUUGAUUCUGAUUCAGAAAUCUUUGCAAGAAUUGCAGCUGCAGGCUCUCGUAGAGUCAUAAGCACAGAGGUUACAGAGAAUAGAAGCUGAAGCAGUGAAACGACAAUCCCAGAACUAAUCAAUCGUUGGACAUUUUCCUUCAAACCGGAGAGGCUUUGCAAUGCGCUCAAUGCUGAUAAUUUAGCUUCAAGUUUUUCAGUACGGAACAUUUGGACAAGAGGUUCAAUUACCCCUUCUUCUCCUAGUGAGGCCUUACUUUGUUCAGUGUGCUCCAUCCUUGAAAGUCCCGUUGCCAUAAGGAUCUUAUUCAUGUCAGAACCUAAACACAUGGAAACCAUUUGACAUUAAGAACUCAUGAAUUGCUUGAUUUCAAAAGUAUAAAUAUCAUACUUCUUUUCAUGAGCUUGAAAUCUAGAUUUGCGGUUGAAGGGAUAUUAGAGGGAUGCUAGAAUCUCCCCAUAUCUCCACAUUUGUGUCUCAUAACUAUUGUGGUUUCUCAUAUAAGUGGAGAUAGUUUCAUUCACUUAUAUUCAUAAGUACGAUCUUCUCAUUAUCUAGCGAAUGAGGCAAACUUUGGUCGCACUCCCAACAAUCCAAAAAAUUAAGUUAAUCAAAUGAUUUUAAGUUUUGAACAACAUGAUUAGUAAUGCAGAGAUCUCCAACAGAUUAUAGACAUGAUAUUAAGAUAAAGCAUACUAUAAUUACUCCCAAGUGUCUAGUUCUCAAAGCAUGUUCUGAAGGAAUAAACAAAUUGAAUACUGGUUAGAGUUUUUGGUUUUGUUCUCUCACUUUACCUUCUAUCAAAUGCUGCACCAUUGGCUUAAAAUAACCAGCCUCUGCCAUAUAAAGCACAUUCUGGGUGUUCCCUGACAAUACAUUCAACAAUUUUCUUGCAUCAUAGGAAGCAAUUUGAUCGUCCCCUUUGAGAAUGGAAACUAACAUAACAAUACAACCCUGAAUUCUGCCAAGCCGGCGCCGUACGUUAACAAAAUCACAGAGUUCCAAUAACAGUCCCACAACUUCCCUCCUCUCCUCCUCAUCCCCAGCCAAAGACUUGACCAAUGUUGACAAAGGUCCAACAUCUGCCAUCAUUUCCUGCAAAUUAUUGUGUUUCAGUGGAUAAAAAAUAACGGUCUCAAAAAGGGUGCAAUAGUCAGUUUCACUUAUGGUUCUACCUUGCUUGCAGGAUUGUUCCAAACAAGAUACCUAAGUACUUGAAUGAUUAGUGGUCGGUUAACAGAUUUGUUCGAACCCAAACGAUUGAGCAAAAUUGAAACAAUUCCCUCUUCAUUGAGCCAUCCAUCAUCAACAUUUUUAUUCUGUAUCAAGUCUUUCAACCCAGCAACUGCAAGCUUGAAUUCAUCGUCAUUUCCAUACUUGAGAUGCAGUGCAAUGUCACAAGCUUUAACGCUAGUUCGUUCUUCUUCAAUCUCCUCCACUCUCAAAUCACAUAUGAACUCUGUGGUUCGACUUGAAGUUGAAGUUGGACUGCAAUUCUCAUCAAACUUCAUGUUCAUGAGUUCCUUGUGAAGCUCUCCAAUCUUUGUUUUGAAUUGCGUUGAGACCUCAACAGUAGCAAACAAAACAAGGCCCAAGGACCGACCAAGAUCAUGAGCAAUAGAUUCAACAUGUUUCACUUUUUGGUUGUGGACUUUUAUUGAACACUUGGCACGCUUUAUCUCCUUCUCAAGAGAUUCAACUGCUUUUCUGAUUGUUGGGGUGUCCACGAUCUUGUCAUAGUCUCUCAAAUCAUUGAAAAUUGGUGGAAUUUUUUCCAAAACAAGAGCUAAUUCAGUGAACAUCUCGUUCUCUGUUUCUGAAUUCUUGGAUAUGGAAGCUAACUCAUCUGUAGAUGCUAUAAUUUCAGACACAACCUCUGAGAAAGUUCUGUUUUCCAUCUCCUUCAUCUCUAAACCGACAGAUUAUGAACAAACAAUGAACAAGAAAAACAGAAAUAUAUAGAAAUUGUUAAAAGGGUCUGUGAGGAACUCAAAGUAACAUAAUUGAAAAAAUGGGUUGGCAAGUUCUGAGCUGGUGUGAUGAGAUAAUAUAGAGAAAGAAGAAGAAGACAAUUAUAUUAAAGCCUAGAGAAAAACGACGAAGACUCGCUGUUAUAUGACUAACUGUAGACUUAAAGCUCGGAAUUGCAAAAUGUCAUUAUAAACAUUAAACCCAUAUCUCACGUAAUACAUGCUCAGAAAGAUGUAUAUAGGAAUUUGAACGUUUGAGUCCACGGUUUUAUGCUUAAAAACGUUUGUUCGAGUUCAAACCUUGGUAGAAGUGAGAUAUUUGAUCGAUAAAUGAUAUAUGUGUUGAUUAGUUAAACUAUCGGAUUCAAUGUUUAUUUAGAGGAGAGUGAGGAAUGAUUAAGAGUUAAAUAACUAAAUAUUGAAGAGUGGAUAUUUGUUUAAUAAAAAUGAAAAAUAUAUAUGGUUUAUAAUUUGAAUGGUAGAGGAAAAUUUGUGUGUUAGUUUUGGAGUAUUGGGAGGGAGGGAGGAACAAGAAAGGAGUGGCGGAGGGUUGUUCCCAUACGCUGAAUUGCUUUGCAAAUUCUUUGCUUUUAUUAUAAUCUUCUUUUUCCUUUCCUUACACGAUGGAAUGACAACGACCCAUCCUUGACCAAGUCUUUUAUUAUUAUUUUUAAACAAAAAAUAAACAAAAAUAUUUCGUGACCCUAUAAUUAUAUUCUUGUUUUUAGAGAUUUUUUUCUUUUCUUCUUAAAGAAAAUCUUUUUGUUUGAAUUGUAAUCUCCUUUAAAUUAUACAAAUUGUUCAUCACCUUUAUUAUUUGUGUUAAAAAGUGUUCUUUCAAUUUUAAAAAAUUUAAAUGUUAGAUCAGUCAUUUCCUUGUUUUGUCCAUGGAUUAAGGUAAGAGAAAGUAAUACUCUUAAUCUCCUUAUUUUUUUUCUUUCUACGUUUAUAUAAAUCUCAUUUUUUUCGUUUAAUCCUUUCAUUUUUCAAUAUAAUACUUCUCUUUCUUCUCAUUUUUCUCUUUUUCUCUCCAAAUUAAUCAUCUUAUUUCUUUUUUUUUCCAAACAAAUUAAUUCAUCUCUCUUCGUUCUUAUUUCUUUUCUUUUUCAAACAAAUUAAUCCACCUCUCUUCUUCUCAUUUUCUUUGUGCCAAACAAAUUAGUCCUCUUUUUUAGUAUGUUGCUUAUCGUUCUCAUAAAGAAAAAAAAUUAAUAAACGAAGGAAAAAAAUAAAAACAACAUAAUACAAUUUAGUUAUUGUAUAGGAUUGAUGAUACAAACUUAAAAUACAAUAUUUUUUUGUAUUCUAUUUACGGUAUAAUUUGAAGAAACAUAUUUUACAUAAAUAAAAAACAAUCAUACAAUUUGUUUGUAUUGUGUAUUGUGUGUAUGGUCCAAUUUUCUUUUUUAUAUAUAAAAUCAAUUUAAAAUUAAUACAUAUUUGUUGUGUGUUGGGGUUACAGUAAAAAUGAAGUAUAAACAUUAUUUUAAUACAAUUUUUCGUCGUUUUGGAAAACAGUACGAACAAAAUAAAUAAGUUUAGACAAACGCAAAAAAAUAAAGUUAAUAUAAUUUUUGUUUGUAUUUGGUUUACAUAAAACAUUCCAUAAGUAUUUCUUACCCAUUAAAAAAAAGCAUAUUUUUUUUAAUGUAUUGGAUUUAUGGAUCAAAUUGAACUACAAAUUGAAGACAAAUCAAAAAUUAAAGAACACAAUUUCUGUGUGAAUUGAAUUUACGGUAUAAAUUUCAUAAACAUAUUUUACACAGCAAAAAAAAAAAAAAAAAUCAAUACACUUUAUUUUGUGUACUUGAUUUAAUGUUAAAAAAUAAAGAAAAACUACGGUACAAAUGAGAAAAAACUUUACUUUUGAAAGUAUAUUAGGUGUAUGUUACAAUUAAAAAAUAUAUUUAUACAAAAUCAACAAAAAGAAAUCAAUACAAUUUUUUUGUGAAUGCUUGGAUUACGGUACAACCUAACUAAAAAAAUGAAUUUGAAUACAAUUUUUGGUUGUAGAAAUUUUAUGGUACCAACAAUUUACACAAAUGAAAAAAAUAUUAGCACAUUUUUCAUUUUGUAUUGGGUUCGGGACAAACAAAGAACAAAAUUUCAUUUUCAAAAAAAAAAUUAUUAUGUAUUUUUUUUUCAUAUUGGGUUAACGAACAAAUAAAAAAAAUUACACAAAUAAAAAAAAUACAAAUUUUUUUGUUAUAAUCCUUCCCACAUAAUCCUUCUCCCCAAAUAAUCCUUCUCCUAAAUAAAGAUUAUAAUAGUCCCUCAUAAUCAUUUCACUUAAUCCUUCCCCUAAACAAGGAUUAUAAUAAUCAUUUCCUCCAUUUAAUCCCCUUUUUCUUAUUCCUUUUUUUCUUUAAUCCUUUUCUUCUCGGAAACGGUCCUUAAACUUUUCAAAGGAGUUUUUAAAAAAUACUUUAGGUUUGAAUGAAAACAUUAAAGUUUGUUUAAAAAAUAUUUCUAAACUUUCAAAAAUUGCGAAAAUAUACUUAACUUAAUAAAAAUUAAAAAAUACUUCCACAGUUAGUAAUAUGAAUAAAAAAAUUUAAUUCCUCACCACAAAAAUAACUUUAAACUUUUUAAAAGUAAAAAAAUUCUCCUAAUAAUUAAUAUGACAUCAAUUUGUUUGAAGUUUUUUUAAGGAAAAUUUUCAUAAAUAUAGCAAAACACCAAAAUAUUUACGACUCGUGUAACAAAAUCAAAAAGUUCAUGAAGCCGGCUAUUUUUUUUAAAAAAAUAUUCCAGCUUUGCAUUCAUUUCCAUUUUCUUUGUUCUGCACUUUUCUUUUUCUUUCCAUCGUCAUUUUCUCUUCUUCUUCUAAAAAUUUUCUUUUAUCUUUUAAGUUGUUACUUAGUUGUUUAAGAUCGUGUAUAAAAUAUAAAAUAUCUUGAAAAAAUCGUUGAGAUAUUGGUACACAAUCAUUGCUUAGAUUUGAGAAGACAAAUAUAAACGAUUGUGUACAAAAAAUAGUUAAGUCUAAAUGAUCGUCACUACAAGAAUUCAAGAGUCUCCAUAUGCAAGAAGGUGUCAGUAUAUAUAACAAACAACUUUGGGAAAGGCUCUCCCGAAAUACAUUGUGUCGUCAGAAAGAACGUCGAUAGUAGUGCGUCAAGGAAGUCAUUCCCAACUCGACAGCGAGAAGGUGUCAGGAAUGCAUUUCUCCCAACACGUGCAAUGCUGACGGAAGUAGCAUGUUGGCAACUGGGGACUUCCAACGUCCCAUCCCUAUGUCGGCAAUUUGCAACUUCUAGCAUCCUCUUCUGAUGCCGGUAAUACUGGACUUUCAGAGUCGGGGUAGGGAUCUCAGUCCCAACGACACACAAAAAGUGUAGGGAGAUAUUUUAUUAUAUAAUUUUUAAAUUAUUAUAUUUAAUUUUUUCAUAACGUACUCUUUUGGGUUUUGAUUCGAUUUAUAUUCAAUCAAAUUUUGAAUAACAACUAAUGCAAAAUAAAUAAAAAAUUAUUAAAAUACCAAAUCAAAUUUAUAUUAGAAAUAAAAUCUAAAUAUUCAAUAAUUACAAAUUCUAGGUUCAAAAAUUAGAUAAAAAAGAAAAAAAUGCAUUAUUUUCUAAUUACCAGGGACACUAUAUUCCCAAUGGCUCCCUAUCUACAAUGACAUGAAAGUAAAUUUAGAUAUAUAUUAUUGAAAAAAAUUAAAUAAAUUAAAAGUUGAAAAAUACGUUAUGCAAGUGUUCAAGGUUCUUUCUAUGUCCGACUCAUUUUCUUAAUCAUCUUAUUCAUUUCUUCCAUUUGUCUGGCAUGCAACUUUGAUGUUCUUCAUUGUUCUUCAAUUAAUCAUUGAAUGCUUUCAUAUCUCUUAGACGCUAAUCUCUCCAGAGUGCAUUUCUUGCUCAUAUCAAGAUGAAGAACUCCUAUCAACCUUUUGGGACUUGAGCUUGGAGCCCCAAGCAAGACCUUUCGAGUAGCCCGAUCGUUUAUCCAAAAUGGUCUUGCAUAUCUCGUCUCCAGAGGGGGGUUGGAGAACCUUCUAGGGUAAGUUGGGAUUGAAGUUCCAACAUUUGAUUCUGCACCAAACGAAUUGACAAUUAAAAGUAGAAAAUACAAAAAAAGCAUUUCAUAAACCUAAAUGAGCAUCAGCGCGACCGCUUAUAAAGCAAACUGGCCACUCAAAUUCAAUAUAACCCCUCACAAAUUUUCAAAUUCAAAUUCAAUCUUAAAUCCUAAAAAGACCUCAAAUUCAAAUUCAAUAUUAAAACCUAAAACUAAUUCAAAAUAUAAAUAUAAAACUAAAACAAAACAAUAAGUAACGAAGCCAUUUAUUGGAAUGAAGAGUGGUGGCGGUAGACGAUGACGAACGGUGGGACGGCGUCAGCAGUGAAGUUCUCUCCUUUUUGGUCUCUCAUUUGCAAUUCUCUCUAGCUUUCUCUUCUCUUUCGGUUCUGUGAAUUACAGAACUGAAAGAGUAUUUUUAUGUGGGAACUCUCGACACAUCAGAAAAACGUUGAGUGAACCCCUAUAUUUCUGACGUUGUUAGUAAAACGCUGAGAAAAUAUACACUUAUUCUCGAUGUAUUACUAAUGGAGUCAGACAUAAUUACCCAUAUUUUCGACACCAUGCAAUUGAAGUCGAGGGAAAUGAAAAUUAUUAUUUAAUUGUUUCAUUUCCUUCGAUGUUGUGGAUGACCAAGUCGAAAAUGUGUGACUCAUGCCCGAUGUAUGUAUGCAUGGCGUCAGGAAAAGGGAAAUAAUUAAAUAAUAAUUUUCUUUCCUCCAACACCGUAAAUGUCUGCAUCGAGAAUGGAUAUUGACCCAUUCUUGACAUAUGUUUGCCUGGCGUUGGGGAAAAGGAAAUUAUUAUUUAAUUAUUCCUUUUUCUCCACGUUUUGAUGUCUAACGUCGAGGAUGGGUGGGCUUUGCCCGACGUUAGAAGACAAAUGUGAGAAAAGAUUCACUCGGCCAGCGCCUCCAUUACGACGUUGAUGUAAGUCAUGUUUCCCAGCUUCCCUUACCCCGAUGGUAUUUUGUGUGUCGGGAGAACCCCAAUUUCUUGUAGUGUAUACAAACUAAUUUUAAAAAACAAUCGUUUAGCUUUGGGUAGCCAAAUCUAAACGAUCAUCUACCAAUUCUAAACGAUCGUGUACCAAACAUUCAUAAGGUACAUUCUUUUAUUUGAAAAGGUCAUAAAUUACAACGUUACUGUGAUAAACAACAUGCAUCAUUUAGAAAGAUAAUACAUGAAAUCAUUCACAGACAAUUAAUCAUUUAUAAGGAUCACCGCUACAAUACUUAGCCUCAAUUCUUUCUCCCUUGGCUUUCGACAUCCUUUUCUUGCCUAGUGGUUUCCCUCAGUCGACUUUUCAAUUCUUCGAAAUCUCCUCUCAACAACUCAGUAAAAGGCAUUUUCCGCCCUUUUCUUUUGACAUUUGGUUCUAUUUAUAGCGACCUUUCACAUCCAGAGGUUACUUUUCCGCUUUACAAGUGUCAUCUUAUAGUUUCCCCAUCCUAUGUAACCAACUCCAACUCGACAUGUAAGCCAAACAUCAGUUAUGAAUAGACACUUACCUUGAGAGACUAACCUAAUCUCUUUGUAAAGCUAAACUCCUUUACAUCGUUUGACUCUCUUCUCGAGAAGCAACAAGCAUUUACUUUCUCCUAGAGGACUGUGUAGUCACCUCAACUAAACACCUACCUCACUGCCACACUCUUAGACAUUGGUACUUCUCUCAGAUUGCUAUCCCCAAUCACCUAGUCCUUAACGUUAAACAACAUUAUUCUUCACCAAUAUCCUCAACACGUUACCUACUUCCACGCAAUGGCUCCUAAACUCAAAUACUUCUCUUUGCAUCACCCAUUCUCCAAUCACAUCCUUCUUCACAAAAUUCCUCUUUCUAUACUUUGUCAAAAUAACCUAUCUCAGUGGAGUUUCUCUUCAACUGGACUCCCUUUUUUUUAUCAUAGCCUCACACUCAUAAUCUAAUGAUCCCAAAGAAACACCCAAAGACUAACAGACUAAUGGUCUAGUCAAACGUACAUGGUCAUAGAGCUGUAUAAGGUGAUGAUCUUGAGAGACAUUGUACAUGUGAGAUACACAACCUAAUAGCCAAAGUUAAUAGACACCACAUUCCAAAAUGAAACAAUCAUCAUAAACAUGACAGAAAACAUCAAUUAUACCAGUCCAUAAUCUCAUAGAACAUGCAUGAUCACCAUCAUCAACCAUAAACUACAAUAUCUCAUUAUGUAUUUUUAGCUACUAUCAAUGAAAAAUCAGUAAAUACAUGCAUGCUCUUAAAUUUAGAUUCAAAGAUCUAGUAGAUGAACCUGAUAGAUUAGCUAAAAAAAAAUAUUCCAGGGCUGUUAGUCAAAAUUUUCCAAUUAAACAUAUUCUAAAUAGUAAGAAAAUUUUAAUAACUUAAUUAAUAAUGACUAACAUAAAACAAAAAAAAAUUCUUCCUAAUUAACUUACCAAGAAUUAGGGAUGAAACCAAUUCAACCUUGAUAGUAAAAUUUCCUCAGAUUCCAAAAUUAGUUAAUUAAACCUUAAAUGAAAAACUUCAAAUUAGAAUCCAAAUUAAAUUAUUUUAAAGCAAAAAACUGUCAUUUGAUGGGUAUAUCCAGAACCCACAAAAAAACACGUCCAAAACGUAUCAAAAGUAGCUAAAAAAAAAAAAUUACUAAAAUAAGUUAGGAUUGGAAGGAAGAAGAUAGGUGUAAGACCUUGAUCCCGUAUAACUAACACGACAAUGACUCUCGAAGAGGGAGUACAUGUACACGACCUGACCCCAAAGAAGGAAGUUCGAUUGAGGAAAAUCAUUGUAGAGAAACCACUCAGGCAAGAGUGUUGUCUGCGAAGAAAAGCGCAAAAUAAGAAAAAAGGUGGCACGAAGAUAAAUACUUGUAUAAGUGAGUAUAGUGUGCGAAGAAGAGCGUAAAAGAAAGAAAAAGGUGGCAUGAAGAGAAAUACUUGUAUAAGUUAUAUUGUGCAAAUGCAAACAACGCGAUAAAGACAAGUAGCGAGAAUGAGCCUAUAUUGGAUGUCGAAAGUUAGGUGUUUGACAUCGUGGUGCAAGAAGAAGCGCUUAUGUCUAUGAAGCUUUAGUAUUUUGUUGACAAGACUAGACGACUUUAACAAGAGAAAUAAAGGCUUGCAGCUUCUCGAGGAGAUAAAAAGAGUCAAGCGAUUUAAUGAAGUUUGGCUUUUCAAGGAGAUAAGGUGUGCAUCUCAAUAGAAAGUCAAAUCAUCGUUAAUAGUUAGACCAUGUGUUGAGUGUGGGUUGGCUACAUGAUGCGGCAAAAAGGCGAGGAGACGCGUGUAAAGUGUGGAAGUGACCCUUUGACGAGAAGACCACUAUAAAUAGAGCUAAAAAUCAAGGAAAGAGGGGCCAGAGGAGGAGAAAGGAAGGGAAUGAUAAUUUCAGAGGAAAAAAAGAAGAGGAAAUAAGUAUGGAAUGACAAAAUAAGAGAACUGCUAGGGAGAAUGAAUGUCCCAAAAUGGAGAAGUUAGGGCUUGAGAUUGAGUGUAUCUAUGUUGUUAGGGGUAGAGGCCAUGUAAAGUAUUGUUCUAAGGCUACAUAGUCAAGCUAAGGAAGGAAGACAGAGUGUCUCCAUAGUCUUACAUGGCGCAUUGGCCAUGGAAAUUUCUAUUACACUUGAAGAGCCAAUUGGUAAGCGCAUCGCUCCUCUGCAUGCAUGACUCAGCUCAGAAGGGAAGCAAGUGCAAUACCUAGGCAAACAUAGCUAAGCUUGGAAAGUUAGAGAGCCAGAGCACUGAAUCAAGGAUUGGGUAACUCCAUGCAUGUUAGAAAGAAGCCAUAAACACUAUCUUUAGAGUGGAUCGUUGAAUAUUUGAAAAAGUGGAGUUUUCAAGCCUCGAAGUACCUAGUCUCAAGAAGCAGCGUCUGGCGAGGUGGAGAGGAAUAAUAUGCAUUACUAUACGAUGAGGUGAGUAGGUUAGAUGUUGAGGUUAGAGAUUAGGUCAGAUGUUGAGGUUAGAGAUUAGCGAUGUUCUCAUUGUUAAAAUUGAAUGGUAAGAUUAUUCGCAUAAAAAUUUUACAAAAGAGAUUUGAGGUAAAGCUUGCUCACCUAGUAAACUAGAGAAAUAUUUUUCAAGUAAUGUUCAUUAACAAGUUAAACGCCUGAAUAACAAAUAAAACUUUAUUUUGCAUAAUUUAUUUCAUUGAAGUGUUAUUGAAUCACAAAGAAAAAUUAGAAUACUACAAAGUGGGGAGCCAAGCUUGCGACAAGAGAGACUAAAUGCGAAAGAAUUGUAUCUUAAGUUGUGACUUGUAUUGUAAUGGUCAUAAGUAAAAAGAAACUAAAAUUACACAAGACAUUGUUAAAAUACGGCACAAUUGAUGACACUUAGCAUAUCCUUUUAUGAUUACGGCAGUAAAGGAGGUUUCUGUAAGGAUGGUUAUGAUAGAGUUAUCCUUAGUUUUGCUACUGGGUCACAACGCCUCACUGGACUUGCUAAGGUUGGGAGUAGGCGAAUAGGCUUUUCUUGAAAGAGUUGCGGAUGGGGAGUGUUGGCGAUUUGGACUUGUGAGGGGUUUGAGUGAUUUGUCCUUGGAGGCUAUAACUUGUAGCGUAGAGGUCAAGGUGGUGGGCAUGUGACGAGAUGUCAUUGAAUUCCUCGACUUUAAAGAAUUGUCCUCUCUUUGAUUCUAAGGCUUCCUCCUCUUUUUGUCUUUACUUCAUCACAUCCCUUUUUUCAACCCCUUUAUAUUCUUAGCUGGUGUUAGGGUAUUUUGAUUUAUCCUUUGUUGUAUCGAUAGUGAUGAGGUCCCUUUUUCCUUCUCUUAUGUACCUCUACUAGUGGUUGCAAGAGAUUUUUAAUUGUAUUUGUCUUCUUCUCUUCUUACAUUUGAACACUUUCUCCUCCGACAGGUAGCUUCUUUCAACCCCUUUCUCAAACCCCUCGGGGAUUUCUUCCUCCACCCCCAAUUUUCUUCCACCUCUUUUUUUGAAGCCAAAAUUUCUUUUGUUGACCUUUCUUGGGUCCCUAUUUCUAAACUUUUAAAAUCAGCAUCAGGCAAGCAAGUGUCCUUCAUUGGAAGUUUAAGAUCCCCUUCCCUCACACGGCUGAUUUGCCUCUUCUCCUAUUUUUCUUAUUACCUUUUCUUUUAUUCAUAUUUAUCUUUUCACUUUCUUUUGCUUCUUCCUUUACAUUUUCUUUUAUUCCCAUAUUUUCUCCAUCAGUUCUUCUUAACCUAUCUUGCCGUCCUUCAUCUUUUGUGAGUUUAUCGCAUAAUGAGGCGAGAAGGUGUGUCACUUGGUAUUUAGGACAUGGUAGUCUUAUGAGAGGUUUUAUAAGGAUUUCUCAGUGAAUGAUAAAAAGGAAUAUCUUGAUGAACUAGGAGAAGAAUUUUUGGAAUGGUAGUGAUUUGAAGGAUUAAGCAAUUUAUGGUUUCGUGACAUGUUGUGUUUGGCUAAAUGUCGAGGUUUAUGAUUUUGGUAGCUAGGUUUAAAUAGGCUCUCUUAGCUAGAAUUAAAGGUUUGGUUACCAUACUUUUAAGGUCAUAUCGACUUAAAUAUGACGUGAUAACCUGACAGACAACUCAUGGCUCGAGGUACGACACACUCAUUUUUCGUCUUGAAAGUCUAAGAUCUUUAACGAGUGAUAAGACAUUCCCCAUUUCCUAAAAAACUUCCCAAUAAAGCUUAUUAUCGGAUUUAAUAUACGAGAAGGUCAGAAUACCUAAUGUGGUUGACUCAAUCCUUCCUGUAAACUGACUUCAUCUUAAUUGUCUUAUCCCACCAGUUUAUAGCUUCAUGGUUUACCGUGCAGUCCGAGAUAUACAAAAUUCAAAUACAAAAAUGUCUCGGUUUGACAUAAUAUAUUGCAAAGGAAUAUCUCAGUUUAGUUUGAAAAUGUGUGUUCUUACAAUUUUAGGCUUUUCUAUUCCAAUCCUUCUUUUAAAUUGGGCUGAAUGUCUUACAAAACUUCAAACCUUUGGACCAUGGACUUUAUUUUUUUUGACAAUAUUGCAAUUAACAUGUGAAUAAGCACAGUAUAAACUAAAAUUUUGGUAAAUUAUAUUAUGCCAUGAUUCCAUUUGGAAUGUGGUAUAGGAUCUGCAAUUCAUCCCGGAAUGACAGAGACGAAUAAGACUUAGUUUAUUUACUUUUUUUUUUUCUUUUUAAGACUUGAUUUAUAGUCAAUAACGUGUGAACUAAAACUAUUCUUCUUUUUUUUUUUCUUUUCCAUUAUUAUUAUUAUCAUUAUAAAUUAUUAUAAAUUCAAACGUCAUCUCCAAUUAAAAAUAAUCCAAACACGACUCUUAAAUUUUUUUAAGUUGGUUUCAAAUAUUAACAUAUUAAAGAUUUUUCUAAAAAAUAAAAUAAUAUAUUGAAGAUUUGUAUGGGCAUCCCCAUGAAUGUGUGUAUAUGAAUAGAGAGUGACUAUUUUUUUUUCAAUAAAAAAUCUAUUUUUGGAUAAAUAUUUGAUAUUAUAAGUUGAAUUAAUUUAUUUUCUUGAAUUAUGUAUAAAUUUUUAAAUGUUAAAAUAUUAGAGAAAGAGUUUAAAUAAAAAUCAACUUUCAUGAACUAGAACACUUCUUUUUUCAAAUGAAUCUAAAUCACUGCUUUUUAUUCUUCUUAAAAAUAUAUAUUUGAUUAGAUUGAUUUUAAUGAACAUAUAUUGUGAAUAUGUUUAAGAGCACACAAAUGGCAAGACUAUAAUUUGUUCUCGAAUUGUCCUUGAUGUUUAAUGAGAAGUUUGACGUUGAAGUCAAGACAACCUUUAUAGCUACCAUAUAAUUAAAAGGUCAAAUAUAUAUUUAUAUAAAGUGAGUAUUUAUUAUAAGCUACAAUUUAGUAGUCUCCAUCACAAGCUAUACAUAAUUUCUAACUUUGAAAUUCAUUUAUACAUCGUUAAAAAAUUAUAUAACGAGAAUAUAUCAUACCAGGGGCGGAUUUUUUAAGAGAUCAAGAGACACAUGUCUCCCUCACAUUAUCGAUUUUUGUAUUUUAAUAUUAAUUUUAAAGUGUUUAUAUUACAAUAUAUAUAUUAAAUUUAAAUUUUAUUUAGUUAAAUUCUACUUCUGUUGUCGUGGUUGUGUCACUGCAAAACCCUUUAUUCAAAACAUCGAUAAUUUUUUUUUCUCAAAUAUCAAUGAUUUUCUUUUAUAUCAAAUUUCUUUCCAAAUUUCAAUGAUUUCCUUUUAUAUUAAUUUUCUUCCUAAAUUUUAAUGAUUUUCUAAAAGAAAGAUAAUUUGAUUUCCUAAAAGAAAGAUAAUUUAAUUUCAUAAAGGUAAUUUAAUUUCAUAAGAGGAAGAUAAAGAGAGAGAAAAAUUCAUUUAAGAUAAAAAUCUAACUUAUUUUCUAGUCCUCAUUUGUUAUCUAACAAAAUUUUUUAAAAAAAUGCAACACAGUUGGUGAUCUAAACUUCCACUCUCUUAACAAUAUUUCAUGAAAAUUGUAUUUAUUUUUCUUUUUUCUUUUCUUUUUUUGAUGCAAAUUUUAAAUUCACAUGUUUACAUAACAAAAAACCAUAUGAAAAUUGUUGGUCUUUCUUUAUUGUUACAAAUGUAGUGAAUGUUAUUGGAGCAUCAGUAAAACGUCAAUAUAUUUUUUUAAAUAUUUUUAAUGUGUUUAUUAUAUAGUGUCUAGUGCUCCUAUAUAAAAUUUCUGGAUCCGCCAUUGGUCACACCCCCAUACUACCUUCUCUUAUAUAUACAAGAGAUAGUGUGAAGCCAACAAAUAUCGUUCUCCUACGUUUAAUUAGCUACUGAAUAUCGUCCUCCUCUCAACGAUACUUCAUAAUCUUGUACUUAACUAACUACUACACUACAACAAAACUGACAUUGUAUGACAUUUUAAUACAAUCCAAAGCUAAAAGGAAGGAAGAAAAAAUUGUCACGAACCAAACAAAAGCAGUUGAAUUUUGAAGUUACCGUUAUACAAUUAUUUGUGCAUGGUUGCCUAGUGACACCUUCUACUUGUCGGAAUUUAAUACUUGUAGACUCAAUGGCUUAUGGCCGCAUGACGCACUCAUGCCCCCAUGCCAUCUAACCUCAACAACUAGGGGUUCUUUGUUGUCGCAUAAAGGUUUUUGGCACUUCUUCCACCUGUUUUUGGCUCAUCCACAUGCCUUGCCACCUAGCAUGCUUGACCGUCUAGCACCACACCUUAAUUUGGAGGUUCACAUAGCUCUUACUUAGCCGCAUACUGCAACAUGCUAGCCAAGCAAUGUAUUGUCAAAGGAUUUACAACUUUUUUUUCUAUACAAUUUACCAAAUCAAAGCGUAAGAAAAUUUAGGGUUUACAAAGAAAUACCAAAUGAAAACGUAUGACUGAAUUAAAUAUAUUUACUUUUUAUAAAUAGUAUAAUUUGUUUUAUAGUGAAACUCUAUAUUUUACCAUCUGAAGCCUAAGACUUACAAAAGUUGGAAGUCAAUAUCCUUAAACUUGCAUCAAACGUUAACGUAUUCUAAUAUUUAUUUGUAUAUUCAUUUCUUUAUAUUUAGACAUAUUCAUGUUCUAUUAAAUAUUAAAUCUUUUAGUUGAAGAGUACGUUUCACUACAAGAAAUAGGGGUUCUCUCGACGAGGUAAAGUGUCUACAUAUAUGCCAAAGGGCAUCAAAAAAGGAUCUUUCGGCGUAUAUAGGAUCGUCAAGAAGGAAGUCAAAAGUAUUACAUCGGGGGAGUAAUUCCCGACGCACAAACAUAAAGACGUCGGUCAUUGAGAGUUCCUUUCUCUUGACGUCAGGCAUCUCGAUGGAUGGAGCACGUUGGUGAAAGGUAACGCUCGACAUGCCUAUCUCAGAGUUAGUAGAAAGGAACUUCCGACGUGGCAUCGGAAAUGGCUUCCCUAACGUUGUGCUUAAAAUGUGAGGAGAAGGGUUCUCAUUCCCAAUGCUUUUAUGCGUUAUGAGAUAAUUUUAAUUUUUGUUUCCAAAUAUUAUGUGAUAAAAGGUACAUUCCUAUUCAUAUGUUGCUAAUUUCUAAAGAUAUGCAUGUCGUGCAAGUUUUUCUCUCUAUCGUCCAACUGCAAGCGAAGAGAAGUUUCUUGGUAAGUCCAGGGUUGAACACAGAGAAUCUAAAGUUCCUAAUUGUCUCAUCAUGCAACUAAAUCAUGCGGUAUAAGCUAUACAAUAAUGUUAUGCACAAUAUACUUCUAUCCUAAUUAUUUACAAUAAGGUGCUUGUCGAUGCAAGGUGAGCAUGGCGAGAAAAUAGAAGUGGAAAAAGAACACAUUUUUAGGCAUGACGAGGAAGGUAGUCUAAUUAUCUAAUAGCAAUGAUUUGUGGUUCAAUAAUUCAAGGCGAUACAAAGCAUAUAUUAACUUCGAAUUAGGACGAGCGACGACAAGAUUAAGUUGGACAACCUCUCGCUGCUUUCGCCACACACAUUAGCAUAUCUAUAAUGUAUGCAAAGGACAAAAUUGGCGACAAGAUUGUAUCGCUACAAUCUUCUCGUCACUUGGUUAGCUAAAUGUGUGUUUUCACUUGUCAGGUUCUUACAUCAAUGUCAUUGUUCUUCUCUCGAAUUUACAAUGCUUUGAUAUUCACGUUUAACUCAACAACACCCAUAACGCAAACACUAUGAUUCUCUAGUUAUAAAAAACACACAUCUUUGCUCAUAAGCUAACCAAACAUAUUGAACAUGAAAAGUAAAAGAAAGAUAGGAGAAUGAAAGAAGAAAUGCAUUGCUUUCAUAAAUAUAACUUUAGGCCUUUCGGCUAUGAUGUAUAUUUUACAAAAACAAUACAAGAGAAAUAUAAAAUGGAAUACAAUUGAAGGUAUUACUUAGUUAAAAAGGAAAAAAGUAAAAGUAAAAAGGAAAAUGAAUUAAUUAGGGGUGUUAAAAAAAUCGGUAACCCAACUAACUCAGAUUAUCCAACACAAACGGUAAAGGUUGGGUUGAGUUAUAACUUAGAAAAUUGGAGAAAAAAUUGAGUCAGGUAGUCGAAUUGUGCAAGUAAGGGAUCGGGUUGAUUCGACCCAACUCGAUUUUGUAUAUAAUAUAUAUAAACCUAAAACCUAAAAGUAAGUUUCCUUUUGAAUGGAUAAUGUAGACUUAAAGUUUGAAUGUAUAACAUAUGUCACCUUCAUCUUAAAUGACAUUUUGUUCACCUUGCAUAUUGAAAAACAAUAUGAGACUUUGUUUAAAUUAUGGAAAGAUGUGAAAAAAAUCAACUUGCCAACUAAACCUGACCUAACUCGGAUUUUUUGGUUUAGGUUAGGUUGGGUGAAUCAUUGCAUAUUGAACCAAUAAGGUUCAUUUUUUGUCAACCCGAAUACUUUGUGUUGGUCAUUAAUUUUUCUCCAACCUCACCUAAUCUGACUUAUGUACACCCCUAGAAUUUCUAAUAAUAAUAAAAUUUAUUAUUAUUAUUGUUGGUGUUAUUAUUAUUUAUUUAUAGGUGUCUUGAUCACCGUACUAAUCAAUUUUCUCAUCGUCCUUAACAAAGAAUCCUAGCCGCUGAAAGCUUUCUUCUUUGUUGACCGUCCACUGCGCCGUUUGCCAUAUCAAGCGAAUGUAUGCUAACUCCUUCUCUCCAAGUCAAAGCCUAUGCGUUGCGUGUGUUUCCUCUUCGGGAGUUACCCAGUCAAGAUGAAAGUUGACCUCUUCGUUCCUAGCUUAGCCAAGUUGCACGCCAAUUUCUGUCUUGCCCUCCGUCUAAGGAGACCUUUCCGUCUCUAAGUUGAGAGUCGUGUGCCACCUUUUGUCCAAGCCAUUUUCCCUUUCCCAACCGAGUCAUGUUGCCACACUCCACUUCAAAGUUACUUCCAGUGACUAAGUGGAGGCAUUCUGCCUAGACCUUUAUUGUGUUCUUCCUGCAAGGUAACAAAUUAAACACCUAGUAAGUGGAACAUCCUACUUAACUUGCCCUUUCGCGAAGUCUUUGCCUUGGACUUAAACUUUCUUAACUCAGCGAAAAAGUUACAAAUUAAGACUUUGCUCCAUCGCCUAGUACUAUUUACAUAAUACAAACCAAUUUUAGCUUUUAAGCGAUAAACUCAAAUAGUAAUAACAAUGUGGCCGAAUAACAUAAGUACUUCUUCUCUUUAUUAACUUAACACUUUUUACAAUUUUGGGCAUUACAAUUGCAACUCUUGAACUCUCUUGACACUCUUGAACUCUCUUGACACUGAUACUUGACUACCACUUACCUAGUACCUAUGUCCUUCCUCACCUACCGUCUGGUAUUACUUCUUGAGAUGGUUACUUAAAUGUGUGAGGCAUGCUUUCCUUUGGCUCAACUCUUCGAUUCUUUUGGUCUCUAAGGGGCCGUUUGGGGGAAGGAAAGGAAUAAGGAGGAAAAUGAAUAAGAAAAAAGGAGGAUUAAGUGGAGGAAAGGAUUAUUAUAAUCUUUGUUUGGGGGAAGAAUUAAGUGAAAGGAAUAUGGACGAUUAUUUAUAAUCUUUGUUUGGGGGAAUGAUUAAGUGAAAGGAUUAUGAGAAAUUAUUAUAAUUCUUGUUUGGGAGAAGAAUUAUUUGGGGGAAGGAUUAUGACAAAAAAAAUUGUAUUUUUUUUCAUUUAUGUAAUUCUUUUUUUAUUUGUACGUUAACCCCAUAUGAGAAAAGAUACAUUUUUUUUUUCUGGAAAUGAAAUUAUUGCUCUUUUUUUUUUCGCGAAGCUAAUACAAAAUGAAAAAUGUGACAAUAUUUUUUGCAUUUGUGUAAAUUGUUCGUACCACAAAACCUUUGCAACCAAAAGUUGUAUUCAAAUUCAUUUUUUAGUUAGGUUGUACCAUAAUCCAACCAUUCACAAAAAAUUUGUAUUGAUUUUCUUUCGUUGAUUUUGUAUAAAUAUUUUUUUUACUUGUAACUUACACCUAAUAUAUUUUCAAAAGUAGAGUAUUUUUUUAAUAAUUUGUAUAGCAGUUUUUUCUUUCUUUUUUAACAUUAAAUCAAGUGCACAAAAUAAAGUGUAUUAAUUUUUUUUUUGUGUAAAAUAUGUUUAUGAAAUUUAUACGGUAAAUUCAAUUCACACCUAAAUUGUAUUAUUUAAUUUUUCAUUGGUGGUCAAUUUGUAGUUCAAUUUGAUAUGUAAAUCCAAUACAUUAAAAAAAUAUGUUAUUUUUUUUAAUUUAUGGCAAAUAUUUGUUUUUCUACUGCAGCCCCAUAUGAAAUAAAUUGAAUCACAUUUUUCUUUCAAUGUGUAAGAAAUGCUUAUGGAAUGUUUUCUAUAAACCAAAUACAAACAAAAAUUGUAUUAUUUUUUUUUUUGCGUUUGUCUAAACUUAUUUAUUUUGUUCGUACUGUUUUCUAAAACGACGAAAAAUUGUAUUAAAAUAAUGUUUAUAUUGUAACCCCAACACACAAAAAAUAUGCAUGAAUUUUUAAAUUUAUUUUGUAUAAAAAAAUUUGGAUCGUACACACAAUACAUAAUACAAACAAAUUGUAUUUUUUUUCCAUUUAUGUAAAAUAUGUUUAUUAAAUGGGAUAGUUGCAAAUUUAGCAAUUAAAUUGAAAAUAAUUAAGUAUAUAGCAACAUUUUAAAAAAUUUGCAAAUAUAGCAAAAUUUGUCAAAUUCUAUCAAUGAUAUAAGUCUAUCACCGAUAGACCAUGUUGUAAAUAUUGGUCUAUCACUGAUAGACUAUAAUGAGUCUAUCAGCGAUACAAGUCUAUCAACGAUAGUUUUGCUAUAUUUGUAAAAAAAUUUAAAUGUUGCUAUAUCCUUAAUUAUUAUUAUUCAAAUAGCUAUCCAUUACAAUUACCCUGAUUAAAUUGUAAUGUAAAUAGAAUACAAAAAUAAAUUUUGUAUUUUAAAUUUGAAUCAUCAUCCUGUACAAUAAAAAAUUGUAUUAUGUUGUUUUUUAUUUUUUCUUUCAUUUUUAAUAUUUUUAUUUUGUUUUUAAUAUUUUUUCUUCAUGAGAACGAUAAACAACAUACGAGAAGAUGACUAAUUUGUUUGGCACAAAAAGAAUGAAGAAGAAGAGAUGUGAAUUAAUUUGUUAGUUUGUUUGGGAAAGAGAAGAAAUAAAAGGAUUAAUUUGGAGAGAAGAAUAAAUAAAGGAGGAAAGAGAAGAAGGAGAAGAAAGAGAAGAAGAGAAAGAUUAUAUUGGAAAAUGGAAUGAUUAUAUUGAAAAAUAAAAUGAUUAAGUGGGGAAAGUGGGGUAAUAAAUAAGGAAAGAGAAAGAAUAAGGAGGAUUAAGGGUAUUCUUUCCCCCCCUAAUCCAUGGGCCAAACAAGGAAAGGACUAUCCUUUCUUUUCCUUCCUCCAAAUGGCCCCUAAGAUCAUAUUUGACUUCUUAUCAUCCUAUUCUUCCUUGCUUUUCCCAACUAAUGUUGCUCUCUAUAAGGGGGUACCUAGAGGUAUAAGCGUAGCAUCUCCUCCUUUGUCUAGGUUGCUUAACUACCCUUCUUAACACAUGAUAACGUGUAUAAAUACCCAUUAUUAUAGUCCAUUUUAUUGAAAUAAUGAGGCAAAAACACAUAAUAAGAGGAUCAAAAUGCGUAACUUAUAUUGUAAAUUCAUAAGUAUUUAGAAAUACAUAUUACAUAAGCACCAUGCUUGUUUUACACGAUUACAAUGUUUAAAUGCAUAAUAAGUAGGAAGGAAGAAGCUAGUGAAUCACAAAAGACAUCUUGCACAAAGGCCACGCGAUAGGAACUUGCCUAGCAAAUAACAUUUCCAGGCGAGGAGCCAUAUCAUCAUGUAAGGAGGGCUUACUAGAAGAGAAGAAUGGUAGUUGGAGUUUAUGUGACUUCACAAGGCUACAAUUGACGCUUACACGCUCAGAAGAACAAAAUUGCUCGUCAAAAGUUGCCUAUAAAAGGACUUCACCACCACCACAAGGAGGAAGUCUAAAUGGACCCAAAAGAGGCCUGCAUAGGACCGGUAGAUGCCUGUAGGGGAUAAAAGGCCUAAGAAGGCCAAUCCCUAGAAAGAGAGUGUGUGAUAGAAAGGAAUAGUCUUUCCGUCGUCUGUAACAUUUUCUUAUUCUUAUCCAAUCAGUUGUAAAAGCAAAAGCUCAACAUUUGAGUAGGAAAGAAUCCACACUCCCGCUGCCCCCUAACUUGUAAUACUUUUCCACUCUUCUUUCUCUUCGUUUUUCCACUUCUUUGUAAUAUAUGUUCAUAUUUUACAAUAGCCAAAUGCCUAUAUUCUUUAUAUAUAUAUUAUAUGUUCAUACCUUUUGAAUCCAUCAUUUCUCGACUUUUCACUUGUCAAUAUGUUAUUACUAGUAGUUAGAUUUGUGAUAAGUUCUUGAUAAAGAGUCUAGUUUAUAAGUCUUAUCACAUUAAUUGAGCUAUAUUCAUCACUUGGCCAGUGUGAAUUGCCAACUAUCCGAGAGGACAAGUAGCAAGGAUAAAAUGAGAUGUUUAAUAACUUUGAUGAUGAUCUUGAUCAAGUUUUAUUGAUAGAGCCACUAAGGAUGUUGCUUUUACGGUUUCACAUUUUCUUGGUGAUUAUAUUUUCUCUAUCUAUAUAUAGUUAUAUGUUUCUAUAACUUGGUCUUUAUGCCCAUACUCUUUUUCCCAUACUUAGGGUUUGCAUAUGGUUCCUUUCUGGUUGAAAUAACUGUUUUAUUCUUUUUAUAAUAGUUCCUAAUUUUUCAAUUAUUGAAACUUAGCAAGUCAACUAAAAUUAAUGUUUACCAUAUAGUUGUGCUUGUUGUUCAUUUUAAUUGUUUGAAAAUUAUUGACGUUGCAUCAAUGUAGACUACUCGGAUUGCAAUAUUAUUGAUAAUCAUUGACUGGAGGUUUAGUUAAUGGGCUUAAGAAGUAACCUAAGAUUUGGAUAUAAUUUUCAUGAAGAGUAACUAACAGUGUCAAAAGUUGGGUUUAUACAGCCCAUCACAAGAACUUGCUUAUGUUUGAGCUUUGAAUCAGAAUCAGGUCGCGCCAAGAUUGAGUGAAGAUCUUCAUCUUCUGUGCAUUGAGGAUGAAGCUUUCAUGGUGAGUAACAUUGUGUUUCUUGUAGAAUUCUUCCCUUGUUAGCUCUCCAUAGGGGCUGUUCUCGUUAGCCCGGUUUAAUGGGUGCGACAUUUUCAGGUACCAAAAGAACAAAUUCUAUUACACAAAACAGAGAGAUUGAUGAAGAAGACAAAGUGGAGAAUUGGAGAGGCAUGUACUUCUGAAUUUCGAAUUGGCUUUUAUUUUGGUAUUUGAAGAGGAAUGAUUGUGAAUUGGGCAUCUGUGAAUCAUUUGGAAAAUGUCAGUUGCAACUGCAACCUUGUCUUAAGCUGUUAUGAACUUUGAUUCUUUGUAACAACCCAAGGACAGUAUUGUAGAUUUAAAUUGUUCAUGAUGUUGAAUUAAAAGCUAGAAGAUUGGAUCUUAAAAAAUUUGAGGUUCUGGAAUGAAGUUUGGUUAUAGAAGUGUUAAAAUGGAAUUGUGAUUGGACAUUCUAUAUAUAUAUAGCUUUAAAUCCUAAGUUUCCUUGUUGUAAUUGAAUUUUAAUAUGCAUAAGAGAACACUUCUUUAGAUAUUUAAUUUUCUUUAGAUCCUUUGGUGGUUUGUUUGAGAACAUACUGACCUUGUUUGGCCGCUGCAAUUCAUGUAAAUGGUAGGACUUUUCUGCAAUCAUGGACCAUUGUAUUUUGUUGAUGCAAAAACAAAAUUCUCUAAGAUCGGUCCGGCUUGUCAUAUUGCAAAAAUUCAUAGUGAGGUUUUUUUGUUUGCUUUAAAGUUCUUAUCUCUCUUCUUAUCAUGUUAAACAACGAAAAAUCUAUAAUCAGGCUUCUGUGAAGAAAAUGCAAAGGUUUUAAUUAAUAUCUCUCUAAUUUGCUUUCCAUCACUCUCUUCUUGCAUUUGAAUUUUGGAUUAGGUUCAUGUGAGUUUUUGCAUCCUUUUAAGUUUCAAUGAACAAGUUCAUUAAUGUGGGGGAUGUAUUCGUACUAGUGUGCUUAUGAUGUUUUUCUCUUUGGUUUUUAUUUGGUCGUUGUUGAGUUUUGAAGAAUAAAAGGGUUUCUUGGGAGGAAAGCUAAGGUGCCUAUGGCCUUUUGAGUUCUUUCUAAAGCUUAUUUCACUUCUUUAGUUUAAUUCCUGUUGGGUAAUUUGCUUGUUUUUGUAUCUAAUUUUUAGUUAUCGUUUUGGGCUUCCUUGUUUCUAGUUACUGCUACCAAUAGUUGUCCUUAGAUUGUAAAUUUAAUUAUAAAAAAGAACUUUUUUCUCUCUUUUUUAUUGUUGAGGUUGCAUUUGCUAUUUUGGAGAUUUAGUUUCACAUGUGAAGUUUUAUAUUUUUAGGCUAACUUAUGAAUCAGUGGGAUGGUUACAUAAGUUCCACCAUGAAAUUGUUACUUUUUAUAAAUGAUUUGAACACUUGAAUGAGCUAUACAUAUGUAUAUUUUUCUUAUGGGAUUUAAGUUCAAAUCAUACUCUCAAUCAAGUAUUCUUGAUGUUUUUGUUGUCUUAGGUGUAUUCGACGUCUUAGCAUAUGCUGAUAAAGAUCUUGUUUCAGGUGUAUUUGAUGUCUUAGAUGUAUUCAAUUUGAACGCUCGUGGAUUGUUAAUAAUCUUGAAUAAUCCUCUAACACUUUGGAUCUUUCCGGUAAGAUAAAAAAUGUUUUUAGUCUAAAGUCAUGUUUAGAAGUAAUUUUUUUUUUUCAAAUAUACCCCUUAGUAAACUGAAUUGUUAUUUGAGUCUCUAAUAUUAAGGGAUUGUAAGUUGUUAAUAAGAUUCUUAGAAUAAAAUAUGGAUAUGAGAGUUGUGGUCUGAAAACUGCUAUUAUAUUAAUAUAGAAUAUAUCCUUUAUAUUUCGCUUUAGUCAAGGUCAAAUUUUGUUCGAUUAGAAUAAUGUAAAUUUGUGAAGGACAAUAACAUGCUUUGUUUAAUUGUGCUCAAAUAUUGUUAGUAAAGCAGUUGCUUUGCUGCUGUUAGGUUGAGUUAUUGGUCAAUAGAUAUAUACUAGGAUGUUUGUUAGAUGCUUAAUUUUCAAUAUGAUAAUCUUAUUAUUAUGAUUAAGAGUUGAAUUGGGAGAAUUAAGGGCUAGAGGGGAUUAAGGUGGAGGGGUGGAGGGAUUUAGGUGCACAAACUAAGUUUUUAUUUACUUGUGAAUUGAUUUGCUUUGGAAAUGUUUUUUAGUUAUACUCUAAAAUGAGAUUUGUUUUCUUAUUAGGUUUGGAAGAAUACAUUGGAGUAGUGAAGCCAACUUGGAGCAAUUGAUUUAUAUAAGACUUUUUGUAUGGCUGGUAACAAAACCUUGAUUCUAAUAUACUUAUUUUAAGCUUGUUGGUAGCUAAAGAUAUCAAUAUUUAUUCUUUUUUUUUUUUUUUUUAUGUAAGCUACCUUUUAACAAAAAAUGGCUAUUAGUCAAUGGGUGUACGAAUAUUACAGAGUGUAUUAUUACGUAUAUGUAUUAAAGUGUUUACUCUUUGUUUUCAUAUGAGUGUGAUAUAUUAGAACAUUAUUGUUAUUGAAUUGGUUAGUGUAAUGGCAAAGCGGCAAGAAGAACAGGAUCACAAUCAUAGUAUCGUCUGUCGCAUUAUCAUGUGCUUAUACGUAGAUCACAUGUUAAUCUUUGGAUCAAACUUGCAUGUCAUAAAUGAUAUAAAAUCUAUGUUGAGUGCAAAAUUUGACAUUACAGACUUAGGAGAAGCUGAUGUAAUCCUAGGUAUCAAGAUUACAAGAACUGAAAAUGGAAUUUCCUUUGAUAAAUCUCUUUACAUAGAAAAGAUUCUUAAGAAGUAUAAUUAAUUUGAUAGUAAACCAGCUUGUACACCUUAUGACUCUAGUAUUAAAUUAUUCAAAAACAUUGGUCACAGUGUUAACCAAUUCGUGUAUGCUAGUAUUAUAGGUAGUCUAAGGUAUGCUGUUGAUUGCACUAGACCAGACAUGACUUAUGCUAUAGGAUUACUAUGUAGGUUUACUAACAGACGUAGUCUAGAAAACUGGAAUACUAUAGAACGGGUAAUGAGAUAUCUCAAGAAGACACAAAAUCUAGGAUUACAUUAUAAAAAGUUUCCCGCUUUACUUGAAGGUUAUAGGGAUGUUGAUUGGAGUUCCCUCUCAAAUGACUCAAAGGCUACAAAUGACUAUAUUUUUAAUGUAGCAGGAGGAAUUGUUGUUUGGAAAUCCAAGAAACAAACAAUUUUAGCCUAGGGAACGUUGGAGUCAGAGAUGAUAGCAUUAGCUACUGCUAGUGAAUUGGCUUCGAAACUUGCUACCAGAUAUUCCCACUUGGGAAAGACUAGUAUCAGACAUACUAAUCCAUUGUGAUAGUAUUGUAGUUGUCGCAGAAGUUUAGAAUCAUUAUUAUAACGGUAAGAGAUGACAAAUACGUCGUAAACAUAGUACCAUUAGAGAAUUUCUCACUACUGGUGUAGUGAUAGUGGAUUAUGUACGGUCUGAUGACAACUUGGUUGAUCCUUUGAUGAAAGAACUAGCCGGAGAGAAGGUUUUUAAAACCUCAGAAAGAAUGUGACUCAAGCCUAUUGAAAAAUGAAUUACUUUGAGGUAAACCCAACUUCUAAGACUGAAGAUUCCAAGAAACAAGUUCAAUGGAUAAUAAUUGAUCACAAGCAAUAUAACGAGAAUCAUGCUAAAUAAGGAGUUCCAUUCUUAUGAUUUAGUGUAGCAUGAUAUCCUAAAGCAUACGAGGAGGCUGAACUUUGUUCUUAAUAAAAUCUAUACUUGAUAUCAAGUAGGGUACCUAGCUACAUGAGUACUUUUGAUAGAUUCACCUUUGUGAAUGUGGAAGUGAGAGUCGCUUCCUAUGAAAUUCUGGGCAGAUGCAUAGAGCAUUCACUAAACUAGGAUAUACGUGCAAGGCCAUAAAGUAAGGGCUAGUUUAGAACUUCACUUAAAUAAUAUUGUGUGUACAAUAGCAUUAGAAGUAAAGUUCAAAACUACAAGUUAGUUAAAUCAUAUUUUAUUCAAAUUUUAUUUGAAUGAAUAUCUCUAAUAUCUUAUAGAUUUACAUUAAUAUAAUUAAUCAAAUCAUAUUUAAUCAAUAUUUCAUUCAAAUCUUAUUUGAAUGAAUAUCUAUCUAAUAUCUUAUAAAUUUAUAUUAAUAUAGUUGAUUAAAUUAUAUUUAAUUAAUAUUUCAUUAAUAAAAAUCUCUCCAAUAGAUUUAAUUAAAUAAAACUAAAUUAUUAAUUAAUUCUCUAAUUAAUUAAUAGCUAAAUUAAGUAUUAGCAUCUUAUAUUUAACCUAAAUUAAAUUUGAAUCAAAUUUAUAUAGAAGUUCCUUUCUUAACCAAUAAUUUUAAUAUGAAUCCAAUUCACGUUAACAUAAUAUUUGAAUUCAUUCAAAUAUUUUAUCUUUCAUAAAUUAAUUUUGAAUCAUAUCAAACAAAAACAAAACAAAGCUAUUUUUACGGGUUUGUUAUAUUUUUAAUAUUCACAUUUCUUUAUUUGAGUUUCUAACUGAUUUGUUUUUUAAGAAAACUCUCUUAUUCAUUAAUGAAAGUUGUAUUAUUAAACCAUUAUAGUUUAGUUUUCUUUUUAAUUUUUACAUAACACAUGCAACGAAAGUAGAGUAACAAACUAGUUUAAGAUUUAAAUCCUAUUUUGAUCGGUUUAAGUCUUCUUAGUUAAUUAAUCAAUUAUUUUCAUUCAAAAACUCAAAGUUAUGGGUAAAGGUAAAUUUAAGAUUUAAAUCCUAUUUUGAUCGCUACACUUGUAUCCUCGUUAUAUUUUCAUCAUUUAACUUUUAAAAACGUCUAUUUUUGUUUCUACAUUUCUUAAAAGAGCUACCUUUACUUUCAUCUUCGUCAUUAAGAUUUCGUAACUCUUUAAUGGAAUGAUAAUGUGAUUUUCAAUAUUUGGAUGAUUAGAUUUUAGAUUUAUCAUAUUAACUAAAUUGAUAAAUAGCCAAAAAAUCUUGCUAAUUUAUUCUAUGAAUCUUUUACAACGCACAAAAAUAUAUUCAACACACACUUGAAUCAAAUAAACCAAAAUUAAGUUUGCUCUUUUUUUUUUUCUCCAAAACUCAUCUCUCUCGCGUCCCUUCCCUAGCUCACACAUCAUUUAUUUUUAUUUUCUUAAAAUUGGAAUUUUUAAGAUGAUAAGAACAUUAAGUUGAAAAAAAGAAAAGAAAUCACAUAGUGGUGUUAACAUCCAUAACAAAGUGAAAUAACCCUAAAAGAAGAGAAAAGAAGCAUCAUACCAAAUUAAGCAAACAUAAAAUGAUGUAUUAGGGUUUUAAUAAUCUAUUGGAAUUUGAUUGGACUCUCCAAGAUCGACUCCUUACCUCUAGAAUUUUAAAAACUGUGACUCUGAAUAUUUUAAAAUUCCAUCGUCGACAAUUUUAAUAAAAUAAUAUGCUUGAUAAAAAUUAUUAAAAAUUGAAAUCAUUUUUUGAAUUGAUUCUUACCAGAGUUGACUUUAGAAAUAAAGUAUAAACAUGACCCACAACAACGUUAGAUUCUUUCAAUUGAUUUGGAGGUUUGAUACUUUCAUUAUAUUGGCAUCAUUCUAAUAUAACACAUGUAAAUUAUGAUAGUAAACACACACUAUUUCCAAAAAAAAUAAAAAACAACCCAACCAAACCUGACUUGACCCGACUUGAAUGCAGAUCUAUUGGGUUGAGCACUGGAAGCCUAGAAAUCGUACAGUUCAGGUGAAGUUAGUUUUGAAGGAAAAGCGAAGAGAUAAGAGCCCUACGCAUCAUAAUAAAAUUAAUCAUAACUAAUAAACUCAAUUUAGUUGGAAAUUUAAAAAUACUGAUUAUAGAAAAAUCAAACAAAAACUAAAUCUCUAUGGCUAAGAGAGAGAAGAGAAAAAGACACUUAGGCUCAUUGAAGUCUCUGUAUCUGCCAAUCACCAAUUUUCAACACUACUGCUUUGAAAUCAUACUAUGCUCUCAUAAUGAGAUUUUGGGUUUGUGGUUCAACACUACCGCUUUGAAACCAUACUAUGCUUUCGUAAUGAGAUUUUGGGAACCAUUCUGUCAUAUACUUUAAUUUAGUUAAAAGUAAAUGAAUAUUAAAAUAAUUAAUUAAUUUAAAUUAAAUCAUAUUUCAUUUACAUCGUACUUAAACGAAUAUCUCUCACAUCACCUAUAGUUUGAAUGUGUAUCAUAUAUAUAUAUUAAUUUAAACCUAUAGUUUUAAUAUGAAUCCAAUUUACAUUAAACUAAUAUUUCAACUCAUUCAAAUAUUUUAUUCUCUCAUAAAUUAAUUUUGAAUCAUAUCAAAAAUUAAAUUUAUAUAAUAAAGUUUAAUUAAAAUAUAAAGUUUAUAUUACAAUGUAUCACCAUGCAAUAUAUUAAUUUUCAAAGUAAAUUUGGACAUUUCAAAUUACAAUCAAUAUUUAUAAACUUCAUUUCCCUUUAUGAGCUAGGAAGGAAACCUUGUGGAUCUAUAGAUCAGAAGCUACAAUGAUAUGAGAUUAAUAGGCUAAACUCAUUAACCACAUUAGUCAAUAUUUGUUAAUUGUGUGUACACUUCAUUAAAAACUCACAUCUGAAUUCUUCUCACUGUAGAUAUAUUUAUCUGCCCACGAAUAUAGAUCAAUAAUACUAAGUUAGUUCUUCACAAGUGUUUGUAACACAAGUUAGGUCAAAUUACCGUUUUACAGUUGGAUUACUUCUAGUCCUUAAAUACCAGUGCUUCUCUAAUAAACAAUCUAUUUAUGGUCCAACCAAUAAGCAAAAAUCUCUCUCGUGCCAUGGAGAGGGUAGAGCGAUUUGUUCAUGUCCUCUAGACACGAUUUAAGAAAACACUAAUCUACUUACCCUAAAUUCGGAAAGGAGUGAAUUCCAUCUUGUGUGAUUAUGUUCCCACAUUCCCACUCAAUCUUAUCCUCAAAAUAAAAAGCAUAUUGAAUCGGUAAUCUGACCAUUAUCACUCAUACAAAUCAAAGAACAAUCUCUCGCGAACAGGAGUUCAUAAUACACUCAGGAUUAAGACAGAGUUACAUAGGUCAUUCAAAUGAAAUAGAAACCUACUAAUUAACAGAGUUACAUCUAGUGGUUACUAUUUUGUGGUCCUGCCUUAAGCAAAUUCAUUACAUUGUACCAUCACUCGCAUGUCACUUACAUGAACGCAUUCGAUCAUUGCAUUUGUAUUAAAUACAAAGUGAGUCGUAUCUAUAAUGUUACCAGGAUAAGGUUCCCAAAACCUUAUCCCUAUACUAUAGACCCUUUAAGUUAUAUCUCGAACAUUGAUCCCUGUAUGUCUCUAUAUACUGUUUAAGACUCAUCAAACAGCUUAGGAUGUUAGUUUAUUGGAUUUUGGUUAUUAGGACAAAACUAAUCAAAUAAUCAAUAACACUUUAUUGAAAUUAUUAUAAUAACACUUGAUUAAUAACGAUCAGUGGAUUACAUUUACUAUCUAUGAGUUGUAGAACAUAAAACCCAACAAAAGCGACUCAACCCAACCCAAUUAUACCUGUAGUUUUUUCUUGAAGAUUCAAUUGGCUAAAUUUUUGGAGAAGUAAUAUGUGCAUUUUAUUCUCAUCAAGGUUGAAUUGGUUUCAACCUCAACUUUGGGUAAGUUAAUUUGGAUGAAAUUUAGGACAAUAGUCAAUUGUUAAUUUUAUUAAAUGGGGUUACUCGCAUGACUAGCUUGCACGAUUAUGGGUGUAACUUCAAAUCACAGACACAUUAGGAGUAUGUACCUACAGAUCACUCAUAUAACUUGGGGUGUUCCUACAUGAUCACUUGCACGAUUAAGGAUGUUCCUACGGUACCACUCGCUCAGGUGUGCUCUAUUGGACACAUGACAUUUUAUUACCUUAUGGUAUCUCCUAACGGGAAGUUAACAGAUCAUCUAGCGUAACUAGUUGUGGGUCUUUUAUUGGGUAUAUUUUUAUGUACCCACAAUUUUUCUAUGUUUAAUAUUUUCGGCAAAUUGCUACAAGAUUUGGAAAGCGGACCGUGGCAUGCCAUAUGAGGACUUAUUCUUCUUCUGCCUUUCUUCAUUAGUACUUUUUGAGUAAUUUGAUUUUGAGACAUCUUUUUAAAAAAUUUACCUUAUAUAUUUAUCUUUAGUUUCUUUAAAAUUGUUAGAACCACAUAUCAUGUUUUUACAACAAUUUGUCAAUUUUAUGAUUUAUAAACAUAUAUUUGAUAUUACUCUAAUAAGAAUUUAUUUUUCUCAUUUACCUUUUCAGUAAUUACCUCAUUUAGUUUAAGAGGUUGAGUCAUUACAAAAAAAAAUGUAAUGAAAAGCGAAAUAACAAACUAAGUCCUCAUUUGACAUGUCACAGACUCUUCUUGUCGCUGGUCAAGCUUUCCAUUUCCUCUAUCUUUGCUAGAAAUGUUAAUCAUAGAAAAGAGUGAGUGUGAACAUGUACCCAGUAAGGGACCCACUAUUGGUCCCACAAGGUGAUAUAUUAACUUCCCAUUAUAAGGUACUCUGUCAUAAUAUAUCUCAUGAAGCAAAGGAACACACAUGAUCUAGUGAUCCUGGGAACACUUAUUAGUCUCAUGAUCUUAAAGGAGCAUACAAUAGUCUGGGUAAUAUAGUGAUCCCAUCGAACUACAAAUGAAACAUGGAAUGACAAACUAGUGGUCUCGUCGAACGAAUACAACUAAAUUGUCAAAGAUGGUGAUUCUGGGGGACAUUGUAUGUAUAGGUACACGUCCUACUAGCCAAAGUUAACAAACACCAUAGUCUAAAAACAUGUAAUAAUCAUCAUAAAUAUGACAUGAAACAUCAAUCAUAACAGUCUAAUCAUGUAAUCCAUCAAACAUGCAUAAACGUCAAAUAAGAUCAGCCAACAACUACAACUUAAAUAUGCAUUUUAGCUACCAUCAAUGCAUAAUCACAUGCAUGCUCUUAAUUUUACAUUUGAAGGUUCAGUAGUGGAAUCUCUUACCUUAGAUUAGCAAAAGAAUUAUCCUUUCACUGACAGCCAAAUUUUUUUCAAUUAAACAAAUCCUAAAAAUUAGUAAGGGAAAAUUUCAAUAACCUUAAUUGAUAAAAUUACCAAUGACUAGCAUCCAAAAAUUAUUUCAAUUUAUCUAACCAAGUGAUAGAUCGAAACCAAUUCAACCUUUGAUGAAAAAAAACAAAAAUUAGUCCUUCCAAGAUUGCCAAUAAAACCUUUAAAGACAAGAAUUGAACUUUAGUCCAAAAUUAAUUUAUUUAGAACAAAAGUUUAAUAUUUGAUGGAUAUAUUCAAAAUCCAAUCUAAAAACUCAACCAAUACUCACCAAAAGUGGGAUAAAUUGGCUUUGCACUGCUUGGAAUAAUAAUAGGCAGCAAUAGAAAAACUCAACCAAUAGGUAUCAAAGUCUAUUAUAAUAGGCACCAAUUUUAAGAAUAAUAAUUAAGUGUACAACAACAUUUUUUAAAAAUUGUAAAGCAAGGUCUGUCUGUAAUAGACUUUUAUUACUGAUAGAUUCUUAUUGUCUAUAAGUGAUAGACUUCUCAUUUGAUAACCUUAGACAAAUUUUAUUAUAUUUGCAAUUUUUUAAAAAUGUUAUUAUAUAUGAUAAUAUUUUGAAUUUAAUUAUUAUAUUUUCGACUAUAUAUAAAAAAAAAACUUCAUAUUUAUCUAUUAUAUGGUAUUAAAGUUAAUGAAACCUUACCAUUUUAUUUUUAUUUUUAAAAAAUUAAAAUUUUGAAGCAAAUCAUAAUAUCAUUGAGAAAAAUAAAAAAGUAAAAAAAUAAAUUAGAACGAGAAAUAAAACUUAAAACAUAAAUCUAAUAACAACUUCCUAUAAGAAACAAACUUUACGAAAUUGCAAAUAAAUAUUUUCACGGUUAAUGAAAUAUUUAAUUAAUAUUAAUAAAUCUAGAGUUUAGUCAUCCAAACAUAAAAAUCGCAUCACCAUUGUUCGGUUGAAAAGAUGACAAAUUCUAAUGACAAGCACCAAAGUAAGUUAUUUCUAAAAGUUGAGGGACUAAAGCGAAAAUUUUAAAAAGUUUAGAGACUAAAAUAGAAUCCGAUAUAAAGUUGAAACGGUAGUUGUUGAUGGAUGAUGGAUGAAUCUUUGUCAUUGCACAUUACUUUAAACGUUGGAUUAAAGUCUAUGUUUAUCGAAUAUAAAUAUACAAAAUAGUUGAUCAAUAGGUUGCAUAUAUAAGAGGAGGAAAGGCAUUCAGAUUUGUGUGUGGGUGAGUUUUAUCUUUAAACGAAAUCAUGCCUUCUGUUCAAAAAAUUAUGGAGCCAGUAGAAUUGAAGAUAGGUCGCGAGAAAUACUAUCAUUUCUUGAAAGAUAACGUUUAUCAUGCUCCUAAUAUUAUUUCAACCAUUCAAGACGUAGCAAUUCAUGAAGGUGAUUGGGACAAUUGUAGUCAUGACUCCAUAAAAGUAUGGAAUUACACCAUCGGUGAGUAUCAACACCAUCCAUUUCAUACCUCUAUAUACAUUAUGUAUUCCUUUUAAUUUUGUUAACUUUAAUUUUGCAUUAUUAUUGAGUGACUGUAUUACAUUUUUUCUGAAAGUGUCUUUGAAUUGUUUUGUAUAUGUGAUUAUAUUAUUUUGUUAAAAAAGAUGGUAAAGCUGAGGUUAUGAAAGAACAACCCACAUUCGAUGAUGAAAAUCUUCAAAUAAGUUUCACUGUGAUUGAAGGAGAUAUGUUGAAGAAAUAUAGAAGCAUGAAGAUUAGUUAUCAUUCCGUACCAAAGGGUCCUCAACAAUGUGUGCUUUACGUAACUUUAGAAUAUGAAAAAUAUGAUCCUACCACACCUGAUCCAUACAAUUACCUUCAAUUAAUUGCUAAAGCUAUUAAGGAUUUGGAGAACUAUCUUAUUCAUCAUUAGUACAAAUUAAAUGGUUUAGUUAAGUUUAUGGUUUUCUGUAGCAAAAUAAAAACCCUCUCCCAUCCUUCUGUAAAAUAGAUAUAGAUGGAAGAUCUACUGUUAUGUUUGCCUUCUUCUUUUUCUAUUUUUCUACAUGGCCAUUUAUGGUCUUUCAAAAUAUAUAUAUAUACUAAUAAAACAUAUAUUACAAUAUUCAUACCGUUGGUUUAUUUUAUUUUAUUUUUUCAAUUUUAGACGUUAAUUAAUAGCCAUAAUUUUGGAAAUAAUAUAUAUUCCAUAAUUUUCUGUUUAGAAUUUGUAAUUUAUUAUUCCAUCGAAUCUAGAGAAAAUAAUUUGAAUGGGUGGUUUAGACCAAUGAAAGCAAAAUAAAUAAUCUAUUAUUCCUUAAAAUAUUAGGACAAAAGAGAUUGAAAUUUAUGAUAUAGAUGAAUAAUUCUAAAAUUAAUAAGGAUAUAGAGAGUGAGAGAAACAAACAAAAGCUAUGUUACAUUCAUAAACCUUCCACGACAAUUUACCAGCUUUUAAGGUCGAAAUCACACAGGUGGAAAAUAUUUUUCUAUCAUUGCGAAAAAUAAUGUAAUUAUUUCUUUGUUGUUUAAAACAAUCUUUUUCUUAUGACAAUUUAAGGAGCCAUACUGAUUAGAUAGAAAAUCCAUUAUUAUGAUAACAUCAAACUCCUAAAUGUCUAAUGGAAUCAAAUAUCCACUAGUAAUGUUUCACCAUCAAUAUGCACAAUGCAAUCUUGAUACACACUAUUGGCUAUAAAACGGUCACCUACAGGUGUAAUUAUCAACAAUUCCUCAGUCAGACAUUCUAAGUUCUUAUGAACCUCAAUCAUAAAGAUAAUAGAAACAAAAGAAUGUAUAGCGCAAGGAUCCAUUAAGACAUGUGCAGACUUACUAAAUACAGUUAACGUACUAGUCACCACGCUUGGUGCAUUUGUUGUCUCAUAUUGUGUCCUUGCAAAAAUCUUCCCUUCCUGACGAGAUCGACGCCUUGGUCCUUUCUAUUUUACCCCACUAGAGCCUUCACCACUUGUUCUUGUGGAUUUUGGCUACUGACUUGCUAUAUGAGAAGUAGUUUUCUGAAGGGUAUUACCCUAUGGUAUCAAAUGCAGACAAUCUCUAUGAGGAUGACCUGGCUGACCAUAGCAAUAACAUACACUGCUCUUGCCAGAUCCUGAUACCACCCCAUUAGAUCGAAUAACAUGACAACCUACCGUAGGACAUAUAGAAUGACUAGAACUACUCGAUUUUUGAGCUCUUCAACCUGAUCCAAAUUUAAAAAUAAAAGAACCACUGUAUUGAAAAUUUCCUCUACUGGACACACUUGGUACAAAUAUCCCACUUCUUCCAUUCCUUGAUAGGUUUUGAUGAUUACUCGACGUGUUGAACGUACGUACAUUUUUUAAAGCUUCACUUUCAAGCUUCCUUUCAUGUACAUUUAUUUGUACUCUUAUUGCUGCCUCCACUAAUUUGGAGAAAUCAAUCCACUUUGCACAAGGUGUCACAGAAGUACGAAUUUCCUCUCGUAAUCCCUCUUCAACUCGCUUGCAAUCUUUAGCCUCAUCCUCAAUCACACUAGUGGCAUGCUCAUAUAAUUUUUUAUACUUCUUCUCAUAUUCAGCUAUAGUCAUUAGGCCUUGAGUGUGCUUCAAGAACUCACUUCAUUUUGCAUCACGGAAAGAGCUUGGAUAAAAUAUAUCAAAGAAUUUCUUUUUAAACUCAUCCCAACUUAUAUCACCAAUAGCUCAUCGUCUACUUUCUAUCAUGUGCCACCAAUCUUCAGCUCAAUUUUAGAGUAGAAAAACAAUAAGCUCCACUUUUUUGUCCUUCAGACAUCUCAUCGCUCUAAAGCACUUUUAAAGAAAAGUAAGCAACGCUUUAGUAUCCAUGGGAUUUGUUGUCCCUGCAAAAGUGGUUGCACCUAAGGCCUUCAAUCAUUCUAUUUCAUACUUCUUUUAUGGGUCUGAUUAUGCCAAUAUAAUCCUUGAAGCUAAUAUUUGAGCAAGUCUAUCUAGCAACUACUCUUUUACGUUACCCUCAUGAGUUGAUCAACAUUACGAUAGUUCCUUGAAGCUAAUAUAAUCCUUGAAGCUAAUAGUUGAUCAACAUUACGACGACUAGAUUUAGAAUCAGACUCCUCACUCUCGAUAGCUCCUCCUCUACUAGCGUUACUAGCUUUUGUAAUAGGGCACUUUCAAGGUCUACCUCGAGGUAUAAUUCGUAUAAAGGAAUGAUAGAACACACUUAUUUAGUAAAGAGGACCCAUCAACUUACUCAAUCACUACAAAACAUAUGAACUCUCAAAAUGUAUAAUAGCCCCUAAAAUCCUCAAAAUCAUGCUCUGAUACCAAGAUGUCACUCCCCGUUCUAUGUUUUCUCUCUAACCUAGACCGUGACAUGAAAACACUUUCUAAAAAACAAUCUUUUUCAACUUAAACUUCUAUAGAGCAAGUAUUAAGAAAUCCUACAUAAAUUUUUACAACAUCUCCCCUAAAAUUUAGGUUGUUAGCCAAACUUAAAAAUAGAGAGAUUUUCACUUCUAUAUAUAUAUACACGUAAUCUUUAGAUUCAAAAUCACAACAAGUGUGUUUCACCAUACACUCAUGCAAAUUGUUUUAGAGCUUCAAAUAGAGCUUAAAUCCAAACUGGAUAUUACUUACAAAAUAAUUACGAUCUAAAGAGGGAUAUAUCUCUCAAAACACAAGUCCUUAGCGUUACUCUCACUACAUCUAACCACCUCAUGAUGCAACACAAAAGUUAAGUAUGUACAUACAAAAUAAAAAUCUACAAAUGAAGGGGUUCAACCAAUGUUUGGUCCUUGAUUGCUACCUGGGCAGAAAGAAAACAUUGAAAACGUGAGCUUAAAACUUAGUGAGUUGUGAGUUUUUAAAAGUAAGAACUCGUAAAACAUGCUCUAAAAAAUGUGUAAAUGUACAUCGAUAGUAAAAAUAAUAAUUAAAACGCUAUCAUCACAUGAUACUAUAAAUCACAAGUAAAGCCAAAAAACUUAUACUCAAUCCAACCAUAGAAAACGCUUAAAUAUACGACAAAAAGUAGCUUGCACAUGAUUAAUGAAUCAUGCGGCCAAACUAAGCUCACGCAAAUUUAGUACCUGCCACAUUCGCAACCUUCAUCCAGUCUGAACAUGGUAGAAUACUAAAUACAUCGUCGAGAAUAUCUCAUACAUGAUCCAUAUCCAUAAGAAAACACGUGGCCAGACUGAGCUUACGCAUAUUUAGUACCUGCCACAGUGACAACCUCCAUCAAAUCCAACUAUGAUAGAAUACUAAAUACGUAGUUGAGAAAUACUCGCACGUGAUCCAUAUCUAUAUGAAAACACUCGGCCAAACUGAGCUCACACAUACUUAGCACCUACCAUGGUAAUAAACUCGGUAUCCGCUCCUAUGUGCAUAUAGAGCCACCCACCAUGGGUUAAACUAGGCCCGAAGCCAAAAUCACAUCCUACAUCCAUGUCCUCACCUAUACUCAGACUCUUAAAUCUUCGAUCAUGGCCUCUUUCAGCUCCAGAAUCAUCUAACAAACAUAAGUAGGCUACAGAAGUACAUUCACAUAACCUUAAGGAAAUCACCUUCUCGUUCAUCAUAAACAUCAUAGUCAUAUUUUAAAAACCUAGUACAAUCAAAAUUUGAAACAUAUUUUUAUGAAAUCCAAGUCAUACAUAUUCUUAAAAUCAUGAUUAGUAAACACAUCGUUUAAACAAAAAUGAAAACGUAGUCAAUAAAAUUUUUUAAGUAACAGUCGUUUCCAAACAAUAUCAUAAAAUAAAAUAUAUAAUGUAACGUCCCAAAAAUAAGACAAUUUUAAAUUUUGAUUAUCUUGGUUUAAUUUAAUAGUGUUAGAAUUAUUGGAAGUGAUUUGAGAUUUUUUUGUUGAGGAUUAUUUGAUAACUUAAUUUGGUGAAAAUAUGGGUAAUUAUAUAUAUGUGUAUAUAUAAUUAAUUAAGUUGUGGAAGAUUAAGAAUAGUUAUAUUAUUGGGAUAAUAUAAUUAUUAGGAAUAUUAUAUUAUUGAUAUUUGAAAGGAUAAUAAUAAUUUUGGAAGAAAAUAUAUUAUUGAGGAAAAAAAAGAAGAAAACAAUUAUAUUAUAAAAUAUAAUUAUUUUGAAAACAUAUUGUAUUUUGGGAUAAUAUGAUUAAUUAUAAUAUCAUUUUAUUAAUUUGGAGAAAAGAGAAAAUGUAGUUUUGUUAGGAAAUUAAAUGAUUAUUAUUAUUAUUAUUUAAUGUAAUUAAUUAAGGGCAUCUCGUUCAGCGUGCUUCAUCUUCCUCCCCAUUCACCUUCUUCUUCAUUCAAAGAACCCUACCGCUGCCAUCCCAUUUUUCACCGCUGCCAUCCGUGUUUAAGCCGUUCUCUCCAUCCACCUUUUGUUUCGUCAAGCCAAGCACAAUCUCCAGAUUUUUCCUUUCACGUCGUGCAUCCAUAGCUAGAAUGAAGUAAGGUCGAGUUUGGGCCAUGACGUUCCUCUAUCGUUGCACACACCAGUCGCGUUCCUCUUCAUUUAGUGUACUCCAUCCAUAUUUCUCUAUUUUUGACUGACUCAGUUGAAGUCAGAUAGUUACCGCUGCGCACAGUACAUAUUUAGAAGCACGAGCCCAUCCAUCUCCAUUGUGAGCCGAAGUUCCCCACCUCCCAACUGUGUGAAGCUUCCAUUCUCUUUUGAGCAAGUUAAGCUGUCUUCCUCCCUACUCCGAGCCGCACGCGUGGAUAAGCUGAACUUGAGCCAUAGACACUUUUAGGCAAGUCGUGAGUCCUUUCUCUUUUCCUUUAGCCAUUUAAUCCUUUUUUUAGCCAUUUUUGGUAAGUUUUGAAGGGUUUAAGUAUACCAUAACUAUUGGUUUAGAAUAAAAUUAUAUUGAUUGUAAGUUGGAUUAUUUUUGCUUGAACGUUAGGUUGGCCAAGUUUUAAUUUGAGGAUUUGAGUUGUGAAAUUGUUCCCAUUGAAGGUGAUUUUGGUUUUAACCUUAGCUUGGGGUAAACUUGGACACUUAGUAAAUAAUUGGAUGUUUGGUCGACAAAAUUAAUAGUCUUAAUUUUGUUCAUAUUUAAGACUAUGUUAAUUGGGAAUUUACUGUGGACAAGAACUUUAGCUAUCUCCAGGUAAAAGAUUCUACUAUUAGACCCUUGAUAUUAUGUUUCCCCUUAUUUUGCAUUAACUUAGCUAUGAUGAAUGAUGUGACUGUUAGGAAUGAUUGAUAUUGAUAGCUACAUAGACAACCGUUAUGUAUGACUGAGAUAUGUGAUGAUCAUGAUAUGGUAUGAAUGAAAUAUACCAUGGUUGAGAUAUAUUUUGAUUGAAAUAUGAUAUUUUUGCGAUGUUAUAUGUAUAUGCCUGUGUGGUCAACUUUUAUAUGUGAUUCAAUGGGAUCACUUACAACUCGAGAUCCCAGAUGUGUCCCUAUGGGAUCACUGGAUAGCGUGCAUUCAGGAGCACAAUAGUUAUGCGAUACUUUCUUACAGGACUCUAACGGAAAGUUAAUAGACACGUAGUAGGACUAGUAGUGGGUCCCUUACUGAGUAUAAAUUUAUACUCACUCUUUUCUAUGUCUAAUUUUUUAAGUAAGGAUAGAGGUAGAGCCAAACUGACGAAUGACAAGAAGUGACCCUAGUUUGCCAUAGAGGACAAUUUAUGUUUUCUUCCACAUUUAUGUUUUGAGUAUUUGAUUUACAGUAAUGUAUUUUAGAACUCAUGAGUAAUUUAGAUAUUUUCCAUCUAUUUUAAAUAGGGCCUAAACUAAUAUUUAAUUUAUUAUUUUCUUUACAUACUUUACAUUUUUUUAAAAAUGAAUAUUUGAAGCGUUUCCUUUAAAAUUUAGCAUUUUUUUUUUUUAUUUUACAUAAAAAGUCUUUAUUCUCUUUACUGGUAAUGACCUCAACUUAGUAUAAGAAGUUGGGUCGAUACAUAUAACUACAAAGAAAGCUUGAAAAUGAGUCACUCAUUAUUAAUGACUCGAUCAUCCAGGAUUAUACGCUUUUCCCACUUCAAGCUCUCUAACUUGUGCCCAAACACCAAAUUUCAAUCUUUUGAAGGGCUAGAUAAUGGCUCAAACUCCUCUAAAAUUAAAAUGUGAAGCAGUAAAGGUAAAUGGAGAAUGGAUAUGAAUAGUGGCUGAAUUGAUUUCUAUCGAGUUACUGCACACUAGAGUUGAAGGGGCGGGUGUUGGAGAGCGACUUGUGGCUAAUGCGAAUGUAGCAAAAUUGCUAUGCGCGAUUAGGAUGACUCUUGGCUUGAAUGUGAACAACAUAUGCAACACAAGUGGGGCGGCAACAAUGUGAAGACAAUGUUGGCGUCAACGGUCAACUCCGACUUGAGGUGGCGGCGUCAAUGCAAAGAAGAGAGGGAGUGAGGUGCAACGAAGAGAAAUUUCAUGAAGCAGAAGAAGAAGACUUUUUAUUUCCCUUUUUUUUUAUUUUCUAAAUAAAAAUAAAAAUUAAUAAUAUACAGAAAAUAACCAUGUUGUCCCUCACUUUAAACUAAACUUACUUUUGUCCUUGUCUCCCUACCUUUCAAAUACUUAAUAAACUUUCAAGUCUUUUACCAAACUAACAUUGUUCCAUUUUCUUCUAAAAAUAAAUCAACCUUAAAGAAUUGACAAUUGAUUUUAAACUGGUUUUUUCGCAACUUAAAAAACAUUAAUAUAAAUAAAAGAGAAUAGAAUAAAAGCUUACAUGCUUCAACCAGAGCUAGGGUUGACUUACUAUAUUUCAGACUAAUCAGGUUGUGAAAUCUGAUGGGUGAAGAAAACAAGAGAGAGGUUUGAGAGAAAGAGGGAUGGAAUUUGAAGGACAAAAGUUUGGCGAUUUUUUUUAAGUAAAUAAAAGAAAAAAAUGUCAAAAGUUUUUUAAUAUUUGAAAAAAGGCUCCUUUUUAUAGACAAAUUACAUGCAAAAUUUGCAUGUAAUUGAAUCACCAAAACCCAACACCUCAUAAUCUACCAACCAUUAGUUGUGUUGGAUGUUGUUUUGUCAAAUCUUUAAGUUUCGAUGGGAUUUUGCAACUACUUAGGAGGAGCCUGGGUAUAGUAUGCUCAUAAUCAAGGGGAGCCUGAUUUCAUUAAUACACAUGAUUGUAUUGUUUAAUGUAACCUAUGAUUAAGUUACAUGUUAAGAAUCUCAAUAAUAUUCCGGAUUUGAGCAGAAAAGCUCCACAAACGUAGGGAAUUUUUGUUGAAUUAGGUUAACAAAGUGCACUGUGUUCUUCUGUUAUUAAACUACUAGUUAAACAAAUAGUCGUAUACUUGUGGUAUAGCUAAGCGAUAUUUAACAUAUAUUUUUUUUCGAGUUGAAUUAUUUAUUAUUGCAUUUUCUCUUAGUGGGCUUGAUACUUUUUCAAUUGAAACCUCAAAACUUCAACAGCUUUCAAGAGGAACAAUUUUAAUGCGAUACCAUUCCAAAUUUAACAGAUUGCCCUUUGAUAUCUUAUCAUAUUAAAUAGGAGAUGAUUGCUUUAUAUUUAAAUGUGAUUUAAAUGUUAAAAAUAUGAAUACGAAAUCAUAUUCAGAAGCUCGAAAUUGAUGAAAAUUGUCAAAGUUCUAAAAAGUCAAAAUGUUGACAAAGGCGAAACGACGAUGUCCCAGACUCAAUUUUUAUUUUUUGAUCAAAAGUGAUCCUUUGACAGUUUCUUUGUUUUGGCAUGGUCCUAAGCCUUUUAGUUUAGGGAUUCCAACUCCAAGGACUUUUAUUUUUUACAAUUUUUUUUUAUUACAUUCUAAUAACGUUGUAAUUCAACAAACAAUCCUUGUCAUCACCAUGAGCCUUCACUUAGCCCAUUAAGAGUUAGCGAGAUUAUCCAACAAAAUAUUGGAUUUUGUUAGCUUUCACUUAGCCUUCACUCCUAUAGAUCAUGGGCUCCAAUGAUCCGAGAUUAACUGGCUAAACCUUUUAAACCAAGCUAAUCAACAUUCGUUAACUAAUGGGUCAUUCCACUAAAGUCUCAUAGUUGCACUCCACUCACUAUAUAUAUGUUUGUGUCCAUCUGAUAUAAUCAUGAUCAGUAAGUUAAUCCUUCAUAGGUUGUUUGUAACCUCGACUGAGUAAAAAUAUCGUUUUACCCCUGAGACUGCAUCUUGCACUUAAGUCCCACUAAUUCACUAUUGAACAAUUGAUUUAUGGUCCAAGCUUUAAAUCAAAUCUCUCUCAGGCCAAUGAGAGGGUGGGGCUCCUUCUUCAAGAAUUGGAUUUAGUCCUUAAGGAAAUGACCUACCUACUAACCCUAAAGCAGGCAAGAGUGACUUUCAUCUUGCACUCUAUGUCCCCAGCUAUCCACCUAAUCUUACCCCUAAAAUGGAAGGCUUAUUAGGCUAGCAUUAAUGAUUUACCCUCACCUAUGCAGACUUAAGGAUAAUCUUGUAUACUGAACAAUAAUUCAUAUAUAGUUAGGUCAAGAUUAAGAUUAAGUUACCCAGAUCAUCAAUAAUCGAAAGAGUCGGUUUUAAAUAGAAAACGACAUUAUAACAUAAAAGUGACUAUUUCAUGGUUCAUGCUUAUGUAAUCUCUUUAUAUAGGAUGCCCCUACUUUUAUGUAUCUAUCUGAAUGAUUUAGGAUCACAUCGUUUGUACUAACUAUAAAGCGAGUUGCACCCAUAGUGUCUCCAAAAUAAGGUCCCUAACCUUAUUCGUAUAUCAUAAACUAUAUUUAGGUUAUAUAUUCGAACUUGAUCCACGUUUAUGUCUGUACAUAAAUUUCAUGUUUACGCAAAAUAACAUCGGGAUCUUAUUGGAUGUAAGAUUAUAGUGUUCAUUUCACUAAUAAUUUCUCAAUAAUAUCUUUAUUAAAUAGAAUAUGAUUACAAACUACAAGUUUUACGACAUAAAUUCCAACAUGAAUAUUAUCUAAUUGUCAUUUGAUUAGGUUUUGGUUGUCACAUGAUGACCUUAUAUUAUUUUUUCCAUGGUUUGUAGCUUAUGAUAUUCUCAUCUGAUUAAAGCACCAAUCUCUAAGCUUCACCUAUUGACCUCAUAUUUUGAAUAUUAAUCAGAGUGAACAAUUACAAUUCAAUAAAGGUUUAUGUUUAGUCUUGAUAGAAGGAAAAUAUAAACUAAAAAGUGCUUUUAAAUACACCAAAAAUAAACUAAAAUAUAAAAAGGAAAUUACAUAGGAUAGUAUUUUGUGAAUGUGAUAUAGCAAUUAUAGCACAUUGUUUUAGAAUUUUGCAAAUAUGACAAAAUUUUUACUACUUCAUCCUAAAUUUGUUAUUAUUCCUAAACUACUCUUCAAUAACUUAUUUCUCUUUCUCUCUUAAAUGCCCUACUCAUUAUUUGUUUAUGCUCCCAGAUUUUAAGGCCCUAACUAAUUGUUUAUUCUUAUACUAGAAAAAUUAUUUUUUCUUUCUAUCUUAAUAUUAAUUUUAAAAUAUCAACAGUACAAUAAUUACAAUACGAAAUAUAAUAUAAUGGUUGUUGGUUGGAGUAAUUUAACUUCAUUUGUGAUUUUUUUAUACUUUCUUUGAUGUGCAUUUUGUGUUGAACCUAAUUCCAAAUGAUUUUUUAUUUUUAUUUUUUUACAUUAAUUUUUUUUUGUUUUACUUUGUCUCAGUUUCGUAUAUCAGUGUUUUGAUAUUUAUAUUAUAUGUAUUAGUUGGUUAAUAUAGUUACUACAUGAUUUUCGUUUUUUCAAAUUUUAUGUUGUUCAUUCGAGUAUUAUUAAGUAAAUGAAUGAUCUAACUCAGUGUAUCAUGAUCAAGUAUAUCAACAUUAUAUUGUUAAAGCAUAUCAGUAUCAAGUAUAUGAAUCAAGUUUACAAGUGUACAUUAAUAAUAUAUCAAGUGUAUAAGUAGAACUUCAAGCAUAUCAAGUGCAUUUAAUCAAUCAAUUGUAUAAGUGAAUAAUACUAAAUGUAUCUAUAAUGGAUCAGGUAUAUCAAACAUAUAUUACUAAUGUUUCAGGUAUGUAUCAAAACGUAUCGAGUGUAUCAAGAGUUAUUCUUAGAAGUUUUGUUAUUUAAAAUAGUUUUUCUAGAAUAAGACUCUAAAAUACAAAAAUAAAACUAGUUUUGGAAUAUGGAGAAACAAAGAUUCAACAUCGUUUAUAUUAAUUAUACUAACCAUGUGAUAAUAUAACAAAGAAAAAAAGAGAAUAUUAUAACAAACAAUAAAGAGAAAGAAAAAUUAAAUGAUAUUUUAAACUUUACAAAUUUCAAAUGGGAAAAAUAAAAGAAACAUUAGUAAAAGACAUGUGCCAAAAGCCAGUAGUCAAUGAUAGAUUAACAAGGUGAGGAUGCUUCAAAAACUUAAAUAAUAAGAAUAUGAAUAUGAAUAAGAAUAAGAAUAAGGUGAGAAAGCUGGAGAAAGAGAAGAAAAAAAAUGGUAAAAUUAAAAUUUGGAAAAAGUUAAUAUUAGACCUUAACAUUUUGCUAACUUUGCAAAAUUAGAAACCUCAUUGACAACUUUGCAAAAUACAUAAAAUAUUUUACCACACAUUAUACUUUUUCUUUCAAAAACAUUCAUUCAAACAAUACAUGUGCAGGAUUGUUCAAAUGUCAAUCAUACAAAAUGAACAAAUUGUUAAUGAAAUUACAAUUGAUAGUCGAAAUGAUAAAAUACUGAAAAAAGAUUUAAGAAUUUGAUUGAUACAUUAAAAAAAUUAAUUUAAGUUGAUACGUUAAUAUAAGGGUUUUUUUCUAUUAAAAGAAACAAAAUAUUUUGCACUUGUUUCAUGUUUUGGCAAGUAAAUUUAAUCAAUUGGUUGGUUUCAUGUUUUUGCUAUCAUCUUUAUGUGACAUUUAAUUCAAAUUGCCACUAAUUACAAAAUACACAUAAUUAGUGGAUUUUCAAAGCUUUUGCCAAAUAACUUCUGAAAGGGGAGGAAGGGUGAAAAAGACUUAUUUGGUUGUUAUUUUUGCUAUUUUUUGUUCUAUGACAACCCACCAAUAUGAGUUCGAUUGAGUCAAUCAAAAUUUAAUAACUCAGUUUUUACCCAGAACUAAAUUUUGUGUUUCCUUAUCUCUUCACAACUCAUCCUCACUCUCCCUGCUUCCAAUGUGUUCAAUAGCUCCACUCAUCAACUAGUUCACGACUAUUGCUGCCACACUCUAAGAACAAACUGCACAACUGCUUUUCCACGUCCAACUCUGACGACCAACAUCGAGCUCUAUCCACCACCACCACCAAAGACCAAUUUUGAUACAUCUUCAAGCAACCAAAACCAUGUAUGACGAAAAUUUUGGCUCUAGAAACCACCUCCAACGACCAAACCUAAAUAACCAACUCCAACAACCUCUUUCAUGCUUCGAGAACCACCUCUGACUGUAAACUCGAUCAAAAAUUACUUACAUUAGAUCAAUUUUGAUGACCACCUUCAUAUGACCAACUAUAGGUUUCGACAACCCCUUUGAUGACAAACUCUACUAACCAACUCCCAGCCAUCUUCUUGUCACUUCAAACGCUAAUAACCACAUUUCACUACAAACUCUAAUGGACAAUAAUCAACUUUUAAUGACCUAUUCUAGUCUCCACACCAACCACCUCAUAUAACAAACUCGGAUAAAAAUCACAUUUAAUGAUCAACUUUAAUGACAACUACGUCUAACAAUCAAGACUAACAUUCACCUCAGAUAACCAAUUUCGAAGAAAGCCACCUCUAACGGUCAACUUUAAAGACGACCACAUUUUGUAGCCAACUCCAACGAUCACCUCGAACAACUGACUCUAACUAACUCAAGUAAUAAUAUACUAUCGAAAAACUUGGUAGGAGAAAGUGUAUUUAAAUUGCAAUUAUUAGUUUAAAGUAUUUAAUAGUUUUUUUUUAUUAAUUUUGAUAUUGAGAGAUUGUAUAUAGAUAAUCUGAUCAUUCUUAUAAAGGUAACUAAUUGUUUCUUAACAACCCACUUCAUUUUAAUAAGAGGUGUUGUUUCUGUCAACUUGGUAUGAAUGACUGACUUAACUAUUUUAGUGAACACAAUAUUUUUAUGCAUUAAAUUGACUCAUUUUGGCCAUGAUUUUAUAUAUAUAUAUAUAUCCUACCUUUCUUAAAUGUCAAUAAAUCCUAAUGAUGUGCGUAUUUCUUAUGCAUGUAAUACAUACAUUCCACGACUGUUAAAGUACGUUGUAAGAUUAUUAUAGUAAUUUGCCUAUCUAAUUAAUGUCCAAUAUUUAUAUAUAAACAACUGUAAAUUAUAUUUUUAUUUAUCGAAUUCACAUAUCAAUCAAAGUUAAGAUUGAACGAUGAAGCAAACAAUUUAAAGAAAAAAAAAUUUAAAAACAAUUCAAAUUUAUUUUAAAUAUUGAGAUUAGUGAGAAUGAUCCUUCUUUGUCUUUAGUAACGAGUACAUCCAAAGAAUGCCUUGGUGGGGAUUUUUCCAAAGUGAUGCUUAAAAUUUUGUACUUUAGUAGUUAGCCACCUUUUAAUAUAUAUGUCUUAAUUAGUCACGAAUUUAAGCAAGGUUUAAGAAGAUUGUGUGGAUACAAGUUGGGUGAUUAUAAUAACAACCUGUUUCAAAUCUGUAUGCAUAGAUCCAUCUUGGGUUUUGUCUCCCAAGUUUCCCGUCCGACCUUUUUGUUUUAUCUCCUCCACUUUAAUGUCUCCAUACAAAGUUCUAAACUGUUAUCUUUGUUUGAUGAUGGUUAUGCUUAUAUGUGAUUUAAGCCUUAUUCCUAUCAAUAAGCUAAUACUAGAAGAAAUUUGAUCUUUAAUGUUAGUUUAUAACUGAGAUUAAUGGUCUUUACUGUUGGUUGACAACCGACAUCUAUGCUAGCAUUAUUAAAGAUCUUUAAUGUCGUUUCUGCUUUGAUGUCAGUUUAAAAAUAACAUUCAAGGUCUCAUUAAUGUCGGUUUAAAAACGACAUUAAAGGCCUUUAAUAUUGUUUUUAAACUGACAUUUUUUAUGAUGUUAUUGAAGAUCUUUAGUGUCGGUUGACCUUUGAUGUCAUUUUAAAAUCGACAUUAAAGUCUUGUUUUUUUAUCUAUUUUUAUAAAUUAUUUUUUUAAACUGACAUUAAAGUCUUGUUUUUGGAUCUAUUUUUAUUUAUUUGUUGCAUUGUUCAUUUUUCAUAAAUCGACAUUGGAUACGUGUAGGUAAAUAUUUUUUUCUCAUGCCAACAAAUCAAUAAAAUUAAUAUUAUUUUAGAAAGUACAAUAUUUUUCUUUUACAUUUGUAUACACAAAGUGAAAUCUUAAUUAAGAUAUUGUGUUUGUAUAUACAUUCUACAAUAAUACAUGAAACAAGAUCCUAAUACAAGACUAGUUAUAUAAGAGUGAAAAGUACUUAAAUAAGAAAUCCUAAAAGCCUUCAUAGUCUUCAACUUUCAUCCAUCGUUUCCAUCUACACAAUCGCUUAAGGGUAUACUUAUAUUUCUCACCUUUCAUAAGAGUGAAAGAUACUGUACGACCUACCUUUGCUUCAAUGCCAGAUAAUUUAUUUAUUUUUAUGUGUGGAAAGACGCAACUUUUGAACCAAGCCCACGAAUUGACCCAUCAACACUUCCAAAGUUUGUUGGAACAACAGGUGAUAAGGCUCCAGCAGAACUGAUAAGAUUUUCAAAUAGAAAGUCAGUUAAAUUCUAGUAGUACAUCAAACCAAGCUUUAGUUCAUAACUAAAAGAUAGUAGAUCACAGCAAAAAUCAAACCUAACAAAUGAAAAGAUGAUCAAGAACAAAGCAAUCAAGGAACACUAUAGAACUCAAUAGCUUCAAAGGAACACUAUAUAACUCAAUAGCUUCCAAGGAACACUACAUAACUCAAUCAAGACACACUACAAAACUUAUAACUGAUAUGUUCUAUUACUAAUAGAUUCCAAGGGCUAGAUCUAAUUCUUAUCAAUAUAACAUGAUUUUUUUUUUUAAAAUAGUGUGUGAUCUAUGCUCAAGAGUCUAAAAAUUAAACCCACAAUUAUUAUUAGUUUUGAGUACAUUCACGAUAAUUGAACAAUUGUUAACUAAAUCUUCCAAACAAAUAAUGUGGGUUCAGUUAGCCAUUCAAAUUUCAUCAGACUAUAUUAGAAAAAAAAAAUUAUGCUUUAGACUAAGAAAAAUAACUAUUGUAAAAGAACACGAAAAACCUUGAAAAUCCUAUGAGUGCAACAUGCUUGUGGCCAUAUUUCGUAACGUUAUAUAUGCAAAAGAAAUAUAUUUGUAUAUAUAUAAUGAAAAUUUAUGAACCUACACAUGCGCACAUCUAAUGAUAAUUACUUACUCUGCAUUUUUCAUUUUGGCAAAUCCAUCUCCAAGAAUGUUGUAAGUUACCAAGCUCAUUUCUAUGCCUUCUUUCAUUUUUCUAACACAAGAUAGUAUGAAUAAGGCUGCACAUCAUUAAAGCUUACUCUUAUCGCAAGGCGACACUGUUGAAAAAACAUUUAGAUUUAAUUAAUAUAGUAAAUAUACUUUGGCAAUGACAUAUCUACCAUCAGAGUAUAUAUUUCAAGCAUAAAAUACAUAAUUGACCUUCUAUACAAAUAAAUCAAACUUUAAUCAUAUCCAAAACUGGAAUGGUGACCUUUGUAUUGCAUCAAACCUUAUAGAACACAAGCUCGACUAGCAACUUCUCAAUUUGGCUUCGCAUUUUCUGUAUUUGAGCUCCUAAAGGAUCUCAUUUGAUCUAAAAACAAAAAAUAUUAAUAGUAAUGAAGAAAGCAGUCAAUAGUCUCCCUAAUAACUCCUAUAAACACACAAAAAAAAAAAAAACAUUGUUCUCCGUAAAUUCUUUUGUAGACUGACAAUGAAAAAGUUCAAACAAAGUGCCGUGAAAGUCAAGGGAUAUCUCAAAUGACUAUGAGCAAAUUUAUCAACAUAUAAAUAAGAAUAGAAAUUAACCAGAUUUUAAGAACAUCUGUUGCUCAUUCCCCUUGUCUUACAUGACCAGAUCAUAAUGCAAGACUUGAUAAGUAUACCCACUUGCUCUCCACAUAAUGCUUUUGAGAUAUUUCCAACCGCGAGAAGAUUAAAGAGGACAACUAUAAAAAUAAAUUUUGGUAGGAUUUCAUUAUGAUUUUUCAACAACAAUGCAAUAAAGUGAAAAAAGAAACUGAAAUCCUAAGAACCUGAGGACCAUUUAAACAUUAUAUAAUUUUAGAUUCUAGCAUCUACUCUACCUCAUGGAUGAAAGCACAUCAAAACUUAUAUUUUUAGUGCUAUAACAUUUUUUUCAGUUCAACAAAACAUCAAAAUGAAGGUGGGAAAUUCAAUCUUCUAAUUUCUUGUCUGUAUCUUUACUAGGUAAAGUAUACUCAGGUUCGCUAGUAUUAUGAUGUUAAACCAUAAUAUUAAAAUGAUGUAAUUUUUGAAGAAUAAACUUGAAAACGUACCAAGAAGGUUGUUCUCUUCCCAUAAAGUUAAUAUGCAGUAAUGUCCAUGCUAGUGGCACCUCCUGAUACCAAUUCCCUGAAAGACCAAUAAAAUGGUGAAAUUAAGUGAAAAUUUUAAUAUACAAUAAUGCAAAACAAACAAACAAAAUUGUUUAAUAAUAUGCAAGUUUAAAGCUGCCAUGUUAGAAAUGAUAUAUAGCCUCAGGCUUAAACUAGAAAAAUAAAGGGAUUAAAGAAUAUACCAAUCCGCAUUGGUUAAAAUUCUUUUGGAAGUCAACUCCAAAAUAAAGCUACAGAAAUAAUUGGCUUAACAUAAUUUUGGUUCAUGAGGCUAUGGUUUCAAGAUGGAUACUUUAUGUCCAAGCUUGGUAGUUUCUAGUAUUGUCUUUUUAUUUAUAGAGCAGAAAAAGUUGAAUCAACUAAUAGAGAAUGAUCAAUAAACCUACGAAAAAAGCAGCUACUCGAGGAAGAGGAUCCUUUUAAAGGAUUAGGCGUCCACACUCUGAAAUCCUCUCCCAUGUCUAAAACCACCUUCAGCCUUUUAAAACUCUUCAUUUUAUUUAAAUUGUGUACUUAAAAUAUUACAAUAAACCAUACCAUCAUCGAAACAAGUUGGCACCUUUCAUCCCUAUAAACUAUAAUAUAGUAAUCAAACUCUUUAAUAUCCAUUAUCUAAAUAAUCAAGAAUUUAUAAACCGUACAAGCAAUUAAGUCAAAGAUGGUUAUGUUGAUACAACCUCAUCAUCAUUUCCCACCAAAUUUGAAGUGUUAAACCAAGAACUCUCGAGGGAACAAAGAAGGAUCCACAUUUUCUUUAGCAACUAUUUUAAUACAAAAAUAAAAAAGAACCAAUGACAUGAUGAAAGUGUUGUUACUUCCCGUGCCUUGAAAAUCAAUAACUUCAAGUAUUGACUUUUUAUUUUCAUCUAGGUAUUUAACUUCUUUAUACAGAAAAAGAACAAUGUUUUUAUGGCAGGACUAUAGUUGCUAGCCUUUGAUUGGAGUCAUUAACAACCCACUUAUCUCCAUCAUCCCUACCAAAUUAUUGAACGAAUGGACUUCCGAUAGUGGAAGCGUGUGAACGCCGUAAAAAAGAAAUUUAACUUGAAACAUAGAGAAAACACCUAAACAUGCUUCUAUAGAAAAAAAAAAAAAAAAAAAAACUAACCUUUGUAGAACUUUUCAAGAAUUCUCGAACCUCCCAAAGAAUACCACGAGGAGAACAACACGAAGUCUUCCUUAUUAUUCUCAAGAUAAAAAAGACAACAGAGAGUUUGUGGGGCUUCUGUGUUCUUUUUUUUUUCGUUAAAGAGAAAAAUAUUUGCAGAGAGAUUUUUCUUUUUGGAACCAACAGAUCGUCAAAAUCCGUUUCUGGAAAGAUUGCAUGCCUCCCUUCUAUAUCUUAACCAAAAGAUAGGAAGAGAGAUGAAGAGGGAAGUUAUCAACUCCCUCUCUAUCACGUAGAAUAACUCCGUUGGGAGUUAUUCUUUUAUUUAAAUUAAUAUUAAUAUAAAUCUAAUAUAAAUUCAAAUGAUAUUAUAUUUUAUAAUAUAUCAUAUAUAAUAUAACCAAUGAUUUAGAUUUCUCAUGUGAUCUAUAGUUCUAAUAUGAAUCAAAUCCAUAUUAAUUUUUAAUCUAUAGUUUAUUUAUGAAUCUUAUUCAUAUUAUUAUUAUUUGAAUCAUAUUCAAAUAUUAACUUCUCUCGUAAAAAUUUUAUAUUAUAAUGUAUCAAAUACAUUAUAUUAAUUGUAUCAUAUACAAUUUACUCUCUUUAAUCAAUUUGAACGAUUCAAAUUAAACCAAAAUAAAUUUGAUUCUCAUUUAUCUUUAUUGAUCUAACAAGGGGACCUUAUAGACCUAUAGAUUAAAGCUCAAAUGAUGUGAGAUUAAUUAAUUAAACUCUUUAAUUAAAUUAAUCACUAUUCAUUAACUAUCAGUCAUUCCACUAAAGACCAAUAGUUGCACUCUUCUUACUGUAGAUAUAAUUUUGUGUCCAUUAGAUAUAACUAAUCAACAAUGCAAUGACCCUUCACAAAUUGUUCAUAAGUACAGCUAGACCAAAAAUUACCGUUUUGCCCUUGUAGUUACAUCUAACUCCUAAAGUACCACCAAUCCCUCUAAUGAACAAUAGUUAUAGUCUCACUAUAACUGAACUCCUCUCGGGACAAGAGAGGGUGUGAUGCCACAUUGUUCAAGCCUUGGAAUCAACCCUUAAGAGAGCAAUUUCUCUACUUACUCUAUCUAUAGAGAAGGAGUGAGUUCCUUCUUGUGUAAUUGUGUUCCCAACUUCCUAAUCAAACAAAUCGCCAAAAUGGCAGGCCUAUUGAGUCGGCAAUAUAGGUCACUCUCACCCAUGCAAAUCAAAGGACUACCUUCAUAGGCAGGAGUUCACAACUCAUUCAGGAUUCAGGUCAAGUCACCUAUGGUCAUCUUGGUGAAAUGUAGUCUCAACUAGUAACGGUGUUAAUAAGAGAGACUAUUCAUUCAAUGGUCCGAUCUUAUACAAACUCUUUGUAUAGAAUACCCCUGCUCUAAUGUCUUGACAUGCAUGAUUAGGAUCAAAUCAUUUAUAGCACUUUAGAACAAUUGUAACAACUACAAAGCAGACCAUAUUCGUAGUGUCACCAGGAUAAGGCAUCCAGCCUUAUCCAUCUACUACAGACCAUUUAGGUUACCAUUCAAACAUGGUCCACUUGUAUGUCUCCACAUACAUGUUUAGGUUACAAAAGAUAACCUUGGAUGUUAGUUUAUUGGUUUUGUGGGUUAAUGCAAAUAAAUGUCAAAUAAUUAACACAUUUUAUUUUAUUAGAUAAAUAAAAUGUUUGUAUAAUAUAUACAAUUACAAACUACAAGACCACAAGAUUUAGGGCAUCAAUUCCAACAAUUAUACACGUCAAUACAUUAGAGAAACAUUCAUGAUGAAGCUUUCAACCAUUGUGAAUAAGGCAUACUUUUUAAAUAUAUACAUAUGAACCAUUGUAGAUAAGGAAUGUAUUUUCGUUUAAUAUAUAUUCAAAUGCAAAUUUUGUUAAGAGCAACAACCUAAUGAAAAGAACUUCCGAUCAACAGACACUAGCAGAAAAGUGGUCUACGACGACAGUUAUUUACUGUCGUAAACGAAAUUCGCGACAGUUAUUUUCAGUCAUAGAAGCGGGAGUCAUGGAAAGUCCUUCGAUGACAGUUUUUAAAAAUUGUUGCAAUAAGUUAUUUUAUGACAUGAAAUAAAUGUCAUUAAUCAGAAUUCAACGACGUCAAAUAACUGUCAUAUUUUAUUUUAUGACAACAAAUAACUAUCAUUAUUUGUGUAUUAACGACAGUUAAAUAAAUGUCGCGAAUUCAUUUAUUGUGACAUUUUUUAAUUGUCAUGAAUAUGUUAAUCGCGACAGUUUUUUUGUAUAAAAAUGUCAUGGUUUUGCUAUAGACGACUUUUUUUUUUGUCACAUAUAGGACAAUCGUGACAAUUUAUUUUAUUAAACAACUGUCAUCGUUUUCGAAUUGACAACAAUUAAUCAUUUAUUUUCUGUUGCAAAUUUCUCAAUUUACUACAAUUUUUCCUGUUCUCCUUGCCGCUCCACCAUUACACGAACCAUUUAAAUGACAAUAAUGUAGCUGAGAAUGACAAUUUUGAAUUUAUAAUAUUGACACCCAUAUAGAAAAAAGUAGCCAACACUUUAAUAUAUACACGAUAUAAUACAAUUGAUAAUAUUCGUACAUUUCCAAUCAAGUGUCAACAAUUUACAAGUACGAAAUCUCAACCCUUAAUCAAAAAAUAUUUUAAAUAGCAUUAGAAUACAUCUAACAAGAUUUUCUGCAGAAGCAUAAACGACCAACCGAUAAUAUUCUACUAUGAAAAUGUUCUUUGAAAGAAAACUCAUGAAGUUGUCGACUCCGGUUGAACCUACAAAGACAACAUGAAUAUAAGCAUCCAUAACACAUACAUUUGUGAACCAACAUUACCACAACAAAGAAGAAAAUGGAGGACUGCCAUGUAGUAAUGUGAAUGUAAAAUGUUGAAGAGAAUUAUUGGUGACGUAAACGAAUAAAUAUAAGUGAUAUAAGCAUUUAAGAAUACCUCCAUCUCCAUUUUUUAUGAAGUUAAUCUUGCCACAACAACUGCAGCAGCCUCUUGAUCAAACCCUUGCACCAAUUCCUGAAAUCAAUGCCUCAAGUAUUUAGCUUUUUUCCAACAUCGAGAUAGAGAAAGAGAACCAAACAGAGAAAGAGAACUAUGUACAUAAAAGACAUGUCUCUAGAAACAAAAGCUAAUAAGAAACUACUAUUCAACUUACUUUCCAUGGUUUAUAAACUUUAAGAAAGAUUAAAAAAAUAUAACAAGAUAUAUAUACACACCUUAUAUAGGACAUUAUGUAAUGGGACAAUGAAAAAUAAGUUCAAUAAACUUUAAUGUACCCCAAUCUACCAUAAACUUGAGUUCACUCAAAACCUUUAAGAAAAUGGACAAAUAAAAAUAUAAUCAAGCAAACAUAAUCAUUUUGUUAGGUACACGCAAGAUAAACUAUUCCACACCAACAUAUAUAAUCAAUAUACAAAUGAAAUCUUUGAGUUUCACAAGCUAAACUCAAUUUAAACUUUGAACUAACAAGUCCAAACAAUUUUCAUUGUAAUUCAAUAGUUAAAAACGUACCUUGGAGCCCUUCCAACCCUAUCAAAAAAACAUAUAAGUCUAGCACUUUAACAAAUUUCUAGUGCAUAUUAUGCAUCUCAAUUGAUCACAACAAAAUAAGAUUGAACAUAAAUACUCAUAAGUAAUACCUUUUCAAUGUUGCAUUUUCAUAAAAAUUCAACAAGCAUUGUCACUCUCUCGAGGAUUCUUCAAGCCCUAAGUAUGAAAGAAUGUUCAAUGAUUAAAUCGUACUCCAUUUAAGGACGUUAUGAUUAAUAUUGAUGUCAUGUUUAUGAUCUUUAUGAUAUGUUCACAUGCUUUAGAUUGUGGUGUGUCUGUUAACUUUGUCUGUUGAGCUUUCACCCCACCUAUAUUGUAAUCCUAUCUAAGGGGUUACUCACACAACUAGGGGUGUUCCUUUAGGAUCGCUCGCACGAUUAGAGGUGUACCUACGUAUCACAGAUAUAUUUAGGAGUGUGUCCCUACGAUCACUCACACGACUAGGGAUGUUCGUACAAGUCACUCACACGAUUAGGGGGAUUCGUACGGUUUCGUUCAGUGCGUAUAUCUACGAUCACUUUUGACAAUUAGGGGUGUCCCUACGGAAUCACUCACACAAUUAGGGGUGCUCGUAUGAUAUCACUUGCUCAGGUGUGUUCCAUUGGACACAUGACACCAUUAUUAUGUUUCUAAUAGGAAAUUAACAGAUCAUCUAGUGGGUUCCUUACUGGGUAUAUUUAUAUACUCAUUAUUUUCUAUGUUUAAUAUUUCAGGCAAAGGUAUAAGAUAGAAAAGCUGGCGAGCGACAGGGAGGGCCCGUGACAAAGGAACUCAUUAUUUUCAAGUCGUUACACGCUGCCCCAAACUCCACCACAAAGGAACUCCAUCACAAGCUCUGCUACUAUGUGAUGACUCCAAAUCUGACUUUAGAUGCCAAAUCGUAUGUUUUUCUUCUUCCUCAAAUGUUGAAUCUCACAUCUCUAUUUCUCUUCUAAUGUUGGUCUCUUUGGGUUCAUUUGGGAUUUUUACUUUAAUGUGUCUGAAAUUUCGAUUCUACUUGGUAUGUUUUGCUAGCUUGUUGGCGAGGUCCUGAACUCUUUGAGAUGUUUAUGUUAUAGAUUUGUGUUUCUCUAAUUUUAUUUCGAGAUUUUUUGAGUUAAUAUUGCUAAAGUAUGGAUCUAAAUUUGGUCCUACUUGAUAAUGUUUAUUUUUGUUAUGUGUUGAUGGGUUUGCAUCUCUCUCUGGUCACCCUAGGUUUACUCGAAGCUUUUUGCUCAAUUUGUUUGUAAAGUGACAUUGUUUCUCUAUGAUUUUCUGAAAUUUUUUGGAGUUCUUUAUGAAUUAGGACCAACAAAUUUAUUGUUAUUUGAUGUUUAUUUCUUUUUUUAUGGUGGAUUUCUUCAGGCUCUUGAAAAAUAUAUCAUGAUUUAAUUUAUUUCGAGAUAAAAUUUUCAUCUAUUUAGCCACUCUAUGUCCACCUUUACAUUGAGAAUAUAUUAUCAUAUGUUGUUUUCUUUAGUUCAAGGAUAUGAGAUUGAUAGAUGGAAAGUAAAUGAAGCAAUUAAAGAGUUAAUGCAAACAUAUUAAUUAAAGUUAUAGUACUUUCAUUGUUCUAAUGUAGACUUUGUUGGAUAUUGAAAACAUUAUUCCUGUGGUGUCAUGGCCAAAUGAUAGUUUUUUUUAGCCAAAUGAUAAAGUUUAAGUAGGCACUCUUUCAUUUUCUUACGCCCUUUGUAUUCUUUCGUUCUUUCUAUUAAAUCAUUACUCAUUAUUUUUUCUUAGAAUUUAUAUUUAAUAGAUAAAUUAUGGAUGCCCAAAAUUAGGUUAUCCGAAGACUAUAAAUUGAAUGUAGAAAGUUUUCAUCAAUUUUGAAUUUUCUAAUACUUGUUUGAAAAUGUAAAAAUAGUGAAAAUCAAAGUCAAACAAAUAUUAAAUUGAUGAAAGUUAUAAAAUUUUGUUUCGGUAUGGUGAACAAUUACCUAACUCAUGUUUAUGGAGAAUCUUCUAAUUAGUUUGACAUGUACACUCUACAUAUAUGAAGAGAAUGAUGUUGGAAGUAUAAAAGAAACGUUGGAAGUUGGUCAAGAGGACUAAUUUGAUUGUGUCUAAACAUUGUACUAUUGUGUUAAUGUUACAACAUGAGAAAUAUGAAUGUAAUUAAGAUAAUUUUUAUUUUGUUUCUCUCACUAUCUAUGUCUUUGUUAAUUUUAAAAUUAUUCAUCUAUAUCAUAAAUACCAAUUUCCUUUGUCCUAAUAGUUUGUAUUCUUCAUUUUGCUUUCCUGGGUCGAAACCAUCCAUUCAAAUUAUUUUCUCUAGAAUAAUAGUAAAUUACAAAUUCUAAACAGAAAAUCCCAAAAUAUAUUAUUUCCAAAAUUGUGGUUGUUAAAGUCUAAAAUUGAAAGAAAAAAUUAAAAAAAAAAAAAACAAAGGUAUUCACAUUGUUAUAUAUGUUUUAUUAUAUAUAUGUGUGUGAAAGACCAGAAAUGGCCAUGUAGAGAAAUAGAAAAAGAAGAAGGCAAACAUAACAAUGGAGCCCCUCCAUCUAUAUAUACACAUAUUCUACAGAAGGAUGAGAGAGUGGUUUUAUUUUGAUACCAAAAGCCAUAAACUUAACUAAACGAUUUAAUUUGUACUAAUGAUGAAUAAGAUGGUCGCCCGCAUCCUUUAUUAAUUUAGCAAUUAAUUGAAUGUAAUUGUAUGGAUCGGGUGUGGUAGGAUCAUAUUUUUCAUAUUCUAUAGUUAUGUAAACCACACAUUGUUCAGGACCCUUGGGUACGGGAUGAUGAGUGAUCUUGAAGCUUUUAUAUUUCUCUAACACAUCUCCUCCAAUCGCAGUGAAACUUAUUUUAAGCUUUUCAUCAUCGAAUUGCGGUUGUUCUUUCAAAACCUCAGCUUUGCUAUCUUUUUUAACAAAAUAAUAUAAUCACAUAUACAAAACAUAUCAAAGACACUUUCAGAAAAAAUGUAGUAUAUUCACUCAAUAAUAAAGCAAAAUUAAAGUUAACAAAAUUAAAGUGAAUAUAUGAUGUAGAGAGAGGUAUGAGAUGGAUGGUGUUGAUACUCACCGAUGGUGUAAUUCCAUACUUUUAUGGAGUCAUGACUACAACUGUCCCAAUCACCUUCAUCAACUGCUACGUCUUGAAUGAUUGAAGUAACAUUAGGAAAAUGAUAAACAUUGUUUUUGACGAAAUAAUAGUAUUUGUUGGCACUUAUCUUCAUUUCUACUGGCUGCAUAAUUUUCUGAACGCAAGACAUGAUUUCGUUUAAAGAUCACUUACCCACACACAAACCCCAAUGCCUUCCUCCUUUUAUUUAUGCAACCUAUUGAUCAACUGUUUUGAAUAUUUAUAUUGGAUAAUCAUUGACUUUCAUCCAAAGUUAAAAGUAAUUGGCAAUGACAAAGAUUAUUCAUCCAUUCGGUACUGUACACUUCAACCAUAUCUGUUACAUAACCUGAUAUAUAAUUAAAUUUAGGUUUCAAUCCUAUUAGUUUAGUAUUAUAUUCUAUUUUGAUUUAUAAAGUUUUAAAGAUUUUCUAGUUUAGUCUCUUAUAUUCUAUUUUGAUUUCUAAAUUUUUAAAGAUUUUCCUUUUAGUCUUUAAAUUUUAAAAAAGAACUUACCUUGAUCCUUGUCAUUAGAAUUUCACUAAUUAUUUAAUCGAAUGAUGAUGUGACUUUUAUAUUUGGAUGACUAAGCUCUGGAUUCAUCAUAAUAAUUAAAUUCAUUAAUUGUGAGAAUAUUUAUUUGUAAUUUGAUAGAGUUUAUUUUUCUAUAUGAGUUGCUAUUAAAUUUAUUUUUUAGUUGUAUUUCACUUGGUUGUUGAUGUUAAAACCAAUAUGCGAGUUCUAAUUCAUUUUUUUAUAUUUUUUAUUUUACUCAAUCUUCUAAUGAUUUGCCUAAAAAUUUCAAUUUUAAAAUAAUGAAAAUAAAAGUUGUUGGAUGACAACCCUAUAUGAGUUCUAUAAAAAAAAUUGUAAGGUUUGUAGAUACCACAUUAGAUAAAUACAAAGUUACAUCUAAAAAUCAAAUCACUAAAUAUGUAUAGACUGUUUUUAAUUUCGUCUAUAUUUUUUCUAGAGAUAAUUAUAAAUAUAAUAAUUAGGUUCAAAAUAUUAUCAUAUAUAUAGCAAUGUUAUAAAAAAAAUUGUAGAUGUAGCAAAAUUUAUCCAAAUCUAUAAAUGAGAAGUCAAUAGCUUAUAAACUAUAAGAAUCUAUUACAGAUAGAUUUUGCUUUACAAUUUUUUAAAAGUGUUGUUAUAGACUUAAUGAUUAUGUAAUACCCCAAAACUAUUAAGGUAAUUUUAAUUUUGUUAGGUUGAAUUUUGGGUGUUGUUGGAGAAUUUGUGGAAAUUAAGUAUUUUGGAGGAGUAUUUAAUAAAGAUUAAAAGAGAGAUGAAAAGUUUGAUUUGAUGGGUUAGAGUUAACGAGGAGAGAGGAAAUGUUGGAUUCUUAUUGUUAAAGAUAGAAUAAUAAUAAUAUUAUUAAAUAAGACUAUCUCGUAAACCAUGCUUCAAGUUCACUAUUCAUCAUCUUCUUCCUCUCAUCACACAAAACUAACCUUAGAAACCCUAGCCAACGUCAAGGUUUUUCCAGGCGUUGCCUCCGUCCGACAGUCCUCAGGUGAAGCCUCGUCACCGUUUAUCUUCCACCAUCGACCGUCCUCGCAAGAAUCUGGUCUCCGUCCCUGUCAUCGUGAAGCAGCCGAUGCAAGUCUUCCUCGUUCGUCCACACCUCCAUCAGCCGCUCAACGUCGUUGUCUCCUUCACGCAUGACAUUCUCUACGUUGAAGUUCUCUCCAUUUGUUGAUGCAUUGUCGUAGCUCCAGCCCCAACCACCACAUCACCGAAGCCUUCGUCUGCAGUAACCGAGCUUCUUGACUCCAUCCGAGUCAAAUGCGAGCCACGUGCCCCCUCCCUACCAAACGCGAGUCGCACGCCUCCUCCAUCCGUGAGCCAUUUUCGAGCCAAACUCCCUUAAAGUGUGUCGAGCUUUGUUUUCUCCAAGUAACUCACCUUUUAGCCAAUUUUUGGUAAGAUUUGAUUUGGUUAGGUAUACCCAUCAAAUGAUAAUUAUUGGUUUGAGAUAAAUUCACAAUUUGGAUUAAGUUUAUUAUAUUUUUACUUGAAGAUUGACUAAAUUCUUGUGGGAGUGUUUGAGGUGUGAAAUGUUCCAUUCAAAGUUGUGUUUGAUUCAACCUCAGUCUUGGGGUAAGUUUGGGUGCCUAAUUAAACAGUGGGUGAUAGUUGACAAAAUUAUUAAUUUUAAAUUUUGUUCAUGUUUAGGGUUGAGUAUUUUAGAGGAAUAUGAUUAGGCUAUGGUGUUCUAUUAGAUUUACUCGUUUCAAUCGUACCAUAUGGGUGUCCCUUUAGAUCACCACCUAUGUAUGCUUGUGUGGCUAGUUUUGAUAUGUGAUUUGACGGGAUCACUUACAGCCCAACUAUCCUUUAGGAUGAUUCCUUCGGGUUCACCGAGAGUCCAGAUGUGUUCCUACGGGACCACUGGAUAGCGUGCGUUCAAUAUCACAAUAGUAUGCAGUAUAAAUUUAUUACAAGAUUCUAAUGGAAAGUUAAUAGACACAUAGUGGGACUAAUAGUACUGGGUCUCUUACUGAGUAUAAAUUUAUACUCAUUUUUUCAUUGUUUAAUUUUCAAGAAAAGGUAAAGGUAAAAGUAAAUUGACGAAUGACAAGAAGUGACCAUGGUUCACCAUAAGGAACAACUUAAAGUUUUCUUUUGCAUGUUAUGUUUGAGUACUUAAAUUUGAGUAUUUUAUUUUCGUAACUAUGAGCAAUUUCAAAUAUUUCAUUUUAUUUUGAUUAGGGCCCAAAUUAGUGUUUUAUUUAGUAUUUUAUUUAUCUAUUAUAUUCUUUCUUUAUAUACUUUAAUAUUGACUUUAAAUGAAUAAUUGAAACCUUUUCUUUAAAUUUUGUAUUUUCUUUUAUUUUAAAUAAAAAAAUCUAUAUUUAUUUAAGUGUAAUGACCUCAACUAGGUAGAAAAGUUGGGUAUUUACAUAUUAUUUCUAAAAUAGCUGCCUAUUAUAGUUACUCUCUUUUAUUUGUUUAUUUAUUUAAUUUGUAACAAUAUUUCUUAUUCUUAAUAUAUUUCUAUUUAUUUAUUAUAAAAAAAGAAAAAAAUAAACAUAAAAUGUGUUUUUCAAGGUCACAAGAAAAUGCAUCAAAUAUUCUUAACUCAAUAAUCCAACGUGUAGUCUCACCCUGCAAACUUCUUAAUUAAAUCCAACCAACUUAACUCUACACCCAAAUACAAACCAUCAUUACAAACUUAACUUACUCAACUUUUACAUAUAAAUAUAUGUAUGUAUAAAUGCAACAGGUACUGCUUGAUUGUGUUAAUCAUGUCAAGAGAUCAAGUUGCAUGAAAAUGAGUUUACUGAAUUGCUCCCAUAGUUUCUCCUAGACAACUAUCUCAUAGUUUCCCUCGUUAUCGUUUUAAUCCUUAGCCGUCAACAUAAAAUGGUAGCUGACUCUGGACAUGAUCUACGACUCACACUUUACCACACUACUAAAUUUCAAUUGAUGCCUUGUUUGGUGUAUUCUGCUAACUCUUUUAGGUGUGGACUUUCAAAAUCCUCAACUCCCACAUACGCCUACAUUUUAAUUUCCUUAGUUGAAAUAGACAUCUUGUAAGGAGGUACAUGUUUAUCCAUCACAUUUAAUGCGGUUAAUACGUUCCAAGAAUUUUAUUUCAACAAAAUAGUAGUUGCGCCUUCCUCUAGUUUCUAAUUGUAAUGAUCUAACUUCUUAUACCAAGUCGAGGUUAUUAGUUUAAAAUAAAUAGCAAAACUUUUAUUUGCAAAGAAAAAGAGGAAAAAGAUAAAUCUUGGAUAAAAAAAAAUUCAAAUUAUCGUUCAUAAAUCAUAAUUUGACAAAAUAAAAAAAAAAUUGUUAGGUAAAUAUAGUCCUAGUUUAGGUCUUAUCUAAAUGUUCACACAAGAUUUUCGGAGAAAUUUAGUUUUGAAGGGAUAAAAGUACUUUAGAGAUUUUACAUAAUCAUUUCUCAAUUUAAUUUGAGAAUCCCAAAAUACCAGUACAUUAGCAAAAAUAAUUAAAAAAACUAGUUUUCUUAUUAAGACUUAGAGACUAAACAUGUUUUCUAAUUACUUGUUUAUGUGUUUGAAUAAAUAAAAUAAAUCUCCAAAUUGAGAUACCACUUGUCAAAGACUUUCCUAUCCUCUAUGAUGAGAUUGGUUUAUGAGAAGAAUUUGAGAUGGAAAAAGUUUAGAGAUUAUUUAGAGAAACUCUUUUGCAGAAAAGCAAAAUUAUUCAUUUUUUUCUUUUGAUUGAAUCGUUAAAUUAGAAAACUGUUUUCUUUUAGGUAUUUAUAACUCUAUUUCUUGAAGUAGGAAAGAGAGUAGAAGAGAAUCCUGAGAUUCUAUUAAUUUAGAAAUUAUUAAAUUAAUAAAAAUUUCAAAUCAACUAAUUAAUUUACCAUUAAUCAAUUAGUUAAUAAUUAAUUAAAAUUUAUUUAAUUAAUAUUUCAUUUAAAUCUUAUUUAACUAACCUGUCUCCAAUAUUUUAUAGUUUUAUACUAACUUAAUUAAACCAUACUUAAUUAAAUAAAAUAAAACUAAAUUAUUAAUUAAUUUACAAAUUAAUUAAUAGUUAAAUUAAAUUUCUUAUAUUUAACUUAAAUUAAAUUUGAAUUAUUAUUCAAAUAUAAGUUUCUCUCGUAACCAAUAAUUUUAAAAGAAAUCCAGUUCACAUCAAAUUACUAUUUAAACUCAUUCAAAUAUUUUUAUCUCUCAUAAAUUAAUUUUGAAUCAUAUCCAAAAAUAAAUUUAUAUAAUAAAGUUUGAUAAACUUUAUAUUAUAAUGUAUUACUAUACAUAUAUUAAACUAAUUCCCAAAGUAAUUUUAAACAUUUCAAAUUAGAACCAAUAUAAAUAAAUUUUAUUACCCUUUACGAGCUAGAAAGAGAACUUAAUGGACCUACAGAUCUGAAGCUAUAACGAUCUAAGAUUAAUUACAACGAUAUGAGAUUAAUUGACUAAACUCAUUAGUCACAUUAAUCAAUAUUCGUUAACUAUGUGUACAUUUCACUAAAGACUCACUGUUGAACUAUUCUCACUGUAGAUAUAUUUUUGUGUUCAUCAAUAUAGACCAAUAACAGUAAUUUACUCAUUCACAACUGUUCGUAACACCAUGUGGAUCAAAUUACCGUUUUACCUCUAGGUUACGUCUAAUCCUUAAAUAUCAGUGCUUCUCUAAUGAACAACUUGUUUAUGGUCCAACAAUAAACAAUAAUUUCUCUUGUGCCAUAGAGAGACAUUAGAGCCCUUUGUUUAUGUCCUUGAGAUACCAUUUAAAGGAACACUAAUCUACUUACCCUCAAGUAGGGAAGUAGUGAAUUACAUCUUGUGUAAUUGUGUUAUCAUCUCCCGACUGGAUCUUGUCCCCAAAAUGAUAAGUUUAUUGAGUCGACAAUCUGGACACUCUCACUCGUAGAAAUCAAAGGACAAUCCGUCACCAACAGGAGCUCAUAAUACACUCAGGAUUAAGACUAAGUUGCCUAGGUUAUUCUAAUGAAAUAGAAACUUAACUAGUUAACGGAGUUACAUCUAGUGGUUAUUAUUUCACAGUCCGAUCUUAUGAAAACUCAUUUCAUAGGAUACCUUAACUCGCAUGUCACCUACAUGAACGUGUUGGAUCAUUGCGUUUAUAUCAAAUACAAAGUGAGCCAUAUCCAUAGUGUUACUAGGAUAAGUUACCCAACCUUAUCCCUAUACUAUAGACCUUUUAAGCUGAUUUCGAACAUUGAUCUUUGUAAUCUAUACAUACUGUUCAAGACUCAUCAAACAACUUAGGAUGUUAGUUUAUUGAAUUUGGGUUAUUAAUAGAAAAGUAAUAAUAUAAUCAAUAACAUUUAUUAGAAUUAUAAUAAUAACACUUUAUUAAUAAUGGUCAAUGAAUUAUAUUUACAUUCUACGAGUUUUAGGACAUAAAUCCCAACAAACUCUCACUUGGACUAAAACUCUAGUCUCUAUGAAAUGUACAUAAAAAUUUAAUCCUCUAACAUUGGAAAUGGUGAAAUGUACAAGUAUAUUACAUAAAACGUAUAUAUACAAAAAUAAUAAACUAGGGCAUCUUCAUACCCAUUACACAUCUCCCACUUGCCCUAGAUUACCUAAUGUACAUAACACGCAGACCUAGACUUUCUAGAUGACCCUCAAACACUUUAGCCAUGAGAGUUUUUGUAAAUGCAUCAACAAUAUGCCCCACUAUUAUCACAAUAUAAAGUAAUGAGCAUGUUCAUGUUUGGAACAACUUCCAAAUCAUGCAGGAACUUCCUGAGCCAAACUAUUUCUUUUGCUACUUCACAAGCAACGACAUACUCAGUCUUCAUAGUAGAGUCUACAAUGCAUCCUUGCUUGAUGCUACGCCAUACCACAACUUUUUCGUUUAGGGUGAACACUGAUCCCAUUGUGGAUUUUUUAGAGUCCUUAUUGGUUUGAAAAUCGGAGUCAGUGUAUCCUGUAAGGAUCAAAUCCUUAGCUCCAUACACAAACAUGUAGUCUCUUGCUCUUCUAAGAUGCUUGAGAAUACUUUUAAGCGUCAUCCAAUGGUCUAACCCUGGGCUGGACUACUGAUUAUUCCCAUUGCAUAACAAAUGUUUGGCCUAGCGUAGAGCAUAGUAUACAUUAAGUUGUCCACAGUUGGGGCAUAGGGAAUACGUCUCAUAUCCUCAACUUCUUGAGGUGUCUUAGGACAUUAUUCCUUAGACAAGUGAACCUCAUGCCUGAAAGGUAAUAAAUCAUUCUUAGAGUUUUGCAUUGAAUAUCGAACCAAUAUUUUGUUGAUAUAGGUUACAUAAGACAAUACUAGCAUUUUGUUCUUACGAUCCCUUAUGAUUUGGAGCCCAAGAACAUAUUGUGCCUCUCCCAAAUCUUUCAUUUGGAAUUGGACUGCUAGCCAAGUUUUAACGUCAGUUAGGUAUCCUACAUCGUUUCCAAUGAGAAGGAUAUCAUCCACAUAAAGUACUGAGAAAGCUAUUUUACCUUUGUUUAUUUUUCUUGUAUACACAAGGCUCAUCAACAUUUUGGUCACAACCGUAAGAUUUGAUCACAGUAUCAAAUCUAAUGUUUCAAGAUCUAAAUGGAUCGAUUCAUCUUGCAAACUUUUUGCAACUGACCAUGGGUUAUGAACCCCUCAGACUGAGACAGAAAGAUAAUCUCUUCAAGAUUGUCAUUUAGAAAAACAGUCAUGACAUCUAUUUGUCAUAUUUCAUAAUCAUAAAAAGUGACUAUGGACAAGAGAAUCUUUAUAGACUUUAACAUAGCAACAGGAAAAAAAGUUUCCUCAUAGUCAACCGCUUUCCUUUGGGUAUACCCCUUUUCUACAAGUUUAGCUUUAAAGGUCUGUACCUUCCCAGCUAAAUCUCUUUUUCUCUUAUAGAUCCAUUUUCACCCUAUAGGUUUCACUCCUUCAGGUAGAUCUACAAUCUCUCAUACUGAAUUAAAGCACAUAGACUCUAUUUCAAGGUCGUUCAUGGCUUUGACCCAUUGGUUCUUGUCUACUUCAUUCAUUACAUGUUUAUGGGACAAUGGAUCUUCAACGCCAUCAUCUAGAAUGACAACUUGAGUUUUCGUUAAACCCAAAUAAUAGUUAGGUUGUGAUAAAAUCCUCCCACUGCAUUGAGGCAUUCUCAACGAUUGAGAAGGAUGAGACUGACCUAAUGUGUUGGUUUCAUCAACUCUUGAUGAGGGACCAGCUUCAUCGACAACCCUUGUUGAUUCAUCAAUAGCUUCACUUAAUAUUAAUUUUCUUUGUGAUUUAUGAUCUCUCAUGUGGCCUUCUUCUAAGAAAGUAGCAUUUUUUGAUACAAACACUCUAUUUUCUUAUGGGUCGAAGAAUGGACUACCUGUCAUUUCUUUAGGGUAACCAACAAAUUGACAUAACCUUGAACGUUUUUUCAACAUCUUGAAAUUUGUCACUAACACGUGUACUGGACAACCUCGAAUUUUGAAGUGACUUAAACUAGGUUUAUGUCCUCUCCAUAGCUUGGAAGGUGUUUCAAAAACACUCUUGAAGGGAACAUUGUUCAAGAUAUGAACUACAGUCUCUGUUGCAUACCCCUAAAACGAGCUAGGCAAUUGAGCAUAGUUAUCAUUGAACAAACCAUGUCUAACAAGAUUCUAUUUCUCCUUUCUCAUACACCACUUUGUUGAGAUGUACCAUGUGUUGAGAAUUGGAAUUGGAUUCCAUGUUCUAUCAUAUAGUCUUGAAAUCUCAAAUCCAUGUACUCUCCACCUUGAUCAGAUCAAUGUAUUUUAAUCUUUUUACUUAAUAGAUUUUUAACUUCAACCUUAUACUCCUUGAACUUUUCAAAAGCUUCAGUCUUAUGCCCCAUUAAGUAUAAAUAAUCAUCCUCAUUAAGUAUAAAUAAUCAUACCUUGAAUAAUCAUCUAUAAUAGAGAUGAAAUAUUCAAAACCUUCUCUAGCUUUUACAUUCAUCGGAUGACAAAGAUCUGAAUGUAUAAAUUAUAGGAGCUCUAUGGCUCUAUAACCUUUUCCAGUAAAAGGUCUUUUAGUCAUAUUUCCUUCAAGACAAUAUUCACAAGGAGGCAAUGAAUCAUCUUCUAACUCAUUUAGAAGUUCAUUCUUGAUCAAUUUUCUGAUCCUAUCGAGAUUAAUGUGACCUAAUCUUAAAUGCCAAAGAUAGUUAUUGUUAUUAGAAGAAAUUCAUUGCCUUCUAUUUUUAGUAUUAGCAAUUUUAAACAUCUCAUGAUUUAAAAUUACUUUUGCUUCAUUAGGUCUUAAUACAUACAAGUUGUCUUCAAGCUUAGCUAAACAAAUAUGUACACCAUUCUUAGAAAUUGAACGAUUCAUUUAAAGAAAAUGUCACAUUAUAUGAUUAUUCAAUAAGACAAGAAAUAGAUAUACGAUUCCUUUUAAUCUUACAUGUACAAGUUUUAUAAAAACAGAAAUCUAUUUAUGAAAUACAACUUAACAUCUCCCACUACACGGGCUGCUUAAAGGAACUAGUUUCCUUUAAAGAAGAGCAAACAUGGCUAGUGGCUCUUGGAUCAAGUAUCCAAACAUUUUGGUCAUUUUGCACUGAACAUGUUUCUAAGACAAGUAAAUCAUAUUUACCUUAUUUUUUAUUCGUUUUAAAUAUCUCUUGGAGGGAGUCCAUGAUCUGAUGUGUAGUGAUCAUGGUCUCAUGUUUCUUGCUUAGUAUGUCAAACAUACUGAACAAGAGAUAGAUACAUGUCUUGUCAUUAGACAUUGUCCAACUAUUAUAUGCAUCCCUGACAUUAUGAGAUGGAUUACGAGUCGGAAAAGGAGGACAUUCCUUUAUUAAGAUGAAGUGUAGAUCAUCAUUAACCAGAAUCAUAUUCAGGUUUGUAGCAUAAUUUUCACAAAUUAUUUUUUUAUUUUUAAGCAAUUGAGUAAUUGAAGAAGACAUGUUGAAACAAUCAAUUGAUCUUAUUAGUUAUAUUUGUCUUAACUCAUUAAAUAAAAUAAUCCAAUCAAUUCAGAAAAAACAAGCAAUCAAAGAACCCUAAUCAAACAAAUGAUUUAGUUUUUGCUACGAUACUUUAAAAGUUUAGAGGAACAGCCAUCGAAGGAUGAUCAGCUACUCCUCUCCUAAAUUGAGAUAAUCUCAACUAAUAAUUAAUACAAGAAUAACUCAUACUCCAAUAGUUCUUAGCUAUCGUUGUACAGUCAAUGAUUCAUUAACUAGCUUAAUUAGUCCCGUAAAUGUGACCUUACCAUUUUCAAAUCCCAGAGGUACGCUUCAACAUACUAUCGAAAGGAAAGACAACUGUUGAAGACUAAUGAUGUGUGUCCAAACUCUUGGACAUAGACACUCAAAAAGACUAAAGUCUUUGUUCUGGAAUUUUUAUUAUUCUCUUUUUUCUCCUCUUUUCAAAUGAUAAACUAAGGGUUUCUAUACUAACCCUAAAAGUCAGCGAGUUACAACUGCCUAAUUAUAAAGCUUCCAAAAUAUAUCCGAACAGUGACUAACUACAGCAGUAACUUAACAGAGUAGCUAAUAGAACAGUAACUAAUGAGUAAAGGACAGUACAAGCUAAAUACAUCAAUUAACCUAAGAAACCCUAUCCAUUUUUGGAGUUUGUGUUAUUCCGACUUCUAUAAUCAGGCUCUCCGAAGGGAUGGUCGCUAUAGGAUGACACGCAUGCGGAUUAUAGAAAUCUCACGAUGCAACCUAAUGGAGAAGAUCGUAAGAUAUAUUGACACAUGUCCUUCUCUCACUUACUAUGAACAUUUUCCCUAUUCACCUUCUUAUUGACUCAUAGAAACACAUUCCAGAGGGAGGCCGCUCCCAGGGUGACACAAAGCCGAGUAUGAAUCUCACAUGUGAACUCUUAGGGACGUGAGAGCUAAAAAAUGAUAUAUCCUAAAUAUCAUUUUUCUCCCAUUAAAAUAUUCUAUUAGUUUAGGGUUUGUUGUACUUACCUAAAUUUCGCCUAAAUGAAUCUAUCUAAGUAUAUUCUUAUAUAAAAAAAAAUUACUCUAAAGUUUUUAGGUAUAUUAAACCAUUUAAUUUACCUAGUGACGUCUCAUGCUUAAUAGGAAUAAGGUUAAUCAACACCGAUUCUAAGCUAGUUCUCAGGUAGGAAGUGUUCUAUAAAAUGUCAACUUAAGUACCCCCAACCUUAGGCAGAACUUUAUCGAUGAAGUUCCCUUAUAACCUUAAAUUCUAUUUACUCUUAAAGUUUCUAGGUGUAUUAAACCAUUUAAUUUACCUAGUGGAACCUUAUGGUAAUAGGAAUAAGAUUAAUUCAACAUUGGUUCCUACUUAGUUCCCAAGUAACAGGUAUUCCGUAAAUCGUCAACUUAAGUACCUUCAGCCUUAGACAUAACUUUACUAGUGGAGUUCUCUUAUAACCUUAAAUCCUAUUGGUCCUACCACUACAAGAAAUCUGGUCUUUAAUGUCAGGUGCAAAAAAUGAAAAAUUGUCUUUAAUGUCGUUUUUGAAAAGACGGAUCAUUAAUGUCUUAAAACCAACAUUAAUGAUAAAGGUUUAAUGUCGUUUUUAAACCGACAUUAAUGAUCCACCAAUUUUUAAUUUUUUUCUUCAAUUUUUUGUAUUUUGUAAAAACCAACGUUAAUGACCCUUCCCAUUUUUAAUUUAUUUUUAAAAACUUUUUAGGUUUUAAAAACUAAAAUUUUUCCUCUCUUUCUUACUUUACUCUUUCCUAUCAAUUUCUCUUUUCUUCUCUCCAAGUUGAUUUCUAAUUUUCUUCUCUUCUCAAUCUGUGACCCUAGAUUGUGAACGACAACCAAUCUUCAUCGUGCCCAGUCGCCAUUGUGCUCAAAACUAAUCCCUCAAGUCAGUCACCGACGUGCUUCAGCUACAAGAAACUCCUCCUGUCCAUUCGUCUUCAAAUCCACCAUUGUGCCAGUUGUCUUCGAAUCCACCACCUUGCCCGAUCAUCGUCAUGCUUCUGCCACAAGAAUCCUUCGUGUCCAGUCAUCUUCGAAUCCACCACCCUCACCACCAUCGUGUGCCCAGCCGACCACCACCAUGUACAAACUUGGAUUUGGUAAGUACUUUUUUGUUUUGAAAUCACUUAUCUAAGCUCGAACUAGUAUUUCUAUUAUUUCUAUUUUCAUCUGUUUAAUAUAUUUUUAAUAACAUAUUUUGUUAAUAUAUGAGUUUUUUUAAAAAAAUUAAAAUUUGAAGAAAAAGAUAUGUAUAAUUUUGAUUAAGAAAAAAAUAAAUUAAAGUAGAAAAAUUGAAGAUGGAAAAUUGUGAUAUUUAAAUAUAUAUAAAGAAAAAAGAAAAAAUUAAUUAAUUUAAUAAAGAAAGAUAUUUUUAGAAUUUAAAUGUUUAAUAUAUAUAUUAUAUUAUAUGGGAGUAUGUAUAUAUAAGUAAAGAGAAAAAGUGAAAUGUGUGGGACCCACGUAUAUAAAUAAUGAGAAAAUAAAAAAAUGUGGGGUCCAGUGUAGUAUAAAUAUAAAAAUAAGGAAAAAAUAGAAUAUGUGGGAUCCACUACAUGGAAGUCGUGUACCACCCCGUACACGACUUCACCUCAAAUCACCUAUUUUUAAAAAUAGUUUUGCAUCCACCCUAUUUUUUAUAUAUGUUUCAAAUUUUAAAUUAUUUUUAAAAUAAAUCCCUCAUUUUAUCCAAAAAUUAGAAGUGAUCAUCAGUUGAUUGGAGUCAGAUUUUUGGCCCAUACCAACUUCAACCAUCACAAGUCAGUAUGAAUAUCGUUGAACCAAUUCUUGCCACAAUUCCAACCAAGUAUGAAAAUCUUAAGGGUAGGUUAUCCAAAGAAUAUGAAUUGGGUGUAAAAAGCUUCAUCAAUUUUGAAUUUUCUAAUACAAAUGAUUCGUUUUUUGUUGUGCAUGUUUGAAAUGUGAAAAUUGUGAAAAACAAAGUUGCACUAAUAUUAGAGAUCAAAUAUGUCAAUGAAAUUGAUGAAAGCUACAAAAUUUGGUUUUUGCAUGGUGAAAUAACUACUAACUCAUCCUUAUGUAUAAAAAAUCUUCUAAGUUUGACAUUUACAUGUAUGAAGAGAAUGAUGUUAGAAGUCUAAACGAAAUCUUAGAAAGUUGUUCAACUAAUCUGAACGUGUCUAAACAUUAUUACGUUACCAUUAGUGUUGAUGUAACAACAUGAUAAGUAUGAACGUAGAUAACUUUUGUCUGUUUGUCUCACUUUCUAUAUUCUUAUUAUUUUAAAGUUAUUCAUCUAUAUCAUAAAUAAAUAUCAAUUUCCUUUGUCAUAAUAUUCUGAGGAAUAGAUUCUUCAUUUUGCUUUCAUCGGUCGAAACCACCCCAUUCAAGUUAUUUUCUCUAGAUUCGACAGAAUAAUAAAUUACAAAUUCUAAACAAAAAACUAUAAAAUAUAUAUUAUUUCCAAAAUUGUGGUUGUUAACGUCUAAAAUUGAAAAAAAAAAAAUUAAACCAAAGGUAUUAAUAUUGUCAUAUAUGUUUUAUUAUUAUUGUUUGAAAGACCAUAAAUGGCCAUGUAUAAGAAAAAUAGAAAAAGAAGAAGGCAAACGUAACAGUGGAGCUUCCAUCUAUAUCUAUUUUACAGAAGGAUGGGAGAAUGGUUUUAUUUAAUUUGCACUAAUCAUGAAUAAGAUGGGCUUCCACAUCCUUAUAAGCUUUGCCAAUUAGUUGAAGGUAAUUGUAUGGAUCGGGUGUGGUAGAAUCAUAUUUUUCAUAUUCUAUAGUUAUGUAAACCACACAUUGUUGAGGAGUACUCUUCGGUACGAGAUGAUGAGUGAUCUUGAAGCUUUUAUAUUUCUUUACCACAUCUCCUUCUAUCACAGUGAAAAUUGCUUUAAGCUUUUCAUCAUCGAAUUUCGAUUGUUCCUUCAAAACCUCAGCCUUGCCAUCUUUUGUUAACAAAAUAAUGUAAUCACAUAUACAAAACAAAUCAAAGAGACUUUCAGAUAAAAUGUUAUAUAUUCACUGAAUAAAGAAAAUUUGAAGUUAACAAAAUUAAAGUGAAUAUAUAACAACAUAUAGAUAGCUAAUGAGAUGGAUGGUGUUGAUACUCACCGAUGGUGUAAUUCCAUACUUUCAUGGAGUCAUGACUACAAUUGUCCCAAUCACCUUCAUCAACUGCUACGUCUUGAAUGAUUGAAGUAACAUUAGGAAAAUGAUAAACAUUGUUUUUGAUGAAAUAAUAGCAUUUGUUGGCACUUAUCUUCAAUUCUACUGGCUGCAUAAUUUUCUGAACGCAAGACAUGAUUUCGUUUAAAGAUAACUCACCCACACCUAAACCCCAAUGUCUUCCUCUUUUAAUACAUGCAACCUAUUGAUCAACUAUUUUGAAUAUGUGUCCUGGAUAAACAUAGACUUUCAUCCAAUAUAUAAUUAAAAUGAGGUGUUAUCUUAUUCUACUUUGGUUUCUAGAUUUUUAAAGAUUUUCGUUUCAGUCCUUUAACUUUUAGAUGAAAAUAAAUUACUUUCAUUCGUGUCAUUCAAAUUUCACUAACUUUUUAACAUAACAAUGAUACGAUUUUUGUAUUUGGAUGACUAUGUCUAAAUUCAUCAUAUUAAUUAAAUUUAUUAAUUAUAAAAAUAUUUAUUUACAAUUUUAUUGAGUUUAUUUCCCACACGAGUUGUUCUUAUAUUUAGUUUUUUUUUUUUUUUUUUUUGUUUUAUUUCACCUCGUCUUGAAUGCUAACAUACCAAUAUAAUCUUCUCAUGAUUUGCUUAAAAAUUUCAGUUUAAAAAAAAAAUGAAAUAAAAAACCGAAACAUGAUAACCCUAUACUGAGUUCUACAAAAAGGGUAAGGUUUCGUAAUCUUUGAUACCACAUUAGAUAACUACAAAGUUAUAUCUUAAAAUCAAAUAACUAACUACACAUAUAUAGACUGUUUUUAGUUUCGUUUAUAUAUUUCAAAAAAAAUUAGUUGCAAAUAUAACAAUUAGGUUCAAAAUUUUAUAAUAUAUAGCAACAAUUUUAAAAAAAUUACAAAUCAGUCAUUUAUAAAUAACAAGAAUCUAUUAUAAAUAGACUUUAGUUUACAAUUUUUUGAAAAUGUUAUUAUACACUUAAUUAUUAUUUCUAGAGUUGCUAUCAAUUCUUUUUUUUUGUUUGUUUAUUUAAAAUUUAACAAUACUUCUUAUUCUUCGUAUAUUUUUAUUUAUUUAUUAUCAAAAAAGAAAAAAAAAACAUAAAAUAUGUUUUUUUAAUGGAAAACGAAAAUGCAUAAAAUAUUAUUAAUUAACUCAAUUAUAACACAUAGACUCUGCACUCCACAAACUUGUUAACUAAAUGAGAGCAACUCAAGUACACACCCAAACACAUACAAUUAUUUCAAACUUAACUGACUCAACUUUAUGUUUUGUAAGUGGCAAUUAAGUGAGAUAGUUUUAUUGAACAUAUAAAUAUAGGCAUGAGCUUGAUUCUGUUCAUCAUGUCAAGAGAGGUUGGAAGGAAAUGAGUUUACGGAAUUGGUCCCAUACUUUCUCCCAGAUAACAGCUUCAUAGUUUCCCUCAUUAUCGUUUUCAUCCUUAGCCGUUAAGAUAAAACGGUAGUUGACUCCGGCCACAAUCUGCGACUCGCACUUGACCACACUACUCAAUGCCAAUUGAUAUCCUCCUUCUUUGUUGUACUCUGCUACCGUCCAUUCUGCUAAUUCUUUUAUGUGUGGAUUAUCAAGAUCCUGAACUGGAGUAUAAUCCGACAUUUCAAUUUCCUUGCUUACUAGAAAUACACACAAACUUAUGAAAUAUGGGUAAUUAGUAAGUGCCUCUCCUAUCCAAACAACAGAGGUUCAUAUUUAUACUACCAUUCCCAACCCACCUCCAAUUAUUACUUCUUUUUCUGUUUUAAUUUUUUUUUUAUCUUUGGAUUGCUCAUUAUACAAUUUUUUAAUUAUUUUAUUUUUAUUUUAUAUAUUCAACCUAAAUAACAGAUGAAACGUGGGUCACGACUCUAUAAGUAUAUAUAUAUAGAAAUCAAAUGCGGAUCAUGGGGUCUAUAAAAAAUUAUAUUUAUUAUUCUAUCUUCACUUUCAAGGUUGGCAAUAAUAGCAUUUUUGACUUUUAAUAAAUAAAAUCAAAUAUUUAUUGAUGUAUACAUGUAGAUACAAUCCCAAUGGUUAUGGUUGAAGUUAGCCAAACAGCACGAUCUAUAUCAUGUAACAAUACUAUAAUUAUUAAAUACUAUUGCCCUCUUUUCAAAAAAUGAAAUGAAAUGAAAUAUAUAUAUUUAACUAACUAAAGAAAUGCAAUGCAGAUCAGGAGGUCUACAAAAAUUUAUAUUUAUAUUUAAGUAACUAAAGAAAUGAAAUGCGGAUCACGGAGUCUACAAAAAAAAAUUAUAUUUAUUAUUAUUAUCUUCAGUUUCAAGGUUGGCAAUAACUUCCUUACCUUCCAAAUUUAAGUUUGUGUAUGAAAUGCUUAAACAUUUCUCAAAUUUAUUUCAAAUUUUGAAUAUUAACUUACACCAUCAGCUGACCCUUUUUCUUUCUUUUUGUUAAUGCCUACUUUUCGUUUAUUUUAAACUAAACACUUUAAAUAUCUAUUUUGUCUUAAAUAUCUAUUUUGUCAUCUCCUAUCAUUUUUAAACCAAUUAGUUAGACUAAUUAAGUAGGCUUGAUGAGAAAUACCAAAUGUGGUAUCAUUUUUAAAUAGGUUUUGCUUGCUAUGAAGUGUAGGCCAAUGUUGGUAUUAUUUCAAAUUUAAAAAUAAAAUAAAAUAAAAAGAAAGAAAGAAAAACUAGUCACUCCAACAAAUAUGGAUGCAUAUUAUCAAUUUAGAGUUAAGGCUUUAUAUUUUAAAUAUGGUUUAAAUAAAUAAAAAUUAUGGACGUGGACUUAUGCUCACAAGCUCAAAAAUGACGAAAAUGGUCAAAGUUGUAAAAUGUGAAAAUGUUGACUUUUGACUUUUGAAAAGUCAAAGUUGUAAAUGUGAUUUAUGAAUUUUGGGUAAAAUUAUGUAGAUUCAUGUGGACACGUUGGAAUGUGAUGACACUAGGCUCACUAAGAGUUAAUGCAAAUCAUGGGUGCUUAAGGGUAGGAUAUCCAAAGAGUAUGAAUUGGGUGUAGAAAACUUCAUCAAUUUUAAAUUUUUUAAUACAAAUGAUUCGUUUUUUGUUAUCCUUGUUUGAAAUGUGCAAGUUGUCAAAAACAAAGUCGCACUAAUAUUAGAGAUCAAAUAUGUCACUGAAAUUGAUGAAAGUUACAAAAUUUGGUUUUUGCAUGGUGAAAUAACUACUAACUCAUCCUUAUCUAUGGAAAAUCUUCUAAGUUUGACAUUUACAUGUACGAAGAAGAGAAUGAUGUUAGAAGUCUAAACGAAAUGUUAGAAAGUUGUUCAUGAAAGUUAAUCUGAACGUGUCUAAACAUUAUUACGUUGCCGUUAGUGUUGAUGUAACAACAUGAGAAGUAUGAAUGUAGAUAGCUUUUGUCAAUGUUUGUCUCACUGUCUAUAUAUUCUUAUUAUUUUAAAGUUAUUCAUCUAUAUCAUAAAUAAAUAUCAAUUUCCUUUGACAUAAUAUUGUGAGGAAUAGAUUCUUCAUUUUGCUUUCAUCCCUCAAAACCACCCCAUUCAAAUUAUUUUCUCUAGAUUCCACAGAAUAAUAAAUUACAAAUUCUAAACAAAAAAUUAUAACGUAUAUAUUAUUUCCAAAAUUGUGGUUGUUAACGUCUAAAAUUGAAAAAAAAAAUUAAACCAAAGGUAUUAAUAUUGUCAUAUAUGUUUUAUUAUUAUUGUUUGAAAGACCAUAAAUGGCCAUGUACAAGAAAAAUAGAAAAAGAAGAAGGCAAACGUAACAGUGGAGCUUCCAUCUAUAUCUAUUUUAGAGAAGGAUGGGAGAAUGGUUUUAUUUAAUUUGCACUAAUCAUGAAUAAGAUGGGCUUCCACAUCCUUAAAAGCUUUGCCAAUUAAUUGAAGGUAAUUGUAUGGAUCGGGUGUGGUAGAAUCAUAUUUUUCAUAUUCUAUAGUUAUGUAAACCACACAUUGUUGAGGACUCUUCGGUACCGGAUGAUGAGUGAUCUUGAAGCUUUUAUAUUUCUUUACCACAUCUCCUUCUAUCACAGUGAAAAUUGCUUUAAGCUUUUCAUCAUCGAAUUUCGGUUGUUCCUUCAAAACCUCAGCCUUGCCAUCUUUUCUUAACAAAAUAAUGUAAUCACAUAUACAAAACAAAUCAAAGAGACUUUCAGAUAAAAUGUUAUAUGUUCACUGAAUAAAGAAAAUUUGAAGUUAACAAAAUUAAAGUGAAUAUAUAACAAUAUUGUCGCGACGUGAUCGCUACGCGGAGUGGCCGACCUCCCCGUUUAUUUAAUUUUAAUAAAUAGUUUUGGAGUCGCCAGCAACCAUAUUAGGGUGUGAUUGGUCACCCAAAAAAAGAAAAAAAAAAUGGUCUGCGUAGAUAUUUAAGUUCGGGAGUCAGUUGUGUGUAGGGAAGGUGUUAGCUAGCACCCUACAACACCCAAAAAAUGGUUACCCAAUUUUAUCUUUUAAAUUAAAUUAUAGAGGUUCACAAAACAAAGUUUUUAUUUAGGUUUUGUUUAAAUGUCUCAUGUUUAUCAAUUUAUAUUUAUCAAUCCAUAUCGAAGAAAGUAAAACCUAAGCAUGAAUUGAUGAUUAUGGGUGGCAUAGGAGCCAUUAGAAAAAUUAAGUUUAUUUUUGUUUUAAAAGAUUUUUAUUCACCUUAAGAAUAUUAAGAUACCAAAACUUGAUAUUUAAUCUCUAUCAUAGGUGUUUAAUGAGAAAUUUCAUGUAUCUAGAAUAAAAACACUACUCAGUCUCAUUUAAAAUAUGAAAUGUGUUAAUUUAAAAACAAUCUAUUAAUUAAAUUUCAAACGAAAAAAUUUUAUGUAUUCAUGGAAUUUAAAUUAUAAAAUCGAUAAAAAAACAAUACUUUCUCCAAUUUACAUUUUUAUAUUUCAAUUGGAAAAUGAAUAAUAACAAUAAGCAAAACAUUAUGAAAUUUGAAAAAUACUUACAGGGUAAUAUGUUGAGAUAAAAUAAAUGAGUAAAACAAAUACAGGAUAAUGUAAGCAAUAUGCAAAAUGUACAAGAUGAUUAAUUAAUGCAGCACAGACAAAAUAAUUAAUUAAUGCAGAAUGAUGCAAAAUAAUUAAUUAAUUCAAAACAUGUAAAAUAAUUAAUUAAUUCAAAAGGAUGCAAAAUAAUUAAUUAAUGCAAAAAGGUGAAAAAUAAUUAAUUAAUGCAGAAAUAGGCAAAUUAAUUAAUUAAUUUAGAAAUAUGCAAAAUAAUUAAUUAAUUUAGAAAUAUGCAAAAUAAUUAAUUAUGUCAGACCAAAGUAAUAAAUAAUUACUUGAGGAUGUCAAAUGGGUGAAAUAAUAAUUAACUGCAAAGUGUCAAGGUAUGAUUAAUGCAAGAUGCUAGCCAAUUGAUGUCAAAUAAUUUUAGUGAUUAAUUAAUUAAUACAGAAUACAAAUAAUUUGAAUGAGUAAUUGACCUAAGAUGUCAAAUGAGUGCCAAAAUAAGUUAACAAUAUGCAAAUAAUUAGCUCACAAUGGAGGAUGCCAAAAAUUAAAACUGUCAAAAAAAAAAAAACUAAAUAAUCAACGCAGCGCAUGGGUGUCAAAUUAAUUAACUAGAUGCAGAACUCAUCAAUCAAAAUAGUCCAAUGGCCAAAUGAAUGUCAAAUAAUUAAUGAUGAUGCAGAAAAUUAACACAGAUCAAAUAAUUAACAUAGCAUUGGUAGUAUGCUAAUUAAUUAACCAAAUGAAAUAAUUAAUAGCAGCCAAAUCAGAUAAUUAACUCACAACAUUCAAAUGGGUGCCAAAUAAUUAAACGGAUGCAGAACUCAACCAUCAGAAUAGUCAAACUGCCAAAUAGAUGUGCAGAAAUGAGUGUAAUCAGAUGCAAAACAAACACUAUUUAAUUAGGGCAGCAAUCAAAAAGUCAAAUGGGAGCCAAAUGAUUCAAUUGAUGCGAAUAAUUAAAAGAUAUGAAAUGAGUGUCAAAGGAUUAACACAACAACUAAUUAAUGAGUGAUUUAAAUGAAUAAUUAAGACAGCACCCAAAUGGGUGUCAAAUAAUUAAGCUAGUAUCAUCAACUUGAAUAAAAAAAAAGAACUUACAAGGUCUGCCUUAAAUGCAAAAUGUUUUGAGUUGAUCCUCUUCACCUCUUCCAAAAAAAAUUCUUUUACGUGUCUCUCUUCUCUAUCAAAUAAUCCUCCUAGCAAAAGAAGUUCCCCCCACAAUUGAAUCUUCUCAUUCUCUUUUUAUAGGGAAAUGUCUCAUUUUUUUUAGAUAGAAGUGGAGUAGGUUUAGAUAGUGAAAUGUAGUACAACAGAUAAAUGGGGAAAAUGUGGAAGAGUGGAAGAACGUGAGAGAUUGGGGAAGAAGGUGGAAGAGUGGCAGAACGUGAGAGAUUGAGAGAAAGUGGGAGGGUUGUGACUCAGGAAAACAGGGGAUGGUUGAGAAAAAUAGGGAGAAGGAAAAAAAAAUCUUUACAUUUAAUUUUAAUUUUAAAUAUGUUUUUAUUUUUGUUUUUGUUUUAAAACAUAAAUUUAAAAAUUAAGAUUUAAAUUUUAGAAUUUAAAUUUAAAUUCACAUUCAAAUUCUUUUUAAAAAAAUAAUAAAUAAAUUAAUAAAAAAAAUAAAAAGGCAGGACAAAAUACGGUAUCUACAGUUUGCCCCCCUUUUUCCAUCCUGAAAAUAUUUAAAGGUGGACAAAGGUAAUAGAUAAGGUAUUUGGGCCAAUUUUUUUAUUUUUUGAGAGAGAAAACAAAAAAUCAAUCUUAGCUCUAAGACUAGGUUUGAUAAAUAAGAGAAAGAACCAGGCUUCGACCCCAGCUUUAGAUCUGGGCUCGAUUUAACCAAAUUUUUUAAAAAAAAACAUCAACCUUAGCUCUAGGACUAGGUUUGAUAAAUGAGGGAAAGAAUCUGAUAGACAGGCUUCGGCCUCAGCUUCAUAUCUGGGCUCGAUUUAACCAAAUUAAAAAAACAACCAUCAACCUUAGCUCCAGGACUAGGUUUGAUAAAUGAAAAAGAAAAACCUGAUAGACAGGCUUCGGCCUCAGCUUCAUAUCUGGGCUCGAUUUAACCAAAUUUGAAAAAGAACAUCAACCUUAGCUCUAGGACUAGGUUUGAUAAAGGAACCUGAUAGACAGGCUUCGGCCUCAGCUUCAGAUCUGGGCUCGAUUUAACUAAAUUUGAAAAAGAACAUCAACCUCAGCUCUAGGACUAGGUUUGAUAAAUGAGGGAAAGGACCUGAUAGACAGGCUUCGACCUCAGCUUCAUAUCUGGGCUCGAUUUAACCAAAUUUUUUUUUUAAAAAAAACACAUCAACCUUAGCUCUAGGACUAGGUUUGAUAAAUGAGAAAGGACCUGAUAGACAGGCUUUGGCCUCAGCUUCAUAUCUGGGCUCGAUUUAAUCAAAUUUGUAAAAAACAACAAUAUUAGCUCUAGGACUAGAUUUGAUAAAGUGGACUCAUCCUUUUUUAAAAACUUAUUUUAAAUUUAAUUUAAAAAUAUUAUGCUUUUCAAAGGAAUAAAUAGCUCACUACUCCAUUUUACCAAUACCAUUAACAAUCUAUCUGCAUAAUCGUCGUAGGAUAGAAUAAGACAUGUAUCACGAGAACUUUUUAAGCUGUAGAACUCGCCUCUCUUCGUAUCAAACAAAUGAAUCCAAACUGCGAAAGAUUGUACUAUGUUGUAAUGACAUAAUGUUGUUUUCGUCUUGGACUUCACAAAACAUGAAUCCUUUAGGAUUCAGACUUCCAAUUGCAGCAACUCAACAAUCAUAGAGAAAUUUGUCUGGACUUGUAAACACUUACAAUUCCUUAAGUCUUAACAAGAGAAAAUCAUAGCUUUUACUUGGUUUGCAAAUACAAUAAGUUGUACUGAAUCAUUGUUAAUUAACAAAUAGAUAGAACAAUAGACUAAUGAAUAAUUGAUGUUUACUAUAAGUUGAUGAUAUUUUUUUAAAAAAGAUGAAAGAAUGGAUUGACAAAUAACAAAGUGUUUGAUAAAUAUGAUAAGAAAUGAAAAGAUAACAACGAUUCUUGGAAUAGGAGUACAAAGAGAGGAGGUAAGGGAUAAUUUAUACAUAUGAAAUAACAUUCUAAGAACUAAAAUGUAAGUUUCCUAGAAAUACCCUUGACUUCUUUCAACACUACGAAAUUUUCUAUGAAAAGGCCUCACGCAUAAUAUCUUCGAACAUAAUCUGAAUUCACAUGAUUUUUUUAGCUUAACACCAUCCAUAUUGGUUAAAAGCAAAGCUCCUCCUGGAAAAGUCUUUUUCACCACAAACGAACCUUCAUAAUUAGGAGUCCAUUUUUCUCGAUGAUCCUUUUGAAAUGAAAAUAUCCUUUUUAAUGCCAAAUCUCCUUCUCAAAAACUUCGAGGGUGCAAUUUUUUAUUGUAUGCUCGUAUUAGUCUUCUUUGGUAAAGUUGUCUGUGACUUAAUGCUGCCAAACAUUUUUUUUUUCAAUGAAAUUCAACUGCUCAUAACGACAUUCAACUUCAUAUAACUUAGCUUCCAUGAUAACUCUCAAUGAAGGUAUCUUAAGUUCUAAAGGUAGGACAACUUUUAUACCAUAAACCAAAUAAAAUGGUGUUGCCCCUGUUGAAGUAUGAACUGAUGUAUGAUAUCCAUGCAGUGUAAAUGGUAAAAUUUCAUGUCAAUCUUUGUAUGUUGUUGUCAUCUUCUCAAUAACUCUUUUAAUAUUUUUGUUGGCUGCCUCAACUGCCACAUUCAUCUUGGGUGUGAUAUGGAGUCGAAUUUCUGUGAUUGAUCUUGAAUUUCUCACAAAGUUCGUCCAUCAUUUUGUUAUUAAGGUUCUUGGUAUUAUCUGUAAUAAUACCCUCUGGUAGACCAUAACGACAGAUCAACUCUUUUUUAUAAACUUGAGCACCACUCCUCUUGUAACAUUGCAGUAAGAUGUUGCCUCUAAUCAUUUAGUGAAGUAAUCAAUCGCCACAAGAAUAAAAUGUUGAUCAUUUGAGGCUUUAGGAUCAAUGGGCCCAAUAACAUCCAUUCUCCAUAAAGAAAACGACCAUGGUGCUGACAAGACAUGCAAUGGAGAUGCUGCUGCAUGAAUCUUAUCCAUAUAAAUUUGACAUUUUUUACAUUCUCUUGCAUAUUUUAUACAGUCUGAUUCCAUCGUUGUCCAAUAAUAACCAGAUCUAAGUAUUUGUCUAGACAUAAUAUGUCCGUUCGCAUGUGUUCCACAUAUUCCUUCAUGAAUUUCUGUCAUAAUUUGUUUUGCUUCUUCCACAUCAACACAUCGAAGGAGUACCAUAUCAUGGUUUCUUUUAUAAAGAACUUUACCACUUAAGAAAAAGUUCAUGGCCAACCUUCUUAUUGUGCGCUUGUCAUUCUCUGAAGCUCCAUAUUUCUCUACAAUUUAUGUAUUGCUUGAUAUCAAAAUACCAUGGCUUAUUAUAAUACAGGUGGGCUCUGCAAAUACUGCUUAAUUUUGUUGAAAGCUUCUUCACAAUCCUCAUUCUAUUUUCUUGGAUUGUUUUUACGUAAAAGCUUGAAGAUUGGUUCGCAGGUUGAAGUUAAAUGCGAGAUAAAUCUGGAUAUGUAAUUUAGUCUUUCAAGAAAAUCUCGAACUUCUUUUUCUGUUUCAGGGGAUGGCAUGUCCAUGAUAGACUUCACUUUAUCUGGGUCUACUUUGAUCCCUUCUUCACCGACAAUGAAUCCGAACAGUUUUCCCGAGGUUGCCCCAAAUGUACAUUUGGAUGGAUUUAAUUUCAAUUGAUACUUUCUCAACCAAUUAAAUAAUUUUUGGAGUAUAGUUGUAUGAUCUUCAUUUGCUUUGGAUUUUGCAAUCAUAUCAUCAACAUACACCUCUAUUUCCUUAUGCAUCAUAUCAUGAAAAAGUGUAACCAUUGCUCACUGAUAUUUGCCCCAGCAUUUUUUGAACCAAAAGGCAUUACUUUGUAGCAGAAUGUUCUCCAACAGGGUAAUGAAUGUUGUUUUUUUUUUUUAUCUUCUUCAGUCAUUUUAAUUUGAUUAUAUUCUGAAAAACCAUCCAUGAAGGAGAAAGUUGAGUAUCCUGCAGUGUUAUCCACCAACAUGUCGAUAUGAGGUAAAUGGAAGUUGUCUUUGGACAAGCUCGAUUUAAAUCUCUAUGGUCCAUACACAUUCUCACUUUUCUGUCUUUUUGUUUGCUUUUUGGAUACUGGAACAAUGUUUUCCACUCGUUCAGGAUAUUUGGAGACUGUGAGGAACACUGUUUCGAAUUGUUUAAGUACUUCCUCUUUUAUUUUAAACAAUAUAUCAAGCUUCAUUUUACGUAGCUUUUGUCUUACUAGGUUGCAUUCUGGCUUCAUAAUGUACUACAAUAUCCGUAUUUAAUCCCCGCAUAUCCUGAUAACUCCAAGCAAAAAUAUCUGAGUACUCACGUAACAAAUUGAUUAUUUUUUUCGAGUUUCACUGGUCAUUGAUGUGCCAAUUUUUACAUCUUUUAAUUCCUCCUGAGAACCCAAAUUGAUUACUUCAACUAGCUCUUGGUGAGGACCUAAGACCUUAUCUUCUUCUUCUACUAAUCUUAACAGUUCUGAGGAUAUUCCUCUGGCAUUUUCAUCGUCACUCUCUUUGUCAGAUUCCAUAGUGUAUAUUAAGGUAUCAAGGGUAGAACUGGAAUUACUAACAUCUUCGUUCUUAUGAAUGUUGUCUAUGAAAAAGUUUGGACUUUUGUGUUUAAUUUGCAAGAUGCAAGAAAGAAAGCAGAGAGAAGAAGUUGGAAAGAACGAAAGGAAAAUGCGAAGAUUUCAUUAAAUAACAAAUAAAACAGUACAUUCAUAUUGUAAAGCAAAUAAAACAUUGUGGCCUUGUGUAGAGCCACUAUAAAAUAAAAGGAAUUUGACAAAUAAAAGCUUAAUCAUUACUCUUGAAAUUCUUUUGAAAAUGUAGGUAUAUCUACAACAUCCCAAGUAUUAAGCUCGAAAUCAGGUGGACAUGCAUAAACUGUUUCUCCUUCAUUUUUUGCACUUUUGAAACAAAGCAAUCUACAAUGUUCACUUUUGGAUUUUCAUGAUUAGGCAGUGGAUUGUUGUUGACAUCCGGCUUCUCACCAACUUUUUUGAAGCUUAACCAUCCAUCAUUAAUCAAAGAUUGCACAUUCCUUUUUAAAGCCAAACAAUUUUCAAUUGAGUGUCCUGCUCCUUCGGCAUAAUAAUCACAUCGAGCAUUUGAAUCAUCAUAUUUUGGAUAAGGAGAUUGUAUAGGAUUCAUUGGGAUAGGAGCUAACUGUCGAUUUUGAAUUAGAUGAGGUAAAAGUUCUGUAUAUGUCAUGGAAAUUGGAUCAAAUUGCCAUGUAUCUUAGUUGGUCUCGCUACCUUGACCUUGUACAAAUGGUUGAGAAGAGUUUGAAUUAAUAGGCUUUUGGGCUCUAGAGAAAGAGUGAGUUGGUACAUAGUUGUUAUGAGGGACGUGAGAACUAACAUUGCUUAUAUAUGAAGAAAAAUUUUGGUCAUGUUUUCUUUGGCUAAAAAAACGAUUUGUGGUUCCCUAAAUUAGGAAAACCAAAUGCAUGAACCUCAUCUUCUUUCUUCUUAGAUGUUGUUCCUUUCUUUAAUCCCUCAUACUCAGCUGAAGUCUCUGCUAAUCUUCCGUGCUUUAUCGCAUAUUCAAUUUUUUCACCAAUAACAAUAAUGUCACAAAAAUUGGUUGUAGCAUUACCAAUCAUUCGAUCAUAGAAAUGGAGCCCGCAAAGUAUUCAUAUAUAUAGACGUCAUUUCUUUGUCUGUUAAUGGUGGUUGAACCUCUGCACCCAUAUCUCUCCAUCGUUGAGCAUAUUCUUUAAAGUUUUCUGAAUUCUUCUUCUUCAUACGUUGCAAGUCUAAACGAUCUGGAGCCAUAUCAAUAUUAUGUUUAUAUUGCUUUAGAAAUGCAUCAGCUAAAUCCUUCCAAACAUGAAUGUGUGUAUUAUCUAAUUGAAUAUACCAUCGAGUAGCUGGACCAGUCAAACUGUCCUGAAAGCAAUGGAUCAACAAUUUAUCAUUACCAAUAUGCAUUGUCAUCUUUCUACAAUACAUUAUAAGAUGACUCCUUGGACACGAUGAUCCAUCAUAUUUGUCAAAUUCGGGAACUUUAAACUUUGCUGGAAUGAUCAAGUCUGGCACUAAGCACAACUGUGUUGCUUCUAUAUUUCCAUAAACAUCAGUCCCUUCAAUUGCUCGCAAUCUUUCUUCCAAAACAUCUAGUUUUUGCUUAGCCGAAGUGUUCUCAUUUUGCCUCAUGUCUUGAAUUUUAGCCUGAGCUUCCAAUUGUUCUAUAUCUGGGACAGGAGGUGGAACAUCAAAAAGUGGAUUCAUAGCAACAUAGUGUCCAGCGGUUUGAGACUGUGUAAUGUUCAUGUGGCGUGACGUAAAUGUUGGGGGGUAAAUGGGAUCAUUAGUGUCUUGAACUGGAUUGCUUGAUUGUGCUGUUUCUAUGACGACUUUUCCUUUUCCUAUUGAAAGCAAUUCCAGUAUUUUUGAAACUUGUUCUCCAAGACUAUUAAUAUCUUGUCUCAUUUUAUCCAUGUCUUUAUCUUGUUCUUCCAUGAUUCGACUUUUAUGCAUCGUAUUGUAAGGAUGAUGAAUUGGAGUAGGGUGAGCUAUGUUUUACUUUGAUUAUUUUGAAAACUUUGAAGACUAAAGAGCAAGGGAAGAAAGAGAAAGAAAAAUUUCAAAUUUCAAAUUUCAAAUCAAAAAUCAAAAAUCAAAAAUCAAAAUUAAAAAGAAAAAAAACAUGAAAAGAAAAGAAAUAAGAAUUUUAUGUACUUUAGCUUAAUUGUUUUUUAAUAUUUAGUUAAUUUUAGAAAAUAUAAAGGUUUUCAUGUACCUCUACAAUGUAAACAUUACUUUCUUUAAAGUAUGCAUGAAGCCAAAUGACCCAAUUUCUAGGGAACUAAGAUAAAUAAAAUUUAAAUAUCAAACUCAAAAUAAUAAUAAUAUAGAAAAUACUGUUAUUGAAAUUCUUUUUUUUUUUAAAAAAUGAAAUAUGUAUUAUUUAAAAUUUUAGGAGAAUGUGAAACUUUGUUAAAAUAAAUAAAUAAAAAUAAUUUGAACAGUUGACUUUUGGAUAAAAUAUGUUAAAAAGAAACUGACAUGGUGUUGGUAUCAUCUAAACUCUUAGAAAUUAAAGGCCUUCAAACUUAUUCUAAUGUUAUUUAAGAAAUAACAAAAGAAUUAAUCUGAGCGAGGAUUUUUCAUGUGCCUACAUGGGAGUCGAAACCCCUCGAAGGUCAACACUACUCCAUCCUCAAUUCUAGUCCUAAAAGGUUGUAGCCCGGGUAGAGGGCUUGUGAGUGUGUGUAAAUGCAUGCUGGCAUAAAAAAAAUGUACCAAUAACAUAGUACAAAUUAUUACAUAUGAAUCAAUAAAAAAAAAACAAAUAAUUAAGUGAACCAACAUAUUAUAAUAUAAUAAGAAUAAAAGAUAAAAAUGUACUGGCUUGACUCUCUUACACAUUGCAAUGUCCCCAGUGGAGUCGCCAAGCUGUCGCGACGUGAUCGCUACGCGGAGCGGCCGACCUCCCCGUUUAUUUAAUUUUAAUAAAUAGUUUUGGAGUCGCCACCAACCAUAUUAGGGUGUGAUUGGUCACCCAAAAAAAGAAAAAAAAAUGGUCUGCGUACAUUCAGAGAUUUAAGUUCGGGAGUCAGUUGUGUGUAGGGAAGGUGUUAGCACCCUACAACACCCAAAAAAUGGUUACCCAAUUUUAUCUUUUAAAUUAAAUUAUAGAGGUUCACAAAACAAAGUUUUUAUUUAGGUUUUGUUUAAAUGUCCCAUGUUUAUCAAUUCAUAUUUAUGAAUUCAUAUCGAAGAAAGUAAAACCUAAGCAUGAAUUGAUGAUUAUGGGUGGCAUAAGAGCCAUUAGAAAAAUUAAGUUUAUUUUUGUUUUAAAAGAUUUUUAUUCACUUUAAGAAUAUUAAGAUACCAAAACUUGAUAUUUUAAUCUCUAUCAUAGGUGUUUAAUGAGAAAUUUCAUGUAUCUAGAAUGAAAACACUACUCAGUCUCAUUUAAAAUAUAAAAUGUGUUUUAUCUAUUAAUUAAAUUUCAAACGAAAAAAUUUCAUGUAUUCAUGGAAUUUAAAUUAUAAAAUCCAUAAAAAACAAUACUUUCUCCAAUUUACAUUUUUAUAUUUCAAUUGGAAAAUGAAUAAUAACAGUAAGCAAAACAUUAUGAAAUUUGAAAAAUACUUAAAGAGUAAUAUGUUGAGAUAAAAUAAAUGCAUAAAACAAAUACAGGAUAAUGUAAGCAAUAUGCAGAAUGUACAAAAUGAUUAAUUAAUACAAGCAAGAUAAUUAAUUAAUGCAGAAUGAUGCAAAAUAAUUAAUUAAUUCAAAACAUGUAAAAUAAUUAAUUAAUUCAAAAGGAUGCAAAAUAAUUAAUUAAUGCAGAAAGAUGAAAAAUAAUUAAUUAAUGCAGAAAUACGUAAAUUAAUUAAUUAAUUCAGAAAUAUGCAAAAUAAUUAAUUAAUUCAGAAAUAUGCAAAAUAAUUAAUUAUGUCAGAAAUCACAUGUACUUGACGUUUAUAAACUGUCAAAUAUAAUUUUACUUGACGCUUAAAAUAUGUCAAACAUAAAAUCACUCUUAUUCUUAACACUAAAUUACUUGACGACUAAAAAGUGUCAAGUAAUCUCAUAUAUUUGACGUCUUUUACCUGUCAAGUAAACUGGUCUUACUUGACGUUUAAACACAGUCAAGUAUACCUUCCUUAUUCUUGACACUAGAUUACUUGACACUUUUAAAAGCGUCAAAUAAACUUUUACUUGACAGUUUUUAAGCAUCAACUAAAGCCGAUUUUGAAGUAGUGUAGUUACCAUUGUGACCAAACUUUCAGGGUGUACAAUUAAUAGAGAUGAAUGAGCAAACAUUUGUUUUAGAAAGCAAAAGAGUUAUUGAGAGACAAAAAGAGUUCUUUAAAGGCAAAAAAGAGUUCAGCAGGUGAAAGGUCUUAGAAAUUUUUUUAUAUGUAUUAUAUUUGAGAUAUUAUUUAUGCUAAAAGGUAAACUUAAGGUAGUAUAACUAUUUCGAAGGCUAUGUAUCUUUUUAAAAUCAUCAAUCACAGGGUUAUUUAGCUCACUUUUUUCAAAUGUUUUUCACUUUUCAAGAAAGAGGUCGUGAUACACGGCCCGAUGGCCAGCUAUCACACCACUUUGUUGUUAGAUUUUUGUUUACUUAGUGAUUAGUAGCUCAAGAUAAAACUACAUCAUGUACAUAUGUCUUAAGUUUAGCGAACUUAGUUAGGAUGUUGAAUAGUUGUUCUUGUUUUUUUUAACCUUUAGUUAUUAGUAUCACGUGGUUUUGCUUUUAAACAAGGUGGUGUUUGGAAGAGUUCUAUUUCACAAAUAAAGAUAUUGUUAAAGUUAUUGGCUCGUUAAUUUAAUUCUUAAAUAUUAAGUUGCAUUUAUAUGGUAAAAGUCAGUAGAUAAGACUCAGUUGAUGUUGUUCAAAAGGAAAAUGAUGUCGGUUGACUUUCCACCAUCUCUCGAAUCGAGAGUAGGUGAUUCGGGAGAGGUGUGGUUAAAGUAAUUUGGAUCGGAUAAAAAGUUUGGAAUUUGAAUUUAAAUUUGAAGGAACUAAAAAGUUUUGGUGAAGCUUGCUAUCCUUCGCCAUGGGCCACCUUCAUCUUCUAAGUUCGCUUCUGAUCUGGAAAGCUUUCUAAGGAAAAUCCCUGGAGUCAUCUUCCUUUUCCAAACUUUCACUCUCUUCAACACAAUUAUAGCUUAUUUUCUUGGAAACUUGAAGGGUCUCAAUCUUUCACUAUGGUCCUACUCAAUCGGUAUAUGUACAUAUAUGAUUGUAAAUUUUAAUUUAUUUGGGGUUGAAUACUCAAAAGUUUAUGGACCAGUUCUUGGCUUACCCUGGUUGAUUUGGUCUUAGUUCAGGAGUAAAUAGUUUAGAAAUUUGGUUAAGGAUAAAAGUAGGAUCAAAUGCAUAGAAUAGAGAACAUCAUGAAUAAAAUCUAAGCUAGACUCCUUUUGACAUUCAAUCUUUACAAUUUCUCUUUAUUUAUUGCAGUUUAUUUUCUUGCAAUUAAAUUUCUCUCAACCAAACAUAGGUUGAUUGAAAUUAGUGCUUCCUGAGUUUUAACCAAGUUUACCACUAAAAUGAGUGCUUGCAUGGUAUAUGAUUAAUUCAGUAAAAGUAGUUGACACACAUUUCGGCGACAAAAUCCAUACGUCAACACCUCCACUCAUUAUGUUUUAAAGUAGUUUUAAAUGAAAAAAUUAAAACAUUUGAAUUUGAUUUUUAAAUGUAAAUGUUUCAUGACUUAUUUAUAUAUAUAUGUUUAUUUUCAAUGUUUUAGGGACACUUGUAAAAGUAGCAAAAAAUAAUAGUGUCUGUAUCAUCUAUAACUUACAAUAGUAGCAAAUUUAAAAGUCAAUAACUUUAUGAAUAUCAUCUAUAGCUCUUCGAUAAACCUUUGAUUACCUUCUGAUAUCACUAAUUUUGUCAAACGAGGUGGUAUGAACUGUUUUUUUUCUAAAUGUUUUUUCAUUUUCGUAUAAAUUAAUUAAAAAUUAUUAUUUUACAUUAAAAGAGUCUGAUCAAUCUUUAUUUAAAAUUACAUGCACGUAGUAAUAAUCGAAAGUAGAGAUCUGGAAGAGGUGAAGUGGUUACAUUCUCCAAUCUUUAAUUUCUCAUUAAAUAUUUUUAUUGUUUAAUUUGUUACUUGGAUUUAAUUCCUGCCAUUUUGGUUCACUUGGCUAUUUGUAUAUAGUUUCUAAUCCUAAUAAUUAACCUGACCACGAAGCCCAUUCUUCGAGGAAGCAAAAUGGAAGGCAACAGACAUGAGUACUUUUUUUUUUUUUUUGUUACUAAGAAAAUAAGUUUUAAUGACCCUACUAAUGAAGACAUUAGCUAAAGUGUUGUUGACAGGAAAUGUGGUUGUUUAAAUUGUUAGGGUUAGUUCUAUGUUUAUUUCAUAAAUAUAUUGCACAUUGUAUUUAAUUUGGAGGCAAAAACUUGAAUAUCAUAUCUUGACAACACAUAUCAUAAACUUAAAAAGUAAUAUAUUAUAUGUAUAAUAAUGGAGCUUCAUCAAUUUUACAUAUAGAUGACAAUUAUUUAAUGGAACAUACAUAAAUAGAAUGGCAUAAUACUAAGGAUAUUAAAGUGAUUAUUCCAUAUAGAUGACUUCAAAAUAAAAACACACAAUCGACAAUGUCAUAAUGCCUUAGCUAUUGUGAAGCUCGUAUACGAACAAAAAGCUUGUCAUUUAAGGUGAGAUUCCAUGUCUUUGGUUAUGCCAUUCAUGAUCUCAAUGUAUUUGUAUGGAUAAGGAGAGCUGUGAUUGAGUUUCUCAUAUUCUAUGGUUAGAAUGGCCAAGCAAUGGUUGGGAUCAUCACCUUUUGGCACAAACUGAUAAAUUGGGAUGAAUUUUUUAUAGUACUUGAAUGCACUUCCUUCUAAUCCAAUCAGUGUUACUUUUCCAUUCACAUCAUCAAAUUCCACUUGCUCUUUCAAAACCUCCGGUUUACCAUCUUAACACAUAAAAAAAAAAAUUAGAAUAUGAUAAUAUAUUGUGUAGAGACGAUCAUAUAUUCAUUCAAUAAAUAAAAGAAAACGAAAUACGUUUAAGAUUUUAAAAGUAUAAAAUAGAAUGAAAGCAAAAGUACAAAUAGGGAAAUAAGAAAUGAUGGAUUGUUGUUGAAGGGUUUAUACAGAUACGUACCGGCAAAGUAGUUCCAAAUUUUGAUAGAGCCAUGACCAUGAGUGUCCCAAUCACCAUCAUGAACAUCAACUUGUUGAAUGAAUUUUGGUGUAAUAUUUGGCAUAUGCUUACAGUUAUCUUUGAAGAUUUUGUAGCAUUUUUCUGCAGAUGCAUUUAUUGGUAAUUCACUCACAAGUUUCCCACCAAGAGACAUUGUUUCACUUUCGAUAGAAUGCUUUGCUACAAUGUCCAAUGGCUUGCCCUUCUUAUAGGAAUCUCCAUUAUACACAUCAUUCAAGAUAAUUUAUUGUUAUGCUGAGUAAUAUAAUGCCAAAUAGAACUUAUGCCUUAUUGAUGUCAAACCAUCUCAUUAAUAAUUUUGAAUUUCACGCGUAAUAAAAGAUAUUAAGAUUAGAUUAGUUUAAUAGUAUAAAAUUAAUUGUCCAUCAAUUAACUAAUAUUUCUAUGAAUUCCAUAUAGAUUCAAUACUGAUACGAUAAAAAAUAAAAUUAAAAUGUUCACUCAGUUUGGAUGUAAUUUUACUUAAUUUAAAUUUAUUUUUUUCAAAAUAUUUAUUAAAUUUCACUCCUUUUCGAUGUAUUUAUUUAAUUGAAACUCAAUAUUUCCAUCAACAAUAUGUCAAAGUGGUUGGGUAAUUACAUCUAUAUGCAAUCUAUCAAAUUCUUCAAUUGUAGUUGGUCACUUGCAUCCUUAUUAUUUAAGUAGGGUGAUUUGUGUGUAUGGUGAUAGUUAUAAAUGUAGUCUAGCAAACAUUUAAAUAUGAUUAUAAAACAUACAAGUAUCCAAUCUCUAACAAAAAAAAAAAAAAAAAAAUCAUCAACAAUGCCAUAUUGAUGGUCUAUAAAUAAUAUACAUAACAUGAUUAACAGUCUAUGCAAAAAAAAAAAAAAAUGACAACACUAUAAUAAUCUCGAACUAAUAUUAUAGAGAAAGUAUUUGUCAAUAAAUAGAACUUUUAACGACGUGAUCGAUUAGUAUUCACAUACAGUGUUUAAUUUAAAAAUAAAAAUAAGUUAUUUUGAAAAAAGUAACGUUUAAAAACUAACUCAAAACAAUUUUAAAUUAGGAAAUUAACUGGCGUGAAUGACAAAUUAAUAGUACAAUAUUUAAAGUUUGUUGUACACGUUCUCAAUUUUGCAAAUAUGAUAUUUUUUAAUGCAUAGAAUUUAUCGAAUGCAUUAAGUAUAUUAAGUAUAUAUUAGUGAUGUAUCAUAUCAAGAAUAUCAAAUGCAUCGUGUGUAUAUUAAAUAUGUGUUAAGUGUAUAAAGUGUAUCUAUUUGUAUUUCUUUCUGUAAUCUCGUGGAUUGGUAUCGUGUUUUGCCAUUUUUGCAAAAAUAAUAUUUGUGAGCUAUAUUCCUAAAUUUUAAAACUUCAUUAACUUUUAAAUAUUAAUUCUACAAGUUUUAAUCAACCAUUUUAAUGUUUAAAAGUCUAUAAGAUACAUUUGCAUUUUUAUAUUAAAUAUUUAAUCCUACCCGUGUUAAAUAUUUUAUUACAUUUAUAAAGUAUUUUUUAAAGAAAUAUUUUUAAAUAAAACAAAAUAAGAUAACUUAUUUACAAAUAUAACAAUAUUUUAUUUUUAAUGUAUGAUAAACAAUGAUAAACUUCGAUAUAUAUCUAUCCUUUUUUUAGCAAUAGACACGAACAUAUAUUUAUUUAAGUUUUUCACAAUCCAUACUAAACAUAGAAAAUAAAAUUUUGCAAUAUUUGUUAAUGUUUUCUAACAAUUUACCAUUAAAAAGAAUUAUAUAUUUGUAGAAUGGAGGAAGUGUAAUAAAAGGUGAAAAUAUAAUUCUUUGUUUCGGUUGAAUUGUACUUUUUUUUCCAUUUUGGGAAUUAUCAAUAAUAGAGUUAAUCCUUAUAUUUGAAUUGCGCUUCAUUAAUUAAGUUAUGAUGUCAAUUAUUCUAUAGAUAUUAAAGGUUAUUCUCAAUAAUUUAAAAUAAUAAUGAUUUUAUAUCUGAAAACAGAUAUAAUUGCUUUUUCUUUUAUACUUGUAUCACCUAACCAAUAUUAUUGCAUGAAUAACUUUGUGAAAUUAAUUGGUAAAACAUAUAUAUAUUUAGAAUAUAUGGUUAUAGCCACAUAUAUAUUUAGAAAAUAAAAUUAGAAGAUUAUUGGAAAAUUAUCAAUAGACAUAGGGUUGGUUUGGAAUUGUUUUGAGUGAGUUCAAUGCAAUUGAUGUAUCCAAACUUUAACCAUUAUAUUUGGUAUGUUUGGUUAUAUAAUUAGAGAAAUUUAUUUAGGUGAUGAAAAUUUUGAAACUAUUUAUAAACUGUUGUAGGUGAAUUUUAGCCAAUUAAAAGAGAGUCUAUGGGAGCGCGUAAGUGAGCCUAGUGAUAGCUUAGUGGACUCAUGAAGUGAGUCUAGACGGCCUCAGUGGCAGUUCAAUGGACUCAUGUGGUGAACCUCAGUGAUCUCUGUUUACAUGAGGUUUCGAAGAAAUGUAAUUCGUGGAAUUGAAGUUUGUAUAUUGAUUAAUAUAGCGGAUACAAUCUCUAGUAUUUACUCAUUUGAUGUUUUCUCUCGAAUACAAGUUAAAACUUAGAACUUCUUGAUCUUUGGUAUUCGGGACGUUGUAGUUGCAAGUCAAUUUAAACUUCGAUCUUCUGAAAUCCAAGUAAAGUUUCAUAUUUCAAGUCUUCAAUCUUUCAGAAGUUGUUGAUCUCGAGGUUGAUACGAACUUGCACCUCUUGAGAGAUUUUAGAAGUUUAAGUCUUCAAUUCUUAAGUACUUCAGUACUCCGAAGCUUCAAUUCUUCCUUCAACAAAAGACCCCCUUAAAUGAGUGACAAAUGUCUCUAUUUAUAGAGAAAUUUCAUGGACUUUAGGUGGGCUUGGGCGUAAGCCCAUUUUCUUGUUGGGCUUGGACUUGGACUCAUUUGCUUGUUGGGCUUGAGCUUGGGCCCAUUUGUCUAUAGGGCUUGAACUUGGACUUGAGUCCAUUUUCUUAGCAGGCUUGGGCCCCCUUGUUUGGCUCAGUUUUUAUUAGGGACUUGCAUUGGGUUGGAUAUGAAAAAACUUGAUUACCCAAAAUCCAAUCAAAUUAUAAUCAUCACCAUUUUGUUGUGAUGACAUGAAAAAAUUUAAUUGGCCGAAAUUUCUUGCUCAACAAUCUCAGUGGUAGCUCGAUGUACCCUUAAAGUGAAAGUAAGCAAGGUUAAUAUAAAAUAUGCUCAUUUCGGUUAAGGAAUGAAUAAGUUAUGAUCUUCUCAAGUUGGAUCUUUGAAUCCGGAAAAUUCUUGGCAAAUUUGUGAAAGUUUGAUUUUUAUUCCUUGAGUAGGAAUCUUUGUAUGACAUCUUUAGUACGUCAUAUUAAUAUGGCAUAGAAGGAAAAUAAUAUUUUAACGUUCUAAUGCUCGGUUAUGGUUUGUUUAUUAGGUCAAGAAAAAAUAGACCAAGUCUACAGACGGAGGUUCUCGCCAAGACUGCAGUAACAAAAAGAAUUUCAAUAGUGAUUUCCAAACUUGUUUCCUAGCCAAAUUGUUUUAACAUACUUUGAGUUUAUUUAUUUCUCUCAUCAAGUCCCUCUAUUUCCAUUUCAUCUUGUUUCCUUCUUUGUGUCAUGGUCAUCAGCAUCAUCAGACGUGUUUGAUGAUUUGUAUAAAUAUAAGUUAUUGCAGCCUUUUCUGUAAAAUAAUGAAGUCUUAUAGCAUAAGAAUAAAAACAAAAGGAAAAAGUAUAUACUUCGAUUAACUUGUAUAGCGCAUCCCGUAAAAGAACUUUGUCCCUGUUUUAUCGCGCUUUUAGUUUUCUUUAUCGCAAGAUAUAAGCAAAAAAAAAAAAGAGCUCGAUGAUAGAAGGCUACACUAGGAGAAGCAUCCAACCAAUGCGAUGACAAGCAACUAAGCUAGGUGAUCUGAUGCACUAGCAGAAAAAAUUGAUUUGACGUGUAUUAUCAGAAAAAGGACGAAAGGUCGUAUAUGCCGCGCUGAUACAUCCUAUCAGAGACAUUAAUGAAGCAUGAGCUGCCUAGUCACAUCAGUCCUCACAUAUAAGUAGAGGUUUGAUAUACUUCAGAGAAUAGGUGUGUAAUAUUGGCGGGAGAGCAAGUUCAUGUCAUCCAUCCUUUCUUCAUCCCUUGAGUUUUAGGUGAGAGUUAGAACAAAAAGAGAGAGAGAAAGUUCUUCCCCACAACAUUUUCCACUCUUAGUCAUGCGAAGGGAAGGAGAGAGAUAAGUUAGAUACUCCUUUUUAUAAGACAGUUAUUUGACGUUCAAACCUCUCCUUCUUCAUCUUUUUGAGUAUUUUUUAGCUUUUAGCAUCUCUCCGGCUUUGAAAACAAGUUCAAUAUCCUGGAGGGCUGAUCGUCUUAAGCCUUAAUCCAAGAACGGUUACGUGGACAACUGAAGGGCUUGAUGCAUUUCUCUCUAUCCUACUUUUUGUUUUUAUUGUAUUACUAUGUAAAAUGCACUCUAUGGUCGAAUGGCCUAAAUUUUUAUUUAUAAUAGUAAUGCAUUUCUUCUUCCAUUCUCCCAUAUUUCUUUUAUUAUGGAGAAGUCACGACGUCAAUUAUUCUAUAGAUAUUAACGGUUAUUCUCAAUAAUUUAAAAUAAUAAUGAUUUUAUAUAUGAAAAUAGAUAUAAUUGCCUUUUCUUUUAUACUUGUAUCACCUAACAAAUAUUAUUGCAGGGCGCCCGAGAUGAAAUUAAUGGGUAAAACACAUAUAUAUUUAAAACAUUCGGUCAUAGCCGCAUAUAUACCUAGAAAAUAAAAUUAGAAGAUUGAAAAAUUACUAAUAGACAUAGGGUUUUGGUUUGGAAUUGUUUUGGGUGAGUCAAAUGCAAUUGAUCUAUCAAAACUUCGACCAUUAUAUUUUGUAUGUUUGGUUAUAUAAUUAGAGAAAUUUAAUUAAAUUAUGAAACUUUUGAAAAUAUUUAUAAAUGUUGUGGAUGAAUUUUAGCCUACACAAGGAGAACCUAUGGAAGAGCCUAAGUAAGCUUAGUAACAGCUCGAUGGAUACAUGAGGUGAAUUUACGAUCUCAAUGGUAGUUUGGUGGACUCAUGAGGUGAACGUAAGUGAUCUCAAUGGUAGCUCGAUGGACCCAUGAGGUGAAACUAGGUGAGUUUGAUAUAAAAUAUAAAAUAUUUUGGUUAAGAAAUGAACAAGUUAUGAGCUUCUCAACUUAGGUCUUUGAAUAUGAAAAUUUUUGGGCAAAAUUGUGAAAGUUUGAUUUUGUUCCUUAAAGUUGGAAUCUUUGUAUGACAUCUUUAGUACGUCAUAUUAAGUAUAGCAUACAAGGACAAGAAUAUUUAGGGUUCUGAUACUCAGUUAUGUUUUGUUUGACAAGUAAAAAAGGAAAUAGACCAAGUCUACAGACCGAGGUUCUAGCCAAGACUGUGAGUGUAACAAAAACAAAUUUUGAUAGAGAUUUCUAAACUUGACUACUAGCCAUAUUGUUUGAACAUACUUUAAGUUUAUUUGUUUGAGAUGCAUCGCAAUUUAGCAAGCUAUUUUAAAAGUAUAUGAUUUAAAUAACUUAUAAAGUUUAAUUAAACAUACAUUGUUUAAAAUGAUUUCUCGUAAAUGAGUUUAUAGUUUUGAGUAUAUGAGUUUGUAAGAGUUUUAGCAAAGCAUGAGUUAUAAAUUUAUAGUUUGCCAAGAGUAGAGAAUUUGCAAACAUGUAGUGUUUAUGUUUUCCAUAAAAAGAAAGUUUAUAGUUUUAAAGCAUGUUUUAUUCUAAAUCAACACAUAUUGUACCUUGAAAGGGCAAGAUUAUUACACACAUAUAUAUAUAUUUGAAACAAGGACUCCUAUCUUAGAGUUUUGAUCGUUAUAAUUGAGAUUAUUCUACUAUCGAAUUAGAGGUGGAUUUGGCAUUGAUUUAAAUCUGGGAGUUUGGCUAGAGAUCAGCUCGGGUAAAUGGUAACUGGCGCGUGUGGCUCAAUCUGGGAGUUUGGCUUGCGACGGUAGCUUGCAAAAGAUAAUGAACAGAGGUGGAGAUGUCAUCAGAGUCUGAUUUCAUACAAUGGAGAAACAUCGAGACCGAUCUUCAGUUUCGAUUUGUUCCAGUUCGGGACACACGACCCGAAGGAGAAUCACUUUGCGCUUAAACUUGGCGGAAAAGCUCGGUCGACAACGACACUUUGCGGGUCUACUUGAUGCGAUGAAAAACGUCUUGAACGGAGCAUCGCUCGACGGUGAACGAAGGCAGUUAGAGGCGGCAACGGCUAGGGUUCUUUGAAGGAAGAAGAAGGUGAAUAGUUUGGCACGUUUCAUGAGAUGAGUUCUUAAUAUAAACAAUAAUAUUAUUAAUAACAAUUAUGAACCGGAGCACUUGCAAAAAUAGUAAAAUAAGUUGUAAUAAUUAAGUCUAUCUCACACACAUUUUAUUAUUUAUAAAAAUGGCAAAAAUGAAGUCCAACUCACACAUCAAGAGGUAUAAUGUCACAAAUGCCCUUGUUACUAGUAUACGUUUGAUACACCUUAUAUACGUCUGAUACACCAGAUACACCAAUUGAUAUACUCGAUAAAUUUGAUUGAUAUACUUGAUGCACCUGAUACUCUUUGAUACACUUAAUACCGAAACAUUACUAAUAUAUGUUUGAUACACCUGAUACAGUGCAAAUACAUUUUGUAUUAUUCACCUAUUUUUUAAAGGAGGAAAAAUUCGGAUGGAUAUUAUUACGACCAAUUCAUGGUACUGUUUUCAUCGCUACAAGUUUAUGACAAAGUGGGUGUCCUUCGACAUUAACGAGUUAAUCCUACUAAUUUUAAUGAUCCUACUAAUGAAGACAUCAAGUCGUAAAAAAUAAAAAGGCGGAUUGUAGAGUUAUUAAAAUCUAGUUGUUUAAAUUGUUAGAGUUAGUUCUAUGUUUAUUUCACAACACUGUAUUUAAUUUGUAAACUAAAGACAUAUUUGAUUAGUAUGUUAGGAUCAAAACAAAAAAAGUAGGCAAAAACUUGAAUAUCAUAUCUUGACAACACAUAUCAUAAGCUUAAAAAGUAAUAUAUUAUAUGUAUUAAUAAUGGAGCUUCAUCAAUUUUACAUAUAGAUGACAAUUAUUUAAUGGAAGAUGUGUGAUUAAAAUACAUAAAUAGAGUGGCAUAAUACUAAGAAUAUUAAAGUGAUUAUUCCAUAUAGAUGGCUUCAAAAUAAAAACACACAAUCGACAAUGUCAUAAUGCCUUAGCUAUUGUGAAGCUCGUAUACGAACAAAAAGCUUGUCAUUUAAGGUGAGAUUCCAUGUCUUUGGUCAUGCCAUUCAUGAUCUCAAUGUAUUUGUAUGGAUAAGGAGAGCUGUGAUUGAGUUUCUCAUAUUCUAUGGUUAGAAUGGCCAAGCAAUGAUUGGGAUCAUCACCUUUUGGCACAAACUGAUAAAUUGGGAUGAACUUUUUAUAGUACUUGAAUGCACUUCCCUCUAAUCCAAUUAGUGUUACUUUUCGAUUCACAUCAUCAAAUUCCACUUGCUCUUUCAAAACCUCGGGUUUACCAUCUUAACACAAAAGAAAAAGAAAAAAAUUAGGAUAUGAUAUAUAUUGUGUGUGGAGCCGAUCAUAUAUUCAUUCAACAAAUAAAAGAAAAUGAAAUGCAUCGUUUAAGAUUUUUAAAAUAUAAAAAUAAAAAUUAAUAGAAUGAAAGCAAAAGUACAAAUGGAGAAAUAAGAAAUGAAUGGAUUGUUGUUGAAGGUUUAUACAGAUACGUACCAGCAAAGUAGUUCCAAAUUUUGAUAGAGCCAUGACCAUGAGUGUCCCAAUCACCAUCAUGAACAUCGACUUGUUGAAUGAAUUUUGGUGUAAUAUUUGGCAUAUGCUUACAGUUAUCUUUGAAGAUUUUGUAGCAUUUUUCUGCAGAUGCAUUUACUGGUAAUUCACUCACAAGUUUCCCACCAAGAGACAUUGUUUCGCUUUCGAUAGAAUGCUUUGCUACAAUGUCCAAUGGCUUACCCUUCUUAUAGGAAUUUCCAAGGUACAAUUUAUACACAUCAUUCAAGUUAAUUUAUUGUUAUGGUGAGUAAUGCCAAAUAGAACUUAUGCCUCAUUUAUGUCAAACCAUCUCAUUAAUAAUUUUGAAUUUCACGCGUAAUAAAAAAUAUUAAUAUUAGAUUAGUUUAUUAGUAUAAAUUUUCAUCAAUUAACUAGUAUUUCUAUAGAUUUAAUAUAGAUACGAAGAGUGAAUAGAUAUUUCAAUAAUCCUACUGAAAAAAUAAAAUAAAAUGUUCAUUCAGUUUAGAUAUAAUUUUACUAAUUUAAAUUAUUUUUUUCAAAAAUAUUUAUUGAAAUUCACUCCUUUUCCAUAUUUUUAUUUAAUUGAAACUCAAUAUUUCCGUCAAGAAUGAUGUCAAAGUGGUUGGGCAAUUACAUAUAUUUUAUGCAAUUUACCCGAUUGUUCAAUUGUAGUUGGUCACUUGCAUCCUUAUAAUUAUUUAAAUAGGGUUUUUUGUGUGUACGUUGAUAGUUAUAAACGUAGUCUAGCAAACAUUUAAAUCUGAUUAUAAAACAUAAAAUUAUUCAAUCUCUAAUAAAAAAGUCAUCACCAAUAACAUAUCGAUGGUCCAUAAAUAAUAUACAUAAAAUGGUUAACCAUAAAAAUGACAAUUGAGUAAUAUAAUAUAAAGAAAGUAUUUGUCAGUGAAUAGAAUAUGUUUUAACAGUGAUAGAUCUAUCAUUCAGAUAUAAGUAUUAGAAUACUUAUGUAUGUUUGAAUUAAAUUUUCAAUUUUUAAAUUUAAAAAUAAAUUAUUUUCAAAAAAUAAACCGUUUGAAAACUACUCAUAUUUUUUAAGUGUAUUUUAAACAUUUUUCACCAAAAUAAGAUAACUUAUUCAUAAAUGUAACAAAGUUUUAUUUUGUAUGCAUGAGACAAUGAAAGACUUAGAUAUACAUCUAUCACGUCUUUUCUUUUAACAAAUAGAUACUCACAUAUAUCUAUUUAAGUCUUUCACAUCCAUCUAAACAUAGAAAAUAAUUUUUUUUAAUAUUUGUUAAUAUUUUCUAACGAUUUAUCAUUUAAAAAAAAUGGUAUAUUAAUGGAGUGGAGAAGUGUAAUGAAAGAUAGAAAAUAUAAUUUAUUGUUUAAGUUGAAUUGCACUGUUUUUUUUCCUUUUUGGGAAUUAUCAAUAAUAUUGUUAUUCCUUAUAUUUGAAUUGUGCUUCAUUAAUUAAGUCAUGAUGUCAAUUAUUCUAUAGAUAUUAAAGGUUAUUCUCAAUAAUUUAAAAUAAUAAUAAUUUUAUAUCUCAAAACAGAUAUAAUUGCCUUUUCUUUUAUACUUGUAUCACCUAACCAAUAUUAUUUGCAUGAAUAACUUUGUGAUAUUAAUUGGUAAAACAUAUAUGUAUUUAGAACAUAAGGUUAUAGCCACAUGUAUAUUUAGAAAAUAAAAUUAAUUAGAAGAUUAUAGAAAAAUUAUCAAUAGACAUAGGGUUGGUUUGGAAUUGUUUUGAGUGAGUUCAAUAUAAUGCAAUUGAUGUAUCCAAACUUUAACCAUUAUAUUUUGUAUGUUUGGUUAUAUAAUUAGAGAAAUUUAUUUAAGUGAUGAAACUUUUAAAAAUAUUUAUAAACUGUUGUAGGUGAAUUUUAGCCAACUCAAAGAGAGUUUAUGGGAGAGCCUAAGUGAGCCUAGCGUCCAUGGAUUGAGUCUAGAGGUUGUUCAAGAUUCAUGAAGUGAACCUCAAUGAUCUCAGUGGUAGUUCGAUGUACUCUUGAAGUGAAAGUAAGCAAGGUUAAUAUAAAAUACGCUCAUUUUGGUUAAUGAAUGAAUAAGUUAUGACAUUCUCAAGUUGGGUCUUUGAAUCCGGAAAUUUCUUGGCAAAUUGUGAAAGUUUGAUUUUUAUUCCUUAUGUAGGAAUCUUUGUAUGACAUCUUUAGUACGUCAUAUUAAGUAUGGCAUAGAAGGAAAAGAAUUUUUUAAGGUUCUAGUACUCGGUUAUGGUUUGUUUGACAAGUAAAAAAGAAAAUACACUAAGUCUAUAGAUCGAGGUUCUAGCUAAGACUGUGAGCGUAACAAAAACGAAUUUCAAUAGAGAUUUCUAAACUUGACUACUAGCCAAAUUGGUUUAACAUGCUUUAAAUUUACUUGUUUGAGAUGCAUCCCAAUUUAGUAAAUAGUUUAUAAAGUUUAAUUAAACAUACAUUGUUGAGAAUGAUUUCUAGUAAAUGAACUUAUAGUUUGAGUAAAUGAGUUUAGAAUUGAAUUUUGAGUAGAUGAGCUUGUAAGAGUUUUAGCAAAGCAUGGGUUAUGAUUUUAUAGUUUGACACGAGUAGAGGAUUUCCAAAUACGUAGAGUUUAUGUUUUUCAUAAAAGGAAAGUCUAUAGUUUUAAAGCAUGUUUUAUUCUAAACCAAGACAUAUUGUAUCUUAAAAGCGCAAGAUUAUUACACAGAGGAUAUAUAUAUAUAUAUUGAAACAAUGACUCCUAUCUUAGAGGUUUGAUCAUUAUAAUUGAGAUUACUCUACUAUCAAAUUAGAUGUGGAUUUGGCAUUGAAUUAGCUCUGUCAUUUUCAAGGGAUUUGUUUAUGGUAUACAGAGGAAAACUAGUUUGAGUAUCUACUUAAAAUGCUUUGCAAAGAUUAAAUUAUUUAGUGUGAUUUAUUGAGUUAAACUAUUUAUAAAUGUAUUGAUGAGUUUGUUACUUAAAUGUUUAUAACAUGAUUUGUUUUAGAAAUCUAGUCACUCAUUAGACUUUAUAGUUCACCCUUUCAAAAUGUUUUCUCACUUUUCAGAUAGAGAUCGAGUUAUCGGCGGUUGACACUCUGCCACAGUCUAUUAUAAGGUCUCAGUUUUAUUUCCAAUGUGUGGGUAGAGUACUUCUGCUUAAGAGUAUGUAUAGUUCCCUAAGUUUGAGUUUUGUAAAUACUAGUGGGGUAGUGGGUGUUAGUCUUGUAAAUUGUUAUACUUUGGUUGUAAAUAUCUUUAGCAAGUUUUGCAUAUAUCUUGAUGAGUUUUAGUUUGGGCUACACUAUUGAAUAAGAAAUUUUGGGCGAAUCACAAAUUGCCACGUCAUUUACUAAAUUAAUCAUGAAAAAAAUACAAAUAAUUAAAUUUGGGACUAAUUAAAAAAUUGGCAUGAAUGUCCUAAAUUAAAAUUGAAGACAUAGAUUGGCCAAUUCUGGUGAUGUCACAUAUUUUCAUUAUGACCGUUGGAUCAAGUUAUUUAUUUUGAUCUAAUUAAAUAUUAUUUACUUAAACUAAAGUUCAAUUGAGCCAAGAAAAAUAAUAUUAAUUUAGUCCAAAGGCUAAAUAUGACCUAAAUUCAUGUGGUUGAGCCCAUGGUUUCGAGUCCAUGGACCAACCAGGCCAAGCCCAUAAAGUCCGUUAAAGAACUCUAUAAAGUCCGUCAAUAGUGUUGUUCUCUUCAUUUGUGCGGUGGGAAAAUUUUGAGAUCAAAAGGUCUAAAGAGAAUUCUCCUAAGAGUCAGAAGACACCUAACUCUUGAAGUCGACCACCCUAAAAAGUUGAAGUUUCUUUGAAAAUACAAGUUUUCUUUCAAAACUCCAACUUUAAGAACGCCACGUGCUCCGUUUUCUCAAAUCAAGCGUAGGCAACCAACCGAGAGAGAAUCAAAGAAUCAAAUACCAAAGAUCGAACAACAUUUGUAUCAAAUGAACACAAAUACAAUAUCAACACAAGUUCAACUCUAAGAAUUAAAUUUCUCUAGAAAUUUCGUGUGAACAAAUUGGCACACCCAGUGGGACCUCUCUACCUCUCAUCUCUCUCUCGUCAUCCAAAUCUACAAGCAAACAAUGACAUCAUAGAAAGUUACAUCCAAAGCAACUACUGCAAAUGAUGCUUACACUAGACUUCUCACCUAGAGUCACUCAAAGGGGAGCAUGCAAGAACAAGAACAAAGUUCAGUCCUCACAAAGAAAAGUUGGGAAGAACUGAUAGAAUCUCCUAAACGCAAGAUCAUCAUAAGAGCAAAUCCCCUGUUCAACAACUCUACUCUUUCUUUCGAUCUACCAGAGAAAGAAUCAAACCUUAAAGUAGUGUCUGUCAUGAUGGCUAUGUAACAGUCAAGGCCAGCCAUCAUGACGAAGAUGGAGAGAAAAAUAAAUUUCUUAAUGAAAGCUAUCAGGGAGUGAGAUCAUGAAGUCGUUGACUUGAAAGAUCAAAUGAAGGCUUGUGAAACUGAUGAGUCAAGUAAAACUCCUGCUUCAAAGCAAAAGAUAAAAAAAAAGUUGUGUUGCAGGAAAACCAGACGCAAUAGUCCAUCGCUGUCACCUCCCUAUCAAUUUAACGAUUGAAAUAUGAUAACAAGCGCCAUAAGAACUCAAUAUGGAGGACCGCCACAAACUUAUUUUAUGUACUCCAAGUCAUAUACCAAGGGAAUCAAUGACAUGUGAAUGUCUGUUGGGUACCAACCUACAAAAUUCUAACAAUUCGACGGAAAAGGCAAUCCAAAGCAACACAUUACUCACUUUGUUGAAACAUGCGAGAACAUAAGAUCAAGGGGAGACCAACUAGUCAGGUAGUUCAUUCAAAGUUUGAAAGAAAAGGCUUUCAAGUGGUAUACCGAUCUGGAGCCAGAAAUCAUUGAUAGUUGGAAAACAACUGGAAAAGAAGUUUUUAAACCGAUUCUACAUGAGUACCAGGCACAUCGUACGCAUGUUGGAGUUGACAAACACCAAACAGUGGAAGGGAGAGCCAGUCAUCGACUACAUAAACCCAUGGAGAGCUCUAAGCCUACAUUGCAAAGACCAGGUUCACAGAACUGCGUGUAAUGGAGAUGUGCAACCAAGAAAUGCAUUGGGAACUUCUCUAUAUUUUGCAGGAAAUAAAACUCCACACGUUUGAAUUGUUGGCAACUUGUGCUCAUGAUAUGGAACUAAGUAUUCCCAACAAGGGAGCAAAAGGUUUCUUGGUUUACGAAAUGAGGAAUGAUGAGAAUGAAAUCAAUGAUAUUGAAAAGAUUGGGAGUAGUGUCACAAAAUAGUCUAUGGUUGUUCAUGAGACUUCAUUGAAAUCUUUCUCCAAAAGAGAAUAAACAAAAAUAGAAAGAAAACAUGAUGGUGAAGAGAAGCAUCGCCCCAACUCGUAAAGAAAGGCAGAAAAAAGUUUAUCUAUGUUCCGACUCUGAUGUUGCACACAUGUUAAAGUAGUUGCUAGAGUAGUUGCUAAAUGAUCAACUUAUUCAAAUAAAUAGUUUAAAUAAAAUGAGUUUUUUCUUUUAAAUUUCUUUUUCAGUCAAUCCAAAUAAUUCUCAAAUCUACCCCUUAAAAUGAGCAACAAAAAAAAAAAUAAAAAACAUAUAUUUAAAUCCAAAAUUUGUCCGCUAAAUAUAACAUACCCUUAAAAUUUUAAAUUAUGUAUAAUCAUGUAUUUAUUUAUGUGUCAAAUAUAUUCAAAUUUUUAAGUCUUUCAAAUUUAUUUUCUUCAAAUUUUACUCGAUUACGAAGAUUCAUAUUUUUUUCAUAAAUAAAAAAAAAGAUAAAACAAAGAUGAAAAAGAAAGUUUUAUUUUGUUCAUUUAUUUUUAUUCUUUGAAUCAAAAUGUACCGCUUCUCAUUUUUUAAUUGAGGAAACAAAAUAUUUUUUUUUUUUUCUUUUACAUAUAAGAAAAAGAAAUUAUAUAUAAUUUUUCUCAAAACAAUAACAAAUUUCCCUAAAUACUUUGAUUUAAAAAAUUAUUAUUUAAUACAUCACAUUAUAAACAAACUUUUAUAAGGGGCUGAUUUUGUUCCAUCUAACUAAUUCAAAUUAUUUCUAUCUUUAAUUUAUUUAACUCGUCAUCCAAAAACUAUUACAAUAAUUUUAAAAAUAUUUUAAAAUAGAAGUAAAAGUAGAAGUUUGAUUUUCGUAAUUUUGAAAACUAAAAUUAAAGAAAAAUAGAUGUUUGUUAUUAUUUAAACAUUUAUUUUAAAUAAAUAUUAAUGAAGAUUUUUUGUGUGGUUUAGAUGAGGUACACAAUUAAGUGGUCAAUAAAGAUGUGAAAGAACUAACUAAAGAAAGAUAAUGCAAAAAAAAAAAAAAAGAGAGAGAGAGUGUGUGCUUUUCCAUUUUUUUUAACUUCAUAGAUAAAAAAAUAAUUGAAAAUGUGAAAAUCCUCAAUCAAUGAUUUCAUAUCGGUCAAACGUGUGGACUGGCAUAAAAUGCCAAACCAAUCCAAGAACAAUAACUCCUCUUUUUUGUUAUUUAAGAUUUUGCUAUAUUUAUAGAUAUCUUUAUUUUUUUUGUUAUUUAAAACCAUUUUUGUUUUAAGGGAUUGCAUAGAAAAUUAAAAGAAAAAAAAAAUCAAACAUCUAUAUUGGGUUUAUAUUGCUUUAUUCAUUUAUGCUUUGUAAUGACAGUUAACAAAGUAUGAAGACAAACAAUUCGUAAUGUUGAAAUAUAUUUUAUAACGAAAAAAUCUACUACACUUGAUUAUUUCUGGUCGAAUAAACGUACUUAUAAUUUUAUACUUUUAGAUAACUUAUAUCGUUAAGUUAAAUACUUAGGAUUUAUUUACUUUGAACUCACUCGUGCUCGUGACACCUUUUCUAUUGUAUUUGUUUAUUUAUUUUUAUGGAAAAUCUUACUUUUGUUUAGAAUAUACCAAAAGAUUUUAACAAAAUUCUAUAAUAAUUAUUACAUUAUUAUUCAUGUGUGUUUAUUUGUAAUCAUACAAAAAAAUUCACUCUUGAAAUUUGAUAUUUUUUAAAGGUAAUUUUAAUUUUGUUAAGAGCAUCCCAACAAAUUUUAAUGAAAAUUUAAAAGAAGUAUUAACAUUAUUUGUGUUUGUUAAUUUAUUUUGUCAACUAUUCAAAUAUUUCUAAAAUUGAUUUAUUUUUUUAAAAUGAGUAGAAUUUAAUUUUUAAGAAAAAAUUAUAUGAAAAAAAUUAAGAAAGAAUACAAAAUUUAUAUGAAAAAAAAAAGAAGAAAAAGCAAUUGGAUAAAAAUGUAUACAAAUAAUUGAAAGAAAAAAAAAGACAAUAAAAUUUAUAUGAAAAACAAAGAAAUUAAAAAAAAAAAAUGGAAGACUCGCCCAAGGAGAGAGAAAAAAAUUACUACAUUUUCGUAAAUAGUUUUCAAACUGCUGUAUUUUGGUAAAAACUUUUAACAAUAACAAUAUUUUAGUUAUUAAUCCGGUUUUUGUCUUUUAGUUUAAUAAUUGGUUUCACUAUCAACAAGGUGAGCUUGGUUGAGUCGGUGAAAAUUAAUAAUUCAACGUUCUGUCCAUCAACCAUACUAUUGAAGUUGAGUUGGUUAUAUUAAUUUAUAUCAACUUAUGUCAAUCCCUUUCAAUGUUUUCAAAUAUAAUAUAUGACAAUUUUACCAUAAACGACUAUCGCUACCACAAUUCGAUGGCAUAUAUUGAUGACCAACAAUUCUCGUGCCAACUUUAGUAAUCAACUCUCAGCUUCAAAAACAAAUAUGAUGUUAAUCACCUGGUGAUUAACUAUGGUGAGAAUCAUCGUCUUUGAUUCCCAACAUUGAUAGUCAUCUCAAGAUACCAACGUAACUCUAGUGAAGUUUUGUAGCCAAGUUUGACAACCAUAUGAGGUAACAAAAUUGAAUCAUCAGCUCGUCAUUUUACGAACUGUCGUUGUAGAUAAAUUAUUGGUUAUGUAAAUAAUUACAUUACUUGUCUACACCAACUACAAUAAUUACAUGCAGAAAUUGUAAUGUAUAUCUUCACUUAUCGUGUUCAAAUCUAAGUGUUUAAAAUCUUGAAAAAUACAGGUAAUUUGAGGAAAAAAAAUGCUAUCGAUUUUAAGUUAAAAAAAAGAUAAAGAAAAAAAGAAAAAAAAAAACUCAAUUAUGCACUCUUAACUUCUAUAUUUUUUUUGAAAAAUUGUCCAAAAUAGAAAAUUUGACAAAAUGUUUACAAUAUAUAAUAAAAUUUUCAAAUUCUAUCAAUAAUAGACAUUGAUAUAACCACUAGUGAUAAGAGUCUAUUAGUGUCUAUCGUUUGAUAGCAUUCAGAAUUUUGCUAUAACUUGUAAAUAUUUUAAUUUAUUUUGUUAUUUUAAAAAAUGUUCCUAUUUUUUUCUCUAUAAAGCAUUACUUUUACCGAACAAAAAAAAAAAAAGGAAAAAAAAUUAUAACUUUUCUCAUAAAGUUAAUAGAAUAAUAGUACUUUUCUUGUCAUCUGUAUCACUUGUCAUAUCUACAUCAAUAUAUGCUUAGAGUUUAAAAUCAGAUCUUUUAAAGCGUCGAGCAUAAUCAGUUGUACCACUCAGAUAUCGAAAAAUCCACUUUACGGCUUCCAUGUGUUGUUUCCCUUAAUCACUCAUGUACAUCCUAGCCACUCCCAAAAAAUGUGCAAUGGAAUAAAUCAAAAUUUGCCUAUAGUUGAAGAAUAUGACACUCUCCCCAUAUGAUAUGUUUCUUGCCGAGAAGUUGGUGAGUUCUUAGAUAAUUUAAAGUGACAAACUAAGGGAGUACUCAAAAGUUUUGCAUUUUCCAUGUGAAAUCGAUUCAACAACUUUUUCACAUACUGUUCUUGUGACAGUGUCAAUGUACCAUCUUUCCUUUCAAUCUUCAUCCCUAAGAUUUGUUUAGUAGCACCUAAAUCUUUCAUAUCAAAUUGUUUAUUAAAUCAACUUUUAUCUUUAGAAUUUUCUAUUUAUAUGAACCUACUAUUAACGUGUCAUCAACAUAUAACAAUAAUAUAAAGUAACAAUAAUUUCUUGUCACUGUUAUUGACAUACAAAGUCCUCGACUUGCUUCAUCGACCAAUUACUAUGACCCCUUUUAUUACCCUUUUACUUUCCCUUAUCAAAGAAAACAUUGCAUCCUUAACUGUCUAAGCGUCCUGCGGAAACAAAUUUUCAACAUAUUUACUCUACAAGAAAAGUGGCCUAUUAUGAAAGUUGUAUACAUCUCAAAUUGAAAUGAGAGAAGAAAAAACUGUCAAAUGCCAAAAUCCGCGUUUUUUACGGGAAAAGAUAGGACAUUUUCGGAUUUCAAGAAUUUAUGACAGUUUUUUUGUGUUAUAAAUCUUUGAUAACUUUUAACUGUCAUGAAAUAAAAAUAAUAAAAGAAUAAAUAUUUAUUUUAAAUUAAAAAAAAACAAGGAAAGAAAAAAGGGGAACUUUGUUUUCCAUUUCCCCCAAUUUCACGAAGAAACCCCUUCUUCUUUCUUUUUCUUCCUCUUCCAAUCGCACGAUUCCCCUUCUCCAUCGCAUGUCGUCAAUUCCCCACAAUGGUCUCACACAGGUUGUCGAUUCCCCUCUUCCACUAGGCUCCUCCGUUCGGUGAUAACUCAAGGUGGUUAUUGCGGUAAAGGCUUCUCUGUCUGAUUCUUCUUUGCAACGUUCUUUUCUUCACAAUCAUCUCACUCAUAUCAAAACCCUCCUUCGUCCCCCAUCAUUGUGCCCUCUCUCAGCCACUGCCCUCUCACUCUCCAAAUCGCCGGUCAUCUCCUACCUUCGUUGUCGAUGGCGGUCUUUUAGGUAUUUAUGGAUCUAAUCUUUACUCUUUGUACUUUUCUUUGAGUAAGUCAUCCCAAAAAAGAUGGUUUUAUGGUAUUUGAGUAAAGCUUUACGCUAUUUGCUAAAUUGCAAAGUGGUUUCUCGACACAAAAUCCCAUGGUCGAAAUUUAAUAAGAAUAAAGUUCUUGCUCCUGCCGAUUUUUUCAAUUAAACUUGAAACUCAAUUCUCAACAUUGCAUCUAAGAUAUGUCCUUCACAAAUUUUUGUAUUUAUUCCUUAAUUUUUCUAGUUUUCUGGCCAAAAUGCCCAUAAUUUUUCUGAUGAAGUUUUCAUAUUCAAAACAUGUCAUUCUCAUCAUUUUUUUUGUUGAGUAAAAUGUUUGCUUCUAGAAAGGUAUGAACUCUUUUUCUAUGUUCAAAAUAAACUUACUUUUUAUAUAUAUCUUCUUUAUUCUCAUGACAUUAUCUGUUAAUCAGUCAAAAUAAAGUUGCUAUUUAUAUUUAAGGGUAUGAACUCUUUGAACAAUAUAAUAUGUCAUCAAAUUAAAUUAUGAAAGUUAAUGCAUUGAAUGGGUCUAUGUUUGCUAUUUUUUGAGGGUAUUACUUUUUUUUCAAUGCAUAUGCGUUGUUUGCUUUAUUGUCAACCAUGCAAACAUGCUUUAAUUUCACAUGUUGUUAAAUGAUCGAAGUUUUAAUUAAUUGGUAUCCUAUGAAUUUCUUUGAUUCAUUGCACUGUUGAGUAAAACUUGAUUAUUGAAUGUACAUGGAAGGAAAUCAUUUUAGAAUGUUAUUAUAAUGGAAUUCUGGUGAACUAGAUUUUACUUUGCUGGUUCUAAUUUUAUUAGUUAACUUUCUUUUGAGGUAGGGGAUGACCAUUUGAAUAAAAUUUUGAUUAGUCAAAACAUAAUCUUGAUUGUUUAUGAUUAGUUAACAUGUUUUUGCUUGGAGAAGGGGGAAUUGAAUAUGGUUUUAGAAAAUAUUGGCUUUUUGUUGAUACUUAAAUCAUAUUCUUAGUGAUGGUGCCAGUUCCUUCCCAUUUUCCUACUUCGCCUCUCUUGUGUGUGUGUUUACUUUGAUCAAUUAAUAUGGUACAUAUCUGGUGGUAUUUUAUUUAUGUUAGUGAUUUUGGGAUCUCACGCUUGAAGUCACAAGCAUUUCUUUCGUCAAAAUCACCUGUUGGGACUGUAAGUUAUUGUGUUUGUGGCAUUAUUCCACACAAUAACUGUAAGAUGUUUCGUGAGUCUGGACAUUUUAUUAACCUACAAAAAAGACUGCUUCCUAUUUAUAAGAUGUUUAUUUGUGCUUCACUACUUGUGUUCUUUAUGGUAGAGAAUUGUAUUGACUUUCAUGGGUAAAGGAAGGAAAACUUGCGAUCUUGAACAAUUAGAUAAAUCUAGUCUUCUUUCCAGAAUGCAAGUUUCUACUUCCAUCUACAAAGGUGUUACUGUUAGAGAGAAGUUUCUAAAAUUCCUACGUCCUUUCUAGUAUAUAUUUUGAUUAAUCAAGCCUACAGUUUCUCUGUAUAGAAUUGUCUUAGCUUUUAAAUGGUUGAGAACUUCUUAAGCAAUGGAUAUUAUAUAUUUCUUUAGAGAUGGCUUUCAAAUCAUUUUUAUGGUUAUUGAAACUGUAGGGAGGGAGGUUCUUUCAAUUUCUAGUGUUUAUAUUAGAACUCGUAGUUAUUGUUUAUGGUAAACCAUUAGAUCUGGCUUGUUCCUUGAAAAAGCUUUUGGCUAUUGAAAUUUGGCAAGACUGUCUUGUAUACAUAAAAGAUAGUUUGUAUUGUAAUUGUUCUUGAAAUAAUGAACGGAUACCACUAUUCUAAUUAUAUUUCAUACCACUACUAUUUUUUUUUUUUUUUUGUUCUUUCCCAGCUCCAUAACAUAACAUCACUCAAGUCUUGUGUGUAGUGAAUGCAACUAAUUAAAAUUAGGUGCUUGUCUUGCAAUCUUUUUACAUAUGCACUAUUUUCUAACAACACAAAUUGGGCAGAUUUUCAUUCGAUCCUACUGAAACAUUGGGGUUAAAUGUUGCGUUGUGCUUCUAUACAAUGUAUACUUUGAUUUCCUAAUUAAGGUAUAUUUUUCUUCACUAUCUUUUAGAGUUUUCAAAUCGAGAGAAAAAAUAAUUAAUUCGAUCAUGACAUUGGAGAAGGCUAAAGAGAUUGUGGCUUCUAAUCUCGUCAUGGUCUUCAGGUUUCUCUUUCGUUCUUUCUCUUGUAAGUAUUUUUUUCCUAAUGAUUUUUUCUGAUUGCAAAAGUGGUUGGUGUUUUUGUGUUCUUUACAGCAAGAGUUAUUGUCCAUUCUGCCGUCCAGGUGAAGAGAUUGUUGACUAAACUAGGAGUCAGUUUGAAGGCUAUUGAAUUGGACACUGAGAGUAUGUAAUAUAUGUUUCUGUGUUCUAUUGCUUGCGGAUUUAGGUUCCGUGACAAUUUCAUUGUUUUUCUUUUGUAGCCAAUCGGUGAAAUCAUGAUUACUUUGUGAUUUUCAGAUUUUGUAAUUUAACUUGUUUGUGUAUGUUUACAAAAAUAUUUAUUUUUUGAUGCAUAUUCUUGUUCUGAUUCUUUAAGAUAAAGGAAAACUUUCAAAAUGAGAACUCUAAGCAUUACUCUCUGAUAAAUAUUUGGAAUUUCACAAGAGUAAUUCAUUCUAACAUUUUUUACUAUUUUGUUUCUUUCAUAUGGUAUAUUGUUUUUCUUCGUAUUUGGAGACAUGUAAGUUUUAUCUAAUUAUGACAUAUGAUUAACUAAUAAAAAAACUUGUUCACAUAUCCACAUCCCAAUGUUCGCCCUCCCUCUCUCAAGAAGUUUAUAUAAUGAGGUUUGUUUAUAUUGUUAUUAACACCAUUCUAGAAUAUGAGUUUUAGGCUAAACAUGUAAUCAUCACAAAAAGGUUGGGCUUAGAUAUUUAUAUCUCCUUACGCUAGAUUCCAAGUGUUCAUUUUUUAUGCAAGAUACAACUACUUAGGAUAAGUAAUGCAUGAUGAAGUAUGUUACUAUUAUACUAAAGUCUGGUGUCUAAUUUUGCAAAAAAGUUCGACACAAAAAUGUUGUUUAAUUCAUUGGUGCUUGUACUAAACCUCCAAACCUCUGUAUUGUAACAAGUUGUGAUAAGUGAUAAGUAAAUGGCUUCAUAUGUAACGUUUCACUUCUAGAAACUUUGUUUCUUUCCUUUAUAAAAAGUCCUCUAUGAUUUGAAAUGCCCUCUCGUCGUGGUUAGAAUGUUUGAGUUGAAUCAUAUUGUGUAGUGUCAUUAUGCUUUAAAACAUUAUGGCGCGUGAAAGAUUAGUAUCACUCACCUGUGGAUUGUUUGGUAGGAAGUUUUGUGGGAUGAUUCUUCGUGGGUCACUAGAUGAUUGAUUUAGGUAUACAAACUUUCUGUUUUUGUUUGCUUGUGAAUUGAUUUUCUUUGAAACUGUUCUUUAGUCAUACUCUAAAAUAAGAUUUUAUUUUCUUACUAGGUUUGGAAGAAUCUAUUGGAGCAGUGAAGCUAACUUGGAGCAAGUGAUUGAUAUAAUAUUUUUUGUAUGAUUGGUAGCAAAAUAUUGAUUCCAAUGUACUGAUUUUAGGCUUGUUGGUAGCUAAAGAUGUCAAUGUUUAUUCUUUUUGUAUGUAAACUACCUUUUAACACAAAAUGGUUAUUAGUCAAUGGGUAUAUGAAUAUUACAAAGUGUAUUAUAGCGUAUAUAUAUUAAAGUGUCGACUAUUUGUUUCUAUAUGAGUGUGAUGUAUUAUAACAUUAUUGUCAUUCAAAUGGUUUGUGUAAUGGUGGAGCGACAAGAAGAACAUAGAAAAACUAUAGUGAUCGAAGAAUUUGCAACAAAAAAAAAUGUCAUAAUAUAUAAAUUCGUGACAUUCCUUAACUGUCGUUAAUAUUAAAACAAUGACAAUUUUUUUUAUUAAAAAACUGUCACAAUUGACAUAUAUUUGACAGAAAAAAUCGUCAUAAAAUAAGAAUUCGUGACAUUUUUUAACUAUCGUUAAUCUCGAAAAGAUGACAUUUAUUAUUAUAAAAACUGUCACGAUUGACAUAUCCUUCACAUUUAAAAAACGGUCAUAAUAAACAAAUUUGCGGCAUUUUUUUAACUGUCGUUAAUUUGCAAAUGAUGACAAUUAUUUGUUGUCAUAAUAGAAAAGAUGUCAGCAAGGUUAACCUUUAGCAUUUGCAAAUGAUGUCAAUAGAAAAAAUGUUUAUUCACGGGCAUUUGCAAAUGAUGACAAUUAUUUUUUUUAACUGUCGUUAAUUUGCAAAUGAUUUUAGGCUUGUUGGUAGCUAAAGAUGUCAGCAAGGUUGUCAUAAUAGUAGUUAACGACAUUUAUUUUCUGUCAUGAAAAAACUUAUUGCGACAGUUUUCGAAAACUAUCAUGGAAUGACUUUUCAUGACUCCCGAUACUAUAAUCGUAAAUAAUUGUCACACAUUUAGUUUGCGACAGAAAAUAACUGUCGUCAUAGACCAUUUUUGUUGUAGUGUUCCAACAUGACGGUACGUUGCAAAUUUUCCAAGUCAAACCAUUUGCCAAUUUUAAAUUCACAUCACUGAUCCCAAUGACAACCAAAGGUUCUCCAUCAAUAAGAUACACUUUUCCAUGAUUUCCUGCAACAUAAUUUUCUAGAACGUCACGUUGACGAGUAAUAUGAAAUGACACACUUGAAUCCAACAUCCAUGUGUCAUGAGAGCUUUGAACUGCCAAAGUCAGAGCAUCUUGAAUUUCAUCUAUAGCAAUAUUUGCACCAGCUUCAUUCUCCUCGCUCUCUUUUACAUCUUUGCAGUUCUUUUUCAAAUGUUCAGUCUUACCACAGUUCCAACAUUCAAACGCAGUCUCUGGACUUUCUUCUAUUCUUUCUUUUUGCUAUUACUCCUUCCUCUUUCCACUUUCAAUGCUGAACUAGAAGUGGAAGCAACACUUGAGUCUCUCUUUUGCAAGCGCAGAAUCUCUAACCUGUGAAAACUGCAAUUCACUUUACCACAUAAAUUAGAAAGUGCAGCUUUCAUGGUUUCCCAACUAUCAGCAAUGAUCUCAUUAACAAUAUAGCAUUCACUUCAUCACUAAACUCUAACUCAAGAGCAACUAAUUUGUUUAACAACAAAUCAAAUUCAUUUAAAGGGGGUGUGAUAGAUGUACCCUCCGCCAUUUUAAAUUAAAGAAUUUGAUUGCAAAAUUCGAUUGGUUGUUUACUGAAGCCUUCUCAUACAUGUUCGACAAAGCUGUCAUUGGUCCUGCUGUGGUCGUCUCCUUUUCUCUUUGUACAUUAUUCGUCAAAGUCAAGAGAACGGUCCCUAGCACCUUUCCGUCCCGUUCUCUAUUACCAAUGCAAGUUCCACUAAAAUAGUCAGAGAGAAUAGUACAAGAGUUUACAAUGCUUCAAAAUGAUUACUCUCACUUUUCUCUCUAGAAAAUACUCAUAUUACAGAGCUCAUAUAACUCUCCAUGGAAGAAAAAUAGCCACAGUAAACAACGCAAAAGGAAACUCAGUCGACAGUAUUUUUUUCUGGCAAAUACACAAACCCACAAAUAUGAGGAAGCUCUCGGGAACUCAUCCAUCUUCCACACACCAACCAUGUCAAUUUAAAGAGAAAUAUCCAUUUUCCAUAACAACACACCUCCACACCUCCAAUUUAGCCAAUCACAUCUAAUAAUUAGCUUGUUGGUUAAGCAUGCUUAAUGUGUAAGCAACAAAGAAAAUCAUGUGGGAUUUGAUCUUCACUGUAAAUGGGCUUGAUUUUGGGUUCCAGAUUUUCAAAUUAUCUGCCUCCCAAAAUUUAAUUUAUAGGAAUUUGAUUACGAACCAAAUGCCCGUGAAUGAAUGUAAUGAUGAAUUAACCUUGCUGACAACUCUCUAUUGAUCAUUUAUCUUAGGAUUUUGUUCAAUUUAUUUGGUUGCAUGUAGGUCUAUAUUUUUCCUGACACCAAGAAAAACAUAAAGAAAAACAAAUGUUGUCAGUUGUGUGUGAUAUUUGAGUGGAUAAUUUAUGUACAUUUUAGUAUGAUUUACAUUGGAUAUUCAUACAAACUAGUAGAAUGUAGCACCAUCGUUUUUUCAAUACCUAUAAAAUUUGUUUGUUUCAAGGGUCGAGAUUGGAUGAGUCAACCAUCCUAUGCGGAACCCUUGUUGUUUGACACAAGAGUUUAGGAAGCCCAAGACUUUCCACACCAAAUACUAUUCAAACCUAUGGAUUCCACUUUGUUUCUUUCUUAAUUUGAGGUAAGAACUUUGCAGGCCAACUUCAACCUCUAGUCAUCACGUUCGGCAAACUUUCUACCACCAACUCUGGCCGUCAUGGCCAUCGGCCAACUUCGAAAACUGUUUAUAAGAAUACUUUUAGCGUAUACAAUAAACCAAAUAAACAUGUUAAUAAAAAUAUUUCCAAAAACGAGUUGUCAAACACACGAUCUAUUCUUAUUUGAAAGAGUUUUUAUGAAAAGUGUCAAAAAUAAAAAUAUAUUUUUCAAAAACGUUUUUUUGUCUUAUAUUGUUAUUCCAAGCAUGCAUUUAUUUUAAUUACAAUAGUAUUUUUUAAAAUACACUUCCGUUUUCUUAAAAAAAUAAUUCUCUAGUUUUUUUAAUUAUUAAAAGUUUUGAAACAUCUACUAUUUCCUGUUGAGAUUUAAGAUGGAAAUAUUCAACAAAGUAUCAGUACUAUUGAGAAAAAAUGGUCUUGAGAUGCUACCUUUUGUUUACACAUCAAUUGGGGUUGUCCAUUUUCAUUUAAUAUGAGGAUGAAACCAAGUUUCCCCAUGAAAGGCUAUAAAUCAACAAUAUGAGUAUGAUUACAUUUCAAGAUGCAGAUUAUGUUGCAAAACGUCUAAUAUUCAUUGUUGCUCCAAAAGAGAAUAAACUUUUAAACGCGAGUCCUCCCAUUUUAUCAAAGACAGCUGGGGUAGUCUUUCUCUAUUCAAUAUACUUGGUCAAUCCAACUUUCCUUAUUGAAGUUUUAGUGUCAUCAGAUCAGAGCAAACCUGCACUUUUCAUACUAAAGGAUGUUCCUCUCAUUGGAGAUACUAGCCAAGAUGAUUAUAUUAACGACAACUUGGAGUUUUACAACUUAUUAAAACACUCUCCCAAUACAAUAACCAAUCCUUCCUAGAACUUGAUCCUAUAAUUAAGAUAUCAUUUCCAUCCUGGACCUUGAGAGGCAACUCAAACUCCUUACUACCUAGAGGGAAAACAAAACAUUAGAAAAGCAUGUGCUAAAAAGUCUAGUGAGUGCUAUUUUUGUAACAUCUUUAAUUUUAACUCUUAUUUCAAGUCCACUAGAAGUACGUAAAUAAUUGAAGGGGUAAGAGUCCUAGUAACGGAAAAAUUAAUUGAACCUAAACUAAAAUUAAUUGGAAACUUAAAAAUACCAUUGCAUUAGAAAAACAAUUACAUAAACAAAUUUAUAUGGCUAAGCAUGCUUUCAAAUUAAAUACAAAAAUUACAGAGAAGAACAGAAACGUAUCUCUACGACUAUGUAUUUGCCAAUCACCAAUUUUGGGGCAUCACCACUUGGAGACCUUCUUAUUCUUCGAGUUGAGAUUAGUUUGUGUGUGAACCAAAAAUGGAAAGAGAAUUUUUGUUAGAGAUAAUUUUUUUUGAGAGAAUACACAGAGGCAGAGGCAGAGUAUCGAUGAAAAACUUUAUCUCUCUUUGCCAUACAUUUAACUCCUUAAAGAAGAGGGAAGUUGGAGAGAAUAUGAAAGUAUUGGAAAACCACCGACGUUCGCUAUUAAUUUCAUAAAAUAAAUAAAUAAAUCAUAUUUAAUUAGUAUUUUAUUGAACUUAUAGUUGAAUGAACAUCUCUCAUAUAACCUAUGUAUAGUUUUAAUUUAAAAUCAAAUUAAACUAAUGAGUCUUUUAAAAAUCAGAAAAAAAAGAGACAAAAUAUUUACACCAUAUAAAAUAAUUUUGAAAAUGGAAAAAGUCCACAGGCCCACAAUGGAAAAUUCAAAAAAUGCACCGAUUAAUUGACAUCUGAACACGCGUAAUAUAUUUGGGAAACCAUCGUUUAGUAUUUGAGAAACAGUCGUUUAAGAUUUGCCUUCUCAAAUCUAAAUGAUCAAAUAUAAAUCGAAACGAUUUUUUAAUAAUUUAUUUUUGUAUACGAUUGUUUAGAUUGAUCGUUUAAAUUUGGGUUGUUCAAUCUCAACGAUUUUUUGAAAAACGAUUGUUUAUAUUUGGUACAUGAUCGUAGAUUUGGUACACGGUCAUUUAGAUUUGACCGUUUAGAUUUGAACAACCAAAUCUAAACGAUUUUUUUUAAGAUACUUUGCUACACGAUCGUUUAAAUUUGACUAUUUUUGUACACGAUCAUUUAGAUUCAAUAGUUUAAAUUUAGGAAGCCAAAUUGAAACGAUUUAGACUUGGCUUUCCAAUAUCCAACGAUUUUUUUCACAAUCUUUUAUAUUUGUCACACGAUCUAAACAACCAAACAAAAGUUUGAAAACAAAUAAAAAAAAUGAUAUUGUCUAAAACGACCUUAAACAUAUUGAUCAAUGCUUCCAAGUUCUCAAAAUCUUCAAUUUCUCAUAGAAACAAUAUGAAUAAUAUCAAGUUCAUGCUAAUACUAAAUGGAUUUUCAAGAACUAUGAGAGAACUCACUAAAUUUAUCUAAAACCUUAUUGAAAUCGCCUUGACAACACAUUAAUGGCUUUCUAAAUUUGAAUCUAAUACAAAAAACUAUUAUAUGUUUUGAGCUUAUGCAAGUAACCCCCAAGCGAAGUCCAAAGGUAAUGGAAAAUCUAUCUUCAUUCAUUAACAUUAAAUUCAAGGACCUAAGUAAGAUAGACAAUCUUAUCUAAAUGAAGCGAAACAAUAUGUUUACUUGGGUUAUUUAGGGUUGAACACAAGGAAGUAAUAUCAAAGCUUAGUUCUAGGGUCUACUUAUCAGCUAGGCAUUAUGACAAAUGAGUUAAAAGAAUAAAAAAAUAAUCAAAACUACCCAACUAUCCUAGAGAUGUUGUAAAGUUAAUUAAAAAAAAUGGUUGUGCAAUAAAGGAGUGAGUGAACUAACUUGUAUAGGGAAGGCGGUGAAGGAAUGUCUAAUACUACCAUGUGAAUAAGUUAUACGACCACCUCAACACGAUAUACCUCUCAUAACUAGUUUAUGAUUAAAGCAUGCUCAUUUUGGUCUCCUUUUGAAAUCUAAAUGACUAAACCUAGCUAAGCGAGUUGUAUCUUGUAGUGUUCACUUAUAAUACUUGGAGUUCUUUCCAUUUGAGAAUGACAACCUCUCAGCGCCUGGUGUCCACACUUGUUCACCUUUCGAAGUACAAAUGAAGGAAGUCAUCUCGCCAAAGUUGAGAAAACUCUUCCUUUCUUGUGUUAUAGCCACGUCCUUACUACUUACCCUCUCUGGCAGUUAGCAACAUACAUUGGCCAAAUGUAGAAUGUAGCUCAGCUAACGCAACAAGCAUUAUAAGCAAGACUACUUGUUAAAUAUGAAUCAUAAACCUAAACUACAAAUAACAUACAGACAGAUGAAUAGUAAAAAGAUGAAUAGAUUAAAAAGUGUAAAACAUACAAUGUAUUAAAGAAUGUAGGCCUUUGGCCACUAUACUGUUGGGAUUUAUGUCCCAAAACUCGUAGAUUGUAAAUAUAAUCCAUUGUCUGUUGUUAAUAAAGUGUUAUUAUUGUAAUAGUUAUUAUUGAUUAUAUUAUUAGUUUUAUCUUAAUAAUCCAAAUCCAAUAAACGAACAUCCGAAGCUGUUUAUGAGUCUUGAAUAGUAUGUAGAGAUAUACAUGGAUAAUUGUUUGAGAUCAGCUUAAAGGGUCUAUAUUAUAGGGAUAAGGUUGGGUACCUUAUCCUGGUAACAUUACAGAUACGACUCACUUUGUAUUUGAUACAAAUGCAAUGAUCCAACGCGUUCGUGUAGUUGACAUGAGAGUGAGGGUAUUACAAGCACUUUAAGAGAGAGUGUCCAUAGUUGAAGGCAUAAAUGCAGAGUGACCAGAGGGUCGAGUCCCUGUCAGUAAAGCAGCUGAUAGCUUCAGAAGCUUGAGGAUAGGAGACUAGUGGGUUAAAGAAAAAGGGAUUUGUGGAAAGGCAUCGCUAACUGGGCACAGUGUAUGCCAUGACUUAACAAGUGAGGCAGAAGACAUGUGAGAUGCCAUUACUAGUACAAUUCUCAUCUGUUAGUUUCUCGCUUAAGUCUUAUUUGAUCUAGGUGUUAUGCAUUCUUUUGUGUCUAGCAUUGUUUAUGAGUAGGUUGGGUAAGAAGUUAGAGCCUUUAGUGGAAGAGUUAAAUAUGUAUAACACAAUGGGUGAUGCAAUGGUAGUUACUCAAGCGCGUUGCGAGGUGUGAAGUGUUAGUGGAAAGUAUCAGCUUGCCAAUGGACAUUUUUCCACUUGAAUUACAAGAGUUAGAUGUGGUACUUGGAAUCAAUUUCCUAUAUGCACAUUUUGCUUCUAUGGAUUGGAACAUGAAAGUAGUAGUUUUCAUAAAACUAGGAUUUCCAAAAGUUGUGUUCAAAGGCCUACAAAAAGUUGUUUCAAUUAGUUUAAGCUCAGUUUUGAAAGCUAAGAAGUUAUUAAGGAAAGGGUGCCCAACAUUUCUUGCACAUGUGUUAAUAGUGCAACAAGAGAAGUUAAGGCCAGAGGAUGUUUUAGUGUGAGAGACUACAUGUAUAUGUUUCUAGAGGAAAUAUCAGGAUUGCCACUUGAUAGAGAAAUAGAAUUUAUCAUUGAGUUGUCGCCAAGGAUAACACCCCUCUCACAAGCACCUUAUAGGAUGGCUUUGAGGGAGCUAAGUGAACUAAAAGAACAACUUCAAGUGUUGGUUGACAAUAGAUAAAUUGGAUCUAGUGUAUCACCUUGGGGAGCAUCAAUUUUGUUUGUCAAGAAGAAUGACACUCUAAGGUUGUGCAUAGACUACUGAUAGCUGUAUAAGGUCACAAUACCUAAUGAGUAUCUCCUACCACGUAUCAAUGAUCUGUUUGACCAGUCAAGAGGUACAAUAGUAUUUUCCAAGAUUAACUUAAGAUCAAGCUAUCAUGAGUUAAAGGUCAAGGAGUCAGAUAUUCCUUAAAUAACUUUGAGGACAGGGUAUGGCCAUUAUGAGUUCUUAGUGAUGCCAUUUGGUCUGACGAAUGCGCUGAUAGUGUUCAUGGAUCUCAUGAAUCAUGUUUCCAUCUGUAUUUGGCCCAGUUUAUGAUAGUAUUCAAUAGAUGAAAUUGUUUUAUAUUCUGUGGAUAAAGGAGCCUAUUGUCACGUGUGAAAUUUUGACCAAAAUCACCUCCAUAAUUCUGCCAAUACAUGCCCACGACUCCCUUAGUAAGGCCAAGGGGAGCCCCAACGUGGUUCUAAGACAGCCCACAGGUGGCCACAACACAUGCCCACGACACUAGCGGACACCUCUUGAGGAUAGCUCACAUGCUCCGCACGCGUGCCAUGAUGAUUGCCCAUGAUAGCACAUAUGUUAGCCCAUGUGCACAGCCUCAUGGCACGUCCAAAUGCCCAUUGAUAUGGCCAUAGGCACCAAGCACCAGCACCCACCAUUAGGCCCAUGUGCACAGGCACAUGCACAUGGCCAAGCAGCUAGCCAAACACCCGUGCGCAUAGCCCCACGCGCGACCAAGACAACUACCCACGCACGCCCAUGCAUGUCAUGUGUGGCACCAUGCAUGUGCACCCCACCAUGCACGCAGCCCCUGGGCGUGCCCAUGCCCAACCAUGUGCGCAGAAUCGUGCACGCAACCCACGCAUGCUAUAGGUGAGCACGUCCUCCUCCACACUGACUCGUGUCUACCCAACGUCCAUAUGCCCCAAAAACCUCCAGAAGCUACCAGAAGGCCCACAAACAUGCCCAUCUGCGUGCUGGACCAUCCAUGCUAGACCUAGAUAGCCUAGAAGCCUCUAGAACACUUAAGGCAGUUCUGGAACGUGCUAGAAUGGUCGCAAAGCACCCAAGAUGAUCCCAGAACAUUGUGGAUGACGCUGAAACGUGUUGGAACACUCUAGAAGGCUACUUUGAAGGUAAUAAGUUUUAUGAAAGGUCUAGUCCACUUUAUAAUGUUGUAGGCUUCCUUGUAAUGGGUGAAACACUUAUGUAACCUCUAGAAUGUCCCUUGGCAAACCUUCUAAGGCCCUAAGUCGGUUGAGGAGAUCUAUUAAUACUUGAGGAGAGACUCAUUUGUACUCACCUUGCAAUUUGGCAUGUAUUAGCCAAGCAAGUCAACCUUGCCUCAUUCUAGUCCUCUUGCACAUGGUAUCCCCGUGGCAAAGGACUACAUAUUUGUACCCAAUGUGUAUUCUUUCAUUCUUGAAAUGUAAUGUAUCAUUCCCAAGAUGUAUCCAUCGAAGCUCCCUUAUUCUUCCAACCUUUCUCAUUCCUUGCAAUCAUCUCAACCUUUCUAAGAUGUAUCCUCUUGCACAUGUUAUCAUAGUGCUUGGUGCACUACCUUUCCAAAUGGCUUACUUGGCUAUGUGGGCGCUGUAAUUAGACAAGUGCUGCAUAUAUGGUUAGCUUGAGAAACUAACCACGUGACACUAUGUAGAGCAUUUGAAAAUCAUUCUAUAAAUACUGCAUGGUGAGCAACUUUAUGUUAAGUGUAGUAAGUGCGACUUUUAGCUAGAUCAAGUUAUGUUAUCAGGACAUGUGAUCUUAAUAGAAGGGUUUAGUGUGGAUCCAUAGAAGACAGAGGCAAUUGUUAGGUGGGAAAGGUCGACUAGGGUGACUGAAGUAUGUAGUUUCCUUGGUUUAGUAGGAUAUUAUAGGUGGUUUGUUGAGGAAUUCACUAAGUUAUCAUUACCUUUAUCAUCCUUGAUUAGAAAGAAUGUUAAGUUUUUUUUGUCAUAAAAGUGUAAGCAAAGCUUCCGAGACCUAAGAAAGAGGUUGGUCACAUGCCUGUCUAAACACUUCAUGUUACGAGAAAAGAGUUACAAUCUAUUCUGAUGGUUUAAGGCAAGGUCUUGUAUGAAUGCUUAUCUAAGAAGGGAAGAUAAUAGCUGUUGUUUCGAAACAGUUGAAAAAGCACGUUCGUGACGGUAGUAUUUGCUUUGAAAAUAUGGAGACACUAUCUAUGAGGCCCAUGUUUGAAUUAGAAGAGCUUUAAUCUCUAAAGAAGGUAUUUUAGUAGAUUAAAAUAUUUGAAGUUGGCAUUGAAGGUAGGUGAUGCGUUGAUGAAAGUACACGUCCAAGUAAUGAGAAAAGGAUCAAUUGGGCGUUUUGGUGUAACAGGUUCAGAAAGUUGAUGUUGAAGUGUUUUUAAAGCAUUUUUUCUAAGUUUUGUGUUGUAUUUAUGUUUAACGUGUAUUGUAUGUUGUUGAUGUUGAUGUUGUUAUUUGAAAAGAAAACUAAAGAAGUAGACUCUGGCGAUAGAACGAUUAUGCAAGAAGACACAUAUGAUCAUUGUGGUAAUAAGCAAUUAAGCUAGGUGAUCUAAUUCACUAGCAGACAAAUUUGAUUGGUGCGGAUCUUAGAAAAAGGAUGAUAGGAAAUUUUGCGCAGUGUCGGUGUAAAUUUAUUUUAGAAAUCAUGGAUGUCAUAUCAUUUAAUAGCCUAGCACGACGUCUACGCAACUUUUUCAGAAAGAUUAAUAAGAUGUCAAUCAACAUCACUCCCCACCUAUAAAUAGAAGACUCUACUUCAUAAUAGAGUGGGCAAUCUUUGGUUGGAGAGCAAGUUUAUACCGUCCAUUUUCUCUCUCUUAAAUUUUAGGUGAGAGCUUAGAACAAAAAGUGAGAGAGAGUUCUUCCCUCACCAUUCUCUCCUUAAGAACCAGCAAAAAUCAGAGCCAAGGAGUAUGAGAGAUCAUACUCUAAGGCUUGCACAUUUCUUUGUAUUCCAUUUUCUUUUUAUAUCGUAUUGCUUAGUUAAAUGGCUUCAUUGCCGAUAGGCCUAAAGUUAUGUUUAUAAUAGUAAUGCAUUUCGUCUUUCAUUUUCUUAUUUCUCUUUUACUAUCCAUGUUCACUCUGUUUAGUUAGUCCAUGAGUAAUGGGAUGCGUUUUUAAUACUAUAGAAUCAGAGUGCAUGUGUUUAUAAGUUUUAUUUAGUUAAAUGCAGACAUUAAUGCAUUGUGUAUUCGAGAGAAAGACAAUGAUACUGAUCGCAACGACUUGACAAGUGAAAGCAUGUAGUUAACUAAGCAGACGAUGGUGAGAUUGUAACAGUACAAUCAAUUUGUCGAAUUCAUCCUUCACAUAAGUUACAUAGAUGUUAACUUGUGCAGUGAAAGCAUCGAAAGGUUGCUUGCGCCUUAAUUAAGAAUAAAUUACUCACAAUGAAAACAAACUAAUUAGAUACAAAUCAUAGCUUGACUUUUAGGUAUUUAAGUCCUGAGAGGCAAGCAAGAUGGCGAAAGCGUCGAAAGGUUGCUCGUCUUAAUUCUGAAGUUAUAUAUGCUUUAUAUCACCUUGGCUUAUUAAAGCGCAAUCUAUCGCGAUUAGUUAAUUAAGCAUUUUCCAUCUCGUGUCAUCGCCAUGCUCACUUUGCACCACCAAAUGCUCCUUAGUAUAAAUAACUAGGAUAAAUUAUACUGUUCAUAUAUUCACAUUGUAGAGAUUAUACCGCAUGAGUUUAGUUACACGAUUAUUUUGGUGGGAACCUUAAUUCUCAACUCAAGAGCAAGAUAGAAGAAGUAGAGAAGAGUUUAGAUUUGUUUGCAAGUGUUUAAGCAAAGCAAGGGUGCCGUCUGAUCAAGCUCAAGUUGAGUUUCCUGUCAAGAGGACUUUGAGACGUUAAGAGUUUUGGCAAGUUUAAGCUAAGGAGGAAGAGCUAAAGUCUAAGGACUAGAUCCAAGUCCAAGUUUCUUCUCUGUUGUUUAAGAAUCUUAAAAGCAAGUUUACUAAGAUAGAGCUUUUUGUUUUAGGGUCUAAAUUUGUUGGAAGCUCGUGUUUGAGGUAGGACAAACUUGUUGAAGCGGUCUUGAACAAGCUAAGACCACCAAAGAGUUCAAAGAGAUCAAGGUUAGUAAGAAAAGAGUUCUCUUGAGUAGAAAAGAAAAAAGAUAAAGAAGUUGAAGAAACUUCCUUUACUUGAAACCUAAGAUUUACCUGAGUUUUCUUGCAAUUUAAAAGGCAAGAGGAAAUAGGACAAAUUUAUAGAUUGAGAAUCUAGCCAAAAGUAGGGAGUGACAAAAAUGAAUUUAAAAAGAAUUUCUAAGCUUGAUUUACGAAUUUUUUUUUUAAGCAUGCUUUGAGUUUCAGUAUUUGAAUAUACUAGAUUUAUGAUUCUAUCUAUUUACCAAACUUGAGUUUCAAGUUUAGAAAUUAGUUUAUGAGAAAACAUGUUUGAGUUGAAUUUCUAAAGCAUUCAAAUUGAGAAAUAUUUCUUUAAGCAUGAGAUUUAUGAGAAUGCAUUUGAAUGUUAUGUUUUGAAAGUAUUGGAAGAAAGAAGUUAUUUAGGCAAAGCUAGAUUUGAGAAUUGGCUUAGUGCAAAAGUUUUAUAUGAGCCUGCUAAAUUUAUUGAGUUGAAGUUUUAGAGAUUUCUAAAUAUGUUUUAGUCUAUGUUGAGAUGUUUUGAGUUGAUAGCAACCCUACGAGGGAGAUUGUCCUAUGCACAGACGUCAUCAAAUAGAUGCCUAGAGUUUUCAUCAAAUAAACUAACUAGAGAAGAGAUUAGGUCCUCCAUGGACGCCUAUAUUUUUCAUCUCAUUAUAGCUAUGUGAGAUAGGGUGCUACUGGCGACUAGUGUUUCAUCCCGCAGUUAUAUGAAAUCAAAGGUAUAACAAGAAAGAAAAUAGAAAGUUGAAAGCUAAGUUAAGAAGAGAAAGUUGCUAGGCUAAGUUUAUGUAUUUAUCGCUCAAAGUUUUCAUGAAUACUUUUAUUUUAAAAGCUGUCACUCACAGGGUUUUCUAGUACUAGUGCCUACUAGAGCUCCGCCUACUCUGCUAGAAAUUGAAUAGAAUUUUGUACAGUUCAUUCUAUUCAUGCAUACUAAGUUGUGUUUAAAUUAGAAAGGCUUAACGGUGUUGUUUAUAAUAGAUUUGAAAACGGUUUUUGAUUUGAGUGUUGUAAUAGUGAUGUCUGGUUGAGACUCUAAAUUUAGUUUUGUCUAUAUAAGACCAAUAAUCAAGUUGUCCAUUGGCUGAGUAAACCUCAAGAUGUUCUGUAAAGAUUUAAAUUCUUGUUUCCAAGUUUAAACAUUUAUUACUGCACUUGAUGUAUAUGUUUAUUAAAAACAGAUAAAUAAUUAAGAGUUACAGAUUAAGAAAGGUCGAUAGAUAUGUCGUUAGAAGAAGAACAUUGUUGGUUGGCUUCAUGACACAUCUCGAGCUUAGUAAGGAGGUGCUCCAGAAUGGGGUGUGACAUGUCAUAUGUUUAAUACAUUUCAUGUACUACAAAUAUACUUUGCACUCUUCACUGAUACACUCAAUUGAUUUAAUACACUUGAUUUACUUGAAGUUUUGCCGAUACACCUUUGAUAUACACUUGUAAAUUUGAUUAAUGUACUUAAUAAUGAUUCACUUUACUUAUAUGUUGAUAUACUUGUUAAUGAUACUGAAAAAUAGAUGAGACGAUCAAUAAUAUCAUCCAGCUAUAUCAAAAGUAAUUAACUAAGAGAAUAGCUAAAGAAAAAGAAAUAACAAAUAACACAAAAGGCUUUGUUAACCCAGUUCGACAAAUUCAACCUAUAUAUGGGGAGCUGAAAUAUUAUUAAGAUUCAAAUAUUAUUAAGAUUCAAAUGAGUAAUCAACAACACUCUUAAGUUAUAACAGAAACUUAAUCAAAGACAGGCUCCCCUUAAUUUGUGUUUGAAUCUACUUGAAGAUAAACUCAAGCUCCCCUGAAUUCAUAGACCGCAGUUCAACUAUUUCAGUCUUCUUUCAUAUUUCUUAUCUACAGGUGUAGCGUAAAUUCCACUUGCAGAACUUCACAGUAAUCCAUCUUCAUAAAGAAGGGAAGUCAACUACCUUCUCAAAUAAUAAUUCUUCAAGAGAGAACUUAUUUAAAACCAAUUUUUCAUCAAUGUGCACACCAAACUAAGCCCAUAGCUUAGCUAUUUAAAGAUCACGAUAAUAUAUCUCUAGCUUCUUUAUGCAAAUAUAUAGAUAAAAUAUUUCUAUUAUGAAGGAAAACAUUUUAUCUUUUAAUAAUAUCCCUAUCUUUAAGUAAUAUCCUUUAUUUUAAAUAACCACAUUAAUAAUAAUAAAAAGAAACUUAUUAUUUCUUUUUGACAAAAAUAUCCAACAAAUACAAAGAGUUAUAUUGCACAUAUCACUACUACAAAAAUUGGUUUACAUGACGUUAACACAGUGUCAAGUAAACAUAUACUUGACGUUUUUAAAAGCGUCAAGUAAUCGACUGUCAAGUAUAGUCACAUUACUUGACACUAAAAAACUAUCAAGUAUAUAUUUACUUGACAGUAUUUUAACGUCAAGUAAUCUAUUGCACUUGACACUUAUUAUGUGUCAAGUAAGGUCGUAUACGUGAUGCAUUUUAUGUGUCAAGUAAAGUCCUAUACUUGACGGUUUUUUCACGUCAAGUAAAAUCGUAUACUUGGCAUUAUUUACAUGUCAAGUAAGAUAAUAUACUUGACAGUAUUUACCCGUCAAGUAAAAUAGUAUACUUGACACUAUUUAUCCGUCAAGUAAAAGUGUUUAUUUGAUUCAAGUAAGAUGGUAUACUUGACAUGUAUUUAACGUCAUGUAAUUAAUAUAUUUAAUAUACAAAAAUUUUCAUUUCAUGUUUCCUACAUUACGUAUAUUUGGUUUAAUAAAACAUAUCCAUCAACAAAAAAAAAAAAAAAAACUCUCCAACCAAUAGUUACACAACAAAAAAAUGACAUAAUUUAGUAUAAUAAGUAAACCAACAAUAAUUUCAUUAAUCUCAACAAUGUCACCAACAAUUACAUAAUUUCAAUCCAAUACUGUUAACUAAAUUUACUAUAUAUGGCCUAUUCCAAAAUCAACAAUAAUAAUAGUUAUUUUAUAUAACAAAAAAUGUGUGUGGUAUACCAAAACUAAAGUAUAUCCUCUUGUUAUACCAAUGAACAAAAGCUCCAAAAAUAUUGAAUGCUCUUUGCAUCAAUUGAUAAGAAAGAUAAAAACCAAGUUCCCCUUAAAGAAAAAACAACAAAACAACUAUAAGAAGUUUUAGAUCAAAAUAACUAUUUAUGAUGGAAACUCUUGAUUGAUUAGGAGAUCAAGAGAGAAGAAGAUGGAGGGGCGUUUUUGUAUAAGCAAAGCUUAAAUCUAACAUAAAUAAUAUUCACCACACCACACUUGGCCUUAAUCUCUCUAGAUCAUGUACCAACCAUAUGUAACUAUAAUAUCAGGCUAAUAAAAACAGAUCUCAAUUUUCAACAAAUACAAUGCCAAUAACAGCACCCAAAUACAAUGCCAAUAACAUUAUAAAGAUACUGCACCCAAUAUCUCAUCCAAACGCAGUACAGUUCAGAGGGUUGAAAGUUUUAAACUUUAGUUACAAAACCUCUUUUAGCUAGUAGCUAUAAUACAUACUUAUACACACACACACACACAUAUAACAGAAUAAAAAACUUUGGAGGAAAAUAAAAAAUCAAAAGAGGAUACCAAAUUUCUACCAAGAUCAACCCAAGAAGGAAGACACGGCAAACCAGUAUCUAAUACUCAAAUAAUUUAGAUCCUAGAUCCAUAAAAGAAAUCAGAAGAACAUAUCCAUGCAGAAGUACAAACAUAAAAUGACUGAUGCCUCUACUCCAUUUGUUCUCUUGAAGUGUCAAUUAUAAGAAAUUUGUCAUAAGUGAGAGAAGUUAGAAACUUAAAUGAAGCAUGUAUAUAUGAGAUCAUUCAUAACUAACUGGAUUCAAACACAUAAAGAGACGGUCUACAACUUACAGAAAUAUCCGUAAGAAGAUCUACCAAAGCACUUGAUGUAAAACAUACAACACAGACAACUGCUAGACCACCAACCUGCAUGUAAUAGAAUUAUUCCCGAAUCUUGAGAUUUAUUAAAUUUCAGAUAAUGGUCCUACAAUGUAUACUUUGUGGAUAAUAUCUUUGAUUUUAAAUUAUUAAGCAAUUUAAUCUUAACGGAUUUCACAUCCACAUCCAUACAAAUUCAGGAACUAACAUUUCAACUGAAAGGAGAGGGAAAAGAAUUACACAGUAAUUAUAUAUAACUUGAGUCAAUUAACUUCACCUCUGAAGAAGCUUCCUUGGAACGAACUUUUUUCAAUCGGUAAAAUAACAUAAAACCUGAAAAAAAAAUUAGGAGAGGAAGAAGAAAGAAAAAUCAUAUUGGGUCAAUCAUAUAAAGAGAUUGAAGAAAAGAAAAAAAUCAAAUGCAAACUACCAGAAUAUCACAUCAAACGAUUAUGAAGUUCUUAGAAGAAAGCCAAAAAUAUCAAGAGAAAUUGCUCACCAUAGAAGUCUAGUGCUCCUCCUGAUAGGAUGACUAUAAUAGCAAGAAAACCUUCAUAAUUCUGAAAAUAACCAAUAAGUUGAAAUAAAAAGCAUUUAGGAAUUAAUUAAAUUGUAUCAAUACAAGUACAACUACAUGAUGUAUGUGUACUUGUGGUUUGAAUAUCAACAUAAGUAUUGAAGAGAAGGCAAUUCCUCAUAUUAAUACUUUAGGAUGUGUGUGGACUUGUGGUUUGAGUAUCAACAUAAGUACAGAAGAGAAAGCAAUUCCUCAUUCUAUAUGUUAUAAAAGAUGAGUACAGAAAGAGCAUACAUGGUCCUUGUGUGCACAAUUUCAAGUUGAAAAUGAAAAUAGUGUUGUGGUAGCUCGAGUCUUUAAGUGAGACCUUAACAUAGUUCUCAAAAAUAGAGUGGUGAUGAGGAAACAAACAAAGCUACAAUUAUUGUUGUUUUAUAAAUGUUUAGAUUAGUAAGUAUAGAAAUAACAAUAACGGUCUUGAGAACAAGGUCUAGAAUCUUCAGAUAUCUUUGGGUGGCUUGAUGCAACGUCAAGAUUUUUCAAACAAUUAAAAUGAACAACAAGCACAACUAUAUGACCAUUAUGCAUAAUAUCCAUUCAAAACUCUAGAAAGAAUUUCACCCCAAUAAUUUUCUAAAAACUGAUAUAAAAGAAGAAACUACCUGAGUUAAUCAAUAAUUUAUCAAUAAAUUCAUGCUUGAGCGAAUUAAAACUCCAUACCUUCGGUACCCCUUGUUGUGGUGUAAUAUUCUUAGGAAACAAAAACUUUAAAUUGCAUUUAGUUAGUCCAAAUCGACAGUUCAAUAAUUUUCAAAGGGAUAAAAGAAAAUAAAACACACUCACUCAACUACACCUCCAAGAACAAUUAAAACAAAGUCACUCAAGACAAAGGGUAGCUAAUAUGGAGGUGAGCUAGAGAAAGUAAAGAAAGUGUAGCCAAUAUGGAGUAAAGAGAAAAUUCCUCAAACAAGUUGUAAUAUCUACCUUUGUAAUACAAUAGUAAGUCUCGGUAGCUUCCCAUAUUCUUCGAUCAUAGACAUAUUCUCUAUCAUUAUAAAAAAGGAAAACUGCAGAAAAAGAACUUUACUAAUUGAUUAACAUAACACUAAGAACCCAUAAUCAAUAGCAUAUAGGUAGGAAAAUAUCAUAACUCCACUUUUCAAGCUUAUUCCUAACAAGAGUGCAGACGCAAAGUAAUGUACACUAUUGGUUUCAUCAAGUAGGACAAUUCAUUAUGACUAAAUGUACCACUGCUCAACAUUGACUCACUAAAAUUUUUAUAUACACAGAAUCACAUAACAUAUAUAUUUCUUCAUAGAAACUCAACAAAAGUUCAACACAUAACCAGCUUGGCACUGCAAAUUUAUGGAAAAGAGGGAAAAUUGGAUACAAUUUAUGGAUUUAAUUAGAUGAUUUGCAGAACAUUCCAAUGGCAGAGGAAUAAACUAGAAAGUGAACUUUAAAAAAAAACAUGAAAGAAGAGAAGAAGUAAAAUUACAAAAACUUAAAAGUAGAAGCUUGAACAUGUCCCAAUGAUCAGAUAACUUAAUCUACAAGUGUGGGAGAUGCUAUUUUCUUAAGUGGGCAAGCUAAAAAUAACUUAAAUUAUCAACCGCAACCACCAUUUCCAACACUCACACUCUUUCUGCAAAACUAAUUGGGUUAAAUUCAGUCAGGCAUUACCCCAAACACAAUAUGGGCUGAAACAGAACAGCCAAUUAAGAAGUCAUAUUUUACCUUCUAACAACCAUAUCUUUGAUUGUUUCAUUUCUCCCACCGUACCACGCCUUCUACUCCCAAGUACACUGCAUCAUAGAUUGAAAUUUGAAAGCAACAAUAGAGAAGAAUUAUACGCUAUAAAUCGUCGGCCAUAGGAGUGUAAUGAAAGAAAAAGACCUUCUUCUACUUCGACUAUGUUGACGAUUUUGGUUGAAUUGAUUUUGGUCUCCGUCGUUUCAAAUUGUUUUUCUUUGAAUCGAUUUCGUGUAAUUAGAGAAUGUUCAAAGCUUAUCAGUAUGGUCUAUGUUGUUUCAGCAAUCAUUGUAAAGCUCUUGUAAUCCCCUAUGCUAGAAAACCUCGCCUCACGAACCCCAGAUCAUUUAUCUAGCACCAAUUCGAUAGAGAAGGUUACUUUGAAAAAACUUGGCGGCGGCGUGUUACGAGGGGUGCGGUGGCAUGCGACGUGGAAAGAAGAGUUGCAGCGCGUGCGACGAGGGGUUUCAAAUUCAUUACUGAUAUGCUUUAACAAUAUAUUGUUGAUAUACUUGAUAAUGAUAUACCGAGUUACAUCAUUCAUACACUUAAUAAUACUCUAAUUCAUUACACUGAGUUACAUCAUUCAUAUACUCAAAUUACGUAAUAAGUAUAUUAACAAACUAAUACAUAUAAUAUAAGUAUAUCACAAUACUGAUAUACGAAACUGAGAGAAAGUAAAACCAAAAAAUUAAUGUAAAAAAAACAAAGUUAUUUGGAAUCAAAUUCAACUCAAAAUACACAUCGAAGAAAGUAAAAAAAAAACUCACAAAUGGAGUUAAAAUACUCCGAUCAACAACCAUUAUAUUAUAUUUCAUAUUGCAAUUAUUGUACUAUUGAUAUUUUAAAAUUAAGAUUAAGACAAAAAGAAUAAAUAACUUUUAUAGUAUAAGAAUAAAGAAUAAAUUUAUUGAAGAAAACUACCCUACAAUGACAGUUAUAUAUCUCAAAAAAUGAAUGGAAGAAAAAAAAACUGUCACGAAAUAUAAAAUAACUUUUAUAGUAUAAGAAUAAACAAAUAAUUAGGGCCUUAAAAAGUUGGAGAAUAAAUAAAUAAUGAGUAGGACAUUAAAAAGAUGAUAAAUAAGUUAUUAAAGGAUAGUUUCGGAAUAAUAACAAAUUUAAGAUGAAGAAGUGAAAAUUUUGCUAUAUUUGCAUAAUUCUAAAACAAUGUGCUAAAAUUGCUAUAUUAUAUUCUUAAAAUGCUCCCUUAUGCAAUUUUCCUUAAUUUUAUCACGUUUUCUAAUAAUUAUAUUUCAAUAUAUAUGAUUAUCAACUUUUCACGUAUUAAUUGUUUUGCAACCAAAAUUAUGUAAUUAAUAACAUUCUCCACCAAAUUUCAAAAUCUUUAAUUAAAAUAUACAUAUCUACAUAUAUAUUAAUUAAUCCAACACAUUAUACCAGGUAAAUUCUCUAAAUUCCAAUAUUCCAAUUAAUAUAACACCUAUAAUAAUCUAUUCAUAAAUUAUUCAAGAUAAUUAAGUAACAAAAUUAGCUUAAAUAUUUUUGGAUGCUAAACAUUAUAUAUCAUAUUGCAAUUAAUGUACAGUUCAUAUCCUAAAAUUAAGAUUAAUGCAAUAGAAACUAAAAGAAUUCAUGGACGCCUAGUACUAGUAAAUCCACUUCAAAACCAGAAAAAUAAAAAAGAAGCAAAACUAGAAAUAAAACUUAAAAGAUCGGGAAAAUUAAAAAAUAUCAAACUCCUCAAACCAUAAGACAAAAUCAAAAUCAGAAGUCUAUCUUCGUAUGAAUUUCGAAUAACUUAACAAACGAUUCACAAAUGAAGAAGUCCUUAUAAAUUUUAGAAACCAAUUGAAACCUACGGAUGAGGAAUAACCAGAAAGAACAAAUUGCAGAGAACAUAAGAGAGAAUAUGACUAGGUUUUUUAAAAAAAGUGAGAGAACAAAUACAUGUAGAGUAGUUUAACAACAACAAUGAUAAAUAUUUUCAAAAAUAAGAAUUUUGACUUGUUUGCAAAAUUCUAAAAAUAGGUAAUAUAUUUGUUAAUAUACUAUUCUAAAUAAACCACCAAAUACCCUUUAAAAGUGGAAGAAUAAAUAUAUUAUUGAAUGAUAGUUUGAUAAUAGAAAAAUUGCAUAGGAUAACAUUUUGAGAAUAUGAUAUAGCAAUUAUAGCACGUUGUUUUAGAAUUUUGCAAAUAUGGCAAAAUUCUCAUUUCUCCAUCUUAAAUUUGUUAUUAUUCCUAAACUACCCUUCAAUAACUUAUUUCUCUUCUAAUGUCCGACUCAUUAUUGAUUUAUUCUCUUACUUUUUAAGGUCAUAAUUAUUUGUUUAUUCUUAUACUAGAAAAAUUAUUUAUUCUUUCUUUCUUAAUAUUAAUUUUAGAAUAUCAAUAGUACAAUAAUUUCAGUAUGAAAUAUAAUGGUUGUUGAUCGGAGUAAUUUAACUUCAUUUGUAACGUUUUUUUUACUUUCUUCAAUGUGUAUUUUGAGUUGAAUCUGAUUCUAAAUUAUUUUGUUUUAUUUUUUACAUUAAUUUUGUUUUGAUUUUACUUUGUCUCAGUUUUGUAUAUCAAUGUUGUGAUACACUUAUAUUAUAUGUAUUAGUUGGUUAAUAUAUUUACUACGUAACUUUUUAUUUUUUCAACUUUUAUGCAAUUCAUUAGAGUAUUAUUAAGUACAUGAAUGAUUUAACUCAGUGUAUCAUUAUCAAGUAUAUCAACAAUAUAUUGUUAAAGCAUAUCAGUAAAGUGAAUCAUUAUCAAGUAUAUGAACCAAGUUUACAAGUGUAUAUCAAUAGUAUAUUAAGUGUAUAAGUAGGACUUCAAGCAUAUCAACUGCAUUUAAUCAAUCAAUUGUAUAAGUCAAGAAUACUAAAUAUAUCUGUAGUGCAUGAGGUGUAUCAAACAUAUAUUAGUAAUGUUUCAGGUGUGUAUCAAAAGGUAUCGAGUGUAUAAAAAAAUAUCAAGUGCAUCAAGUGUAUCAAUCAGAUGUAUUGGGUGUAUCAAGAAGUAUCAUGUGUAUCAGACAUGUAUAAGGUGUAUCAAACGUAUAUUAGUAACGAGGGCAUUUGUGACAUUUUACUUAUUGAUGUGUGGGUUGAACUUCGUUUGUGCCAUUUUCGCAAAUAAUAAAAUGUGUGUGUUAUGGACUUAAUUAUUAUAACUUAUUUUGUCAUUUUUGCAAGUGCCCCUGAUAAUAAUAAUAAAUUUAAAAUAGAAAAUAUUUAAAAGGUGCACGUGUCAUAUAUGCUAUUUACUAUUCUAAGAAAGCUACCUACUCCAAUUUCCUAUCAAAUAACCUACAAACAUUUUUUAAUACGUACAAACAUGAUUUUAUUUGUUGUGUUUAAAAUUAACGUAAAUGUGUAAUGUUAUUUAUUAAUAUAAGAACUUGAUUUAAGACAGAAAAUUGUCAUAAAUAGAAAAUAUAUAUAUAUAUGUUAACAAUAUAUAACAAAAAGCUUAAGAGAUCAUAGAGAGAGUUUAAUUCAAUAAAUUACAAAUAUAACAAAAUAUGUGAAAAACUAUCAUUAAUAGACCACAUUGACAAUAUCGAUCUAUCAUGGAUAUACCAUAAAAGUCUAUCACUUUGUAUUUUAUUAAGAAUGUUGGUAUAUACUUAGUUGUUAUUUCUAAAAUUACCACCUAUUAUAAUGAUCCUUAUUAGUAAUUAAAAGGAUAAAAUGGUCCAAAAAUGUUUUUCAAACCUAGGAGCGUUUGAAUAUAUUAUAAAUUUUAUUAUAUAUAUAUAUAAUAUUUCAAAUAAUAUAUCUAUUAAGGAAACUCAUGUACCACGUGCACAAGUUUCAAUUACACUAUUAUUUUAGUCAACAAUUUGUGUUCCUACUUUAUAUAAAAUAAUUCAUUUUGUUUAUUUAUAUUAUUUUUUAAAACAAUUUUUUAACUGCUUUUAAGGAUUACGAUAAAAGUAGGAAAAUAAAUUAAAAUAUUUUUAAACUAUAGCAAAAUUUUAGAUUUUAUCAAUGAUAAAAAUUUAUAAACUUCUAUCACUAUCUAUUAGUGUCACUGAUAGAAGAAUAUGUGUCUAUCAAUGUCUAUCAAUGUCUUUUAUUGAUAGAAUCUGAACAAUUUGCUAUAUGUUGUAAAUAUUUUGUCAAAUUUAUUAUUUUUUACAAUUUUCCUAUUUUAAAUACGUUAUUUUCUUUUUUCAAAAACUGCCUUACUUCAGAGAUUAAUUGUAAUGACCCAGGCCCAGAAUUCGAACCAAGAUCUUCAAUAUUUUCGUGUAACCUGACAACAUCAUUCUUACUAUCUUAAAGGCUUAUUAUAAUGAAAGUUGUCCCCACAAACCAACACGAGUCUUUUCAGCAUGCUUUGUCCUCAUUCACAUGCAUCCUAGAAAAAUUCUCAGGAGAGCACCUACCAUAGAAUUGCUUAAAGCUAAGCACGCUUAACUUUGGAGUUUGUAUGAUUAAGCCACUGAAAAGAAAUAUACACUUUGUUGGUAUAGGUAGUAACUUUGAAUUCUUUUAAACCUUUCUUAACAUUAAUUUCAUGUGCUUGGGAUCUAUCUCAUUCAUAUGUGAUACUGGUUUAUUCAUGUCUCACUCCUAAACUCGGGGCAUUAUAUUAAUCGAGUUAUAAACUCAAGACUAAAAAAGUGUAUGUGUGGAUACAAAGAUAGUAACGGUGAAAACACUCAAACUACGUGUACCAAAAUUUUUUUAAUAAACAAAAAGGAGGAUUAUUUUAAAUGACAAAAUUGUUGUAAACAAAAAUGUUAAAACUAUUUAUAAAACAUACUAAAAUUUCACGGUUGAUAACUACUUAUAAAUUAAAAAAUUUACUGUAAUAUUUUGUAAAUUUUGGUAGUUGGGUGCUAUAAUUAAAUAUGUGAAAGAAAUUCAAUAUUUAGAGAGAAUUGAUUGAUUAGAUGAUUUAGACAAGUGAUUAGAAGAAUGAGAUACUAACUCCAAAGAUAAAUAAUACUAAUAAUAAAACAAAUAUAAAAAAGAUUAGGUUUUAGAUUUUGUGAACUUUUGAAAAUUAAAGCAAAUAAUAAUAAUUGCGAACGACUUUUGACAACAAAAUUUGUUUUAUAUUCAUACAAUAAUGCUAUCCUCCAAGUUAACGUUAUUACUAACUCUACCACCCAUGUCUUGUAAACCAUCGACAAUUUCCACAUCCAAAACCACACAUUCAAAUAAAACUUUAUAUCUUGUACAUCAAACUUGAAUCAUAAUUAAUCUCAAGACAAUAUGAUCUUUCUUUUGACAUUUAAAUUAUCUUAAAGUUUCAUUAGGUUAAUACAUAACAAAAGCGUGGAGGACUUAUAAUCCAUAAAAAAUAUAUGGUUCAUUUUAUAUUAUAUUCCUACAGUAAUGAUUUCUUCCAAGUCAUUACUAACUCUUGCAUUCUUGCCUAAAAGUCUAAAAAAGACAAAUGGACAAAACCCCUUUAGAUAAACUUUAUUCAUAUAUAUAUAUGUAUGAACAUUAUUUGUACAAGUAAUAUAAUUAUAAAAUUGUUAGUCUUUCCUAAUUAUACUUCUUUUUCAGAACACAGACAAAUGAUUUGAACUUUGAAGGGUAAGAAGAAAUCAUGAAUAGGCAGGAAAAAAUCUCACUCCUUCUUAUUGAUGAUGGAACGUAACGAUUAUCCUGAUCUCAUUAAAUUUUAAAUCAAAGAGUAUUUUGGUUGUAGAUUACAACUGUUAGCCUUUAUAAUUGUCCACUCAACAACCUUAUUCUCAAAUAUAUGUUAUUCACUUUUAUUUUUAGUUUCAAAGCAUUUAUAAGAAAACCCUAAACCAAAUGAUUGUUGGGGUAAAUAUGUAUAUGUACUUCCAUUUACUAUUCUUACUCUUCACUUGUACUAAUUCGCUAUUUAUCUUCUUAACUCAACAAAUAGUCAAUCACUUUUCUUCUUCGUUAUGGGAAUUAUUUGUAUUCUUAUUCAUCAUUUUAAUAGCCCAAGCAUACUCCUCAUUUUGAAUAAAUUAAUAGAGGUAAAUUAUGAUUCUUGGAUCAAAUUAAAUGCUAGGAUGAUUGGAGUACUCAAUAGAUCCAGUCGACACUAGGUAAUAAACACACUAAAAAAUAUUAAAAAAAUAUUUUGACAUUUCACUUAUGUUCUAAUAACAUUCGCUACAUUUGUAGAAAUAAAGAAAGACCGACAAUUUUCAUAUGAUUUUUUAUAAUAUAAAUAUGUGAAUUUAAAAUUUAUAUCAAAAAAAGAAAAGAAAUAUAUAUAUAUAUAUAUUUCGUGGAAUAUUGUUGAGAGAAUCGAAGUUUGGAUCACCGAAUUUGUUUGAUUUUUUUAAAAAAAUAUUUGUUAGAUAACAAAUGAGAGCUAGAAAAUAAGUUACGAUUUUUAUCUUGGAUGAGUUUGUUUUUUCUCUUUUUAAAAUAUUACAUUUCUUUUAGGAAAUCAUUGAAAUUUACGAAGAAAUGUAACAGAUAGAUUUGAACACACAACCAAAGGAUUGUACAAGGACACACAGUAGAGUAGAGUAGAAGUAGAAUUUAGACAAAGUAAAGUUAAAUUUAAUAUAUAUUGUAAUCUUACAUUUUAAAAUUAAUAUUAAAAUAUAAAAAUCGAUAACGUUAGAAAAUACUACCUCUGUCCUCUGAAUAAAUCGGUCCGGGCCAAUGAAACCAAAUUUUGAUGUGGAACUGUGAAAAUUAGCAAAUUCUUGAAAAAUGAUAUGUAGCAUCCUACGUUUUUACGUCUUGAAUAUCCAACUUUCGUUGUCCCUUACACAAUUUUACUUCAUAAAAUGUAUUAUUUCUUGAAAUUAGUCAUAAUUGUGACUCGCUUUGGGAUCAAUACCCAUAUGUUAUAUUUGUCAUUUUCUCAAUGCAUUUAUGAAAUAUGGAAGCAAUAAUUCAUGGGAAAAAAAAACUAUAUAAAAUUUCUGCUAGUGUCUAGCUAGAAAAUAGUAAAAAACUAAAUUAUCCAAAUACACCAUACAAUAUAUAUUAUAUAUAUAUUUUAAGCAAGCAUAACAAUAAUGAGCUUCAUCCAUUUUACAAUGAGAAUGACCCUUAUUAUAUUUUUACAUUACCCAUAACUUAAAAGAACCAUAGUAAUAAAAAGAUAUUCAAAUCAAUCCUGAAACAGAACUCGUAAAGCAAACCGCAACCCUUUUGACUCAAACAUAAUCAAACAUACCCAACUGCAUGCGAGAGAAAGAUGAAGCUCACAGAAGACAUACAGCACAUCAUAUUUUAUUUAAGGUGAGAUUCUAUGUCCUUGGUGAGGUUAUUCAUAAGAUCAAGAUAUUUGUAAGGAUAAGGAGAGCCAUCAUUGAGUUUCUCAUACUCCAGUGUUAAAACUGCUAAGCUAUGUUCAGGUCCCUUUGGCACAACUUGAUAUGUUCCCUUGAAAAGUUUGUAAUGCUCAAAUACAUCUCCUUCCAACCCAAUCAAAGUUACUGCAAACUUCUCGUCAUCAAACUCCACUUGUUCUUUGAAAACCUCAGUCUUACCAUCUUAAUAAAAAUCACAUAAGAAUGAAAUAAAACGAAAUGAAUCAGUAAAAAUUAGAGAGAAAAAGAAAAAAAUGUGUGGUUGUGGCCGUGAUCAUUGUUGCAGUUAUGGUUAUAAUUUAUACGUACCGACGGUGUAGCUCCAAAUCUUGAUAGAGCCAUGACCAUGAGUGUCCCAAUCCCCUUCAUGAACUUCAACGUUUUGGAUUAUGUUUGGGGAAAUAUUGGGAACAUGAGAAACUUGGUCUUUGAAGAUUUUGUAGUACUUCUCAGCAGGUGCAUUUAUUUCUAAUUCACUCACAAAUUUUCCCACAAGAGACAUGGUUUUCAAAAAACUCUCAAUAGAUACUAAAUAACUUAAAAGAACGUAUGCACACAAAGAAAACCUUAAUGCCUUCCCCCUUUUAUGGAACUCCUUAUGAUGAAUUAUUAUUAUUAUUAUAUUCCAAUGAUGAAUUAUUUUUAAAUGAUACUAUAUUAUUUGCUCAAUCAUUUUAAAUUAAAGGAAAAGUUAUAGAUAUUGUUAAAAAAACAAAUGUUUUGAUCAUAUGGUUGUUGUGUCAUGUUGAACCACUGCCUUGAAAGCAAAACUUGGCUCGACUUCAGUGCUAAAUCGUUUAUGCUGGUUUCUCUCCAAGGUUAACACAACUUUCUCAACCCAAACGCGAACUAUAGGCAAUGCGCAUAGAACCUCAUGUAAAAGUGAAAGCUUUACAAAAAUAUCCUUAAACUUUUUCGUAGAAGGCAGCCACACAUUCACAGUCACGUUUCUUGCUUCAUCAAGUCGUUUCUUGCUUCAUCAAGUCUAUCACAGUAACCACUUAAAACUGAGCUAUGGAAAUUUCACAUCUAGUCCAUAUCAAGACCAACUUCACCAAGUUUGUCAAAGAAAAACCACUCAAAACUGAGCUAUAAAGAUUUUACGGUUAUCCAUCAAGUCCAUACUAAGACCACUCAAAGAAAGGGCUAUGAAAUUUUGAAAGGUUUUAGUUUCAUAUCCAUCAAAUCCAUUUAAGGACUACCCACACGUGGCUAUGGACCAUCAAGCCUACCGUAGUAGACUACCUAGAAAAGGGUUAUUGACCAUCAAAUGUUUGAGUCUCAUUACUCUUGUUGAAAAUCUUAAAAUUACUCUUCUUAUUAGGCCUUUGGAGAGAUGACCUACAAAAUUCCUCUCAAACCUCACAUACUUCAAGAAGAUAAUUCAUUCAUUUAACUAUCAUUUCACAGUUGCAAGUUUUAGACGAAAAUGCCUUCUUUUGCCAUAACACGCUACUCUUGGCAAUACUUAUGACAGUGCACAUGAAUCCUAAUAAAGAUAUAUUGGUAAAGAGGCCCCCAAUAAUGGUACAUCUUCCAUUAGGCUUCUAUGUCAUUCAUCCUAAUGUCCUUAUACAAUAGUACAUUUCUUAUUAAAAACACACAUCUACUAAUAUAAAGCUUACUUAAUCAUUCUGAGUUAUUCGGUUUGCAUACCUUACCUCUCUAGUAUGAUAGACAAUAAUUAAAAUGCAAACCAAAAUCUAUUGUAACCUUAAGAUAUCUUAAUAAAUGAAGAAGAACAAGAAAAUAAUCUUAAUCAAAAUAAUGUGUAUAUAUAAAUACUCAAUUUUCUCACAACAUAUACAAUAACAAAUCUUGUACAGGUUUAUAAAAAACAUAAUAUACUUUCUAUAAUCCUAGCAUAUUCAAAUUGAGAAACACUACCCCAUUUAUUUUUAUUAAGGCUCAUACUAGCAUCAUAAGGUGUUCUUACCAGAGCACCAUUAAACUGUCAAGUUCCUUUAAUAGUGCUCAAUAUGUGAUUGACAUAAAUAAAAACAUUCUCAAUAUACUUUAGAGCAUCACACAUUAGUCUCACAUAAAUUUUCACUUGAUCAAAAUGUGAUAACUUUAUAGCAUUACCUAAAGUGAUAAAAGCACAUGACAACGAAAGAUUUUACAGAACCAUUUCUCAAAUUAAUUUUGAAAUCCCAAAAUACCAAUACAUUGACAAAAUAAUACACAAACUAAUUUUCUUAUUAUACAUUAAAAGCUAAGCAUACUUUCUAAUUAUAGAUUAGAGAAUGAAAAACUUACUUAGUUUGAUGCCUUUGAAUCUACUAAAACUUCAAGUUAAGACACCACCCGUCAGAAACCUUCCUAUCCUCUAGGAUGGAUUGGUUUGUUGGAACCAAUUGAGAUGAGAAAAAGAAAGGUUUUGGAGAGAAAUUAUUUUGCAAAAUAUCAAAAUCAUUAGUUCCAUUAAUUGAUUAAUUGAUUAAAGAAAAUUGUUUUCUUCUAGAUAUUAAUAACUCUCUUUUCUUGAUUGAGUAGGAAAGGGAGCAUGAGAAAAGCAUGAGAUUCUACUAAUUUAAAAAAUAUUAAAUUAAUAGAAAUUUCAAAUCAACUAAUUAACUCAUCAUUAAUCAAUUAGUUAAUAAUUAAUUAAAUCAAAUUUAAUUAAUAUUUCAUUUAAAUCUUAUUUAAUGAAUAUCUCGAUAAUAUCUUAUACUUGUAUAUUAAUUUAAUUAAAUUAAAUAAAGGGAAAAUUUUAAAAAUAGUAUAUUUUACAAAAUAUUUACAACCUAUAGCAAAUCAUAUCACUGAUAGUCAUUGAUAUGUUAUAGCGAUAAAAGACUAUAAGUGAUAGAAUUCAAAAUUUUGCUAUAGUUUGUAAAUAUUUUAAUUUAUUUUAUUAUUUUUAAAAAUGCCUCUAAAAUAAAACUAAACUAUUAAUUAAUUUUCCAAUUAAUUAAUAGUUAAAUUAAAUAUCUUAUAUUUAAGUUAAAUUAAAUUUGAAUCAUAUUCAAAUAUAAAUUUCUCUCAUAACCAAUAAUUUUAAUAUGAAUCAAAUUCACAUUAAAUUAAUAUUUGAACUCGUUCAAAUAUUUUACUCUCAUAAAUUAAUUUAUCUACAAUCUAUGAGUUGUAGGACAUAAAUCCCAACAUUACCAAUAUUUAUGUUUGUAUUACAUAAAUCUUUCCAUCAACAUACAAACAUAUUAUCACACAAGCAACUCCAAAAACUUUUAGGAAACACAUAUAUAUAAGCAAUUUACUUCUAAAGACAUUGUUUACUAAAUUGUUGUUAAAGUUUUUCUUAUUAGUUAGACUUUCAGAAAACUAGUUAAAGACCAUAAAGAAAUUUGACUGUUCGAAGUUACCAUUAAGGAAUAUCAUCGUUACAUACACUUGAUGUAUCAGAAGACCUCAUGCAACUACAAAAGCUUUUAAUUUUAUAGUGAUUAACUUAGUCAUAUGGAAACAAGAAUCAAAACAUUUUAAAUUCUAUGUUUGAUUCAAAAUAUUUUUCAUAAGUUUAAAGUUGCACCUAUGUACUUAUGAUCGUCUCCUUAUUUAACUAAAGUGGGAUUUGGAUAGCAUUCCCAAAAAUUGUCCCUCAAACAAAGUUUCAACUUAAUCUCCCUUAAAAUAUACAUCAAUCCAUUUAACUCUUAUCAAGAUUAACUUCUCUCUAAAGUUUAUUAUCUAUUUAGAAUACAAAUAUCAAUAAUUCCCUAACUACUUUUAAGGUUCCACUAAAUCUUUUUGUUCAACCUAAAGAUUAUACCAACAAGGCUAAACCAGGAAAACAACUCCUUAUAACCACUUAUUAAGGACUACUUGGGUAUAAGCCCUCUUGUCUUGAAUAAAUAAUGAAUUUGCAUAUUCUCAUACUACUAGCAAACUUUGGUAUGACCAAAGUUGUACGACCAAAGUUAAUUAUAAGUAAUAGUAAUACUUUCAAUUUCAUGAAAAUUAAUUAUCAAAUUAUGCAACAAUUCAUGACGUAAGUCAUGUAGAACUCAGUCAAAUAUGACAUACAUUUCUACUCAUGCUAGCAUGGUAAUUGUCACACCCCGCCCCGAGCACCUACUUGUUUGGCCUGAGACGUGGCAUGAAGCCAACGAGGAUCAAUGUUUGAGAUCAACUAAGGCUGGGUACCUUAUCCUGGCAACACUAUGGAUAUAACUCACUUUGUAUUUGAUAUAAACAAAAUGAUCCAAUGUGUUCGUGUAGGUGACAUGCAAGUGAGGGUAUUAUAUGCAAUGAGAUUUCAUAAGACUGGAUCACGAAAUAAGAACCACUAGAUGUAACUUUGUUAACUAGUUAGGUUUCUAUUUCAUUAGGAUUACUUAGGCAACUUAGUCUUAAUUCUGAGUGUAUUAUAAACUUCUGUUUGCAAAAGAUUUUUCUUUAAUUUGUAUGAGUGAGAGUGGCUAGAUCGUCGACUUAAUAAUCUUAUCAUUUUAGGACCAAGACCGAGUGGAGAGCUGGGAACAUAAGUACAACUCUUGUUCACUCAUUUCCUACUUUUAGGGUAAGUAGAUGAGUGUUCCCUUAAAUGGUAUCUCCUCGACUUGAACAAAAGGCCCUACCCUCUCUAUGGCACGAGAGGGGUUUCUAUUUAUUGGUAGGACCAUAAACAAGUUGUUCAUUAGAGGAGCACUAGUAUUUAAGGAUUAUAAGUAACUUAGGGUAAAAUUGUAUUUUGACCUAGUUGGUGUUACGAACACUCGUGAAGGACAAACUUACUGUUAUUUGUCUAUAUUCGUGGACAUAAAUAUAUCUACAAUGAGAAGAGUUCAAUUGUGAGUCUGUAGAGGAGUGUACCCACAGUUAAUGAAUAUUGAUUAUUGUAGUUAAUGAGGUUUGCCAAUUAAUAUCAUAUCAUUGUAGCUUUUGAUGUGUAGGUCCAUAAGUCUCCUUCAUAGCUCGUAAAGGAUAAUGAGAUUUAUUUAUAUUGGUUAUAAUUUGAAAUGCUCAAAUUUACUUUGGAAAUUAGUAUAAUGUAUAGUAAUACACUAUAAUAUAAAGUUUAUCAAAUUUUAUUAUAUAAAUUUAAUUUUGGAUAUGAUUCAAAAUUAAUUUAUGAGAGAUAAAAUAUUUGAAUGAGUUCAAGUAUUAAUUUAAUGUCAAUUGGAUUCAAAUUAAAAUUAUUGGUUAGGAGAGCAACUUAUAUUUGGAUAUUAUUCAAAUUUAAUUUAAGUUAAUAUAAGUUAUUUAAUUUAGCAUUAAUUAAUUGAAGAAUUAAUUAAUAGUUUAAUUUCAUUAUAUUUAAUUAGAUUAAUAUAAAAGUAUAAGAUAUUACAGAUAUAUUCAUUAAAUAAGAUUUAAAUGAAAUAUUAAUUAAAUUUGAUUUAAUUAAUUAUUAACUAAUUGAUUAAUUACUCCAUGAAGGAAGGAGAGUUAUAAAUAUAUAAAAGAAAAACCGUUUUUCCUAACAAAAAAAUAUAACUAAUAAUUUUUAUUUUAUACAAAAGAGUUUCUUUAAAAAAUCUCUAAACUUUUUUCCAUCUCAAUUUGUUCCCACCAACCAUUCUCAUUCUAGAGGAUAGGAAUGUCUCCGAUAUGUGGUGUCUGAAUUUCGUGAUUUACUUUGUAGAUUCAGAGACGUCAAACAAGUAAGAUUUACUUCAGAGUGUGAUUAUAAAAGUCAAGAGAACGCAAACUCCAUAAAUGGAUAAAGUUUCUUAGGUUAAUCUUCAAUAGUUGUCUUUCCUUUCGAUAGCCUAUUGAAGUAUGCCGCUAAGAUCUGAAAAUGGUAGGAUCACACUUACGGAAUGAAUUGAGUUAGUUAGUGAAUCCUUGACCGAACAACAAUAGCUAAGUACUAUAGGAAGAAGAGUUAUUCUGGUAUUAGUAAUUAAAUGAGAUUGUCAUAAUUUAGGAGAGAAGUAGUUGAUCACCCUUUGGUGGUUGUUACUUUAAACUUCUAAAGUAUCGUUGCAAAAACUAAAUCCUUUGUUUGAUUAGGGUUCUUUGAUUGCUUGAUUUUGCUAAAUUGAUUGGAUAAUUUUGAGUAAUGGGUUAAGACAAAGAUAACUAAUACGGUCAACUGUUUGAUAUUUCAACAUGUCUUUUUCAAUCAUUCAACUUCUGAAAAAUGAAAAAUUAACCGUCGAGAAUUAUGCAACAUGGAAGGCAAACCUGAAUAUGAUUCAUGUAGUCGAUGAUCUACGCUUCAUCUUAAUAGAGGAAUGUCCUCCUUUCCCUACUCCAAAUGCAGUUCAGACUGCCAAGGAUGCAUACAAUUGAUGGGCAAAGGCGAAUGAUUGGCCCACAUCUAUAUCUUGCUCAAUAUGUCUGACGUACUGAGCAAGAAACAUGAGUCAAUGGUUACUGCACGUUAGAUUAUGAACUCCCUCCAGGAGAUGUUUGGGUAACUGUCCAUUCAAAUCUAAGAAAGGCCAUUAAAUACAUUUAAAAUGCAUGUAUGGAAGAGAACCAAUUUGUUACAGAACAGUUUCUUGCCUUAUUGGUUUAGUUUAAUGUGGCAGAAAUGAACGGGACGAUCUUGACGAGUCAAGUGUCCUUUAUAUUGGAAUCUCUUUCGAAGAGCUUCCUUAUAUUUUGUAAUAAAUCAAUCAUGAGCAAGAUAGAGUACAACAUGACUACCUUCCUAAAUGAGUUGCCCACUCUAUGAGUUUUCAGAAGAGUUCAUCCUUUGGAGCCAAGUCUGCACCUUCACUCCUUAAGUCGAAGAAAAUCCAGAAGAAGAAAAGAUGGAAGGGGAAGGGUCCUGUUGCUGCUACUCCUUAGGGCAAAGGAAAGACUAAGGUAACCGACAAGGGGAAGUGCUUCCACUACAACGUGGAUGGACACUAGAAGAGGAACUGCCCCAAAUACCUUGCUAAGAAAAAGAAGGAAAAGGAAGGUAAAUAUGAUUUACUCUUUUUAGAAACUUGUUUGGUGGAAAAUGACCAAAAGACCUAGAUACUUGAUUUAGUAGCCACUAAUCAUGUUUGUUUUUCUUUACAGGAAAAUAGUUCCAUCCAGCAGCUCGAAGAGGAUAAGAUGAUGCUCAAGGUUGGAACGGGAGGCGUCAUUUUAGCUCAUGCAGUGGGAGAUGUCAAGUUGUUUUUUGUAGAAACAAAUUCUUGUUUUUUAGAAACUUUGAACAUAGUUCCUAAGAUUAAGAGGAACUUAAUUUUUGUUUCUUUACUUAUUGAACAAUUGUACUAAGUUAGAUUUUGUUAAAGUGAAGUGUUCAUUUCUAAGAAUGAUGUACAUAUUUGUUCGGCUAAGCUUGAAGACAACUUGUAUGUAUUGUGAUGUUUAAAAUUGCUAUUACUCAAAAUAAAAGGCUAAGAAUUUCUCCUAAGAACAAUACCUACCUUUGGCAUUUAAGAUUAGGUGACAUUAAUCUCGAUAGGAUCAGAAAAUUGGUAAAGAAUGGACUUCUAAAUGAGUUAGAAGAUGAUUCAUUAACUCCAUAUGAAUCUUGUCUUGAAGGAAAGAUGACUAAAAGAGCUCUUUAGAAAAGGUUAUAGAGCCAAAGAGUUCCUAGAACUUGUACAUUUAGACCUAUGUGGUUCGAUGAAUGUAAAAGCUAGAGGAGGUUUUGAAUACUUCAUCAUCUUUAUAGAUGAUUAUUCAAGGUAUGGUUAUUUAUAUUUAAUGGUACAUAAGUCAGAAACUCUUGAAAACUUCAAGGUGUAUAAGGCCGAAGUUGAAAAUCUAUUAAGUAAAAAUAUUAAAAUACUUCGAUCUGAUUGAGGUGGAGAGUACAUGGAUCUGAGAUUCAAAGACUAUAUGAUAGAACAUGAAAUCCAAUUUCAAUUCUCAGCACCUGGUAAACCUUAACAAAACGGUGUAUCAGAAAGGAGAAAUAGAACCUUGUUAAACAUGGUUCGUUCAAUGAUGAGCUAUACUCAAUUGCUAACCUAGUUUUGGGGGUAUGUAGUAGAGACUGUAGUUCAUAUCUUGAACAAUAUUUCCUCGAAGAGUGUUUGUGAAACACUUUUCGAGUUAUAGAGAGGAUGUAAACCUUGUUUGACUCACUUCAUAAUUCAGGGUUGUCCAACACACGUGUUAUUGACAAAUUCCAAGAAGUUGAAACAUUGUUAAGAGUUAUGCCAAUUUCUUAGUUACCCUAAAGAAACGAGAGGUGGUCUAUUCUUUGAUCCACAAGAAAAUAAACUAUUUGUAUAGACAAAUACUACUUUAUUGGAAGAAGACCACACAAGAGAUCAUAAAACAUGAAGCAAAUUAGUAUUAAAUGAAGCUAAUAAUGAAUCAACAAGGUUUGUUAAUGAAGUUGGUCCCUCAUCAAGAGUUGAUGAAACCAACACGUAUGGUCAACCUCAUCCUUCUCAAUCAUUGAGAAUGCCUCAACGCAAUUAGAGGAUUGUAUCACAAUCUAACCGUUGAAGAUCUAUUGUCCUAUAAACAGGUAAUGAACGAUGUAGACAAGGACCAAUGGGUCAAAGUUAUGGACCUUGAAAUGGAGUCUAUGUACUUCAAUUCAGUGUGGGAGCUUGUAGAUUUACCUAAAGGGGUGAAACUUAUAGGGUGCAAAUGGAUUUAUAAGAGAAAAAGAGAUUCAGCUGUAAAGAUACAGACCUUCAAAGCUAGACUUGUAGCAAAAUUGUAUACUCAAAGGGAAGGGGUUGACUAUGAGGAAACUUUUUCCUAUAUUGCUAUGUUAAUAUAUAUAAGGAUUCUCUUGUCCAUAGUUGCAUUUUAUGAUUAUGUAAUAUGGAAAAUUGAUGUCAAGACUGCUUUUCUGAAUGACAAUCUUGAAGAGAGUAUCUUUAUGUCAACUUGAGGGGUUCAUAACCCAAGGUCAGGAGCAAAAGGUAAGCAAGCUGAAUCGAUCCAUUUGUCGGUUAAAACAAGCAUCCAGAUCUUGGAACAUUGGGUUUCAUAAUGUGAUCAAAUCUUUCGGUUUGACCAAACCGUUAAUGUAUCUUGUGUAUACAAGAAAAUCAUCAAAGUUAAAGUAGUUUUCUUAGUACUUUAUGUGGACAAUAUCUUUCUCAUUAGAAAUGAUGUAGGAUACUUAAUUGUCACUAAAAUUUUGCUAGCAACCAAAUUCCAAAUGAAAGAUUUAGGAGAGGAAAAGUAUGUUUGUGGGAUUCAAAUCAUAAGGGAUCGUAAGAACAAAACGCUAGCACUGUCUCAGACAACUUAUAUCGAUAAAAUGUUGGUUCGAUAUUCAAUGCAGAUGUAAUGACCCAACUAUUUAUACUAAGUUGAGGUCAUUGCCACUAAAAAAUAAAGAUUUUUUAUUUAAAAUAAAAGAAAAUACCAAAAUUUAAAGGAAAUGCUUUAAAUAUGCAUUUAUAAAAUAUAAGUAAAGUAUGUCAAAAUAAUAAUAAUAAUAAUAAAUAAAUAAAAUACUAGUUAUGUCAAAAUAAUAAUAAUAAUAAAUAAAUAAAAUACUAGUUUGGGUCCCAUUUGAAUUAGAUAGAAAAUAUCUAAAAGUACUCAUGAGUUCUGAAAUAAAUUUAUGUAAAUCAAAUACUGAAAAUAUAAAUGCGGAAGAAAACAUAAAUUGUUCCCUAUAACAAACUACGGUGACUUCUUGUCAUUUGCUAGCUUACUUCUACCUCUACCUUUGCUUGAAAAAUUAAAUGUAGAAAGAGUGAUUAUAAAUUUGUACUCAGUAAAGGACCAAAUACUAGUCCCGCUACGUGUCUGUUAACUUUUCGUUAGAGUCCUGUAAGAAAGUAUUGCAUAGCUAUUGUGAUCUCGAACGCAUUAUAUCCAUUGAUCUCGUAGAGACACAUCUAGGCUCUCAGAGAACCUGAAAGAAUCAUCCUGAAAGAGAGUCAGGCUGUAAAUGAUCCCGUUGAAUCACACAUAAAAGCUAGCCACACAAGUAUAAAUAGGUGGUGAUCCCGAGGGACACCCAUAUGAUACGACUCUAACAGACAAAGCUAACAGAACACCAUAGGCUAUACAUAUAAUAUAACAUAAAUAUUAUAUCCCAAUCAUAUUGUAUCUCAACCAUAGUCUCAUUCUUAACAUAUCUUAUUCAUAACAUAUCAUGGUCAUCACAUAUCUCAGUCAUACAUAACAGUUGUCUAUGUAGCUAUCUAUAUCAAUCAUCCCUAAUAGUCACAUAAUGCAUAAUAAGGGAAAACAUAAUGUCAAGGGUCUCAUAGGAGAAUCUCUUAACUUGAGAUUAAUUAGCUAAAUUAACAAUUCCUUGGUUGACAGUCAAUUCCUCCCAAUUUACCUAGUCCUCGAGACUAAGGUUGAAUCCAACACAACCUUGAAUGGAAAAAUUGCACAGCUCAAAUCCUCCAAUGACAAUUAGUCAACCUUCAAGUAAAUAACCCAACUUAAUCAAAUUGUGAAUUUAUCUCAAACCAAUAAUUAUUGUUUGAUGGGUAUACAUAAACUCAUAAAAAACAUACCAAAAAGUAAGAAAUUUUCUAAACUUGACUCUCUACAAGGAAGCAACUCCGAAACAACUCAAGAAAGAAGGGUUUGUUCAGUUGUAGCUCGUGUGAAAACGCACGGCUUGGUUUGGGUGGAAGUAGAUUAUCACGCACGGUUGGGCAAGGAACUUGUGGAUUGGGAAGAACAGCUCGACUCGUUUAGGUGUUGGCUUGCUCGAUGACUACUGGGGACGAAGGCUUCACCGUCGAAGGGAGACCGAAGUCCACGUGCAACUGUGUGUAGUGGAGUGCGAUGGAGGAAAAUGAGAGACUCACGUCGUUUAUUGGUACAUGGAGAUGAAGACAUGUAAAUGGCUCGAUGAUUCAAGUUCAUAGUUAAGGAGAGAGAUAUGGCAAUCGCAACGACAAAGAUCGAAGAUGGUGAAGGCCCGGCUAGGGUUUGUGAGGAAGGAAGAAGAUGAUGAAUAAUUUCCUUUAUUUUCUUUGCACGCUUCACGAGGGUAAUUAUAUAUAAUGAUAAUGAUAAUGAUAAUAUUUAUUAUUAUUAUUUCUUUUCCUUUUCCGAAUAACAAAUUACACACACACACGCGUGCAUGCACACACACAACACACACACACACACAACACACACACACACCAAACUACCUUAGGGCCAAACAUCCUCUACUCACCAACCUCACCCCAAGAAGCAGGGGACCUACAACACUUACCAUAUAGAGCUUCAAAUGGUGUCAUGCAAAUGUUAGUCCGGUAACUGUUAUUAUAAGCGAACCGCAUCAAGUGCAAAUGAGAGUCUCAACUCCUUAAGAACUCUAACACACAAUUUCUCAACAUAUCCUCCAAAAUUUGGUUCAAAUGCUCUGUUUGACCAUCAAUCUGAUGGUGAAAAGUUGUAUUGAAGUCUAAUUUUGUGCUCUUGGCAGCCUGAAGUCCUUUUCAGAACUUGAAAGUAUAACUGGUAUCUCUGUCAGAAACUAUCGAUACUAGCACUCCAUACAAUUUCACUAUCUCAGUCAUAUACAAUUAUGCCCACUUACUGUCAGUAUAAAUGGACUUCCUUGAGAUGAAAUGUGCUGACUUUGUGAGCCUGUCAGCAAUAAGCUAAAUCAUUGUAUAACCUUUCGGGGUCCUACGCAGUUCUGAAAUGAAGUCCAUAGACACAUUCUCCCAUUUCCACUUUGGCACACUCAAAGAUUGCAACAAACCUGCUAGCUUUUGUCUUUGGUGCCUUCACAUGCUGACACACCAGACACUUACUAGCAAAGUUGCCACUUCUCUCUUCAUAUUUCUCCACGAGUAUACUUGCUUCAAAUCCUGAUACAUCUUUGUACUGCUUGGAUGCAUAGAAAUUGGAGAACUAUAAGCCUCAGUCAAUAACUCUAUCUUAACUACACUUUUGGCUGGCACACAUAAUCAUCUCUUAAAUAUAAGUUCGUCAGUAGAGGAUAUAGAGAGAACUCCUAAACUUGCCCUUGUUCUGUUACAGAGUGUUUAUCAACCAAAUUAGGAUCAGUGAGCUGAACAAUAAUAAUUCUCUACCUCAAAGUUGGCUAUACUGACAACUGAACUAAUUGUGAGGUGACCUCUCCCAUUGAAACUGCAAUCUCAACUCUCCCACGAUCUUUAUGCAAAGGAACCUGAUUGGUAAUGAGUGCUGCAGAAUGUGAUACAUUCAUAAUAAAACCAUCAUUGGCCACAUUUCCCUUACCUGGGUGAUACAAAAUCUCACAGUCGUAGUCCUUCUCCAACUAAAGCCAUCUGCACUGUCUCAUAUUGAAGUCCUUCUGAAUGAAGAACUAUUUCAAGCUCUUUUGAUCAAUAAAGAUCUUAAUCUUCAAACCAUAUAAAUAAUGCCUCCACAUCUUAAGUGCAGCAACUACUACUACCAACUUUAAAUCAUAUGUAGGGUAGUUCUGCCCAUGAAUCUUCAAUUGACAAGAAGCGUAAGCAACCACCUUACUUUGUUGCAUCAAUACACAACCCAAUCCUUUCUUAGAGGCAUCACUGUAUAUCACAUAACUUCCAGAUCCAUCUAGCACUGUAAGGACUGGUGCAAUAACAAGUUUCUACUUAAGAUCCUGGAAACUACUAUCACAUGUUGGGCUCCAAACAAAAGGAGUCCCCUUCAUGGUCAGAUUGGGUUAAAGAACUGGCUAUACGAGAGAAGCCUUCCACGAACCUUCUGUAAUAACUUGUCAAACCCAGAAAACAUCAAACUUCACUAACUAUAGAAGGUCGAUGCCAACUGGUAACAACUUUAAUCUUUGUCAUGUCUACAGAAACUCCCUCACUAGAUUCUAUAAGGCCAAGAAAAGACACAUGUUUCAACUAGAACUCACACUUGAAAAACUUGACAUACAGUUUAUUGACUCGAAGAGUCUCUAACACCUGAUACAAAUGCUCCUCAUGCUCAGCCUCUAUCUUAGAGUAAACCAACAUAUCAUCAAUGAAAACUAUCACAAAAGUGUCUAAGAAAUUCUUAAACACAUUGUACUUCAAAUCUAUAAACACAGUAGGAGCAUUUGUCAAGCAAAAGGAUAUUACAACAAACUCAUAAUUGCUAUAUCUAGAAUGAAAGGGAGUCUUGGGAAUAUCUCACUGCCUCUAAUCCUCAACUGGCGAUAUCCUAAACGUAAGUCGAUCUUAGAGAACACAGUGGCUCCCUGCAGCUGAUCAAACAAAUCAUCAAUUCUAGGCAAUGGAUACUUGUUCGUGAUUGUCACCUUAUUGAGCUCUCUAUAGUCAAUGCAAAGACGCAUCAACCCAUCUUUCUUCCUCACAAAUAAUACUAGUGCUCUCUAAGGUGACACACUAGGUCGAAUAAACCCUUUUUCCAGCAAUUUCUGCAACUGGACCUUUAGCUCCUUUAGCUUAGCUGGAACUCUCAAUAUGAGACCAGUGUCUGAUUCCAACUCAAUAGCAAAAUCAACCUCUAUGAGGCGGAAGUCUUGGAAGCUCUUUUGGAAAAACAUUUGGGUGUCCCUUUACCAUUGGUUCAGAUGAUAAGGAUACCCUAGGCUCUCUAGCGUCUACAACAUUAGCCAAGAUACUCCAAGUACCUUGGUUGAGAAGCUUACUAGCCUUCAUGGCAUAGAUAACUUUGGGUAGGACCACAAUUCCUACCCCCUUAUACUUGAAACUAACCACCUCAAGAGGGUUAACCAACGACCUCCUUACGAGAAGAAUCUAUGCUUGCAUGGUUAGCAAAUAGCCAAUUCAUGCCUAAAAUUACAUCAAAGUAUAUUAUGUCUAAUACUAAUAAAGUUACAUCUAAAACAUGGUCUGCUAUUUUUAUUUGACAUGCUUUUAUCUUUUCUUUCAACAACAUAAUUUCUCCAAAUGGAGUAGUGACAUAUAACAUAUAACUCAAGGGUUCUACUUCUAAACUUAUAUGUUGAACAAAAACUGAGGAUAUGAAAAAUGAGAGGACCCCAAGUCAAAUAAUACUAAUGCAAAGUGUCCCAAGAUUGGAAGUGUACCUGUUACCACUGUGCCAACUUUCUCGACCUUCUGUCGAUUAGUGGCAAAAACACUCCCUUACUGGGAUGUGGAAGUCUAGUUUGAGACAGCUCCGAACGAUUUCUGAGGGCAUUUAUCAGCUAUAUGUCCAGGUUGCCUACAUUUGUAGCAUAUUCCACUCCUUGCUAGGCAACAACUUGAAUGAGGCCUUCCACACACUACUACAAAAAUGGGUUUACUUGACGCUAGCAAUAUUUACAUACUUGACGUUUUUAUUUAAAAAAAGUGUCAAGUAUGGACCAUUUUAAUGAAAAAUGUCAAAUAUAGUUUUAAAAAAGUAAAAUUUUCACAAAAUUUUAAAACUAUUUUACGUUAGCAUUUACUUAACUUUUUUUUGUGUCAAGUAUAGUGGAGAUUGCACUUGAAGGUUUUUUCACGUUAUGUACAUAGUGGAGAUUUUACUUAACUUUAUAACAUAUACUUGAUACAGAAACAACGUCAAAUAUAAUUAACAUUUUAAUUCAUCUCUUUGUAUCUGUCAAGUAUAAAAAUAUAAAAAUACUUUUUAUUUUUCUCGUUUCAUAAAAUAAAUUUAUUAAAAUUAAUUUCCCUUCUUUCAUUUCCACUCUUCCCUCUCUCCACGCAUUCGAUCGUCAUUCUCUCCAUAUCUCCACUGUCCAUCAUUCUCUCCGUUUUCGGACGGCCAAUGUACAGACCCAUUUUCGGAGAGCUACCAUUCUCUCCAUUUUUGGACAGCUGGCCACACAGAAGCCGACGUCGACCCACCGCUGAUGGAAUCCAAUUUUUGAUGCAUUCAAAGGUUUUUUUCCCCUCGGUCUUAUUAUAUUUCACAUUUUGCUCAUGAACAAUGCUCCCUUGCGAGUGAUUUCUAUCUUGUGAUUAAGGAUGCCAUUGAACUUGUAAAGUUUCAUCUGAUUGAGUACUCACAUUCUCUUUUCUUUAAACAACAUUAAGAGGGAGAAAAACUUAAGGAACUCUUAAAAACUCAAAGUCAGUACCUGCUGUCCCUUAAAAGUAAAAGAUCAUUAAGCCUGUAAGUUCAACUUGUACACGGGGGUUUUAGACCACAGUCCUCUUUGGUAAUGCAACCAAUCUUUGCUUGGAAUGUCUAAAUUUCAUUCUCCUCUGAAAUAAAAAGUAAAUAAAUACCAAAACAACUGCCAAUAAAAUAUACGCCUCAAAGUUGGUGUUCCCAAAUAUAUCCUACAAAGUCCAGACUAUUGCCACAGUUGCAAUCAAAGUUUUGUAUUACUUUUCCUUUGGCUGUUGUGUCUGGAUCAAAAACAAAGUCCACAGGCAUUGCUCCUUCUUCCAGUCAGAUGAUUGUAUUCUUCAACUUGUACCCGGGCAUCGACGCCGUUACAGCAGUUGUAUUCCAUAAUUUAAACCCAAAAUAAUCACAAUCAUUUUGAUUGAAUUGGAAUGAGCUAUAAACUAUCUAUGAAAUAUCUCUUGUUGCACUUUGGGCUUGAAAAGGGGGAUACAAGUUAUUAUAAUUGUACUUUAUAAUAUUUUGAAUGAGGCUACCAAGAGUGAGAAUAUGAUUCAUUGAUUAGUUUAGGAUUAGAAAGAAGGAUUGUGGAGUCUGUUAUCACAGCCUCGCGGAUAAUAUUUUGGUACAUUGGAGCCUAGAAACAUAGAAUAUUAGAAAGAAACAUAUUUUGGCACAUUGGAGGUGGAAACUAACAGGGGCACUGGUUUUCUGGUUUUCCAAGCACCUUGUAAGUUCCUGUUUUCCUCAUAAUAAGUAAGAUCAUCUUUUUUCCCUUUAUUGUAAGAACUAAUUUCCUUGAUAAAUGAAAUGAAUGUACUUAACGAAUAGAAGUCAGAUUUGGAACUUUGUAUCAUCAUUAUUUACCCACGAAGUCCACUAGCAGAUUGUAUAUGAUCCUUUGAAAGAUAUGUGAAUGAUUUUUAAAACAUAAUAUUAUGAGAUCCAAAAGGAGUUUUGCAUUACUUUUUCAGCAAUGUCGCAAAGGGAUAUAUUGAUCAAGACAUUUGUUUAGAAAAUAAAAGAACGAAGAAAACAAGAUGAAGUUGAUAAUCAAAAUUUCAUGUUUGCUGAGAAGAGAGAAGAACUUGAAAAGAAAAUGAGAGAAUGAGAUCCAUAAGUCGAAAGAAACCACAUUUGAUUGAUGUAACAAACUUCUCAUAGAAGUACAAAAAUGAAUACUAUUUAGCAAUUUCAACUAGUUAAGGCAUAUUCCUUGUUCAAGAGGUCAAAUAUUUGAUCUCCACUGUCGUCAUUCAACUAUAUAUGCAUAUAUGUCUAUAAUCACCAACUUAAAACUUAGAAGGCAACAGUAAACGUGAAAACUUAAAAGUGAAAGAUCAUUAAGUUUAAUUAUUUUCCUUUAAACAUCAUUAAGAGGGGAAAAAAAAUUAAGAAGUCUUAAAAACUUAUAGUCAAUAACCACCAACUUAAGACUUAAAAGAUCAUUGUCCAUUGUUCUCUUAGUUAAUAUUUAUGGAAUGAUUCUUGAAUUGUGGGUCAUCAAAUACCAAAUUGAGAAUUGAAUUAUUAAUGAUUUUUUCAUCAUGUCUCCGCCAUUUUUCCUUUAAUGCAUUACAUGAAGAAUAUUUGAUUUAGAAUUAGGUAGCAAUAUAUCCAAUGAGUGUUACCAACUCUGAUGUAAUUUUUAUUUUUAACAAAGUGUUAUCACACGAGAAAUUCUUACUAAGAUCACAAGCAUUAUCAUUGAUGCGGUAUGUUUUUAAACUACUUACAUUGUAACGUUAUAAAUAGUAUAAUAUGACUAAUUUUUAUUUAUAACAAAGUGUCCACUCGACUUUUUAUGUUUUAUAUAUUCAUACGAGAAACUCGUACUCACAGCUUCAAUUGGAUGAAGUACAAGUAGAGUGGGCUGAAUUUUUAACUCGAUACAUUUGAUAGACACACCUAGAUAUGAUCUUGUUACUUUUGUAAAUGGCCUAACAUUGAGAAUGUCCAUAACCUUUUUUGUGGAAAUGUUUUGUUUAUAGUCAUUAUGCUUAUAUACAUUAGGCAAAAGAUGUUAGGGGAUAGACUUUAGUUUUGGUAUACCAUAUAUGUUUAUGGUUAUAUAAGAUAGCUAUUGUUAUUGUUAAUUUUGAAAUAGGCCACAUAUAUAAAUUUUAGUUGGAUAUAUUGGAUUGAAAUUAUGUAAUUGUUGAUGACAUUGUGGAGAAAAAUGAAAUUAUUGUUAGUUUACUUAUUAUACUAAACUAUUUGUCCUUUUUUUGUUGUGUAACUAUUGGUUGAAAAGUUUAAUUUGUUGAUGGAUAUGUUUUAUUGAAACGCAUGUACCUAAUGCAGGAAGGGAAAAUGGAAAAUUUAAUAUAUUAAUAAACGGUAUACAUGACGCUAAAUACAUAUCAAGUAUACUAUCUUACUUGAAUCAAAUAUAUAUUUUACUUGAGAAAUUUAAAUAAUGUCCACUAUACAAAUUUACUUGCGGUGUAAAUAGUGUCAGUAUACUAUCUUACUUAAUGGAUAAAUAGUGUUAAGUAUAUUAUCUUACUUAACGUUAAAAAACCGUCAAACAUAACAUCUUACUUGACAUGUAAAAUCUGUCAAAUAUACCACCUUACUUGACACGUAAAAAGUGUCAAGUGUGAUAUCUUACUUGACACAAACAUGACGUCAAAAAAUAGAAGAAUUGACGGUGUUUUAGUGUUAAGCAAUGCAACUAUACUUGACAGUUAAUCACAUUCACACUUUUUAAAACGUCAAGUAUAGGUUUACUUGACACUGCAUUCAUGUCUAGUAAUUCAAUUUCUAUAGUAGUGACAAUUAGGACACAUGGGUAAUUCCUUCAAAAUUUUGCCUACCUCAACAACCUGUUGUUGGUGCAGCCGGAACAAACCACCUGAUCUCAAAUUUCUCUGUUGUGCUACUGUAGGCUACUACUCAGCCUUCCUUUUCUGCCUUGAAGUUGGUCCCUUUUUUGCAGCCUUGGCCAACUUUAACCUUUUAUGCAAACUCAAAUCCACUGCCAUGCGUAAUGCAUCAGCCUGGGUAGCUGGUCUAAGAACUCGAACGAAACCCUGGAUCUCCGACUUAAGGCCUCUGACAAACUUAUCGGCUCUCUCAACGUCAGUUCUCACUAACUCAAGUGCAAACUAGGAUAACAUGUGUUGAAUUCCUGAUCGUACUCCUCCAUGGUCAUAUGACCUUGCUCCAGCUCUAGGAACUCCUUGCACUUGGCAUGUCUCACUAUGGCGGAGAAGAAUUUGACAUAAAAAUUCUCCUUAAACUGCUCUAGGUGAUCUUAUUCAUAUCUCCACCCAACAUCCUCUCUAUGGACUCCCACCAGCCAUUGCCUUUGUUAAUCAGUAGGAAUGCGAUGCACUGAACUUUUCUUUUGUCGUUCUUUAACUUCCAUGCGGUAUAAGAGCAAUGGAACCAUAAGGGAGUAUGUGUUAUGGAAAUGUUCAAUCUCGAUAGUAAAUUAAAGACACUUCAUAUUGAGAUCAAUGAAAACUUACUUAUUCAUAUAAUACUUAUCUCUCUUUCUACACGAUUCACUCAGUUUAAGAUAAGCUAUAAUACUCAUAUAAAUGAAGUAUUAAUGAGCUUAUCUCACAAUGUGUGCAAGAAGAAAGGAUUAAGAGAGAAAUGAUAAAAAAUGUUCACUUGGCAACUAACUUUUGUGGUAAGAAGAAAAGAAAGUCUACGGAUGUUGCAGAAUGACAUCCAAGUAGAAUAAAAAACAAACUACGGAGAACCCUUGUUUUUUCUACAAAAAGAAAGGUCAUCUCAAGAAAGAUUGUCCCAAAUAGGCCCAAUGGUGCGUAAAGAAGCAUAAACUUAUUACUUUGGUUUGUUAUGAAGUUAAUUUAGCUUUUGCACCAACAUAUAUUUGAUGGGUAGAUUCUACCUACGGAGCCGACUGUCAAAUGAUGGUGAAAGAUUCAUCUAUGUGGGUGAUGAUAAAGUUAGUUCACUUUUAAAAAACUGGCUGUUUUUUAGAUUUGAAUGAGACUUUUAUUAUACCGUUAUUUAGACGAAACUUAGUUUCUAUUUUCAGUUUGAACAAAUUUGAUUUUUCUUGUUCUUGUGAAAAUACUAAAGUUAGUUUUUUUCAAAACUCCAAGCUUAUUUGUAUGCUUCUUUAAUUGAUAACCUAUUCAUUCUUAAUUCUUAUAUAUUCUUCAUCUAACAAGGUCAUGUUGUCUAAAUCAUGUGGUACAAAGUGUAAAUUAAAUGAGAAUUUUACUAUGUUGUGGCACAAACCUUUAGGUCAACAUCUCUAAAUAGAGACUUUAGAGACUUGUGUCUGAUGGAAUUCUUAAUUCCCUUGAUUUGAGAAAACUUAAAGUUUGCGUGGAAUGUAUUAAGGGAAAACAGACAAAUAUAAGAAAAUUAGGUGCCAAUAGAUGUUCAGACAUCUUAAAACUAAUAUAUACAAACAUUUGUGGCCUUAUUCUCUAUGACUUCUUGAAUGAACAACAAUACUUUAUUACGUUCAUCGACUACUAUUUAAUAUAUGGGUACCUAUAUUUAAUUUGUGAGAAGUUUCAAUCUUUAGACGUCAGGCCAAACUCAGAUAAGUUAGCUAUCAAACCUUUAUUUCUUCUUUCAGAAAUGUUGCACAUUCAGCCUGAAAGUGUCUGAAUCCAUCACAUUUAUGACACCUAAUACUUCUGCCUUCUUUAUAAUUUCUUUCAUUUUCCUUUCUUCGAUUAAAAUUAUUGUUUGAGCCGAAAGAAUUUUGAGAUGAGGUUGUUAUUGAAUCCUGCCUGUUUUGAUUUUUGUUACUUCUCACAUGUUUGAGAAAUUGACUCUUGAGUUUUGUCGUUUAUUUUAUUAGCAAGACAAUUGAUUCCGCUAAUGAUUCUUCAUUGAUAGAAUCCUUUGAGGUUUGAGAUCCAUCCUCGUUGCUGGCUGUAAAGGCAAUUCCAGACUUCUUCUUGGUGUCGCUUCUCCCAAAGCUAGUCGAAACGCCUUCAAUGAUCCGAACAACUGAUCAAGCUUCAUUUUGGAGACAUCGUUUUCCUCUUCAGUAGCAGUGACUUUCACGUGAAAUCGUUGAGGAAAAGAUUGCAGGACUUUCCUAACAAGCUUCAAAUCGCUUCAAAUCAGUCAUCCUUUCUGCAAGAGCAAAGGACUCAUUAGCUAUGUCUAGAACACGAACGUUGUAUUCGAUUAUUGUUUCAUCUUCUGACAUUUUAAGCGCUUCAAAUUUUGAUGUUAAAAUUUGUCGUCCUAACUUUUGAGGUUCCUUCAUAUGCCACUUCAAGGAUUUCCCAUGCUUCCUUUGCAAAGACGCACGUGUUAAUCAAUUUGAACACAUUUUGAUCAAUAACAUUGAAGAGCGCGUUUAGGGCACAACAGUUUCCAACAACAACAUCAUCCUCAGCACUAGUCCAUUUUAGCUCUGACUUGAGAGAGACUUUGCCAGCUUCAUUCGUCUCAGUUGGGUGCUGCCAUCCAGAAACUACAGCUUUCCAACAUUUGAUGUCAAGAGCUUGGAGAAAAGCUACCAUUCUCACCUUCUAGUAGGCAUAAUUUGCUUCGUCUAAUACUCGGGUUCGGGUGGUUGAAUUUCCUUCACAAUUUGAUCCAUUUAGGCAAUCUUUGUCGUAACUCGCUCUGAUACCAAUUGAGAAAACACACACUCAGUUAUAGUUGUAUCGUUUGUUGUAUUGUAAGUUAAUAACUCGACAAACAACUAAGACAACACAUAAAACAAUAGAUCACAAACAUACAGAACUUUGGUAACCCAGUUCGAUGACCACACAUCCACGUCUGAGACGUCUUAGACCUAAAUAAGAGAUUCUAUUACUCAUACAAUAAUUGAUCAAUUAUAAUGUUAUGUCUCAUGGUACAACACUUUACUCAUAGUCAACAGUCUUAUAAUUAGUAAUGUGCUAAACAUAUAACAUUACGAGGAUAACUCCCAAUUAUUCAGUAAUCACAUGCAAUCUUAGCUUCAAACACACUUAAUAGUUGAUUUAACUCUCUUGUGUUUAAUAUGCGGUCUCAUCACCUAUUCGUUCUCGAAAGGGCAUAUUAAAUGAAUUACCACAAUCAAGAAUCUGUUCACCAACGACGAGCAGAACCACACUCACGUAACUUCUCUUAUUCCACUUUUGCACGAAAAAGUAACCUUCAACGAAAUAGCCCAGGAACAAUAAUCCACGAAAUUGAGAUUUUUGGGAUUUUUUUUUAACUUAAGCGAAAUGUGUACCUUUCACCUUUUAAUGGCCCCAAACUCAUCGUUUUUAAAAACUAUACCAAACAUUUUGUCCCCUAAUGUAUCUCUUAUUUUUUGAAAUUUCCAUUUUGAAAUUUGAUUUUCUUUUCAAUUUUUAUAGAUAUAUUAAAGAAAAGAAAAUAUACAUAAUGAAACAACAUUUGUGAUUAAAUUUAACCACAUAUUUUCAAUUUUGUGAUUUAAGAGAAAAGCAAAAUAGAUGUUGCCAAUUAAUUAAUUUAAAAAUAGUUAAGAGUGGAAUUGGGUUUAGAAGAUAAAUGGAGCAUGUGACACAUACACCUCCACCAACGCAACCAACAACCAACUAGCUCGCACCAUCUUAUUACAUAUAGCUCUCUUAUUUUCUCCCAAACUUCCUUUGUAUUUCUUUCUAUAUUCUACAUUGUUCUUAUGUACUUAAUAAAUCAAUUACUUCUUGGUUAACUUUUUUCAAGUUUCUAGAUAUCUUUCUUAAAACAAUACUAUUUAUUUACUUAUAUAUUUAUUUAAUGGCCAAUAUGAUUAUUUUUUCCUUCAAUUUAAAAUUGGUUUAGACUUAGAACGUACAAUUAAAUUUAAUGUUUUUUUUAGAAGAUGAUAUCAAUUUAGGUUAGUAGUUGCACUCAAGGAUCUCCAUUAGGUGGGCACCCUUUUAACACCCUCAUCAUACCUGAUAUAUAUUCAUUAAGUUACGGGAUACAAAAGUUGUGGGACUAGAGAUAAGCCCAGUUGUUACAUCAACUAGUAAACAAUUUGUUCCUUAGGUACUAUUGAUCGUUUAGUAGACAAUUUGUUUAGGAUUCAAUCAUAAAUAAAAUUUGUUGUGGCUAGUAAGAGAGUGAAGCCGCAUUAUUCAAGUCCUCGAGUCAACACCAAAGGAAAUUGAAAAAUAAGUGAGAUGAUAAAUAAUAUCCUCCAGCUAUGACUAACGUUAUUAACUUCAGGAAUAGCAAACAUAACAAAACGAACAGAUAACACAGAAGACUUUGAUAACCCAGUUCGACAAAUACGACCUAUAUCUGGAAAGCUUUUAUGCUCCGAUAAGAAAUAUUAUAAGAUUAAAAAAAUUUGUAACUUAAUCCUAAAGUUAUAUUAACAAGUUAUCACCCUAACUUAACUGUAUAAACUCAAGCUUCCCCUGACGGUAAACUUGAAUCUCCUUGAAGACAAAUUCAGACUCCCCCUAUAUUCAUUGACCGCAGUACAAUUUUCUCAGCCUUCAUUCAUAUUUCUUAUCAAUUGAUACUCUAUCAAAUCCCUUGACAAUCUUCAAUAAUUUGUCAUAAUACAGAAGGUAACUGGUUUAUCUUCGUACAGAUUCUUCACCAAAAAUAUAAACAUAAGAACAACAGCUGUGAAGAAUAAUUUUACGUUCAUAGAAUUGUUUUUAAAAGAUUCAAAAAGAAGAACUUACAAUAAAAUAUUCCUAAAUAUGAGGAAUAUCUUCUCUUUAAAAAAGAUAUUUAAGGAAGAUCUUUUGACUCCUUAUUAAAAGAUAUUGAUAAACGAUCGUAAACCUAAAGAAGAUAUUUUAUCAUUCUUUAAAAAACAAUAAAACUAAUUUCAUAUUUAUAAAAAAAUCUAAGAGAAAUAACUUAUCUACAGUUUCUAAGGACUAUAAUCACUAAAAUUAAAUUAGAUGAAUAUUGAGUUUGCAAUUUGGGACACUCUCACCCAUACAUAUAUAAAAGGACGAUCUUGAUGCAUGAGCAAAAAGAUAUUUAGAUUGAGUUACAUGGUCAUUGGUUAAACUAUUAACAUCUCCAAUUAACGAUCUUAAUUACAAUAAAAGAUUAUAUGUUUUCUAGUUCGUGUAUAUCAUUGUAUAAGAUAGCCUCGUAAACAUGUGUCUAUACAAAAAUGAUUACAAACCCCAACAAUUUCGUCCAUGAACAUGCCCCGAAGAUAAGUUAUUGGAUUUUUAUCAUAGGUGGUCAUUGGACCAAAUUAAGCUUAUUUUUUGUCAAUUGAACAUGAGCCCAAAUUAAUACAAUGUUGGAUGACAUAUAUUUUAUUUGAUUCAAUGGUUAUGAUGAAAAGACACGCGACAUAAUUACAAUUCGCCUUACAAUUCGCCAACUUAUGUCCUCAACUUCAAUUUGUGACGUGUGUUAAUUUUUAACUAACUCUAUCACUUGUAAUUUCAUCAUUAAUUCGAGAAAGGACAUGCCAAUUUGUGAUUGAAGGGUGUGAAAUUGCCUAUCAAAUUUGGCCAAAGAACACAACAAAAGUAAAAUACUAGGUGGAAUAUAUUUAAUUUAUAGAUAUAUAUGUGUAUAUAUCAUAUUGUAUAUCGGACAAACACUAUAUUUGAGCUUCAUACAAUUAUAACAAUGAGGAUAAUCAUUAUUUACUCUUUAUUAAAUCCUCAAAAUCUCUAGAAAUCAUAUAAAUGUCAACAUACACAGUAAGUACUCGUAUCAGAUUAUGAGCGAGAGACAGGAAGCAUAAAUCGAGCCAUGUACGCUCUUAUUACUUAAGGUGUGAUUCGAUAUCUUUGAUGAGAUUUUCCAAAAAUUCAACAUAUUUGUAUGGAGCAGGUGAGCCAUCAUCAAGUUUCUCAUAUUUCAAAUUCAUAACCACUAAACUAUGCUGAGGUUUUUUUGGCACAAUUUGAUAUAUAAUGUUGAAAGUUUUGUAAUGCUUAAACACAUUUCCUUCUAAUCCAACCAACUUCAUCACUAGUUUCUUAUCAUCGAACUCCACUCGUUCUUUGAAAACUUCUGGCUUACCAUCUUAAACAAAUCACAUAGCAACACAAAACAUAUAUCAAAUUAAUAAUGAAUGUUUAUAUGGAUCAAUUCAUUCUUGAAUGGAAAAGAAAAACAAGUGCUCGUGAUAGGUGGCAGUGAUCGUGGUUGAAGUUGCGAUUGUUUUAUGCAUACCUAUAGUGUAAUUCCAAAUCUUGAUGGAGCCAUGGCCAUGGACGUCCCAAUCUCCUUCGUGGAGUUUAACUUGUUGGAUCAAAUUUGACGAAAUGUUUGGAGUAUGGAAGAUUUCAUGUUUGAAGAAAUGAAAAAACUUGUUUGCAUUUGCAUUGACUUCUGUUUCAUUUACAAGCUCUCCAACAAGGGCCAUUGUUUGAUGGAAUUCACACAACUCAAUAUAAUUCAACUUCAGUACCCUCUUCUUUUUAUAGUCCCUAGGGAUUAAUUAUUUUAUUAUGUGUCCUUAAUGUGUUAUUUUCUUUCUAAUUAAAUUUAUCUUAAUCUUAUGUUUUUUAAUAUUUUCUUCUGUUGAGUAUCUCAGUAGAUCACUGGGUGGGGUAUAGUUUUGAAGAUUUUAUGCCCUUUUUUUAUAUAUAAUAAUAAUUUCUUGAAAAGAAAAUUGCUAAGUUUGUCCUUAUAUUAUAAAAUUUUGUUUUUUAUUCCAAGUCAUUUACAUUUGGUUUUCUUUUUUUUUAAUGGAAAAAUUUUCAAAUAUAACCAUUAGAAUAUAUAUUAAACUUGGCCAUUUUUUAUAAAUAUUUUUAAUAGUUAAGUCACUUUUUUCAAUUUUUCUUUUAAAAUGUUGAAUUUGUUUGAUAUGGAAUUUGAUUUUAUUUUCUUGUUACAAUGUUAUAAAAUUUUACUAUAGAUAUUAAGGAAAAAUAGGACGGUUUUAAAAUUUAGAAACCAAAUUGAAAUGUAUAUAAAACUUAGGAGGCAAAUAUAAGAUUUUGAAAUAUUUGGAGCAAAAGUUUUUGGUCAAAAAUGUUUUUUUCCAUUAUUUUAAUUGGUCAAAAUUUAAUAUCUUAUUGCUUUGAACAUCCUUAUUUUAUUUGAGCACCAUGCUUAGCUUCCAAAUGUCGAAUGUCUAAACUUAGGUAUGGCCACUCACAUAAAAUCGUAAACUUAGUUAUUUUAAGUAAUGGUUAUGAAAUUUGAUUAAACUCUUAUAACAAUUUUCACGUCACGAAAGAGUCUUUUAAUUUGCUUGCAAAUUUUUUGAAGGGUAAUUGCAAUGAACGACCAUUUGAGAAAUAAUAGUUAAGUAUAUAGCAACAUUUAAAAAGAAUUACAAAUAUAGCAAAACUAUCGCUGAUAGACUUGUAUCACUGAUAGACUCGUAUGAUCUAUCGGUGAUAGAUCAUUUUUUAUAACAUGGUCUAUCGGUGAUAGACUCUAUCAUUGAUAGAAUUUUACAAAUUUGGUUAUAUUUGCAAUUUUUUUUAAAUCAUGUUGUUAUAUGCUUAAUUAUUUUGAAUUUAAUUACUAAAUUUGCAAUUAUCCCUUUUUUUUUGAAAGGUUACAGUAACCAAGCAUUCGUGGCUAUGUUUAAAAUUUCUGGAAACCAAAAGGGACUUAUUUUACACAUUUAAAUAAGUGAAAGGUUGCUUGGAAUAAAAAAAAAAUUAUAAUAUACCAAAUUUUACAAUAGGGAUAUUUCUUAUAUUUUAUAAAUACUUUUAAUAGUGGAAGGUUUCAUUAGGAGACAAAGGUAUAAGAGAUCAAUAUUUUAUAAUUGAAAUCUUUAGGACAGAGGUGUGAGUAUCCAAAGCAAAGUUAAAGUAGAAUAUGUUGAACGUAGAAGAAAUAGAAUUAUAUUAUAAAUUUUAUAAGCAGAAAUAUGUGUCCAUGCAUAUAUAGUAUCCUAACAAACCAAAAAGGUCUUUUUAUCCCAAUUAUUUUAUGUGUCUUGGUCCAUAUUGUCUAUGGGUCUAAUGCCAAAAUAUAUGUCAUACGACUAUAUGCUUGGUGUCCAAGUGGUUCCUCGUCUGUCAAGAAGAGCUAUUUAUAUGACUUUAAUUUACUUUUCUUGUUACACUCUGUCCCACACACGUCCUUGUUUGGUAUGCAAAACGCGGUCAUCUUGAUGUGCUAAAGCCAACACACAUUCAUCUUGAAGUCGUUAAGAUUUGGUUAAUUGCCAAGUCUCUUUGACUUAAAACUUAAGAAACAUACUCUGGCGAUAUAACCAACUUAACACACAAAAAUAGACCAACUCAUACUUUUAUUUAACUUUUAGCUACGGGUUUUACAAUAAGCUUUACAAACACAAUCAAAAUACAACUCUUAAAGCAUAAACUAAACGCCUAGCAAACCCUUCAACCUUCCAUUACUUGGCCUUAACGCCUGAUUCCUAGAAGAUGAGAUUUAAAAUUAUAAGUCUACAGACUUAGAGAGGUUUUCAUAAAUUCUUUUCGCUGUACUUUUACAAAUAUCAUUUCGUGUAACAUAAAAAUAGAAAUACUAGUUCAUAAUAACAUAUCAUUUUGUAUACAUGUUUCAUCUUGCAUAAACACACAUUAGUUACUAAUCAAUCAUUUUUUCAAGGAUCCAAAAUCAUUAUGUACACUAAGUCAAGUAACUUCGCAUUUAGACUACUGUAUUAACAACAUUUGAAAAUAUACAGAUUCAUCCUUAUUGCCCAAACUGAGAUGCAAUGCACAUCUUUCAUACAUUGUCCCGCCUCAAAUCACCAUGUAGUCCCUUUCAUUCUAUGGUGGCCUUUACUCUUUAUGUGCACAUAACCAUUAGCUUGACAAAGGAUGUAACUAAUGCAUGGUUUGAAACCAUUCAUAAUCUAAUCAUACAUAAUACAUGUAUAACAUUUUUACGUAAAGCUGUUUAGAAACACUUACAAUGAAACUCUUCCUUUCAAAUCAUUUAAAAACAUAUAAGGAAACUGACAAUCAUUUAAAAACUUUUAAGAAAACAUUCAUAAACUUAGCUUUAACCCGAACUUCUUCUACUUCCUUCUUCUUCUUCUCGCGUAGGCAACUCGGGAGAACUUCAGCUUUUAUGCUUUUCUCUUCAAAAUUUAAGAAUAUCCAUAAAAUAAAUCACUAAAGUGCUCUCCCUAUUUAUACUACUUCUUAAACAAGAUUAGUAACCCUUAAGCUCAUGCCUUCUUGACAACUCCCUCUCUUAGUGGUGCAAGUGUAAGCUUAAGGUUCAACCUAAUCAUGCUUAACAUAAACUCUCCACAUGACCCAUUAAACACACUUAGGAAAUUUCUCUAAAUUGUCCUUGCUCCUUUUUGCCUAGUGAUUCUUCUCGCGGAGCACCUUUAGUCACAUAGUGAUACUUGGACUUCAAGUUUUCCUAGCGAGUUACUUUAGAUAUCAACUUCUUAUCGCCUAAUUUUAUUUCAGAACGUCGUCUUUCAGUCAUAACGCCUAUUUUAGAACACUUUGUCAAAUUUUAUCCUUUUAACUUUUAAUUUAGGUACAUGUCUUACAUUCCUUGGGUUAUUUAAUGCAUUUAAAGGAUAUAUUUGUAGACUCUCAACGGUAAUUCAACAAAGUGUCAUUCGAGGUUGAGUUGAAACACUUAAGAGUUAUAUGAAAAAUCGAGGCCUCAAAAGAAUACAAAAUGACCAAAAUAUGCCUCCAAAGAAGUAGCACAACGUCGCCAUGCUCGCAUACCACACACAACAUAGUAAGGCAAUAGACACCUCAAAGCAAGAGAGCUAUAACGCAUUGAAUACAAACAUUUUCUGGUUUGUACCGUUUUAACUUGAAUAUUUAUUUAAUAAAAGCAAGAGUUAUUUCAUUUGACAUUUUAGACUAUAUAACACUACAAAAAAAAAAAAAAAAAACAUAUUUGUCUAGGCAAGAAAAUCCGCCGGCGGUGUGGUCGGAAGAAAAGGAUCGAGAGUUUGAUUUGCCAACACCAUAAACACGGCGCCGACAUAUAAGAACAAUUGUCGACAAGGCAAUACACUGGCAGUAGUGCAUUAUGAUCUCUUGAUACCUGUACUACACGGUAAAGAGAUAUUAUAUCUGCCAAUGCCUACCAUCGGUAGAUAUCCACAGGAUCUUAUUAAACCAUUUUAUGCUAAAGAUAAAUGUUUACCACAUGCUUUCUAUCUGAGAUUAAGGAAAUUAAUAUAUUUUAAAGCAUGAGUUUAGGAAAUGCUUUUAGCAUGUGAAUGAUAGUAAAACUUAAAGAUUAUUGUAAGUAUGUUUUACAAGCAAAACUAUUUUAUUAUGCAAAGUUUGAAUAUGAUUGAGAUUUGUGAAUGAGAUUUCCAUAAACAUGAGAUUUAAAGUGUUUAGUCUAUACUGGCGUUUAUUAUGAGAUACAUAUAGCAACUCUACGGGGUAUUACAGUUUCAUGUGCACAGAGGUCUUGCGGUGAUGGUAUUCAGUCUGUGACUAGAUUUGAGAUGAGGGCCUCUAUGGAUGCCUAACUUCUCCAUCUCCUAGCUAUCUACAUGAUAGGAUACUACUAAUGCUUAGGUUCUUUGUCUUGUAAGUAUUAUAUCACGAGAUAGGGUUUCCACGCGUAGCUUCUUCGUCUCGAUCGAUACAUAGAGAUAUUUGGUAUAACAUGAAAGAGAAAGUUUAUAUUUUAUUAUUCCAUAAAGCUAUUUGAUAAAUAAUUAUUGUUAAGGAAUGUUGUUUCUAUUGAACAUUUUCAAGCUUUACAUUUUCCUAAGUUAUGAUUUACCAGUUUUACUCAAAUAAUUUAUUUUAAGCAUGUUCAGUUAUUUAAUCAUUCACUCACUGGGUUAUUCAAUUCAUGCUUUCUAAAACAUUUUUAAUUUUUCAGGUAGAGAUCGUUAGAACCAGUACUUGACUCCAUUUAUCGAUAUGUUAGUACCAUAGUUUUGAGUUUCCUACCCGUAUGUGUUGUUUGGAGUUAGUCUUUUGGGUUGUAUAUAAAGUUGAAGUUUUGGUUGUGGAUUGUUUGAAUUUGUUAGUUUUAACUCUGAUGUUGGGUUAUUGUAGUUAUGUCUAUGUUAGAAUCGUGUUAUUGUACAUUCUGUAAGUGUGGGCUACAAUACAAGUUUCUGUGUUUAUAUUAGUUGAAUGUGUUUCAUGUUUUCGCUGUGUUAUAAAAAUUUAGUUAAGAGUAAGUUUUAGGGUUGAUAGGUAUCAUUGAGGUAAGUGGUGGUAUCUGUUAACCAGUUGCAUCAUCUCUUGGGCUAAGAGUAGGUGGCGUGGGAGGGAGUGUGACAUUGACAGCACAAUAAGUGAAAAUUACAAGUCCGAGACAACUAUGCCUGAAAAUAUAGGUGAAUAGGGUAAUGUUGAUAUUGAGGUCAUCCUUGGAUGGAAAGGACAAUAAUGAUGAAAAUGAGGUUGAUGCAAGAGUUACUAAAAAAAAAAAUUAGAGAGGAUCGUUUAGAAAAUAUCAGUUAAGUAUGAUUUGUCUUUUGAUCUGCCUAUUGCACUAAGGAAGGAUACCAAGUCUACACUAAACACUCUAUUGCUAACUAUGUUUCUUAUGAGAACCUAUCUCCUCAAUUCAAAGCCUUCACAUCCAUCCUUGAAACUACCAUGAUACAAAAAAAAUAUCCACAUUGCUUUAGAAUAUCUUGAGUGCAAAAAUGUUAUGGAAGAUAUGAGUGCCCUUGAAAAGAAUAAGACUUAGAAGAUCUACACUUUACCUAAGGGACAAAAACUGUGGGAUGCAAAGUGUGUUCACUAAUAAAUACAAGGUAGUUGGAACCCUUGACAGACACAAGGCAAGGUUAGUUGCAAAUGAGUUUACUCAAAUUUAUGGUGUUGAUUAUGUAGAAACUUUUUUUCGGUUGCCAAACUAGAUACUGUUAGAGUUUUAUACUAUAUGUUGUUGUGAACAAAUAUUGUCCUCUUUAUCAGAUAGAUGUUCAGAAUGCGUUCCUGAAUGAGGACCUAGAGGAGAAAAUCUACAUGAGAUCUCUCCCUCAGGGUUUGAAGUUCAGUUCGGUCAUCAAGUGUGUAAAUUUAAAAAAUCACUAUAUAGUCUUUAAUAGUCACUUAGAGCAUGAUUUGAUAGGUUUACUAGCUUUUUCGUGUCUCUAAGAUACAGUCAGGGGCACUCUAACCAUACUUUGUUUACAAAGGUGUCCAAGGUUAGGAAGGUUGCAAUGUUGAUUAUUUAUGUUGAUGAUAUCGUUCUAUCUGGGGAUGAGCACGCUGAAAUCAUUCAAUUGAAAAAGAGGAUGAGUUAUGUAACGCCCCAAAAAUAAGACAAUUUUGAAAUUGAAUUAUCUUGGUUAAAUUAUUAAUGUUAAAAUUAUUUUGGAGUGAAUUGAGUUUUUGGUGAGGAUUAUGUGUUUGAGGAAAUUAGGAUUAAUUAAAUAAUUAUGGAAAUAAUGUUUAAUUAAUCAUUGGAAUUGGAAACCUUUGGUAUUGUUAUGGAUUGAUAUUGAUUAGUUAUAUAUUAAAUUAUGGAAGGUAAUGAUAAUUAUAUUAAGGGUAAUAUGAUGAUUAAAAUUUUAUGUUUGUUUGUUAGGGAAUUAAAUGAGGAGGGAAGAGUUGGAGUUAUUUUACCGAUAAUAAAAUGGAAAAGAAAAAAAUGAUUUGAUUUGAGAUGUUUAAGGAGGAGAGAGAAUAAAUUAAUUUGAGUUAUUAUUUUGAAAAAGGAAUAGGAAGAGGGAAGAUAAAUAAUAAUAAUAUAUAUUUAUUUUUAAUCAAGACUCCUUGGCUAGUGUGCACUUCAUCUUCUUCAAUCUUCCUCGUCGCUUGUUGCCUCCAUCUGAUAUCCUCAUGUGAAGCCCCGUCGCCGUGGUUUCCCGCCGUCGGCCGUCCUCGCAACAUCCGAUCUCCACCACCGUCGUCGUGAAGCAGUCGAAGCUGGUUUGAUCCAUUCAUUAGAAGUUGAGUCGCCCGCGCGCACAUCCUUGUCGCACCACACUGGGUUGUACCUGUACCUCUGUCGUCUCUGUCCAAGUCAGCCUUCACAUCUACCGGCUUCAGUCACGUCGACACCUUUACUGCCCUGAGUUCGUUCUGGCAAGCCUCGUACCGUCGUCCCAGCCGUCUUUUUCGAUCCGAGCCGCUACCAUCUCAACCAAGUCACACACCUGAGCCGCAUUUUAGACCUGAGCUGUUACACGAGCCAUUCCUUCAUGAUCAAGUCGCACGUCUCCAAUGUUGGUUUUACAACAAAGGAUCUGUAAAAUCUCACGCACUCUUCUUGAAGAAAACAAAAGAUAAAUACUUUGUAAGAUAUAUUGUCAAGAGGAAGAGAAAAUUAAAUGGAACUUCUUGCAUUUAUUUAAUUUGAUGGAGUAAUAUUUAUAGUCUAAAAAGAAGCAAAAAUUAGUAACCCACUAACUUAGUGCUUGCUAAAACUUUGGAGAUAAUUAGAAAAAUAAAUAACCAAAAUAAUAAAUAGAAAAAUAACUUAAUUCUUUCACCUAUUUAGAAAGAUCAUGGCAAAUUAAUAACUCACACUACCCCUAAUUCUGACAUAAUUCUAAGUUACGAACACCAAGUAGUUGACGCAUAGCAGCUAACUUUACUCCCGUCAAUGCUUUAGUCAGAACAUCGGCUCGUUGUUCUCCAAUGGUGACAAAUUCAACGAUAAUUUGUCCAUUCUCGACACACUCUCGAAUGAAAUGAAAACGUGUAUCUAUGUGCUUGCUGCGACCAUGAAAUAAGGGAUUCUGCAUGAGAGCUAUCGCGGAUUUGUUGUCCACAAAUAAUGUCAUCGGCCUUGGCUCCAUUCCGACUCUCUCGCUAACAAAGCAUCUUAACCACAAUGCUUAGCAAGUUGCGGUAGUGGCUGCAAUGAACUCGGCUUUGCAAGAUGAGAGUGCCACCGUUUUUUGCUUUUGCAAAUUCCAUGAAACCAAGCUUUCGUUUAAGUAGAAUGUCAUUCCACUUGUGCUUUUCCUCCCGUCGAGAUCACCGGCUAAAUCACUGUCAGAGUAAUCGAAUAUAUUGAAUUCUCUUGGACCUUUCGUAUAAGUGAGCCCAAAAUGAAUUGUCCCUAUCAAAUACCUAAGUAUUUGCUUGACCACCUUGUAAUGCAUGGUUGUAGGCCUUUCCAUAUACCUACUCGCCAUCCUAACAGCAUAUGAAAGAUCUGGCCUUGUGUUCAGUAAGUAUCUAAGACAACCAACGAUCCUUUUGUACUCCGUAGCAUCAAUUGGUGCUCAUUCCAUGUCUUUGUGAAGUUGUGCAUUGAGUUCCAUCGGGUACUUUGUGGCAUUGCAAUCAGCCAUUCGAAACUGGGACAAAAUUCUCUUGGCAUAAGUUGGUUGUUUGAGCAGGAUUCGACCCUUCUGUUGUUCAACUUCAAUUCCUAAGUAGUAAGAGAGAAGGCCUAAGUCGCUCAUUUCAAAUUUUGCCAUCAUUUGUUGCUUGAACUUAAUGACCUUUUCAGUGCUACUUUCUGUUACAAUGAGAUCGUCAACAUACACUCCAACAAGAACACAUUCCUCUUCUUCUCUUCUUAUGUAGACUGCUUGCUCUUGAAUGCAUUUUCUAAAACCAAGAUCUUUGAGACUCCUAUCAAGUCGAAUGUUCCAAGCUCGUGGAGCUUGCCUCAAUCCGUACAGAGCUUUUGACAAUCUAUACACAUUGUGUUUUUCAUUUGGAACCUCAAAACCCUCUGGUUGAGUAACAUAUACUUCCUCUUCCAAUUCGCCAUUGAGAAAUGCCGACUUCAAAUCUAGAUGGUGUACCUCCCAACUUUGGUUUGCAGCGAGUGCAAGAAUGACUCGAAUGGUGUCAAGUCUUGCAACCGGUGCAAAAACUUCUUCAAAGUCAAUGCCUUGUCUUUGUACAUAGCCUUUAGCAACCAUUGUUUUGUGCUUGACAACUUCUCCAUUAGGGUCUUUCUUCAAUUUAAACACCCAUUUUAGACCAAUGGGUUUAUGUCCUAGUGGAAGCUCGGUCAGACUCCAUGUGUUUUUUUUCUCAAUGGAUUUUAAUUAGUUCUCCAUUGCUUCGUACCAGCGGCCCUCUGUAACAGCUUCUUGGUAACAAGUCGGUUCUUCGGACACUACCAUCAUCACCUCAUUCUCUUGUUCAUCACCACCUACAACUUCCUCUGUGUUGGCGUAGAUGUCACUGAGAGAUCUUAGAAGGAUCGGUGUGUUCAUCGAUGGAGGAGAUGGACUGGUCUCUCCAAUCGCAGGUAUCUCAGUUGCAUGUGGUUUUACAACAAAGGAUCUGUAAAAUCUCACGCACUCUUCUUGAAGAAAAUAAAAGAUAAAUACUUUGUAAGAUAUAUUGCCAAGAGGGAGAGAAAAUUAAAUGAAACUUCUUGCAUUUAUUCAAUUUGAUGGAGUAAUAUUUAUAGUCUAAAAAGAAGCAAAAAUUAGUAACCCACUAACUUAGUGCUUGCUAAAACUUUGGAGAUAAUUAGAAAAAUAAAUAACAAAAACAAUAAAUAGAAAAAUAAAUAACAAAAACAAUCAAUAGAAAAAUAACUUAAUUCUUCCACCUAUUUAGGAAGAUCAUGGCAAAUUAAUAGCCCACAUCCAAGCCGCACGCUUGCAAGCAUUUUGAGCCAGUUCUCUUCCACGAGUCAUCCACCCGAGCCGACUGCCCUUGUGGAGUCGUUUCCUGUUUUGAGCCACUUUUUGGUGAGAUUUGCUUAUUUUGAUUGGGUUUGGUACUCCCAUCCAAUAGCUAUUUAUCCCAAGUAAUUUAGUGAUGAGUUAAAGUCAAGUAAUUUGAGUUAAUGGAUUUAAGUUAAAAAGUUAUUUUAUUUGAAGGUUGAUUAUUUUGUUGGGAGAUUGGAACUGUGCAAUUUCUUAUUCAAGGUUGUGUUGGAUUCAACCUUAGUCUUAGGACUGUAAUUUGGAAGUUUAUUGUUAGGUGAAAGGACUGUAUUUCGGCUAGUCUUCACAAACAUCUAGCGGGACUAGUAGUGAGUCCCUUAAACAUAAAAUUUAUACUCACCCUUUUUUAUGUUUAAAUUUACACGCAAAGGUAAGAGGUAGAGCAAACUGACGAAUGACAAGAAGAGAUCAUGGUUCACCAUAGAGCGACAAUAUAUGUUUUGUUCAGCUUGUAUUGUUUUCAGUAUUAAAUUUUCAUAAGAUUAUUUCAUAACUCAGGUUUAUUUUAAAAAUUUCUUUUAUUUUAAAUAGGGCCCAACUAGUAUUUUUCCUAAUAUUUAUUUAUUAUUUUCUUCACACAUUUUAUUUACUAUUGAUUUUAAAUGAAUAUUUGAAAUGUUUUCAUUUAUUUUAAACAAAAACUUUUAUUUGUUUUACUGAUAACGACUUCAACUUAGUAUAAAGCGUUGGGUCGUUACAGGUUGCAAGAUUGAAUGCAAAAACUUGAAAAAUCUGAAAUAUUUCAUUAGAAUGGAGGCCAAAUCUAAAGAAGGUAUCUUCUUAGAGAAUGUAUACCCUUGAUUCACUAACUAAGAUAGGUAUGCUAGGAUGUCGUCUUGCUGAUAUUCCCAUUGAAUUCAACUGUAAACUAGGAAAUUCAGAUGCUAUAGUUAUAGUUGAUAAAAACAAUAUCAUCAUCCUUGUGAGUAAGUUAAUUUACUUGUCCCAUACUGAACCAAAAUUUUCCUUUGUUGUGAGCCAAGUUCAUGCAAGCUCCCUAUGAGGAACACACGGAGGCUGCAGACAAAAUCUUAAGAUAGUUAAAAAUGACUCCUAGUAAAGGAUGAUGUUUAGAAAGAUAGACAGGAAAACUAUUGACGUUUGUACUGAUUCAGAUUGGAUAGGGUCGAAUUUUGAGCAACCAAUGAAAUUAUUUUGUGAUAACAAGGCAACCAUUAGUAUCGCCGCCGAUCUAGUUCAACAUGAUAGAACUAAACAUGUUGAGAUUAAUCAACACUUCAUCAAAGAAAGGUCGGACAAUGGUAGCAUAUGCAUUCAGCACAUUCCUUCGAACCAACAAGUUUCUGAUGUCCUCAGCAAGGAACUUCUUAAACAGAACUUUGACUUUUGUGUUAGCAAGUUGGGUCUCAUUGAUAUCUAUGUCCCUACUUAAGGGGAAGCGUUAAAAAUAGUGGGCUUGGGCCUUGAUGAAAGCCCAUCGGUUGUUAAGAUUUACUUUACUCUAAUUUUUAUUAUUUUUUUAUUAGGCUCCUGUUGCAUAUAAAUAUUCCUUCCAUUUAGGCCUUUUCUAUCACCAGAAAAUAGUAAUACAAAAUAUCGUGGUUUUUCUCUCAGUACUCGGGUUUUCACGUAAAUCUGUGUUUCUUUAUCUUCACUUAAACUAUUAUGGCAUGCAAUUUCAUAGUGUAGCUUAUGAUAAUCGUGGAGCUCCUCAAAAUACUGGAAUCAUGACAGUUGGAGAAUGCAAGGGUGGAAGUAAUGAGCAUAAUUUCUAUGGUGUAUUGACUAAAAAGUACUAGAUACUUAACAUUAAAUGCAAGCAUUGAAAGUAUAAUUUCAGAAAUCCCAAACAAAGUUGAAAGCAUAAUUUGAAGAGACAAAACAACAGAUGAAACAAUAGAUGGUAGAAUCUCACGCAAGACAAAUGGAGGAGAUGAACAAGAUGAUUGAACAAAUGAUGUAGUCACGAGGACCAUAAAAAUAGAUAUGAACUAAACCUCUCAUAGUAGACUCGUACAUAUAGGACUUCGGAGCAUAGGGUUAUGACAAUCCUUCAGUUAUGGAAGUUCAUAAUUAAUUUAUUUGUGUUGCUUUGAUUGUAGACCCAGGUUGUAAUGGGUUUGAUUGUAUUUUUGUUUAGGGGAGGAAGCACUUGUGAAAUUGUUUGUAUUAAUGGGCUGUGAUGGAUUGUUCUCCAUUAAGAUGUUUGAGGGGAGGGAGGUGUUUGUAUUGAUUUAGGACAUGAGAUAGGCAUGGUUAGCUUAUGGCUUGGAGUGUUUGUUUUGCUUUGAUUGUAAGUGGGAGGAAAGAGGGUACUUGUGCAUUUGCUUGGACUCGUAGAUGCGCAUUAGAUGGGUGGUUUUACUUUUAUUACAUUAAAUAAGAGUUGUUUGUCUUUGAUAUGUUUCAAGGUGAGGGAGAACUUGUGCAUUUGUUUAGACUCAUCAUAGAUGGACGUUAGAUGGGUUGUUUUUUUUUUUUUUUUUUUUAUUACAUUGAAUGAGGAUAUUUGUCUUUGAUAUGUUUGAUUGGGGGUGGGGUGAGAGAUGGGGUGGGUACUUGUGCAUUUGUUUGGACAAAUUGUAGAUAGACAUGUGAUGCGUUGUUUUACUUUGAAUAGUGUUAAUGAGGUUUGUUUGUCUUUGAUUUGUUUGGAUGAGAGUUGUUUGCAUUGAUGUGUAUGAGGGAGAGGGAGGGGGAGGGGGAGGUGUUUGUUUUGCUUUGAUUGUAGGAGGGUUGAGAUAUGUGUGGGGUACUUAAUGAUGAUGUUUGUUUGAUUGUUGCUUAAGAGUGUGUUUAAUUAUUACUAUGAAAAGCAAUUGUCUCUUGAAUUCAUUACUUACUCUAGGUGCAUGCUUUCUAGGCAAUCAACUAGGAAAGAAGAUUUUUUUUUUUUGGGUUGAUGUUAGAUGCUUAUUACGUCAAACCUAGAAGUAUUUUGAUGAAAAAUUUUCUUUAACAUUCCUUUCUAUCAAGUCAUGUAUCGAGAUUUUUUAGCGUAAUUAAUUAUGUCUUGUAAAUUUCUAUUAAUUUGUAUAUAUUAAUGAAAUUUAGAAUUCACACAAACUGUUAUUUUUACUGUGUAUAGUAUAUAUUAUUUUUACUGUGUAUAGUAUAUUUUACUUUUAUGGUUUCAAUCGUUUGAGAUUUUAUAAAUUUAAAAACAUGAUUAAUUUUUCCAAAAAAAUAAAAACAUUGUCGAUGCUUGAAUUAAUAUCGUCGGCAAAAUGAAUCAUCUUCUGACGCCUUCAUCAAGAUUUAUCUCUCGAUCAAUUAAUUUAUUAGACUGUGCACAAUAUUCCUAAAGCGACAAAUGGCCAUCUGGAGAUUAGAUUUCUGUCGACAUCGUUUGACAACGAUAUCAGAAGACUGUUAUUCCUGUCAGAAAUAAUAUCGACGGUAAUUCUCAACGGAUAUUUGGAUGGCAUUAGUGUUCGUUCUCUAAAAAGAUGUCUCCCAACCCAAUUGCCGACAACUAAAAUGACUCGGUCAAAGUUUUCCCUAUGUCAUCUAGGUUCUUUUCCAACUUAUACAGGCAUCGAUAAAUCCUAAAAUUCUUGGAGUGUAUCCUAUGUUUUUUACCAUAAGAUUCUUUUUUCACGUAGGAUUUGUCAUCAUCUCUUUGGCCUAUGACUAUAUGGAUGUGAAAUUUCCAAUAUUUUUUACCACUGACUUUUUUCCUAAACUGUAGAUUGCAAACAAGUUAUCAAUUAAUGUUGCUUUUUUCUUCUUCUUAAUUUUGGAGUAGAAAGGGAUAGCAUUCUCGUCUGUAUAGACAACCCCAACUGUUGAUACCAAAUUUUGGUUAAGAGAAAGCGCAUCUUACAUUCAUCUAACACAACUCUAAAUUUAUAAUUAGGGAAAGAGAUUACCAUAAAACAAAGAAAAAGAGCUUUCAUAUCUAAGUCACUGACAAAAUUAUGUAAUAGAGAAGAAGUUGAAAGUCUAAAGUGUCAUAUCCCUUAUUUAAAUACUUGAUAUGAGAUUAUAUAAUUCUAUUCCUAAUUCUAAUAAGUUAGAAUAAGAUAUUUUAUCUUACAUUUAUCUUUUUGUGUGAUAUUUUACUUAUUUUAUCCCCAAUUUCACACACAACAGAUUCGAUUUCCUACUACAAUCUCUUUUUUAUUUCUUUUUUCCUUUUGUCUUCUUCUAUUAAACUUUUUUUCAGUCUUAAAGAUUGGCAUAUUCUCUAAUUUAUCUCAAACUCACAUCUCUUUUGUUGUUUCUCAAGUUUUUAUAAGAUUAUUUUUAAAUAAAAAAAUGAAUCAAAAUAUAGUUCAUCUUUUAUCUUCAAAUAAGAUUAGAAAUGUUGCAUAUUUAAUUUGUCUAAUAGAAUUAGGAUCUUGCUUAGAUAAAAAUAAAAAUAAUGUUAGUGUAUCUUUAUAUUUUCCAAAUGAGAUUAGAAAUAUUACAUGCUUUGGCUAGUAAGAUUAAUGAUACUAAUUGGAUAAAGAUAAAGCUGCUCCAAAUUUUAAAUAGUUUUAAUUUUUUUUUUAUUUUAUUUUAUUAUAAUUCUAAUAAUAUUAGAAUAAAAUAAAUGGCAUGUUUAUCUAUUGUGACUAGGUUAAAAUAGAUCUUUUAAUUUAGUAUUAAAUAAUUAAAUAUGUCUAUCUAAAACUUUUUGUGCUGUCAUAUUUUUCUUAUAAGCUAAUUUUUAUCAUAAAGGCAGCAAUAUUUGUGUGAGAAUUUUUCUAUUUUCUUGGCUGUGCACACAAAUUACGAACCUAAAGUAAAACUUGUUUUCAAAUACAACAAUUUUGAGACAAAUUAUCUAUUAAUAUAACAAAAUGUUACCAUUUAUAUGUGUGAUAGAUAUAAACACUUGUAGAAAAAGUUUGUAAAGUCUAAUGAGUAUUAGAUUCAAUUGUUGAUAGACUUCUAUUAGUGAUAUAUUGCUUUAUUAUUAUUAAAUUCUAAAAGCUUGAUCUGAAUUUUGUUAUCUUUGGAUAUUGUUUCACUAUCAUGCUAUAUUUGAACUACCUCUUUACAUAUACUCUUUGCAUAUCCUUUAAUGAUAUGAUGGAUAUUAAUAGAGGGUCUAUAAUUGAUAUUAUUUAAAAUUUUACUAAAUUUAUAAAUACUUUCAUUUAUUAGGAUAUAUUUGAAAAUAGUACCCUUCUAAAAGUAAAUUACAUAUAUGUAUAUCUAUAUAUAUGAAGUGGAAAACAAAGCAGAAUAAAAUAUUCGUGGAAGCAACUGCUUUUUUUUAUUUACAUCCAUAAUAAUAAUAAUAAAAUAAAAUCACUUUGCUGGGUACUUCCUGGCCAGCACAAGAAAAACUAGAACAAAAUAUAAAAUAAAAACAAUACAAUGUAAUAAAUUAAAGUAAAUCAUGAGAAGGGUAUAUAAAAAGGGAAGUAGGAUUGAGCAUUGUUAUUUGUGGUUAUAAUAAGAGAAUUGUAAAGCCAUGUCUCUUAAAGGAAAAAUUGAGAGUGAAAUAGUAAUAAACACACCUCCCCACAGAUUUUACAAACUAUUCAAAGAAGAAAUUUUCGACAUUCCAAAAGCUUGUCCAAAGUUAGUCCAAAAGAUUAAUAUUCAUGGUGGGGAUUGGAGCAAACACGGUCACGGUUCGAUCAAGACUUGGCAUUACACUUUAGGUACAUAUAUCAAUCGAUAUCUUGUUAACAUCAUCCCUGCCACAAUCCUUUUAAUAUAUGUUUACAUGAGUUGUUCCUUAAUUGGCUUUUUUGUUUUUUCUGUGUUGGUUAUGUGCUUUUGUAAGAUGACGACAAAGCUGAAGUUUUCAAGGAACGAGUGGAACUUGAUGACAAGAACCUAGUGAUAAAACUAAUUGGAUUGGAAGGAGACUUGUUUGAGCAUUAUAAAAGCUUCAAUGAAACAUAUAAAGUUGUGAAAAAGGGACCUGGUCAGUGUGCCAUAAUUCUUACCUUAGAGUAUGAGAAACUUCACGAUUGUUCUCCAUCCCCUCAAAAGUACUAUGAUGCUAUGAUUAACCUUGUCAAGAGCAUUGAAUCACAUCUUAAAAAAUAAUGUUUCUUCUGCGCCCAUGAGCGACCCUUUAUGAUAUAUGAAUAAGUAAUGUCAUCGUAGAGGUGAUUGAGGAUUUUGUGAAAGUAAAUAAAUGGUUAUAUCCUCAUGUUAAAUGGAUGAAAUAAUAUAUUGUACUACUGAAGAAAUAUAUAUAACUUCCGUUAUGUUUGAAAAUAAUAAUUGAUAGUUUUUUAUUAUUAAUAUUAUAUUCUUUGCUCCCUCUCAAAUUUGACAGAGCUUAUUUUCACAAACAUUUAUUUUUCACAUUAAAUGUGUCGAGGAAACUACGAAUGAAAAAUAUGGUACAUUCCACCUCUAACGUAAAUGAUAUAAUUUUUAGUUUAAAAAAUGUAUGUAAUAAAAAACUUGACUAUUUACAUGACCAAUCUAAUAAAAAUAAAAUACACUCAUUGAGUUGACGUAUAUUUAAUUUUUGAGAUUUUAAAAUAUAUGAUUUAGUCUCUUAAAUUUGAAAAAUAAUUUUAAAAUUGACUAAAUUUUAAACCAACAGAAUAUUUACUACAUUAAUUAUAUUAGAGAACACAGUUAAGUUUUUUAUAUUAUUUUAAAAAGUCAUUUAAAAGAUGAAAUGAAAAAUUAUUUGACAAAGUUAAUAACAACAAUAAAAAAAAAUGGCCCUCAUACUUCAUCCUCUCAUCAGUCAUCUCCCAAGCUUUCUCCGGCCACUUAAAUGACCUCGACCUCGCUGCCUUUUCCAUGGCCGUUAUCGUUGUCUUAGACAUGGUUCCCCUGAUAUACCUAAAGCCCUAACUCUGUUUUCUCUAAUUUAAUUGUGGAGAUGCUAUGCAGGAAAGCGUACGGGUCAAAGAAAUAUUGUUCAUGUUGGGAGUUUAUUUGCAGCGCUCAUGGACCUUCUCUUUCUAUGCUGUCCUUCUUUUGUUGCAUAUUUUCUUCAUUGCGUCUCCAUAUUGCUGAUACCUCAAAGGUAUAACAGCCAGCUUCCUCUGCCAAUUUAAUAUUUUCAACAUGGAUACUUCCUUCUCACUUUAGCUUUGCGUUUUACUUUUCAUUGCAAUUUUUUUCAAGAGCCAAGUGAAGGUCUGGGCGAUUUUGUGGUCGGCGUCGGCGGGUAGUUGGGUGCUUGUAGGUUGAACUUAAAAUGGGUGUGGUGGAAAUUGCAGCGGCUUGCAAUAUUUAUUGCAAACCUUGGGGACAAUUAGUUUCUUUAAUCUCUCUAUCUAAAAGGCAAUCUGUUUGCUUUUAGGUUUCUAACUUGUUAACCAUUUUCUGUUUGUUAACAGAACACAUGGAAAUAUUAUUUUGGGAGAUCAUUUCUUUAGGACAACUUUUUUAAUUUCUUUGCUUGGCAAGCUAAAACUUCAUUUAUUUGAUCUUUUCAUCUUUCCUUUGAGUGAUUCGUUUGGUCUACAAUUCCUGAAUUAAAUUAGGUUUAUUUAUGUAUGUAUAGAUGGUUAUGAAGUUCUAGCUUUUUUGGUUACUGUCACGCCCCCGCUCGAAACGUGCCCUCUACGUACCGAGUAUAGACAUGACUUGAGCAAACCGACGUUUCGAGGUGCACCAGAAUGCUUAGGUACUUCUUUAAACAUAAGUUAAGCUUUAGGCGUGAUCAUGCUGACAAACGAUUGUACUAAGGAGUAGGACAACAUGCAAUAUAUAUAAAAAUUAGCAAUCCUUUUAUUAACAAUCGUGUUACAACACAAGCGUACAACUUACAACAUAAAAGACUAAAAAACUCAAGCUAACUAGUACUAUGCAACACAACAAGUACUUAGCAGUGACCUCCUCUUGUUUUGCCUGAUGACACUUUUUCGUUUAACUUGAAAAGGGAAAACUUAAAAUGUAAGCUAAUAGCUUAGUGAGUGACAAAAAUUUACAAAUACAUUUUGGGAAAUACAAUUAAACACAAUAAGACCUUUCUCAUUUUUAGAAACAUCUUACUGCCUCACUAUGCUUUUAUUGGCACAAAUAACCACAUUUGCCUCUACCUAUUUUCUUAUCGUCGUCUGGAUAUUAAACUCCCUCAAUGUAAGGAUUGUUGUGAUGAUUACUUCACCACUAGCAUUUCUACAUACACUCCUUCAAUACUAGUUGCUUCCAUGAUCUGCUUGAACACAGACCACUCAACGCGUUCAACUAUCCUUCUACCAAGCAGACAACUGAAUGUAUGACAACCUCUACUCUAUUGUGCAUACAAUAUAUAGCUAGCUUUUGAUCUAAAAUAAGGCUAAUAGUUUUGUAUACAUACAAGCAUCACAACAAUACAAUUUCACAUAUAGACAGACUUGAAAAUUAGUCAUGGUUUUUUAAUGUAUAAAUGAGAUUACAACAUGAGCAUAUUUAACAUGGCAAUAUAACAUGAUUUUGGUGGUAAAAACAUUUUUCAAAAGCUUUCUUUUCUUUUGGAGGGUCGCUCACGUAGUUAAGCUUUUCUUUCUCCCUUACUCUCCUUCUUAUCACCUAACUCUUCUUCCCACUUUUUGCCUGCUCCUAUAAUGAAACUUCACCUUUUCCUCCGUAGAAUUUUCUCUUAUCUAAACACUUGAAUUAAUCCUUCCUCAAAGCUAUUUAUACUAUUCUCAAAUCAAAUUAGUCAGCAUUACACUUCUCCUAAAUUCAACAGUUCCUACUUAGUGCAUUACACGUACGUGUUAGUUUAGUAUCCUUCUUAAACCACAGUCUUAAUUUAACUUAACCUGUGUUUAGCUGACUAAUAAUGCUCCUUCUCACCUAGCUUGUCACUUGAAAAAUUGAUUUAUGUUCGUUGUCUCCUUCCCUUCUUGCAAUACUUUGUUGUACCGUGUUGCCUUUCUUCACAAUGUCUUAUCUGAUCUUUUUACCCUCUGCUCCUUCCUCACAUUAUCUCAAAACAUACUUAAGCUCAAAUAUGCUACUUCAAAAAUUAAUUUAGAAGAACCUCUCUUUUAGGACGCAAGUUUCAUAAUUCUUCCCUCUUUAGUAAUUUCGUCCUCCAAAUUCUACCUUUUUUCCUUUAGUUAAACUUGGCACCCUAACGGCGAUUGUUGCACUGAGUGGGACACGACUCCUUGUUGGGUAGUACCUUGUUUAGGUUUUCAUUGGGAUUCCUUUCCAUAGUGCCCUUCUUCUCUAAAAUUGAAACAGAUAAUUGUACUUCUUCAUAACCUACCUACAUGCUUUCGACCACACUCAAUGCAUUGAGGUUUGUGAGUUCCACUUUAGAAUGAUUAUGUGUAGCUUAUUUUCAUUCUUUUGUUUUCUCUAACUUCUUUCUUUCUUACUCUUCUCUUUUCCUUCUUCAUCAACUCCUCCACUUCCUUCAAAAGCUUGCUUUAUGAAUUGAAAUUGAUUGUUUCUUUCUUACUGCUAUCUUAAACUGAUAAAAGGUGUUCUUGAUAGCUUGAUCUUGGUGAAAUGAAUCCUAAAUCUAGGCAAUGUUGUAUCUCGAGAAGCUCGUAAAAGUGAGUCCCAGGUUUGAGAAAAUAAUGAUUUUGCAAGACGUUGGUGAAGUGAACCUAGGUCUAGCCGAUUAGAACUUCAAAGUCCUGCGUUUGAAUAUCAACCAAAAUUAAUCUAUGAGUUUUCAACCUGAAAUUCAAACAGCCACGUGUCUCCCAUCCAAGUUCUUUGCAUCUUCUAGGUCACAAGUCCAAAUUAUCCUACACGCCCUUUUCUUUACUUUUACGUGAAAAAUCCCAAACUAAACAUUUAUUUUCUUCAUAUUCUUCACCAUAUUUCCCAAUUUUCUUCCAUUUUUUGACCAGAAGUUACAUCUCAACCGCCCUAAAAUAUUAUAGAUUACCAAAAAACCACGAAAAAAACCCUCUCCAAAACCCAUUCCAAACCCAUUUUUUCUCCCAAAAAAUUUUAUCCAUUUUCUUGAUUCUCAUGGAAGGGUAAGUGUUUUAUGAGGUAAAGAGUAAUUGGGUUGAGUUUUCUUUUAUGGGGGCCUCUACUUUUUUGCAAGAUUGUAAAUUUUUUCUUUAUUUAUUCAAGAACUCUACUUUACUUUCUUAUAAAAUUGUUGUAAUUUAUAUUCUUGUGAACUAAUCAUUCCGAAAGUUCAAGCAAUAAUUUGCCACGCAUGAAAUGUACUAAUUUAGAGAAAUAAAGUUGACAAUUGUUUGUUUUUUUUAUAAUUCUUGAUUCUUUGAUAAAUUUUGUUCAUAGUUUGAGUUGAGAUGGCUAGAUUUACUUUAAAUUUUGUUCAGUGUAAUAAAAUAUAUCCUUUCUCUUGGACGAAUUUAAUUUUCUUGAACCCAAUUUGUCAUUUUAUUCAAGGUAUGCAAUGUGCCAUUUUUUUUGGAAAUUUAAAGGAAACCUCGUUGAAUGGUGAAUUAUUUUCUAUCAUUUUUUUCUAGCGUUUGUGUCUGGCAAUCUUUUGAUUUGGUAAUUCUUGGAAUAAAUAUUCAUGCUAUGCACUUGUUUGUUGAACAAAUGAUGGGUAAAUAAAGCAAUUUCUUUUAUAUGCAUAUUUGUUUUUAUUCUUGUUAGGUAAAAGGUGUGAAUCUUGAACAAAUUAAUUUUGGUGUUCAAGAAAUUUGAUCCCAAAGUUAAUUUGACCAAUAAUCUUUUAAACCUUUCAAUUUUUACUUUCCAUUUUUGGAUCCCCAAGGAUAGAAAACCCUCGUAUACUCAAUUACUCUGGCCUCACAUUUAUUAGUUGAGUAUUUUUUUCACAUAUUUUACUAUCUUGAGUUGGAACAACCUAGAAUUUACUUUGUUACUUGUCACAACAUGAUUCUUUAAAUUUCUUGCUUAAUCUUUUCAUGCUUUCUUAGUUUAUCUAACACUCUUUUCUAGUUUCAAUUCAAGUUAGAAUUAUUUCCACUCCCUUGGUUCGACACUCUCACUUGCCACCACACUAUGGUAAUAAGUGGGUUUUUAUAAAUAAUCUUUUGUCAAGGUGAAUUGGUACGUCUCUAUCCUUUUCCUAAUCAACUAGUGUUCCAUUUUCCAUAUAAUUAGCAUAUAUUGUUACAUGAUUACCAUUUAAAUGGGCUUGCCAAUUACAUAUUACAUACAACAUUCAAGCCUUGCCAGCGAGUAAAUGCCGGUGAAAGUGAAUCCUAGUCUGAGCAAGGGAUAAAAAUGUGUUCUUGAUAGCUAGAUGCUGGGGGAAGGUGAAUUUCAUGUAUAGGCAAUGAGAUGCUGAUAAAAGUGAAUCUCAGAUUUGAGAAAACAAUGAUUUUGCUAGACGCUGGCGAAAUCCCAAGUCUAGGCGAUUAGAUGUUGUGAAGUGCAUCCCAGGUCUAGGAGAUUAGAUGUUGUGAAUGGGAGAAUCCCAAAUUUUGGCAAUGAAUAAUGAACAUCCUGAUGAAUGAAACACGUGGAAUUUCUUUGAUUGUUGUGUUUAUGAUUUAAUGCUAUGAGAAUUUAUGUUCUUAAGAUUAAGAUUGUUGUUAAUGAAAAUGUUGUAUUCCCCCUAAUAAGGUAUUUCUUAAACCCAUCACACACUAAGUCUUUAACUAACCUUUUAGUUUUCUCCUCCCCAAGUUGUCAGGCGUUGAAGAUAAGUAAAGAAUGAAUGUCAGGUGUAGAAGCCAAGUAAAGAAGGGAAAUGUCCGUUAUCAUGUAAACCCAUUUCACAUUUGAGGAGUUGGCAGGCAAUUCUUAUACUCCUAAAUGUUGAGGGCUACAACUCAAUUUUGAGGAGAAGUUGAAUGCUUCAGCACAAUUUUGAAGAGAUGCCAAGGGCAGCAUCACAAUUUUGUCUUGCCGAAGAAGACGAGUGGAAGAAAUGAGCCAAGAAUGAAGAGCCUAAAGUUAUCAAUUUAGUCUUGUCAUAAUUGUAGAAGUGUGAAAUUCAGUUGUACUUAGUGUAAUGAGUUAAGUGAAUAAAGCGAAAAAGUUAAGCAUAUUCAGCUACAUCAUUGUUAUUAUUUGCCAUAUCCUGUAAAAGUUAAAAGUUAUUUUCAAUCAAGUAAUGAGGGCUAGGUGAUGGAGCUAACUCUAAAAUUUGUUUUAAGCUAUUAUAAGCUAUAAGGGUCUAAGUCUAAAGUAGAAGCUUUGCGAAGAGAUAAGUUCAAGAAGUUGCUCUGCUUACUAGGCAUUUAGCGUGUUAUCUCGCGAUGGGUACCUAGGCGGCACAUCCCAAUCUAGUCGCAUGGAAUGGAAUUUGGGAUGGUGUAUGACAUGAUCGUUUGAAGGUAGAAAACUAAACGAUCACGUAAGAGGGUAAACGAUCGUAUAGAAAGCUAAACAAUCGUGUAACAGGUUGCAGAGUAAACGAUUGUGAUAACAUUUCCUUCAGAACCAAACAUAGUUAUGAAUGUCAAGUAGUUACAACAGUUUUAAACUUUACAAACAUUAGGAAUGAAAAAAUAAAACAAUACAACCCGAUAACCCAACCCAACCCAACCCAUAUUUUAUGGGUUGGAUUGGAAAAUUAAUUCGGGUUAUUUGGGUUGCCAAAUCAACCAACCUGAAAAUAUGGAUUGGGUUGAGAAUAUCUCCCAACCCAACCCUACUCGUUUACAUCCAUAAUUCUAGUGUCAUGUAUGCCUUUUUUUUUUCAAAUUAAAUAUCCUAAUUGUUAAAGAUUAUGAGAUUGACGAUCUUUGUUUUUACAUCUUUAAAUGUUACUAGAGAUGUCGUUGCAUUGGUGGUUUUUGGAAGAAAAAUGUUGAAUGGAAAUGUUGUUCUGCAAAAUACCCUUCUUAUCGUUUCUUUCUUUUGUUCCCUUAUUUGCCAAUAUCUUUUGCUUACUUUGUAUGUAGCUGCAGUGGAAGAUAGGGUUUCUUUUUAGUGUUUCUAUUGGACAUACUUAAAGGACACUUAGUCUUUCGGCUAGGACUAGUCGUUAUGUUAUUUCUUGAGCAAUAUUUUUCUGUAGAAGUGUGUUGGUAUCGAUCUUGGUUGUAAGAAGAAGAGAGUUGAAUCACUUAUUUCAACUUACUUACUACACGUGUAUAUUGUGAUUCAUUUAUGAAGGGAUUCUCAAAACUAAAACGAGCUUGUGCUAUUCAAGAAAAGAUGUCUUUGUUCUUAGAAUGAAUGGUAUACAAUAAAAGUGAGAAGGAAUCUCAUGACUCAAGGGAAGCUAUCAAGGCUUGUCGAGAGCCAGGUUUAUGUCUUAGAAGGAACCUAAAACUCUCUUCACUAAUAAUACAACUUAUGCAAGCCUACGAUAUAAGAGAAGUCUCAAACCUAGGGGAGUCUGGGUGUGCAGUAGAAUGAUAAAACUAUUCAGAAGUCAUAUAUUUGCGUUAUCAUUAAAGAUAAGUACUACGAUGUAAUUGGUUAUCAUUGUUAUUAGUGAAUGUAAUGUAUCUUUCUUAGGUACACUACCCGCUAGAUGUAUAAAACUAGGUUACCAAUCUUGUGUUCAUUUGUCACUGUACUAUUUGUUUGUAACUAUUGUGUGAAAUGUUGUAACAUUAUCGUGGGUAACAUAGUUUAUUUCAUGUUGUAGACAAGUACUUUCUUAAUUUCACUGUAAUUAUGGUUACUUUGCAACCACUAUAAUAUUUUAUAGCUUGUUUACAUGGACUAUUUUCAUAAAUUACAUGCUUAUUAGUUCUGUAUAUAUAGUUAUUUGCUGAAAAUAUUAUAUAAAUAUUUGGGAUUUUUUUAAAAAUAGAACAAAUGGGCAAAAUAUUUACAGUGUAGAGAACAAUUUCGAAAAAGAAAAAAAGCUCAUAGGCCCACAAUUGAAAAUACCAAAAAUGCCCCGAUCAAUACGCCAUUAGCCGGUCACACGUGUGUGUAGUUCUUCUAAAUGAUCGUGAACCAAGAUCGUUUAGAUAUUGUUACAUGAUCGAGUACGAAGAUCUAAAUGGUCAUGUGCAAAAUCUAAACGAUUUUUGUUCAAGAUCGUGUGUCAAGAUCUAAACAAUCAUGUACAAAGUUCUAGACAAUCAUGUACCAAGAUCUAAAAGAUUUUUGUUGAAGAUUGUGUACCAAGAUCUUUUAUAUUUGGUACAUGAUCUUGUACCAACAUCGUAUAGAUUUUGUACACGAUUAUGUAUAAAGAGCUAGACGAUCGUAUACAGAGAUUUAAAGCUUUGGUAUAUGAUCCUUUAGAUCUGAAAGAGGAAAUAUAUGAGAGAUGACAAAAAUUGUUCACCAAAUGGAGAUUUGAAGCAGUGAAAAAGAAAGACAUAAAGGAAAGAAUAAUAAUAAUCGUGGAACAAUGACAAUGGUUUUGAAAAAAAUAUAAAAAAAAAAUCCAAAAAAAAAAGGAGAUGGAAGAUAAUGAAAAGGAAAAAGGAAGAAAUGAAAGUCUAAGUAUUUAAAACAAUCAAAUCGACUAGAACAAACCUGUAUUAUUUUUAAAGAAAGGGUCGACUUCAUGAACUUUUGUAUUAUUUUUAAGGAAAGGGUCGACUUCAUGAACUUUUAGAUUAUUAGAUUAUUGGUGUUUGGUUAUGUUUAUAAAAAGUAACCUUAUAAAAAAAGAAAGAGAGAAUUCAAGAGUAAAAUAUUAUUGAUUAUUCAAUAUGUUUCCAAUUGAAGUUGUUCUUCCUUAUCAAUUUUGGGAUAGUUGUACAUUAAUUAAUAGUUAAAUCAUCACAUCAUGCUAAAAAUAGGCUCAUCCCGUCAACAUUCAAAUUGUUUCAAAGAAUAUAUUCACAGCGAAUAAAUAACUAGUUUUUUUAAAGAUAUACUUUUCUCCCCUUGAGUUUAGAUUCCAAAUUAAUUUGGAUUAGGUUGAGUUUAAUAUCCAUUUGGAUUAACUGUUUUUUACUUUAAAAUUUAUGCAUGAUUCAGUUGAUCUUCUUAAUAGUUUGUAUGUUUUUGUGUACAAGUUGUCGCCACAUGCCCGAGACGACGCGGAGCGGUCGACAUCUUUAAAAGUGUUAGUUUUAAAAUGAAAUAAGAGUCGCCACCAAUCUUUUUUUACGGUGCGAUUGAAUACUGAAAUACAAUAAACAACUUUUAAAAAAUGGUCUGCGAAAAAUAGAAUUGAGUUCGGGAGUCAUUUGUGUGUGGGGAAGGUAUUAGCACCCCACAACACCCAUUUAGGAAAACGAUGACCAAAUUUAAAAUCUUGAAUUGAAAAUAUUUUUAAAUUUAUUUUAAAACUAUUGUUUUAUUUCAUCCCUCGUUACUCCAAUAUUUGAAGCAAUGAUCUCAUAAAAUAAGUGGAAUUAUAUUUCAUUAAUUAGACUAUAUAUUGAAUGAGAGUUUCUCACCUUAAGAAAAUGAGAAAUUAUUACAAUUUCUCAAAAUCUAUCGUAGGCUAGUCUUUGAAUAAAGAUUUUUUUUUUAAAACAUUGAUUAAAUUCAUUUUUUAUUGGGAUCGAAUCUCGGACUUCCAAAGAUGUGAUCCCUCACCUUAAAAAUUCUAGGAAAUCAGACUCCCAAAUUUCCUAGAUUCCAUCAUAGGAGUAUUUUUAGCGAAAUAGAAGUUAGUUAUUAAAAAAGUUGAUUAAGGAAAACAUAUGAAAUAUAGAUUUAUAUUUUUAAAAAAAUUAAAAGGAAUAGUUGUAAAUUAAAAAUUUCUCAACAGUUAAAAAAGGAAAUUUAAUAAAGAUCUUCAAAAUUAGGUCAAUAGAAAAUAAUGCACAAUAGAAUCAAAUAUAAUAUACCCUAAAUUAAGAUAAAAUUUUAUUUUUUAAAAAAAGUAUUGGAAAUCGAAUCUUGGAUUCCCAAAGAACCGAUUCCCUCAUCUCAAGAAUUUAGAAAUAACGGACUUCGAUAUUUCUAAUUCCAUCGUCGGAUUUGUUUUUAGAAUGAAAAAAUGUAAAAAAAAAAAUAUGAUGUAAGGAGAAAAAAAAUUAAAUAAUUGAUAUGAAAUACCAUGAUAAUAUUGCAAAGUGUAAAAAAUAUUCAUAAAUUUAAUAUUACAUGAUAAUAAUUAUUAUGCAUGCAAGAAAAGCAAGUUAAAAAAAAUAAAUAUACAAGGAAAAUACAACUGGUAGACAACUACAACAAAUAAAUAUAUAAAUAAUAAUAAAAAAGAUAAAAGGAAAAAAAAGGACGUUUUUUUUUUAAACCUUGCCGCCACCAUAUAUAUAAUAAUAAUAAUGAUGACGAUAAUAAUAAUAAUAAAAAAAUAUAUAAAAGUAUUAACCGUAAAAGAAAAGAAAAAAAAUAGAUUUUCAAAUCCCAAAUAAAAUUUACUCGUCGAUGAGGUGCGGAUCGGAGUAAAUCCCUACCACAUGAACCUCCAACAAAGUGUAUUUUAAAAUGGAAUUUGAUUUACUAACGAGAAAAAAAAAAAAAAAAGUAAAACACUAACGUAAUGAAAAGAAUAAGAAAACUUACCUUUUUAAGAGAUUCUUUCUAAAAGAUUUUCUAACGUUUUCUAGACUUUUUGUAAGAAAAUUUUCACCAAAGAAUUCUUUGUUAAAAAAACUAUUCCUCCCCUUUUUCAAAUGACAAGGGUCCCUAUUACAAAGGUGUUGCCUUGAUCUUGAAGGUAGCCAAUAGAAAAUAACCUUCCAUUUCUCUAGGGAUCUUAGGCAGUGCUUUAUUUCCAAUUGGGAUGUUCCAAAUUUUGCAAGCAUGGAAAAAUCAACUCAUCAUAUGGAAAUGCGCUACUAAAGAUGACGGAAACAAAUGCUUCAUUAUCAUUUUUUACUUUAUUUUUCUUUACUUUUCAUCUUCAUAGUUCACUUGUUUAAAUGAUGGUAUUGACACAUGGCUGAUAAUGCUCUGCCCCGAGCUGAUCUUAUGCACUUCAUCUUUUCUUUUAGUGGGAUCGUACUUUAAUGAUGUUAACUUCUACUUCUGUAUCAUUCGUAAUCUCUUUCCUUCAAACAUCAUUAUCAUAAUAUGAGAGGCAUUUUAUCACAGUAUGGAACAGUCAAAACACUGGUGACAUUUCCUUACUCACUCAGAAGUGGUUGCCUCCGAUCAAUAUUUUUUUUUUUUACAUCCUUAAGGAUAUUUCUUAAAAGUGGUUAAUGCUUCAUUUUAUACACGGAAGAUUUAAAUGGUACGAGACCAAACUAAUAAUGUCCUUAUAAUUUUUCAAUACUUGCACACUUGAGAGAUAUCCAACUACAUAUACCAAAGAGCAGUUGAGCUCAAUUAGGCUAUCGUCUUAUUAACAAACAACUAAAAAAGGUGGGAUCAGGAGGCGCACCAGAACAUCUCAACUAGGUUGACACCUUCGUCAUACCACAUACUUAAUAAAAAAAUAUGCUCCUUAUCAUGAGAUCAAAUAGUGACAAAACGUUCUUGGAACUGGUGAAAAGAAAUUGUCAUUGUGGAAGUGGAUUGACAUCCUUCAAUCGUAUAUAAUGAAAUGACUUUCAUUAAACUUUCCAAAUUUUAGCCUCUUGAACUUGGGUGUUGUAAUGAUGAUGUCUAAGACUAGACACAAUUGUGUCGCCUUAAUUUCUUCAUAAAUGUUGUUCUUUAUUACACUUAAUCUCUCUUCUAGAAACUUUGAUAUAAACUUCUUUUGAGAUUUGUCUUCAAAGGUCUUCAUGUCAGUUUUCUCAUUCACCGUAGAAUCUAAGUCAUUCAAAUGGCACAUUUUUUGUGGAGCUCGACCACACUCUUUGUGUCAAGUAUGCCCUCAAGUUUAACCAAUGAUGAAUCUAAUAGUUUUUUUAGCAGUAAGAGCAUGUGGGUAUAAGGAGAAACAUCGUUUGAAGGUUGGUUCUAUACCAAUUUCACUUAUUUGAAUGCCCCUGCUAGUGGUCUAUCCUUAAUUUAAGCGAGAGACUUUAAAACCACUACCACUUGUCCUUUUAACACUUUGACACAUCUUUCCUGGUUACUUACACUUGGUUGGAAAACUUUUCCAUGACCUCGACCAAUAAUGAAUGAUGGGUGAAAAUCUUUUCCACUAUUUGUAAAAUCUUUGACUCUUUUGAUCUUUCUAAAGAGAGAGAAUGGUUAAAUUAUUUGAAGUUAUUUAUUAGAGUGAGGUUUAUGCAUAUGAAAUUUCAUCAACAAUGCAACAAUUAUCAUUCUAAAGUGAAUAAAAAUGACUACUAAUAUUUUCAAGAAGAAAUAGCUAAAUGCAAUGACAAAGGAGAUUUUAAAAUAAAAUACUAGCCAACAACUUAAACAUACAUACAAGUAUGUGUUGAUAAACAUAUGAUUAUAAUGCAUGAUAAAGAAAUUACUCUUAGUGUUUGAUCAUGCAAGUAAAAAGAAUAAUGAUGAGAUAAUAGCAUAAUAUAACACUAUCCAUGAUAUAUAUAUAUAUUGCUUAAAAGAAAAUUUUCUUUUUGACAGUUAUUCACACUAUUUAAGCUUAUAUUUAAAAAAAUCAUUAACGUUAAAGUAUUAUUAGUUAUUUAUUAAAUGAGACAACAAAAAUACCUUAGUAAAAAUGUGAUUUCUAAUGAAGACAUCAAAAUUUACUUAAUGCAGAUCAAAUGGAUAAAAAUAUGGUUAUAUGAGAUGAAAAAGUUAAUAGAUAAAACUCAA